CAAAUGAAGGGGAAUUCGCUCGACUCAAGUGCUUGUUGAUUCAUGAGUGUGAGUUGGAGAUUUGGGAAUCAGACAAUACACAUUUCCCAUGUCUUGAGCAAAUACAUCUCGGAAUCGUGAGACUGAAUGAGUUCCCUUCAGAUUUUGCUGAAAUAUUACCGCUUCAAGUGAUCGACUUACACCGCUGCGAAAAUUCCCUUUUGACAUCGGCACAGGAAGUAUCAGAGCAACGAGAGAACCUAGGAUACGAUGCUCUUCAAAUUCGAGCUUUAAUGCCUGGACUGCUCAAAAUUUAUGUGCAGAGAGGUAUCAAUCUUGCUGGUCGCAAUCACCCCAAGAGAAAUCCUUAUGUUGCUGUCAGAAUAUCCAAACAGGUUUUGUGUUUUUACUAAAGAUAUUUGGUGUUCUUUCUCGUAUGGGUUUUCGAUCUUUUAUGCUUUCCUUUUUUACAAAAACGAAUUGCAAUUUACUAUAUAUAAAUGAUUGCGCUGCAGAUUCUGAAGACUUGUGUUGUCAGAAAGACUGUUAAUCCCGAAUGGCAUGACGAUUUGACAGUUGCUGUUUUAGAUCCUAGUCAAACAAUUUAUGUGGUCAGAGCCUCUUUCAUUAACAUAAUAAAUGAUGUCACUUAAUAUGAGGGAUUUGUUUUCUUAUUUCUAGAAAUAACUACUAUAUAACACAAUAUAUUGUUUGGGGUAUUUAUGUCUAUUUACUUAAUAUUUUUAUUAACUAAUAUUAUGUUUUUUGGUUAAGGGACCUACAACUAUAAUCAUCUAAUAAAUUGGACUUCCACCUAUAUAGUUGGGAUGAGGGGAGUCUAACUAAUUAUCCCAUAAAAGUAAGGCCCUAGGAAGUUUUUUCCUCUUAUUUGAUAGUUAAAUUGUAAUUUAUUUAAUUAAUUAUUAUUUUUUUAUUUUAUAUCAUCAAGUUUAAUAAUCCAUUAAUUAUCCAGAUUUUUUGUUCCCAAAUCUACGUAUUUUUCCCACUAAAAUUAUUAUUUUACUUAAUAUUAUUUUUAUGGAAAUAUUAUUUAAUAAUUUAGAAAAUAUUUAGUUCUUAUCUUAUAGUAUUAAUAAAAAUAAGGGUUAACGGGUUAUAACCCCCUCAUUAGCAAAAAUAUUAGAACUAGGUACCAAGAUUUCUUUUAAUAUGGUGCAACCCCCUCCAUUUUACGUAUCCCAAUACUAUCCGUACAUUUUUCUUUUGAACUAGACCCCCCUCCCUUUAAAUAAGACCGGUCAACUAAUUCUCUCUCUCUCUCUCUCUCUCUCUCUCUCUCUCUCUCUCUCUCUCUCUCUCUCUCUCUCUCUCUCUCUCUCUUCUUUAAUUAUUUUAAUCCUUUUAAAUAUAUUUCGAUCUUUUUUUACUUUUACCUUUUUUUUUUGGAAAGAUCUACGAAAUAUUAGUAAACAACUAAAUUAAUGAAUUUAACUACAGACUUUAGUAGUCAACUAUAAUAUUCUACUAGUUUGCUAUAAAAUUGUGUCGGUCAACUACAAAAUAGUGAAAGUUAACUAUGAAAGUUUAAUAGUUAGUUAUAUAUUGUGAUAGUUAACUACUAAAUUAUAGUAGUCAAUAAUCAUUUAUAUACCAUAAUUUUAAGACCAAAACUCAUCACCCUCAAAUUAUUCAACCAUCGACAAGUAAUUCCAACACUUUCACAAUUACGUCCAAAGUCCCAAACGAUCUCAACUAUAUUAUUCUUCUAGUUUGCUAUAAAAUUGUGUCAGUCAACUACAAAAUAGUGAAAGUUAACUAUGAAAUUUUAAUAGUUAGCUAUAAAUUGUGAUAGUUAACUACUAAUUUAUAGUAGUCAGUGGUCAUUUCUGUACCAUAAUUUUAUGACCAAAAUUCACCACCGUAAAAUUAUUUAUCCAUCGGUAAGUAAUUCCAACACUUUCACAAUUACGCCUAAAGUCCCAAAUAAUCUCAAUAGUCUGCAGCAUAUGGAUACCUCCUAAAAAACAAAUUUCCACAAUACAAUUAUCACUAGCCGUAAUUUUCGUUGAAAAUUAGAACUGAGCCAAUGAAAUGAGCAUAAGGAUCCAAGACAAUAAUGCAAGACUCUAGUGGCGGAGAUUUUUGAGUUAGAAAAUCAGUGACGGGGGUGCGUUAAGAAAGAGCGGCGGCAGAUGCUGCUUCGUCAGAAAACAGAUCUGAAUGUUUCAUUGUUACUAGACUGGGUGAAACAAUGGUAGCCAUGAAGAUGCGUCGGCUAUGGAUCCGUCAAUUUUGGUAGAGAAGAUAUAUAAGUCGAUUUUAGUAGAGAAGAGAGAAAGAGCGAAUGAUUCGAGAGAAAGAAAAGAAAAGAGAAAUAGAAAGAGACGUAUCAGGGAAGAGAGAGAGGGAGAGAGAAAGUGAAUGAGAGAAAGAGGAAAAAAAAGAAACGUAAAAAAUAUAAAAAGAGGGGGGAGGAGAGAGAAAGAAAGGGACAGUUGAGAAGAGAGAGAAAUAGUAGGAGAAGAGAGAACAAAAUUGGAAUAAUAAACACAUGAGUGGGUCUCACAAUUCCUACUGUUGAUUUUAGAUUUCUCUACAAAUAGUGAAUAUUAUAAUGGGCAUGGACUCUAUUAUUUUGUGUAUUGAGGGGGUUAUUCCUCAUUUUCCCUAAAAAUAAUGUUGCUCCUGGUAAGUCCUAGGAAAUUCUUCCAGCUCAUUUGAUAGUUACAAUUGCCAUUUAUUUAUUUAGUUUUGGUUUAUUUCAUUUAUAUAAUCAAGUGUAAUAUAUCCGUUAAGUACCUCAUGUUUUGGCCUUACUAUUAGAGUAGGUGACCAACAAGCCAACUUGUGGCUGUGGUCUUUCCAUUUAUUCUUCUAAUAAAUAAUCAUUUUUUGUAUUAAUGAUAAAACACUUUGGCAUUCUAUAUCUUUGUCCUUUGUUCAAACAUAGAUAUAUUCCUUACAGUUAUUACAAGCACUUGUAAUUGAUCUUUUAGGAUCGUGAGAUAUUUACUUAAGUAUUAUAACUGUUAAAUGUGUUCCUAGUCGAAGGGUUACGCCACCAAUGAGGAUAUCGGCAUUUCCCAUUAAGAGACUAGCACUUACUGUAUGUGUAUUGUGUCUCAUCAGUAAACGGUAUUGUGAUAUCGGCAUGCAUAAGUGGGUGCUCGUAAGUUGACGAGUUCACUGAAUUCCCUCACCCUAGAAAUAUCUAAGUGGUUCUCAAUAAUCGAGUAGAGAUAUCUAUGGUAUAGUUGUACACCAUUAGUCCUUAAGACCUAGACAUCACCUUGACUUCACUAGAGGACCAGCUGUAUCGUGACCUGUCCCUGAGUUCCAUCAAGGACCGCCCCAAGGGCCAGUGUUCGUGUAGUCCGAAAUCUAGUGGAAGUUUUCAUCUUUCUUGUUGACUUUCUAGGUAGCCAGUCUUUACAACACUCGACCUAAGCUUGAUUUAGCUCAAGCAAUGCCCAAAAACUCCCAUGCCUUUCUUGGUUGGACCAAGGCCAUUUCCGACAAGUCUUUCUUCAUUUUUAGAGGAAGAAGCGGAACUACAAGAAAGCUUUCUUUAUCUUUUCUUUAUGGAUAACCAAUUCAUUUUCAAAUAUAGUUGGGAGAUUUUACCCAAGAAAUGGGUCCAAAAAAUGGAAAGAUCGGAACAUGGGAAUAGAUCUGAUACCAAUACGGACUACCCAUUUCAAUUGUUGUGCUUUCUGAAAUUGCAUACCUAUACAAGGGUUCAAGUUUCGAUCGAUAUUUGCGGAGUUGAUUAUCCCUCUCGAAAACGAAGAUCUGAAGUGGUCUAUAAUUUACUGAGUACUCGGUAUAACUCACGCAUUCGUGUACAAACGAGUGCAGACGAAGUAACACGAAUAUCUCCGGUAGUCAGUCCAUUUCCAUCAGCCGGCCGGUGGGAGCGAGAAGUUUGGGAUAUGUUUGGUGUUUCUUCCAUCAAUCAUCCGGAUCUACGCCGUAUAUCAACAGAUUAUGGUUUCGAGGGUCAUCCAUUACGAAAAGACCUUCCUCUGAGUGGAUAUGUGGAAGUACGCUAUGAUGAUCCAGAGAAACAUGUGGUUUCUGAACCCAUUGAGAUGACCCAAGAAUUUCGCUAUUUCGAUUUUGCUAGUCCUUGGGAACAGCGUAGCGACGGCUAAUUUAAAAUAAGACAAAGAAUAGGUCCAGCCCAGGAGACAAAUCAAUAGGAAAUGCUAUUUUUUUCAUAAGAAUAAGAAUUCACUUCUAUGAAAUGAAAGAGUUUCACGGGAAUUGUCUUGAUCGUCGGAUAUCAUGAGAAAGAAAUAGGAAUAAGUGUUAUCGAACGAUUUCCUGCAAUUCUUUCCAGUAUGUAUGGAAUGAGUAAAGAAUCAAGCUACAAGUGUCUCGAUCUAUACGAAAGGCACUGGUUUUUUUGUCUUUCUUUCGGUUUCAUUGAUAGCAGAAAAAUGGACUCUAUUCUAUAGGGGCGCUAGCGCUUGACUAAUAAGAUAAGAAAAAAAGCAAAAAAAUGGCAACAGAAAUUGGAUAUCGAUAGAGGAAAUAACGAUGUGGAGGAAAAGAGGGCAGGGAUUCUCUACAAUGACACUGUAGACCAAUUGAAAGGGAUGUAGCGCAGCUUGGUAGCGCCUUUGUUUGAGGGUCAAAAAUGUCACGGGUUCCAAUCCUGUCAUCCCUACCUAUUCUUCUCCUCUGGGCAGUAACGAGGGAUCCAUUGAGAUCGAUUCAAAUUGGAUAUAUUUUCACUAUAUACAUGCAAGAUGUGUAUUGGGGGUACAAAAAGAAUCCUUUUUCUUUACAGUCGUAUCUACCGUGAUAAGAAAGCGGUGGCGUAUGCAAACAAGAAACUGCAUCAUCUAAAAUGCAAAACACUAACUGCAAAAUGAAAAACAUUAUACAUACCAUGCAAAUGCAAACAACAAACAAAAGAAAAACAUAAAUCUACUCUUCCAAACAAAAAAAAAUCAAAAAGAGAAAAGGAUAUGUAACAUAAAAUUGCCAAAUGCAAAAUGCAUAAUGAAAACAACUAAAAGAAGAAGAAAAAAAAACAGAUUAAUCAAAAAUACACUAAAUUUUUGAAUGAAAGAUUAAUGUGCAACAUGAAAUUGCAAAUUGCAAACACAAAACAAAAAAAAAAAAAGAAAAAAAAUAUUACCUUGAAUAAUACAGGUAAUUGCAAAAUGCAACAAUAAACAACAUCUCACAAAUCGAGUGCCGCCAGCCCUAGCUCUGCCACAAACCCUAGAGUCGUCGACGCCGCUGUAAUGAACCCAAUCAAUCGAGUGAAGAGGUGCAUCAAAUCUGGUGGGUCGCUUGUCGUAGAACCACUACUCAAGAGUGGGGCGAUAAUUUUUUGAAUUUCCUUCCACUGUAUCAAUCUUCACCGCCUUCAACCUCUCAUACAUUGCUCACCUUCUUCUCCCUCCACCCUCAAUUAUUUUCUCUGCAUUUUUUUUAUAAGUAAUAAAUGAUGUCACUUAAUAUGAGGGAUUUGUUUUCUUAUUUCCAGAAAUAACUACUAUAUAACACAAUAUAUUGUUUGGGGUAUUUAUGUCUAUUUACUUAGUAUUUUUAUUAACUAAUAUUAUGUUUUUUUGGUUAAGGGACCUAUAGCUAUAAUCAUCUAAUAAAUUGGACUCCCACCUAUAUAGUUGGGGAUGAGGGGAGUCUAACUAAUUAUCCCAUAAAAGUAAGGUUGCUCCUGAUAAACCCUAGGAAGUUUUUUCCUCUCAUUUGAUAGUUAAAUUGUAAUUUAUUUAAUUAAUUAUUAUUUUUUUUUAUUUUAUAUCAUCAAGUUUAAUAAUCCAUUAAUUAUCCAGAUUUUUUGUUCCCAAAUCUACGUAUUUUUUCCCACUAAAAUUAUCAUUUUACUUAAUAUUAUUUUUAUGGAAAUAUUAUUUAAUAAUUUAGAAAAUAUUUAGUUCUUAUCUUAUAGUAUUAAUAAAAAUAAGGGUUAAUGGGGCGUAACACCCUCAUUAGCAAAAAUAUUAGAACUAGGUACCAAGAUUUUUUUUAAUAUGGUGCAACCCCCUCCAUUUUACGUAUCCCAAUACUAUCCCUACAUUUUUCUUUUGAACUAGACCCCCCUCCCUUUAAAUAAGACCGGUCAACUAAUUCUCUCUCUCUCUCUCUCUCUCUCUCUCUCUCUCUCUCUCUCUCUCUCUCUCUCUCUCUCUCUCUCUCUCUCUCUCUCUCUCUCUCUCUCUCGUCUUUAAUUAUUUUAAUCCUUUUAAAUAUAUUUCGAUCUUUUUAUACUUUUACCUUUUUUUUUUGGAAAGAUCUACGAAAUAUUAGUAAACAACUAAAUUAAUGAAUUUAACUACAGACUUUAGUAGUCAACUAUAAUAUUCUACUAGUUUGCUAUAAAAUUGUGUCGGUCAAUACAAAAUAGUGAAAGUUAACUAUGAAAGUUUAAUAGUUAGUUAUAUAUUGUGAUAGUUAACUACUAAAUUAUAGUAGUCAAUAAUCAUUUAUAUACCAUAAUUUUAAGACCAAAACUCAUCACCCUCAAAUUAUUCAACCAUCGACAAGUAAUUCCAACACUUUCACAAUUACGUCCAAAGUCCCAAACGAUCUCAACUAUAUUAUUCUUCUAGUUUGCUAUAAAUUUGUGUCAGUCAACUACAAAAUAGUGAAAGUUAACUAUGAAAUUUUAAUAGUUAGCUAUAAAUUGUGAUAGUUAACUACUAAUUUAUAGUAGUCAGUGGUCAUUUCUGUACCAUAAUUUUAUGACCAAAAUUCACCACCGUAAAAUUAUUUAUCCAUCGGUAAGUAAUUCCAACACUUUCACAAUUACGCCCAAAGUCCCAAAUAAUCUCAAUAGUCUGAAGCAUAUGGAUACCUCCUAAAAAACAAAUUUCCACAAUACAAUUAUCACUAGCCGUAAUUUUCGUUGAAAAUUAGAACUGAGCCAAUGAAAUGAGCAUAAGGAUCCAAGACAAUAAUGCAAGACUCUAGUGGCAGAGAUUUUUGAGUUAGAAAAUCAGUGACGGGGGUGCGUUAAGAAAGAGCGGUGGCAAAUGCUGCUUCGUCAGAAAACAGAUCUGAAUAUUUCAUUGUUACUAGACUGGGUGAAACAAUGGUAGCCAUGAAGAUGCGUCGGCUAUGGAUCCGUCAAUUUUGGUAGAGAAGAUAUAUAAGUCGAUUUUAGUAGAGAAGAGAGAAAGAGCGAAUGAUUCGAGAGAAAGAAAAGAAAAGAGAAUAGAAAGAGACGUAUCAGGGAAGAGAGAGAGGGAGAGAGAAAGUGAAUGAGAGAAAGAGGAAAAAAUAGAAACGUAAAAAAUAUAAAAAGAGGGGGGAGGAGAGAGAAAGAAAUGGACAGUUGAGAAGAGAGAGAAAGAGUAGGAGAAGAGAGAACAAAAUUGGAAUAAUAAACACAUGAGGGGGGUCUCACAAUUCCUACUGUUAAUUUUAGAUUUCUCUACAAAUAGUGAAUAUUAUAAUGGGCAUGUACUCUAUUAUUUUGUGUAUUGAGUGUGUUAUUCCUCAUUUUCCCUAAAAAUAAUGUUGCUCCUGGUAAGUCCUAGGAAAUUCUUCCUGCUCAUUUGAUAGUUACAAUUGCCAUUUAUUUAUUUAGUUAAGGUUUAUUUCAUUUAUAUAAUCAAGUGUAAUAUAUCCGUUAAGUACCUCAUGUUUUGGCCUUACUAUUAGAGUAGGUGACCAACAAGCCAACUUGUGGCUGUGGUCUUUCCAUUUAUUCUUCUAAUAAAUAAUCAUUUUUUGUAUUAAUGAUAAAACACCUUGGCAUUUUAUAUCUUUGUCCUUUGGUCAAACAUAGAUGUAUUCCUUACAGUUAUUACAAGCACUUGUAAUUGAUCUUUUAGGAUCGUGACAUAUUUACUUAAGUAUUAUAACUGUUAAAUGUGUUCCUAGUUGAAGGGUUACGCCACCAAUGAAGAUAUCGACAUUUCCCAUUAAGAGACUAGCACUUAGUGUAUGUGUAUUGCGUCUCAUCAGUAAACGGUAUUGUGAUAUCGGCAUGCAUAAGUGGGUGCUCGUAAGUUGCCGAGUUCACUGAAUUCCCUCACCCUAGAAAUAUCUAUGUGGUUCUCAAUAAUCGAGUAGAGAUAUCUAUGGUAUAGUUGUACACCAUUAGUCCUUAAGACCUAGACAUCACCUUGACUUCACUAGAGGACCAGCUGUAUCGUGACCUGGCCCUGAGUUUCAUCAAGGACCGCCCCAAGGGCCAGUGUUCGUGCAGUCCGAAAUCUAGUGGGAGGUCUGUGCAUUGUAUUCGGGGAUUCGAUCGCUAGAAUAGUCUUGGAUGUCCUUUGUGUUCUCAUAGUUUGUAAUCUUUAAGUCUCUGGCCAGAGCUGACUAAGUGAUGAUUAGGGAAUUCGAUUCCCUAAGUCAUGCACGUACCGAUUACAACACUUAGAACGAUCGCACAGUUAUUGAACUACUAAGGAGGUCUCGAUGAACCAAUUCCUCUAGUCAAUCGGGACAUAUGAAUCGAAGGGAUCGUAAUAUAUGUUAACUAUAUCAAAAGGUUCUUGCAGGCACUUCAUUUGUAUCAAGGGAAUCAUGACGCGUAGUUGCUAGACGCCAAUCUUGAUUCGUUGGGUGAUUAAGUUUAAACUAGCUUCAUCUUAAUCGUAAUUCUAGGGAUGAGUUUGAACCACAAAGGAUUGUGGACCCACGGCUAGCUUACAACUGAACCAUCGAGGGUCACACUGCUCGUGUACUCGAGUUCUUUGAAUAAACGGUCAAAGAUAAAAAUGUUUAAUCAUUGCAUGAUUGGAAGUCAAUGUGAUUGAGUCCAACAUUCGUAAUUUGGAAUUAUGAGUGAGAAUAAGAAAAGGAAAAGAACUAGGCGAACAUCUUAGUGAACUUUCUAAAUUGGGAAGUUUCCAAAUUUAAAAGGUCCACUGAAUUAGGGUUUCCACUUUUGGAAAUUGGAAAUCUUGAAUUUGCACUCGUAAUGACGAGGACGUUUCAAUGAUUCUGAAAAUGUAAUCGUUAUAAUUUUCUGAUCAUUGAGUUGUGAGAAACGAGUGAGUAAAGACUAACGAACUUAAGCUGUUGGGCCCGGUUCAACUUAAGCUCGUUAGGGCUUUUAGGCAAGACACUAUAAAUACAUGAUUUAUAGGUCUUGCACAAAACACAACACACAAUAUAAAACCCUAGCCGCUCUCUCACAACCCUCAGCCGAUUCUCCACCUCCGCCGUUGUCGUCGUCGUCGCCGCAAUGGGCCUCACGCGCCAAUUACUAUUGGUAGUUUCUUUCCUAUGUCUUUUUCUUCUGUAUAUUCUCACUUUUGCGUGUCUAGUGCCACGUACCUAGUAGAUCUGAGUAUACGAGGUGAAAUCCGAGAGGAGGAAGACCAAGGAGUCGAAUUACCGAGAAGCCAUCACCGAAGCACCGCCGCACGCGCCCCCACGCGUCGCCUGAAGACCGCGCGUGGAUCUCACGCGCCGCCGUCGUUGAGCGUGUCCGUCGCCGCUGUACUGCCGUUGCUCCUCCCGACUGAACGGAUUGGUUUCCAUGGCAGUUUGCUUCAAUCCGAGAGUUUGCCUCACGCUUCAAGAGGUAUUUUUCGGAUCCGUUUUAAUUAGGUAUUAAUUUAAUUAGAUUAAAUUAUACGUUUAUAUUCGCAGUUGAAUUUUCGUGGAUUGCUAUAUGUAAUUGUUUGUAUGAAUUCAUGAUUUACUGCGAGCAUGCUAUAUGAUUUACUAUCGAAUUAAUUAUACGCAUGUUGUUCUUAAAUUUCGCUGGAAGCGUUAAGGUACGUAAUUAAUUGCUUAAUAUGAGUCGAGCAUGUGUUUAUGUGAAUUAAAUUAUUUAUUUCAUAUAAAAUUUUUGUUUUCCGCUGCGUACACGUGCCUGAUUCCCAACACUUACAUCUACGUAUCUUUUCCCACUAAAAUUAUCGUUUUACUUAAUAAUAAUUUUAUGGGAACUUUUUUUUUAAUUAUUUAUAAAAAUAUUUGGUUCUUAUAUUAUAUUAUUAAAUUGCUCCUGGUAAACCCUUGCGAUUUAAUGGUAUCAUUGAUUUACAGUUUACUGAGGCUUACUAUGGGUGAUAAAGAAGAAAAUUCGUCAGUCUUCUACCUUAACUGAAAUAAGAUAAAUAUACAGUCCUAUUAUAUCAAAAACAUAAAGUUAAAUUAAUAAGUAUGGCAAAAACAGUUUAUGGAUGAAGGAUUAACAUCAGUACACAUAACAAACAUCAAAAUAAACUGAAAACUCAAUUUUGUUGUUUAAAUUGAACUUUACUUUGUAUUAAUUUUACACAAAUCUUGUGUGUAUUAUAAAUAAAGGAAAAAUUAAUGUAUAUGAUACAAUUACUCCUACCUUUAAACCCAAUUCCUAAUUGCAACCCUAAUUAAAUUUCAAUUUAAAUUUUGACCACAAAAAUCCAAUUUUGACUUUUCUUUUUUAACUUUUUGUUUCUGAAAUAUUUUUUUUUGCAGCCGGUCUCCGGCGUUGACUUUUUUUUUCUUUUUUUUUUUUUCUCUUUUUCUAUAUACUUUUUCCGCCGCCGGUUUCUGGCGUUCAAUUUUAUUGGGAUUUUUUUUCCCCUAAAACUUUUAUCCGUUUUUUUACGUCCGCCGCUGAACGUUGACUGUAAUCGUACGGGCAUUAAUAAUAAUUAUACUAUCGUUGACAGUACAUUUACGUAAUUGUACUGUCUUUGACGGUACAAUUACGGCCAACCACAACAACAUUGUUAUUUUUUGGUCUUUUUUACAUUGUUUGAUUUAUUGAUAAGUCAACAUAAUUAUAUUACUGUCGUUAAAGGUAUAAUUACUAUAACCACAAUAAUAUUACUGUUAACCACAUCAAUAUUAAUUUUUUUUGCCUUUAUUGUUUUGUUUGAUUUGUUGACCGAUUAAAGUAUCACAAUAAUAUUAUUGUGGUUGACUGUAAUAUUAUUGUUGUUACAGUAAUAUUACUCUCAACCACAUCAAUAUUACUUCUUUUAUUUUUUUAUUAUGUUUGACUUUGUUGAACGGUCAACAUAUUAAUAUUACUAAAAACUAUUACAAAAUAAUAGUGAUUUUUUUGGUGUUAAUAUUACUUUGCUAGAGAGUAAUAUAUCAAUAUUACUGUUUUAAACUGUAGUAUAGGUAAUAUUACUGUGUUAAACAGUAAUAUAGUUAAUACGAAUGUCAACCACAACAAUAUUAAUGUUUAAACGGGGCAACAGGAUGUUAAAGAAAAACAAAAUCAACGUCGGAGAGCGGUUGAAAAAUCAGGAGAAAAGAAAAAAAGUUAAAAAAGUCAACGCCCAUCCGGCGGGAAAAUAAGGAGAAAAGAAAAAAAAUACGGUCAACGGCGGCGAUGGGAGAAACUCAAAAUUGAGUUUUGGGUCAAAAUUGAGUUUUUGGUCAAGAUUGAAUAAUUUGUGAAUUUUUUGGUCAAACUGAGGUUAAAUUAAAUUAAAUGAUGAAAUUGAAGCAUAUUAAAAUGAGAGGGGGUAUUUUAGUCAUUUAAUACAUCUCUGGACAAUGUGUGGAUUUUUUUGUAAAAAAAGUUUUUUGUAUGAACUCCUUUAUGAAUGAGUAUGCCAUGAUAAGCUUAUUUGUAAUCAACCCAAUAAUAUAAUCAUUUUUAUUUGCACUUUAUGCAUGUUAGGGAAAUUGUAAAAAAAACCCUGAAGUAAGGCCUAAUUAUGAAAAUACACCCCAUGUUUGGGUAAUUACGAAAAGGGUAAAUUACAUCCACACCCCCGAGGUAUGCUUAAAUAACUUUAAGGUCACUGUGGUAUCGAUAAUUACACUCACCCCCUAAAACAUAGUUAGAAGAUCUAAUGAGAUAAUGCAUUGGAUAUGUUAUUCCGAUAGAAUUCUAAUGGACUAUUAGUUUCAGGAAGUGAUGGAGACAACAAAGAGCCAUGUCACCCCCUAACUCCAUGUUGUCUCCACCACUAGCUAAAAGUAAUAGUCCGUUAGAACUCUAACGGAAUAACGUAUCCAAUACAUUAUCCCAUUAGAGUUUCUAAUUAUGUUUCCGGGGUAAGUGUAAUUAUCGAUAGCACAGGGACCUUAAAAUUAUUUAAGCAUACCUCAUGGGUGUGGGUGUAAUUUACCCUUACGAAAAACCACAUGAGAUACGUUGUUGUCCUAGACAGUCCCCCAUACGACAUUAAUCUUGAUGGAAUCUUUUUGGUUCCAUGAAAUAUCCCUCCGAUACUACUACUUAAGGACCAAAUCACCCGCAUUGGUCAUUGUAAGAAUAUUAUUUACUUACGGUAUAAAUUGUAAAAACAUAUAUUGUAACAUUGAAAGUUAUUAAUUGUUUUGUUAAUUUUUUCGCUUACAUUUUUAAAAUUUUUUAGACGAUAAAAUCGAUUUUGCAAAAAUUAUAUAUCAAAUAUAUAAACCAUUGAAACUUCAUUUCCGAGAUAUAAAAUAAUUUAUGUGGAAUAUUCGUACUUUACUAAUUAAGUUAAUCAUGCUAAAAAUUUACAUAUAUUCAUAUAUGAUGUUAGGUGGUGAGCUUGAAAAGGAGAAGUUCAGGUUGGGGCUGCGAGGAAAGAAGGGAAACUGGAGAUGACGAAGAUGGUGAUAAGGAUGAAUAUGAGUGGUGGUAAAAAAGGAGAAAAAAAUGAUUUGACAAUUUUGCCCCUGUAAAAUCACGUGCUCCAAAUAAUGGUGUUUGGGGGGCAACAUGCAACUUUUUUUAGUUUGGGGGUAAUGUGCAAAACGAGUCGAAGUUCAGGGGGAAAAUGCCACUAACCCUAAUUUAAUUAACAAAUAUUGUAGCAUUUCACCAUGGUUAUAACAGUAAAUUAAAUUAUUCAGAUAUUACUGAUCUCAUUUGGUAAACUACCAAAUGAGCUUAAUGGUUCAUCAUUCACUAUUCAUCAUUCAGGGAUUAUUCGUAUCAAACAUAGCUUAAAUUGGUAGUUUCUUCAGAUUAUAUUUUCUUAUGGAUGUUUGUCCAACUCGAGAGUGCAUUAGAGCUCAACAUGGAGAAUCGACUUAAAACUGACUUCGUACUCGUACAAUUUGAAUAAGGAUGAGUACUUCAAAUAUUUAUAAUGAGAUCAUAACUGUGUAACACAAUCAGUGGCGAGGCCAGAAAUAGUUGUGAGGGGGGCUUAAACAUAUCGGGGGUUCGCUAUCAAAGAAAUUUAAGAUAAAAAUUUGAUAUGGAAUUUUUUUCCUUCAUUUUCAGAAGAUAAUACGAAAGCGAAUCGCGAAAGUUAAAUUGCUAUAAAAAUCUAAAAACAUGAAUAUCAAGUCGAUUAUGAAAUUUACCAAAUGGACUUUUAAUUAAUCUUCAUUAUGAAAAUUAAGAUGAAAGAAAAGAUGCCAAACGUUAAUUGAUCGCCGGUAUGAGUUCGAUCGGCAGUGGGUAGCAAUUUAACCGCCAUUAGUGCAACUAUGCAAUAGAACAAAGUUUUUUUUAUAGUGAGGUCAUAACUGUGUAACACAAUAUGCGAUCAAAUAUAAAGUAGUUUAGAAUGAUUGUAUCUAAAACAAUCAGACCACUCGAGUUGAAGUUUGAUUUCCCCACAAUCGAUAUUAUUCGGUCUCAGGCGUAUAUCCUGCAUUACUGCCUCGUCUUUCCAAACAACGGAUCUCUCUUCACAAUAUGAGAAACCGUGGUCCCCUAAGUUCUCUUUUGGGUUUUAAGAGCUUAAUCAUUAAAUAGCUUUCUUGUGUUGCUGAUAUUAAGUUCUCGUGUUGUGAUGAAAGAUAUUAAUCCUGAAUGGGAUAAGAAACUCAGAAUUCGUGUUACAAAUUGUAGUCAUUCAAUUUCUCUAGUGAGGUUCUUUAAUUUACAAUAUAUAAAAGAAAAUCUGAUUAUAACAUGUUCUACAAUAUAUUUCUUUGAGUUAAAAAUGUGAAAUUCAGUGUACAAUGAGUUCAAUGUGCAUUUAUUAUUAUAGAUUGGAAAUUUUUAGGCCCAAUGUAUGCUGAUUCAUAGUGUAUCUAUGGUUGUAGCAUUGCAUAACCACACCAAUUAAUGGAUACUAGACCGUUUGUAGAAGCCGUGAAAUUGAAUCCAAAUGGCCUUCCAAAUUGUUCAGUAAGCACACGAGUAGUGUCUUCGAUAUCCAAUUGCCUUACCAAAGAGAGUUCCGUUUUCUGGGAAAACGGGACAGUAAAACAGGACAUGUGCCUGAGAGUGAAAAAUGUUGAAUGUGGAGAAAUCGAACUUCAACUCGAGUGGAUUAAUAAAUUUAAACAAUGGCGGACUCGAAAUACAACUCGGGCGGUGGAUUGAAGUUCGUGCUUACACUAAUUUACGGGUGUGAUUGGAUCAAGGAAAACGAAAACAGUGAAUGCUAUGUAAAAUACUUAUUUAUGGGAAAAUUGCACACCACCCCCUUAUAUUUCUAAUUUUUGCACUUUACCCCUUCAAUUUUUUUGAACCUCCUUCAAAAUGUUAUUCUUAUUGCACAUUGCCUCGAUAGCGAAAUUCCGAUCGAUUAAUCAUCGGAAUUGAUUGUUGCACGUUGUCCCUAUGUUAUUUUUGUUGCACGACCCCCUGUAAAAUGUUAUUUAUGUUGCACAGUGCGCUCAAAAAAAUGGCUUAUGGGACAAAGUGCAACCAAAAUAAUAUUUCAAAUGGGGAUUAUCCCUUUCCUGAAUUUUUAGGGCAGAAAGUGUGAAAAUGGGAAGUUUAUAGGGGUCGAAGUGCAUUUUAUCCUCUAUAUAUUUAACAAAUGGGUAAUUUGCAUCCACAUCCCUCAAACUUUGGUCUUUUGACAAGUACAUCCCAAACGUUUAACCUUUUGGCAUAAUAAUAAGGGUAAAUAGCACUUAACCCUCUUGUGGUUUUGACAUUUUGCACAUGACCCCCAUAUGGUAUGAAAUUAGGCACAUAACCCCCUUAUGGUUUUGACAUUUUGCACAGACCCCCUUAUGGUAUGAAAUUAGGCACAUAACCCCCUUGUGGUUUUGGAAUUUUGCACAUGACCCCCUUAUGGUAUGAAAUUAGCACAUAACCCCUUGAAUAGAAAACUGAAAAAGACUAAAUUACCCCUAUCAAGUCAAAAAUUCUUGUUUUAAUUUAAAAAUAAUUAUUCUAUAAAAUGAAAAGCUUAAUGUAUUUUUUUGUAAGAUGAGAAAUAUAAUAUAUUAUUGUGUUUUUUUAAUUUUACAGCACAAAAGUUAUAUAAUUCUAGUUAUUGUACGAUUGACAAUUUAUUCGAUUUUAAAUUUCAGUUUGAAAAUCUUUAACAUUAUCAUUAAUUAUGAUAAUUGUAUUACUAUUUUCUAUAUAAUAUAUUAUAAUAUAGUUGUUAUCGAACUUUAAAAUUUUUAAGAAACAAAGUUUUUAUUUAUUUUUUAUUCUUUUGGAAAAAUCUAAAAAAACAUUUCUCUAAAGUUGAAAUGAAAAUUAAAUAUAUAUAUAUAUAUAUAUAUAUAUUGUAGCACCCCCCUUCUAGUCGGACGAUAAAUCGAACCGGUUUAUCGGAAUAUUUAUUAAACUAGCGGAAGCAAAGGAUCUCUUUGUAAUUUUUAAAACUUUGAAGAUGGGACCAAAAUGCAAAUAUUAAAACUUUGCAUUUUUUCGAAAACUUUCUUAUAAGGUGACUUUAGCCGAAUAAAGGUUUCGUUUGGAAAUAAGUUUCGAGGGGAGGUUUUUCGUUCGAGUGCUACAGUAUCACUAUCGGUUUUCGGUUCGAGAAGAAAUCAGAGUUUGGAAAGGUUAUUUUGGUGAGUAGUUCGGAAAUUACUAAUGGAGGCAUGAAAAUAGCAAAAAUUACGAAACGAACUAUUUUAUAAUAGGAGUUAAGUAUGAUUCAUACCGGUAACGAGUUUAGAAGGUACGAAAAGGAAAUAGUUAGGUUUAAUAUUACACUACCAAAAAGAAAAUAACCAAAAGACUUUAGCAUCGUUCAUAGGUCCUCGUACAACUUCCAACAAAAACCCGGGCAAGACCUCGAUCCGCUACUCGACCCAUCCCGGUUGAGGAUUACUAGCACUACUACCUGCAAUUAAAAGACAUCUAUAUGAGCUAUAAAGCUCAGUAAGAAAUCCGAUGAAAUAUCGAACUUUGAAAAUACAUUAUACAUAAUAUAUAAUAUUAUAUACCCAUUCUUACCCACGUUCCAUACAACAACACAAGACAAUCGAUAAAAUCACAUAACUCACGAAAACACAUCAUUCACACAAAAUCACGUACUUAUGCAAAAUGACUAAAAUGCCCUUUUUAUGAAAAUCAUGAAUAACACAUUCUUCGUUUUAUCGGAUCCGUGAAAGAUUAAUUUAUGUACCUAAGUAAUAAACCUGUUACGAGCCCGUUUUCACUAAGUGGAAUCAAACCACAACACACAUCAUCCUAGUUGGAUACCGGCCCUCUAUAUCCGAGUUGUUUAUUACUCGAUAUUCCAUAAAUCUUUCAAUUUGAAAACCAUUUAACGCAAUUUUUUGAAAUCAUGCGUAUGACCCACACAUAACAUCACAAAUAUCAAUCAAGUGCCACCAAAUCACACAAAUAUCACAAUUCACCACAUAUUUAUAAUUUGGGCAAAAAUCCCCAAAUUCACACAUAUAAACACACAACCACACACGGCACACACCACAUGCACAAUCAGCACACACACACUCACACAUAUUCAGCACACACACAUGCAGCCAACACAUUAAACAUCACCAUUUAACAUUAAACCAUGCUUGAAAAGCAAGCACCCUUUUUCACCUUUCAUUUAAUGAACUUAUUACCACAUCUAGGUAAUAAUCCAUUCCAAUAAAUUCCAGCUGUAAUAAACACAUCCAUGCAGCCAUUUAAGGUACAAAACCCCAAAUCUCAUCACUCAUAGUCAUUAAAUCAAAGACAUAAACAUAAAAGCACAAAACAUAAUAAAUGACAUGCAAAUUGUCCUAAUUUCGAAAUAAUAGCAAACUAAUUCCAAAAAUUCCCAAAUUAAAUCCUAGAACUCCUAACUGAUCCAAAAUGCAGAUUCUGAAAUUAUUUUAAAUUUUCACAAAGUCUCGAAUUUUCUUGAAAUUAAAAACUAGAAAAAACCCCUUUUUAAUUUAAAAAUCCAAAACUCUAAUAUAACUCUAAUUAUUUUGAAAACCUUUGUAAAGAAAACUUUUCCCCAUUUAAUACUUGCUGGAAAACAGAUUCAAACUUAAGAAAUGAGAGAUUUUUCGGAAAUUGCAGUUUUGACCCCAAAGUUCCAAGAUUUACACAUGCAACCACACUAAAAGUUCAAAAUCCACUUUUUCAUGAAAAAACUCCUAACCAUCUGAAAUUUUACUUUAAUAGAUGCAGAAAACCAAGUUAAAAAGUUACUUUAUGCAGAAAUUUCGAAAUUUCAUAUUUUACCCCAAAAUCUCUAGAUCUAUACAUGCAAGACCACUAGAAGUUCAAAAAUCACUUUUUUUCUUGCAAAACUUCUUGAAAUCCGAAAUUUUUAUUCAAUAAAUGCUGGAAAACAGUUUUGAAAACACAUUUAGGACUGACUUCUCAAAAAUUACAGAUUUGACCCAAACUUCUUAAGAUCUACACAUGCAACCCCAUAAAAGUUCAAUAAUUCAUUUUUCUUGAAACCCCUUUUUGAAAUCCGAAAUUUUCAAAGCUUUUGACCAAUAAAACUUGUAUCUACCCACUACCAACAUGGAUGAUGCAUGCAAGAACAAGAAAUCAACAUUAAACACCUCUUUUCCAUUUUUCCCCAAAAAGCCCUAAAUUUUCGAACUCACUCCCAAUCUUUUAGAAAAUUUUGAAAACCAUUUUAGUACUAUUGAUGCCAUUUAAUUGCAGCAAGAAAUCGGAAUUUCUUACCUUAAAAUCGAAGAGAAGAAAAAAACCGAAGGAAGAGAGGCUUCAAGCACCAAAAUCUAACCAAGCUACUUUGAUUGUGAAUGAAAUGGUGUGAGCUUCAAGGAGGGAUGAGUUAUUAUCUCCCGUAAGGAGGCAAGUAGUUUUAAUGGUGUUUUUGGAGUAAUCUAUAGCAAGGGUUAAAUAGGGGACCUUCAUUUUUAUUUUUGAUUUUCUUGAAAAUAUGGAGGUGAGGUGGAAGAAGGAGAAGGCCGAUGGUGGUGGUGAUGGCUUCGGUGGAGAGAGGAGGAGGAGACAAGUAAAUGGCUAGGUGUUGGAAGGAAAAAGAUGAAGGGUGUCUCUUCAUCUUACUAAGUAGGGUGGAGUGUAGGAUUAGUGAAAAUGAUUAGCAUUUUGCCAAGUGUAAAGGCAUGCACAAUUUAUCACUAAUUUAUUUAUUUAAAAUAAACACAACUUGCAUAACAACACACACACACCAUCCGGACACACACACACACACACAUAUAUAUAUAUAUACCAUGUAAAUAUACUCAAAUAUAAAAUGCAAGUAUUAGUAUAUAUGUAUGUAUACGCACGUAUGAAAAUGUAUAUACGUAUGCAUGUAGCUAUGUAUGCAUGUAUGUAUGUGUAUGUAUGUACGUAUAUAUAAUCACAAUAUAAUUCACAUAAGUCACGUAAUUCACGAAAUUCCUAGAAUUUCAAUUUAUGGGAAUUUAAAUCAUAUAAAUCACACACACACACACACACACACACACAUAUAUAUAUAUAUAUAUAUAUUCCCGAAAAUAAAUAUCACGAAAUCACCAUAUUAAAUAGCGCAUGUAAUUAUUCACGUAAGUCACGUAAUAUCAUGUAAUAAUAUUACCUACGGAUUCUCGAGAUAGGAAUAUUAUUCUCGGGUUUUAGGGUUUUCGGGUUUUGGAAAGGUGGGGUGUUAUAUAUAUAUAUAUAUAUAUGUGUGUGUGUGUGUGUGUGUGUGUGUGUGUGUGUGUGUGUGUGUGUGUGUGUGCGCGCGCGCGCUGUAAAAUAGAAAAAACACAAUAAUAUAUUAUAUUUUGUUGUAAAUAAUAUGGUUGUGGGGUUUCCUAACAUAACCACCCAACUCCCCACUAGAUCACUACCCUACCCCAUGUCUUUUCAUUUGUGUUAAUGGUAGAAUAACUUCCUUUGUAACUUCUCUUGUAACUCCCGGUGGUUUUUCACCUAUAUAAUGGAAUUCUCCCUCCCCCAAUAACACACGCUUAUUAAUCUCUCUACGAAUUUUUUCUUUGUAUUCUCUCUCUAUAUUAUAUUAUUGUUGUCAUACUUUAUUUUCCACAAAUCAUCAAACCGAAGAGCAAUACCAUUAGGGCGAUUUACAACACGUUAUCUGCACGAAUUGCUCGCAGUGAUCGUGGAAGAACAAUUGUCGUGGGGCUAGAAUACUUCGAGAAAUUGUGAGCGUGGUUCGUUUGUGAGACGGUGACCUACUUUCGUAGAACGUAUAAUCUUCUCUGUAGUAUCUGAAUUUUAUCAAUUUUCAAGUAAGCCUUAACCCCUUGAAAUUCUUUAUUAUAUGAAUGCAUGCUAGAUAAAUUCGAAUUUGCAUGAGAAGUUGUGUAGCAUAUUUAUUUGAUGUCAUUUGAUAUUUGUUUGAAAAUCUCGGUUGAUGUUUCGAGUACUUUAUGAUUCAUGAAUAGAUUGUUGUAUGAGUUGUACUUUGUUGGUGAAUGAAGAUAAGAAGUUUAUGAAUUAAUCUAUUUGUCAAGAUGAGUAAUAUGUAAUAUUCUUGUAGAAUGAUUUCACUAUGAAUAUUUUGCGUACAUGUUUGGACAUUUAAUGAUGUGCUUUUUUUGUCACUAAUAUCCCCAACCCAAUCAGAAUCACUAAAACCUAUCAAAUUAGUAUUAGUGUCUUUGAAAAACUGAAUACCUAAGUCUACUGUACCUGCAACAUACCUAAUAAUCCUCUUCACAACUUUUAGAUGAGUGACUUUGGGAUUAGCUUGGUACCUGGCACACACACAAACACUAAACAUAAUGUCAGGUCUGCUUGCAGUUAGAUACAGAAGGCUUCCAAUCAUGCUUCUGUAUAGGGUGCUGUCAACAUCCUCAGCAACAUCGUCCUUGGAGAGUUUUUGACCUGAUCCCAUUGGAGUUUUCAUGUGCUUGGCUGACUCCAACUCAAACCUCUUGACCAGAUUGAGAGCAUACUUCUUUUGAUUUACAAAAAUUCCUUCACCUGUCUGUUUAAUUUGGAGUCCUAGGAAGUAAUUCAACUCUCCUAACAUGCUCAUUUCAAAAGUGCAAGACAUAUAAUCUACAAAAGACUGUAAAAGGUUAGCACAAGUAGAACCAAAAACAAUAUCAUCAACAUAUAUCUGUACAAUAAUGAUAUGGUUAUUUGUUCUUUUAACAAAUAGAGUUCGGUCUGCCUCUCCUCUGGUAAACUGUAUCUCAAGUAAGAAGUCAGUUAGUCUUUGAUACCAAGCUCUAGGAGCUUGUUUAAGACCAUACAAAGCCUUCUUAUGUUUGAACACAUGAUUAGGCUUGGCAGAAUCUUCAAAACCCUUGGGCUGCUCUACAUAUGCUUCUUCAUUUAAGACACCAUUUAGAAAUGCACUUUUGAUAUCCAUUUGAUACAGUUUGAUUUUAAGAAAACAGGCUAUAGCAAGAAGUAACCUAAUAGAUUCAAUUCUAGCUACUGGAGCAAAUGUCUCAUCAAAAUCUAUACCUUCUAUCUGAGUGUAACCUUGUGCUACUAACCUAGCCUUAUUUCUAACAACUGUAGCUUUUUCAUCAGUUUUGUUCUUGAAGAUCCACUUAGUUCCUAUCACAUUAACAUGACUUGGUCUAGGAACUAAGUACAAAGCAUCAUUCCUGAUGAACUGAUUCAGUUCUUCAUGCAUUGCAUUGAUCCAAAACUUAUACUUCAGUGCUUCUGCAAUAUUCUUUGGUUCAACCGGAGAUACAAAACAAGUAGGUCCAGUUAGUGCACAUUCAGAAGAUAAAUUUGCAAAUCUUACCAUAUCUCUGUAAUUCACCCUCUCUUUUCUUCUGGUCCUUAUCCCAUCAAAGAUAUCUCCCACAACUUGAGUAGAGGGGUGAUUUUUCUGGAUUCUACUGGAUGGUUCCUUUCUGCAGACAUCAUGAGUUGGUUGUGUUUCAGCUUCUGUGUUCUCCGUAGGAAGUAUUGACUCAGAUGUGGUAACACUUGGCUCAACACCCUCUUCUCUUGACACUGGAAUGUGUAUAUCUGGAGCACCUGUGGCAGUAGUGUCUCCUCCGGCUGUUUCUUCUUCAGCAAUCAGGUCAUCAACUUCAUCUUCAGCUGUUUUACUGCGGAGAUCAGCAAAAUCAUCAAAUACCACAUUUACAGAUUCAAUAAUGGUUCGAGUUCUUAAGUUAUAUACUCUAUAUGCAUGACUGUUAUUAGAGUAUCCCACAAAUAAACUCAAAUCACUUUUUGAAUCAAAUUUAGCUAGAUGAUCUCCGUCAUUUAGGACAUAGCAAACACAUCCAAACACAUUCAUGUAUUCUAGAUUAGGUUUCUUACCAUAAAGAAUUUCAUAUGAAGUCAUCAUAGACCCUAAUCUUAGAUACACACGAUUUGAGAUGUGACAGGCUGUAUUGACAGCCUCAGCCCAAAACAUUUUAGACAUAUUUUUUGCACUUAUCAUUACCCUAGCCAUCUCCUGGAUAGUUCUGUUAUUUCUUUCAGCAAUACCAUUUUGCUGAGGAGUUUUUGGAGCAGAAAAUUCAUGCUUUAUGCCAUUUUUAUUACAAAAAGUAUAAAAUAAAGCAUUUUCAAAUUAUUUUCCAUGAUCAGACCUUAUUCUUCGAAUAGAAACUUGAAAUUGAGUUCUAACAAACCUGUACAAAUUUCUGAAAACUUCAAAAGUAUCAGAUUUUUCUCUUAAGAAAUACACCCAAGUAUAUCUCGAAAAAUCAUCAACACACACAAAUACAUAUUUUUUACCACCUAGACUUUCUACCUCUAUAGGACCCAUAAGGUCCAUAUGUACAAGUUCAAAACAAAUGGUGGUCCCAACGUGUUGUAACACUUUGUGUGGUACUCUAGUUUGCUUUCCCUUCUGGCACAUUCCGCAUAUAGGGACGUCCUUGAUCUUGAGAUCUGGAAUUCCUCUUAUGGCAUUGUACUUGUUGAGCAGCUUCAGAUUUUUGAAGUUUGUGUGCCCUAGUUUCUGGUGCCACAGCUCUACUUCACUUACUCUUGAGCUCUUGCAUGAGAUGGUGUCACCUGUUUGAUAACAAUUGUCCAUAGACCUGGAACCUGUUAGUACACAAUGAUUUUGAUUAUCAAACACAGAACAUCAGUACUUAUCAAAUUGAACACGUAGAUCAUCAUCACACAAUUGACUAAUACUGGUGAGAUUUGAUCCCAAUCCUUCAACAUGUAAGACAUUUGAAAGUUUUGGAAGUCCCUCAAUGUUGAGUGUUCCACGUCCAACCACUUUGCCUUAGCUCCUCCUCCAUAGGUUACACGUCCACCAUUGAGUGUAUGGUAGUUUGAUAGAAACUCUUUAGUUCUAGUCAUGUGCCUAGAGCAUCCACUAUAAAAGUACCAUGAACCUGAAAUGUUAGCAUUUAAAGACGUGUAUACUGCUUUGCACAUAAGUUUACAUUUGGGAGUCCAUAUUCUACACUCAUUUUUGGUAAACUCUACCUUUUUCUUGGAGGUGUUCCCUGGAGUGAUGUGACUCAUUCUGUACAACACUUUGUCACUACUUAGUUUUUCACAAAAUGGACGGAUAUGUCUGUUGGGUUUCGGACACGUGUACGCAGCGGAAAACAAAAAAAAUAUGCGAUUUAAACAACUUUAAAGCACAUAAGCACAUGCCCGAUAAAUUAAAUCAAUUAAUUGCGUACCUUUGCGCUUCUAGCGAAAUUAAAAACAACAUACAUGCUAAAUUACUUAAUCGAAAUUAAAUCAACUAGCAUGCUCGCGUUUAAAUCAAAUAACAUGCUCGCAAUAAAAUUAUGAUUUCACAUAAUCACAUAAAAUCAUACGAAAGCAAACAUGAAUACUUAGUUUAAACGUAAACGAAUCGAAACAUGAGAUUCGUGUGUUUACCUCUUGAAGCGUGAGGUAGGAGUGCUCAGCAAGUCGAGAUUGCUACGGAAACCAAUCCGUACAAUCCGGGGCAGCAGCGGUAUGGCGGCAGCAGCGGCGAGACGGCCACGGCGGCGCUUGUAACUCACGCGCGGUCUUCGGGCGGCGCGUGGGGUUGCGUGCGGCUUCGGCUCGUGUGCUGCUCCUCGAUUCUUCGAUCUACGAUCUUCCUCCUCUCGGAUUUCACCUCGUAUACUUUGAUCUACUAAACACGUGGCACUAGACACGUAAUAGUUAGAAAAACGGAAGAAAAAGAGAAGGAAAGAAACUACCAAAGCAAUCGGCCGAUUAACGGCCGAUUCCGGCGAGGUUCCGGCGACGGCGCCGGUGAUGGCCGCGGGAGAGAGGCCGAGAGAGAGAGGUGAGCAGCUAGGGUUUUGAUUAGGUCUUGUGUCUUUGUGCAAGGCCUAUAAAUCAAGUAUUUAUAGUCCCCUGCAUAAAACCCUAACGGGCUUAAGUUGGACCGGGCCCAACAGCUUAAGCUCGUUAGUUCCUUUACUUACUCGUUUCUCUCAAUUCAAUGAUCGGAAAAUUGCUACGAUUACAAUUUCGGAAUCAUUAUAAUAUCCUCGUCAUUACGAGUGCCAACUCUCAAUUUCCAACUUUCCAAAAGUGGAAACCCUAGUUCAGUGCACUUUCUAAAUUUGGAAACUUCCCGAUUUAGAAAGUUCACUAAUACGUUCGCCUAUUCGUUUCCUUUUCUUAUUCUCAUUCAUAAUUCCAAAUCACGAAUGUUGGAUCCAAUCAUAUUGACUUCCAAUCAUGCAAAGAUAAACUAUUUUAUCUCUGACCGUUUAUUCAAAGAUCUCAUGUGCACGAGCAGUGUGACCCUCGAUGGUUCAUGUGUAAGCUAGCCGUGGGCCCACAACCCUUUGUGGUAAAAACUUGUCCCUUAGAGUUACGAUUAAGAUGAAGCUCGUUUCACCUUAAUCACCCAACGAAUCAAGAUUGGCGUCUAGCAACUACGCGUCAUGAUUCCCUAGAUACAAAUGAAGUGCCUGCAAGAACCUUCAGAUAUAGUUAACGUACAGUACGGUCCCUUCGAUACAUAUGUCCCGAUCGAACUAGAGGCAUUGGUUCAUCGAGACCUCUUUAUAUGUUCGAUGACGGUGCGAUCGUUCCAAGUGUUGUAAUCGUCACGUGCAUGACUUAGAGAAUCGAAUUCUCUAAUCAUCACUUAGUCAGCUCUGGCCAGAGACUUAGAAUGAUUACAAACUUUCAGAACACACAGGACAUCCAAGACUAUUCUAGCGAUCGAAUGCCCGACUACAAUGCACAGACCUCCCACUAGAUUUCGGACUGCACGAACACUGGCCCUUGGGAUGGUCCUCGGUGGAACUCAGGGACAGGUCACGAUACAGCUGGUCCUCUAGUGAAGUCACGAUGAUGUCUAGGUCAUAAGGACUAAUGGUGUACAACUAUACCAUAGAUAUCUCUACUCGAUUAUUGGGAACCACUUAGAGAUUUCUAGGGUGAGGGAGUUCAGUGAACUCGUCAAAUUACGAGCACCCACUUAUGCAUGCCGAUAUCACAAUACCGUUUACUGAUGAGAUGCAGUACACAUACACUAAGUGCUAGUCUUAAUGGGAAAGGCCGAUAUCCUCAUUAGUGGCGUAACCCUUCGACUAGGAACACGUUUAACAGUUAUAAUACUUGAGUAAAUAUCUCACGAUCCUAACGAUCAAUUACUAGUACUUGUAAUAACUGUAAGGACUAUAUCUAUGCUUGUGACAAAGGGACAAAGAUAUAGAAUGCCAAGGUGUUUUAUCAUUAAUACGAAUAAAGGUUCGUUUAUUACAAUAAUAAAUACGAAAGAACACAGCCACAUGUUGGCUUGUUGGUCACCUACUCUAACAAUCUCCCACUUGACCUAAAGCCAACUACCCAUAAAUCGCAAUCCCAUCGACUCUCGAUGUUUCUCAUGGACCGAUCUCGGUAAAGGCUUCGUGAAGUGGUCUGCAACGUUCUCUUCCGAGGCGACUCGUUCAACCUUAACUUCACCUCUAUCAAUGAUCUCUUGGAUCACUUGAUACUUCAUCAGAAUAUGCUUCGACUUCUGAUGAGAUUGUGGCUCCUUAGCUUGCGCCACGGCUCCGGUGUUAUCACAGUACAACGGUACUGGAUCACUAGCAUCAGGAAUGACACCCAACUCUUGGAUGAAUUUCCUUAUCCAAGUCCCUUCUUUCGCCGCUUCGGACGCUGCAAUGUAUUCCGCUUCGGUAGUGGAAUCGGCCGUCGUGCUUUGCUUGGAACUCUUCCAACACACGGCACCACCAUUAAGCAUGAAUAUAAAUCCAGAAUUCGACUUUAAGUCGUCCACAUCCGAUUGAAAACUAGAGUCAGUAAAACCCUCUAAUUUCAACUCGGCACCCCCAUAGACCAAAAAUAUAUCCUUAGUUCUUCGCAAGUACUUGAGGAUAUCUUUCACGGAUUUCCAGUGAGCCGGGCCGGGGUUAGACUGAUAUCUGCUUGUGACACUCACAGCAUACGCAAUAUCGGGUCUCGUACAUAGCAUGCCAUACAUUAUGCUUCCUAUGGCAGAAGCAUAAGGCGUCCUUUUCAUCUCCUCGAUUUCACUAGGUGUUUGCGGACACAUAGAUUUCGAGAGACGAACCCCAUGGGACAUUGGCAAGAAUCCCUUCUUGGAUUCUUCCAUGCUAAACCGUUUCAUAAUGGUGUCUAUGUACAGGCUUUGGGAUAAGCCAAGCAUCUUUCUUGCUCUAUAUCUAUAGAUGCGUAUUCCUAAUACAUAAGAUGCUUCUCCCAAAUCCUUCAUUGAGAAACGUGUGGACAACCAUGCUUUCGUUUGUUGCAGCAUUCCUACGUCAUUCCCAAUGAGUAGAAUGUCAUCAACGUAAAGCACUAAAAAUAUCACUGCCCUCCCACUAACCUUCUUGUAUACACAAGGUUCCUCCGGAUUCUUCUCAAAAUCAAACUCUUUGAUAGUUGAGUCGAACCUAAUGUUCCAACUUCGGGAUGCUUGUUUCAAUCCAUAAAUGGAUCGCUGGAGUUUGCAAACCUUUUGCUCACUUCCAGAAGAUAUGAAGCCUUCCGGCUGCGCCAUGUAAAUUUCUUCCUCAAUAUCUCCAUUAAGGAAGGCGGUCUUCACAUCCAUUUGCCAUAUCUCGUAGUCGUACCACGCAGCUAUGGCCAGCAAAAUCCUAAUGGACUUCAGCAUCGCGACUGGCGAAAAGGUUUCCUCAUAGUCAACGCCUUGCCUUUGAGUGUAUCCUUUCGCUACCAAUCUAGCUUUAUAGGUCGAUACCUUUCCAUCAACUCCAAUUUUCUUCUUAUAGAUCCACUUGCAGCCUAUAGGAACAAUUCCUUUGGGUGGAUCUACCAAGGUCCACACCUUGUUAGAGUACAUGGAGUCCAUCUCGGAUUUCAUGGCAGUUAGCCAAUGUCCCAUAUCCGCAUCCGAUACGGCCUCAUUGUAUGUUCUUGGAUCUUGUCCAAGAUCAACAUGAUCUUCAUCAUUUUCGAGGAGGAAUAACCUAUCCGGCAUUUUCCGAACUCUUUCGGAUCUACGUACGGUAGGUUCAGGAGGUGUAUUAGUGGAUUGUUGUAUUGGUUUGAUUACUUGUUCUUGCGCUUGAACUUCACUUUGUGGUUUUUGAACUACUUCAAGUUCUAUCAUGCUGCCCUUUCUAUCGGAUAGAAACUCCCUUUCCAAAAAGGUGGCAUUUCUCGAAACAAACAUCUUUCCUUAUUUGACAUAGAAGAACUCGUAUCCCAUCGAGUCUUCGGGAUACCCCACAAAAUAGCAUAAGUCGGAUUUACUAUCCAACUUAUCUCCCACUAAUCGCUUCACAUAAGCGGGACAACCCCAUAUCCUAAUAUGUUUGUAGUUGGGUUUCCGGGAAUGCCAAAGUUCAUAAGGUGUGGAUUUAACUGCUUUGGUGUUAACUCUAUUCAGCAAAUACGCGGCAGUACGAAGUGCAUGACCCCACAAGUAUGCCGGUAAGUUCGUGAACCCCAUCAUUGAUCGAACCAUAUCUAAUAAAGUUCGAUUCCGACGUUCGGAGACUCCAUUAAGUUGAGGAGUUCCCGGUGGAGUCCAUUGGGAUUGUAUCCCAUUCUCUUUUAGAUAGUCAAUGAACUCGAUGCUCAAGUAUUCUCCACCACGAUCGGAUCGCAGCUUCUUAAUACUUCGUCCGAGUUGUUUUUCCACUUCGUGUCUAAAAUCUUUGAACCUUUCAAAUGUUUCAGACUUGUACUUCAUCAAGUACACAUACCCAUACCUAGAAUAAUCGUCGGUAAAGGUAGCGAAGUAGUUAUAUCCACCCUUCGCACUAACACUUAGUGGACCACAUACAUCUGUAUGGAUCAAAUCCAAAAGACCCUCGGCUCGUUCCAUUUUCCCUUUGUAGGGUGACUUGGUCAUUUUCCCUUUAAGGCAAGAUUCACAAGUUUGUAGUGAUUUCACGUCCUCCAAAGAGAACAAUCCUUCACUGACAAAAUCGUUCAUCCUUCUCAAAGAGACAUGACCUAAUCUAGCGUGCCAAAGUUGUGCGGGGUUUUGAUCUAUCUCCUUACGUUUUGCUGAUAUAACAUUAAUAGGUAUUUCAUUUGGAUUUAGUUCAUACAAGUUGUUUAAUAGUCGUCCUUUGCAAAUCAAAUUCUCAUUCUUUUGUAUAAUGCAAAUCGAAUUACCAAAAACAAAAGUAAAACCUUCAAUAUCUAAUACAUAAAUAAAAAUAAGGUUUCUAAUGAGGGACGGAACAAAUAAACAAUCGUUCAAAACAAUAGGAAAACUAGAAUCCAAAACAUUUAAGUAAAUUGUGCCAAUGGCUUCAGCAGCAACUCUUGCUCCAUUCCCCAUCCUUAGGUAGGUCUCACCCGCUCUAAGCCUUCGACUUCUUGUUAUUAGCUGCAAAUCAUUGCACAAAUGUGAGCCACAGCCCGUAUCCAAUACCCAAGAAGAAGAGUUGACAGAUAAAUUUACGUCAAUGAAAUACGUACCCUUUUCAGAACCUUUCUGCUUUAGGUAAGCCUUGCAGUUGCGGCGCCAAUGUCCUUUCUUUCCACAGUGAUGGCAAGCAUCAUCAACUUGCUUGCCAACCUUUGCUUUGGGGCCCCCACUACCUUCACCCACUUCGAACUUGUUGUUUGGGAAGGGAACUCUUUCCUUUCUCUUCUUUCUGAAAGAACUCUUCUUUCCAGAAGUAGCAGCAACGAGAACAGACUUCUCUUUCUUAAUGGUGGACUCGAAGCUGACCAACAUGUUCAUUAACUCAUCCAAGGGAGGAUCUAGUUUGUUCAUGUUGAAGUUCACUAUGAACGAUUCAUAGGAACUAGGGAGAGAUAACAGGAUCAAAUCCAACGAGAGCUCGGCCGGGAGGGUGACAUCAAGAUUCACUAGCUUUUCAAGGAGAGUGAUCAUUUUGAGACAGUGCUCGUGGACCGAAGUCCCUUCGCGCAGUCUCGCCGUGAUCAACUCCUUUGUAGCAGCGUACCUCGAUGCCCUAAUAUUCUCACUAUACAUGCUAUCGAGAUCAGCCUUUAUAUCGAAAGCAUGCAUGUGAGACUCAUAUUUCCUCGCAAGCGCGGGCUCCAUGGCGGCUAUCAUAUAGCACCUAGCAUGAGUGUCAUCUUUCUUCCAAACUUCAUAAGUUUCCUUUUCAGCAUCAGUCGCUGUGGCAGGUCUAGUGGCGGGAAGUCUCUCGUUCAAAACAUAGAGACGCCCCUCAACGGUUAGCACAAGCUUAAGACUGCGCAACCAAUCUAGGUAAUUAGGGCCAUUGAGUUUAUUGUCGAGGAUUGACUUUAUGGGAUUCUUAGACAUGAUUAUCUGAGACAUAUAGAGAAGAGGAUUAUUAGAGAUUCGCGUUAAAUGAUUGUUACAAUUAAAUGUUUGGACUUAUGUGAUUUAAUUGUUCUCCCACUAAUUUUAUCGAGUUCCACUUCCCUCUAGUAGACAAACGAGAAAACUGAUUUUUCUUAAUGGGCUUUAGGUCCAAUAGACAAAUAUAACCCGUAGUUAAUCUAGCCCGAUUAUAUUUGCCCAAAGGUAGAUCACAAUCAAUCAUAUCCACAAUAUGACCCUAAAUUAAUUUUCCUCACACUUGAUAAUGACCUAAGUUAAUCUCGCGAAUAUCAAAAUCGUCGUGUGUCAAGUCUAACCUACCAAUCAAAGAUGCUCAUAGAACUUGAUUAUGCCAAACUAAUGUAGUCCCUAGUUAAUCUAGCCGACCACGUUAAUCCAACAUAACCCUUUUCUAUGGCUACCUUCAUCGCUAUGUCAAUUGAAUUACAGCUUACUCUACCAUAGCACUCCCCGCUAACACGGCUUACUGCACUACAGUAAAGGGCUACACAUAAUCCAACCGUUGGCAGAAGGAAAGAAAUAACUCAACAGAUUGGGUUUUUCUUUAUAGCUUGAAAUGAUUCUUAAUUAGAUUAAGAAUGAGGGGUUUUAUUAAAAAGUUUUUAUCUCAUCAGAAGGUUCGGAUUGGUCUAUGUGAUUCCUACAUCUAUGUUCUCUAAAGGUAUAUGGAAACGCAUAUUGUCCUAAGAGGAACAUACGACCUAAUUUCAUAAUUAAUUACAUUAAUUAAUUAUCGGGUUUUUCAAAAUAAUUAUAGAACCUCAACUAGCAUAAAUCAUUCAAAUAAUGUUGAGGUACUACUAAUUAAGUUGAACUAUAAUCAAUGUUAUAUAUGGGUUCUAUUAAUUGAAAUCAAUUUAACAAUUUAAAUUAAUUAAUUAAUCUAACACCUAUUUACUAAAAUAGAUGAUUGUCGAUCCAAUUAUCUAAUUGGGAUUAAUUGAAAAUAAUUUUCCAAAAAUUAAAAUCAAUUUGUUUUAAAUUUAAUUUUAGAAAUCUGAAAUAAAAAUAUAUUUUUUUUUUUUUCAGUGAACCGGUUCGGCCCAACCGGUCUGACCGGUUCGGACCGAAGCGGUCCGGUUCUGCCCGGUCCAGUUGACCCAAAUCGGUGGGCCGGGUCAGUCGGACCGAGAACCGGUCUGACCGACCCGAAUCCACGUGGAUUCGGUCAACUAGAUCGCACACAACCAUCGAACCGGCCGGUUCGACCGGUUCGAUCCGAACAAUUAAAAAACCGACGUUUUAAAAAUAAUUUCAGCUCCGAUUUUCCAAUUUUAAACAAUUUUAAAGCUGGAAAAAUUCUAAACAAUAUUUCAAAAAUAUUUUAAACUUACGAAAACUCCCAAUUACAUAAUACAACAAUCACUACUUUAAUAAAUCGAACAUGCAUAAAAUCAUAGCAUAUUAAAACGAACGCAAUUAAUUGCGCAACGAGCUCUGAUACCACUGUUGGGUUUCGGACACGUGUACGCAGCGGAAAACAAAUAUUUUAUGCGAUUUAAACAACUUUAAAGCACAUAAGCACAUGCCCGAUAAAUUAAAUCAAUUAAUUGCGUACCUUUGCGCUUCCAGCGAAAUUAAAAACAACAUACAUGCUAAAUUACUUAAUCGAAAUUAAAUCAACUAGCAUGCUCGCGUUUAAAUCAAAUAACAUGCUCGCAAUAAAAUUAUGAUUUCACAUAAUCACAUAAAAUCAUACGAAAGCAAACAUGAAUACUUAGUUUAAACGUAAACGAAUCGAAACAUGAGAUUCGUGUGUUUACCUCUUGAAGCGUGAGGUAGGAGUGCUCAGCAAGUCGAGAUUGCUACGGAAACCAAUCCGUACAAUCCGGGGCAGCAACGGUGCGGCGGCAGCAGCGGCGAGACGGCCACGGCGGCGCGUGUAACUCACGCGCGGUCUUCGGGCGGCGCGUGGGGUUGCGUGCGGCUUCGGCUCGUGUGCUGCUCCUCGAUUCUUCGAUCUACGAUCUUCCUCCUCUCAGAUUUCACCUCGUAUACUUUGAUCUACUAAACACGUGGCACUAGACACGUAAUAGUUAGAAAAACGGAAGAAAAAAGAGAAGGAAAGAAACUACCAAAGCAAUCGGCCGAUUAACGGCCGAUUCCGGCGAGGUUCCGGCGACGGCGCCGGUGAUGGCCGCGGGAGAGAGGCCGAGAGAGAGGUGAGCGGCUAUGGUUUUGAUUAGGUCUUGUGUCUUUGUGCAAGGCCUAUAAAUCAAGUAUUUAUAGUCCCUUGCAUAAAACCCUAACGGGCUUAAGUUGGACCGGGCCCAACAGCUUAAGCUCGUUAGUUCCUUUACUUGCUCGUUUCUCUCAAUUCAAUGAUCGGAAAAUUGCAACGAUUACAAUUUCGGAAUCAUUAUAAUAUCCUCGUCAUUACGAGUGCCAACAUUCAAUUUCCAACUUUCCAAAAGUGGAAACCCUAGUUCAGUGCACUUUCUAAAUUUGGAAACUUCCCGAUUUAGAAAGUUCACUAAUACGUUCGUCUAUUCGUUUCCUUUUCUUAUUCUCAUUCAUAAUUCCAAAUCACGAAUGUUGGAUCCAAUCAUAUUGACUUCCAAUCAUGCAAAGAUAAACUAUUUUAUCUCUGACCGUUUAUUCAAAGAUCUCAUGUGCACGAGCAGUGUGACCCUCGAUGGUUCAGGUGUAAGCUAGCCGUGGGCCCACAACCCUUUGUGGUCAAAACUCGUCCCUUAGAGUUACGAUUAAGAUGAAGCUCGUUUCACCUUAAUCACCCAACGUAUCAAGAUUGGCGUCUAGCAACUACGCAUCAUGAUUCCCUAGAUACAAAUGAAGUGCCUGCAAGAACCUUCAGAUAUAGUUAACGUACAGUACGGUCCCUUCGAUACAUAUGUCCCGAUCGAACUAGAGGCAUUGGUUCAUCGAGACCUCUUUAUAUGUUCGAUGACGGUGCGAUCGUUCCAAGUGUUGUAAUCGUCACGUGCAUGACUUAGAGAAUCGAAUUCUCUAAUCAUCACUUAGUCAGCUCUGGCCAGAGACUUAGAAUGAUUACAAACUUUCAGAACACACAGGACAUCCAAGACUAUUCUAGCGAUCGAAUGCCCGACUACAAUGCACAGACCUCCCACUAGAUUUCGGACUGCACGAACACUGGCCCUUGGGAUGGUCCUCGGUGGAACUCAGGGACAGGUCACGAUACAGCUGGUCCUCUAGUGAAGUCACGGUGAUGUCUAGGUCAUAAGGACUAAUGGUGUACAACUAUACCAUAGUUAUCUCUACUCGAUUAUUGGGAACCACUUAGAAAUUUCUAGGGUGAGGGAGUUCAGUGAACUCGUCAACUUACGAGCACCCACUUAUGCAUGCCGAUAUCACAAUACCGUUUACUGAUGAGAUGCAGUACACAUACACUAAGUGCUAGUCUUAAUGGGAAAGGCGGAUAUCCUCAUUAGUGGCGUAACCCUUCGACUAGGAACACGUUUAACAGUAAUAAUACUUGAGUAAAUAUCUCACGAUCCUAACGAUCAAUUACUAGUACUUGUAAUAACUGUAAGGACUAUAUCUAUGCUUGUGACAAAGGGACAAAGAUAUAGAAUGCCAAGGUGUUUUAUCAUUAAUACGAAUAAAGGUUCGUUUAUUACAAUAAUAAAUACGAAAGACCACAGCCACAUGUUGGCUUGUUGGUCACCUACUCUAACAAUGUCCUGGUGAGAAACAGUAAUGACAAAUGUAUCUCCUUAUUCUGAAAUCUGGAGUGGUGAUUGUGGAAUUUCUGCAUUCUUUUCCAUUUGAACCCUUCUCUUUUACAAAGACAAUUUCCUUCUUCUUUACUGGCUUGUGUUUCUUCACUUGUUUUUUGAACCCUAGACCUUCAUUUUUGGUGUACUUCUCCAGUGACACAAUCUCUUCGAGUUUAGUUGUGCCGGUAUUUAUCCUCUUGAUUGCUAGAGUUUAUUCUUUGAGUUCAUCUUUCACCUUUGCCGAUUCAAGAUCCUUCUUGGUGAUUCCAACCUCCAAAUGAGUGAUUUGUUUCUUUAAGGUAAGAAUUUUCCUUGUUGGCUGCAUCUAGAGCAUGAGUCUUAUUCUCCAAGUCGCUGAACAAUUUCUUAUACAUUUCUUCCUCAUCUCCCACUGCUUCUUUACUGUAUUCUGCAGCAUUCAAAGAAAUAGAGUUCAAACAUGUAUAAUGACUAUUAUCUAACUCAGAAAUUUCAGUUACUGAAAGUGUUUCAGAAAGUGUUGCAGCAUCUAGAGAAACUCCCUAUGAUUCUGUUUCAGGACAAUUUUCAAUGAAAUAUCUGACAGAAAGAGCCUGUUUUGUGGGUUGCUGCUCCUCUGUCUGUUCAGGUUGCUCUUCCUUCUCAUCACUGACAGCACAAAUCAGGCUCAUUCCUCUUCUUCUCAAGGUAUUUGCACAUUCAUUAGCAUAAUGUCCAAAUCCUGAGCAAGCCCUGCAUUUAAUAUGAUCCAAGUUAGGUGGUUCAUAAUUUGAACGAAUAAAUGGAGAAUUUUUUAAAGUGUUUUGAGAAGAUGUUUGAGGAAAUGUUCUCUGUGGAAUAGAUCUGUUCCGGGGCUGAGUUUGUCGAUUUUGUGGAGAGCCAUCUGGAAAUAACUGUCUGGGCUUGAUUCCACUUCGUCUGUAUGCCCUAUUGAAUUUCUGAAUCUGAAAUGCCACAUUGUUGACACAUUCCUCUGCAUCAUCAUCAUACUCCGGAGCAACUUCUUUCUUUUCUAAUUCUGCCUGGAGUGAAUUUGAGAUGGCCUUACCUUUCUCGUUUCUCUGAUCUUCAAAGUUCAUCUCUCUAGACUUUAAGCUACCAAUUAAUUUUUCCAGACGUAGAGAUGAUGUGUCUUUGGCCUCCUCAAUUGCAGUAACUGUCAUGCUGAAUCUUUCUGGAAGAGUUCUCAGUACCUUAUUCACCAGUGUCUCAUUGCUCAAGGGACCACCUAAGGAUUGAAAUUCAUUAGCUAAAUCGAUCAAUUUCUCAUUGUAUUGAGAAAUUGUUUCAGUUUCUUCCAUCCUGAGUCUCUCAAAUUUGGAAGUGAGUAAUCUGAGCUUAGUUCUUCUAACACUGUCUGAUCUUUCACAAUGUAACUGAAGAACCUCCCAUGCAUCCUUCGCAGAAGUGCACACUGAGAUCAGUUUAAACAUUGUUAAAUCUACUGAAUUAAAGAUUGCAUUUAACGCCUUUGAGUUUUGAUUGGCAUUUGAUAAAUCGUCUGCUGUCCACCGUUUUCUGGUGUUGGAAAUACAUCCCCAUCCGCAUCUGUUAUAGUUGGUAGCUUCCAUCCAGUAACAAUAGAUCUCCAGGCUCUCUCGUCAAUGGCUUUGAUGUACGCCCUCAUCUUGACUUUCCAGUAGGUGUAGUUUGUGCCAUCAAGUACAGGAGAUCGCAUAGAAGCAGUCAUCUGAGUAUCCAUCACGAAUUCGUUUCUGAAAAAGAAAUAGGAACAAACACUUAGUAUACGUCAAGUGUUGGCUCUUGAUGCCAAUUGAAAGAAUUUAUGGUCCCGAAUUCGUUUAAUACAGAGGUGUUAUAUUAAGUGUUAUGACACUUGUAUAAACAUGCAGCGGAAAUAUAAAAACAAUACUCAGAUUAAAAAUGUUCACAAGUAAAAACUUGUGAACUUGCCCUUUAAAUGACGUAAAAACUUAUUUUAAAAACAGUAUUACAAGAAUACAAAGAGAAGAAGUACAAAAACUUCUUCCUUAUGAAUGAAUCACUAGCUUGAUCAUUCUUACAACCAAAUCUAGAAACAAAAAGAUAAAUACUAAAAAUUCUAGAUUUCAAAGAAUGUACUCGUGAGGAGUACGUACAACAGAGAUUCUAGAAACACACUAAAACUCUCAUGUAUUCUUUUCAGCUCUCGGUUUUUUGUUUCUUCGAAUCCUUAAAAAUUCCUUGAGUCUUGAAGUCGGUAUUUAUAGACAUUCCAAGCUUCCACUCCUCAGCCCAUGAUCUGCAAGAAAACCAACUACAAGAGCACUCAAGAACAUGGGUUAGUGGGUUAGUUUAGUAGUUAAAAUAAUAUCCACAAUUUAACCCCACUAAUAAGCACUACUUAGCCCACUAAGUAAUAUACUUAGCCCACUAAGCCAUAACUAAAAUUUAGUUUGAAAGUAGGAGAGUUAAAAACACAUUGUGGAAAUUCACGUGUUUCAAGAUGUUUUAUUGCUUUAGUCGUUUUAUUAAAAAAGAAUAAAAAAAUUGCUUGAGUCGAAUACAUCGAUGAGUUGUGAUGAUGAGAUAUGACCAAUUUGAUGAUGAAAUUGCUUAUUUUGUUGUGAUAAAAACUAGAUGUUCGGUUAUCUUCCGAUUCAAUUUAACUUGGAAGCGAACUACUGUUAGGAAUCACAGUUUGUGCAUUACUUUUGUUGAACGUUUUUUUAUUUUAAAUUGGGAAUUAAUUUGUGCUAGAUUAAGCUAUUUUCGGUUUUAGAGCCCACCUUAGGAAAUUUAUGAUAAGAUGUGUUGAGUAAUGAGUGAUUUGAGAUAUGAUUUGGCCUUCUUUGAACCGUUUCAGCCUUUGAAGCCGACAUUUUAUCAAAAUUAACCUUGAUUUGAGCCUUGGAGAAACGGUGUUCUUUCUUUUAGCCAAUACUUUAUAAGGUAGAAUAGAUGAAAAUUCUUGAAAUAAAUUAUAUAUAUAUAUAUAUAUAUAUAUAUAUAUAUAUAUAUAUAUAUAUAUAUAUAUAUAUACCUAAAUUCUAAAACCCGAGAUUUAUAUUCCUUACUCGGAAACCUUUAGGAAAUAUUAUUAUGUGAUUAUNNNNNNNNNNNNNNNNNNNNNNNNNNNNNNNNNNNNNNNNNNNNNNNNNNNNNNNNNNNNNNNNNNNNNNNNNNNNNNNNNNNNNNNNNNNNNNNNNNNNNNNNNNNNNNNNNNNNNNNNNNNNNNNNNNNNNNNNNCGUAUUUUAUUUAUACUCGUACAUACACGCAUGCAUAGGUAUACAUACAUAUAUAGUGUCUAUAUACAUAUAUAUAUAUAUAUAUAUAUAUAUAUAUAUAUAUAUAUAUAUAUAUAUAUAUAUAUAUAUAUAUAUAUAUAUAUAUAUAUAUAUGUCCGAAAUUGUGUGUGUGUUCGGGAUAUGUGUGUGUGUGUGUUAAGAUGCAAGUUGUAAUUUAAAUUAAAUAAAUAAAUUAUAUGUAAUUAGGCAUGCAUUACACUUGGCAAAACACUCAUCAUUUUCCCUAAUCCUACACUCCACCCUCAUUAGUAAGAUGAAGAGACACCUUCAUCUUUUUCCUUCCAACACAUCUACACUUACUUGUCUCUCUCCCCUCUCUCCACCGAAACCAUCACCACCAUCAUCGGCUCCUCCUCUCUCCACCUCACUUCACAUUUUAAAGAAAUUCCCAAAACUUAAAAUGAGAGUUCCUUAUUUAACACUUGCCUUGGACUACUCCAAGAACACCAUCAAGACCACUUGCCUUCUUUCGGGAGAUCACAACUCCUCCCUCCUUGAAGCUCACACCAUUUCCUUCACAAUCAAGGUGGCUUGGUUGAACUUCGGUGCUUGAAAGCUUUCAUCCCUUUCGGUUAUUUUUCUUUCUUCGAUAUUAAGGUAAGAAUUGCCGAUUCUUGCUGCAAUUAAAUGGCAUCAAUAGUAUAAAAAAAAAAGGGUUUUCAAAAUUUUCUAAAAGAUUGGGAGUGAUUUCGAAAAUUUAGGGGUUUUUGAAGAAAAAUGAAAAAUGAGUGUUUCUUGUUAAAUUCUUGUUCUUGCAUGCAUCAUCUAUGUUAAUAGUGGUUAGAUACAACAUUUAUUGGCCAAAGGCCUUAAAAAUUUCAGAUUUCAAAAAGGGGUUUUCAAGAAAAUGAAAGUUUUAACUUUUUGUGGUUGCAUGUGUAGAUCUUCGAAUGUUUGGGCCAAAUCUGUAAUUUUUGUAAAGUCUGUCCGGAAAAUGUUUUCAAAACUGAUUUCUAGCAUUUAUUGAACUAAAAUUUCGGAUUUAAAGAAUUUUUGUAAGAAAAAGUUGAUUUGGAUAUUCUAUUAAGCUUGCAUGUGUAGAUCUAGAUAUUUUGGGGUAAAAUAUGCAAUUUCCGAAAUUUCUGCACAAAGAGAUUUUCCAACUUCAUUUUUCUGCAUCUAAUAAAGUAGAAUUUCAGAUUUAUUAGGGGUUUUUAUGAAAAAGUUGAUUUUGAACUUCUAGUGUGGUUGCAUGUACAAAUUUCGAAACUUUUGGGUCAAAACUGCAAUUUCCGAAAAAUCUCUCAUUUUUAAAGUUUGGAUCUGUUUUACAGUAAGUAUUAGAUAAGAAAAAGUUUUAUUUAACAAGUUUUUUAUUUAAUUAGAAUUAUGUUAGAGUUUUGAAUUUUUAAAUUGAAAAAGGGAUUUUCCAAGUUUUUAUUUCAAGAAAAUUUCGAAACUUUGUAAAAACUUAAAAUAAUUUCAGAACCUGGAAUUUGAGUCAUUUAUGAGUUCUAGGAUUUAAUUUGGGAAUUUUUGAGAUUAGUUGGCUAAUAUUUCGAAAAUUAGGAUAAUUGCAUGUCAUUUGCAUAUGUUGUGUGCCUUAAGUGUUCAUGUUUUGAUUUAAUGGUUAUGAAUUAUAAAUUUUAGUAUUUUGGUACUUUAAUUACUGCUGGAUGUGUUUAAUGGUUGUGAGAAAUUGAUUGGAAUGGAUUAUUACCUAGAUGUGGUAAUAAGUCCAUUAAAUGAAAGGUAAAAAGGAGUAUUCGUUCUUAAGCUUGCUUUGAUGAAUAAUUAGUGAGGUUAAUGUGUUGAUUGUGCGUGUGUGUAUGCUGAAAUUGUGUGAAUGUGUGGGUGCUGAUUGUGCAUGGUGUGUGUGCCGUGUGUGGUUGUGUGUUUAUGUGUGUGAAAUUGGGAUUUUUGCUCAAAAUAUAAUUAUGUGGUAAAUUGUGAUAUUUGUGUAAUUUGUGGCACUUGAUUGAUAUUUGUGAUGUCAUGUGUGGGUUAUAGCAUUAUUUCGAAAAGUUGAAAAAAAAAUGAUUUUUACUUGAAAGGUUAAUGGAAUAUCAGGUAAUAAACAACUCGGAUAUAGUGGGCCGGUAUCCAACUAGGAUGAUGUGGUAGAGGUUUGAUUCCACUUAGUGAAAACGGGCUCGUAACAGGUUUAUUAUCCGGUACAGAAAUUAAUCUUUCACGGAUCCGAUAAACCGAAAAAUGUGUUUUUCAUGAUUUUCACAAAAAGGGCAUUUUAGUCAUUUUGCAUAAUUACGUGAUCUUAUUAAAUGAUGUGUUUUCGUGAGAUAUGUGAUUUGACCGAUUGCCUUGUGUUGUUGUGCGAAACGUGGGUAAGAACGGGUAUACAAUAUUAUAUAUUAUGUAUAACGUAUUUCCAAAGUUCGAUAAUACUCGGAUUUCUUACUGAGCUUUAUAGCUCAUAUAGAUGUCUUUUAAUUGCAGGUAGUAGUAAUCCUCAGCCGGGAUGGAUCGAGUAGUGGAUCGAGGUCUUGCCCGGGAUUUUGGAAGAAGUACGAGGACCUAUGAACGUUGCUAGAACUUUUGGUUAUUUUCUUUUGGUGGUGUAACCCUAAAACCGUAACAUUUCUCUUUUCGUACUUUUGAACUCGUUUUUCAUUAUGAAUCGCACUUAUUUCCUACCUUAAUAUGUUGAGUUUCGUGAUUUGCCAUUUUCAUGUCUUCGCUAGAAAACUUCGAAUUAUUCACCAAAAUAACCUUUUCGAACUCUGAUUUAUUCUCGAACCAAAAACCGAUCGUGAUAUUGUAGCACUCGAACGAAGAACCUCCUUUCGAAACUUAUUCCAAAAAAACGAAAUCUUUGUUCGGCUAAAGUAACCCAAGAAAAGUUAUUCGUGAAAGUGCAAGUUUUCAUUACCCAAAGGAGUAAAUUUUUGAUAAUUGCAUUUUCGCCCCAUUUCAAUGUUUCAAUAUUUACAAAGAGAUCCUUUGCUUCCGCAAGUUUAAUAAAUAUUCCGAUAAACCGGUUCGAUUUAUCGCCCGACUAGAAGGGGGGUGCUACAUAUAUAUAUAUAUAUAUAUAUAUAUAUAUAUAUAUAUAUAUAUAUAUAUAUAUAUAUAUAUAUAUAUAUAUAUAUAUAUAUAUAUAUAUAUAUAUAUAUAUAUAUAGAUAUAUAUAUAUAUAUAGAUAUAUAUAUAUAUAUAGAUAUAUAUAUAGAUAUAUAUAAAAUAAAAGGAUGAGAAGAAGAAGAAAAUAGUAGAAGGGAGAAAAAAGGAGUAGGAGUUGAAUUAUUUUGAAAGCUCGAUCUAUUUGCUCAAGAGCAAGAGUAAACAACUUUUGUAAUCUUGAGAAUCCAGUUUAUUAAGUCCUUAGACGUGAAUUCAUUGUUUCAAUCGCCUAUCUUUAAAAUUUUGGAGUAAUCACCUCAAUUCAAGAAGUUUAGCCACUUAUACCCAUAUUUCCUACCUUGAACAAAAACACCUAACGAUUGAAAGCCAAAAAUCCCCAAUGAUCCCAAUAGCUUGAUAUUCGGUAUUAGUAGAGUAUAAGAAUUUGAUGAGAAUUUGGAGUCAAACAUAUGAUGGGAAAAUUACAGUUUAUGUCCCUAAACUUUACCACUAAAACGAUUUAUGUCCUCAAACAUUUCAAUCCACGAAAUAUGUCCUCAAACUUAUAACUUUUGAUCACUUUAUGUUCUGCCGUUAACGUCGGGAGCUAACUUCGACGGAAAUAGCACGUCACGUGAUGUGGAGACAUUUCCGGAGUUAGCACGUCACGUGACCUGUUUUUUUCCGGAGUUAGCUCACGUCACCUGUUAAUGUCGACCUGUACAACACCCAGUGCCUACUUGGUCGACGAAACGUGAUGUGGAGCGACACGUCAUUCUCCUCCCCUAUUUAUAUUCUAAAAUCCCUAAUUCUCCAUAUCCCCAAUGAACCCGUAAAUCCAAUGCCUAAAACCCCAUUUCGAAUCCUUCAAUUGAGGUGAAAUUCGAAAAUAGCAGAAUCGUCUGUGAAUCCAUGGCCCUUUUUUGUGGUGUUUUACCAGCAAAAUAGCCCAAUAUACAAAUGCCGAAUGUUUCCUCGAUUUCACUUUCAUCUUCGGGCUGAAAUAUCAUGUCUUCUUCCACUUCGUUGGGGAAGUCGGGUAGCUGGAAUCCGUUGUUGGGCACUCUAUUCUUGGCGAAAAAAGAAUUAUAUGCAGCUUUGACAGGUGCUGCAUGUUUUUUUUUUUCCGGAAUUGGUUCAGACAUUUCGUCGAACACCUUCUGGGCAGGUUCUGAAUUUGCUGAGUUGGGUAGAAUUUGUGCCAUCUUCACCAUCCUUGUGCUCGCUUCAUUGAGACCACAAGGGGCACAAGCAUCAGCAGGCGAAGAAUCACACGACCCCAACGUUCUAGAGACGGAGUUGGGAGAAGAAUUAAAGCUUCCUCUAAAAUCUUUUUUCAGAACCAGAAGAGGAGUCGCGUUUACCUUCUUCCUCUCGAUUGCAGGCAUGUGUUUGCACGUGAAUCUGUUGUUUUUUGAGAAGGGAAAAACUCUUCAAAUGUGAGAAUAUUUGGAUUUUUUAUGGGUUUAUGACUUCGAUUUUAAUAUGGGUUCGAGCAAGAAUGCAAAUUGGAUUGAAAAUUUGGGAAUGGGUUGAGGUGAUUGAAAUUGUGAAGUGUGGAAAAAUUAUGGUGUAUGGGAAUGAAACGUGAUUUGGGAUUUGGGAUUUGGGAUUUGGGAGAGUGAGUUAGAGGAAAUUAGUAUAUUCUUGUGCCACGUCAACAUUUAAUAUUCAAUAUAUUAUUACACAUCACAUUUAACGGCCACAUAGACGUCACGUGAGCCUCGCGUGCUAUUUCCGUCGAAGUUAGCUGACGACGUUAACGGCAGAACAUAAAGUGAUCAAAAGUGGCAAGUUUGAGGACAUAUUUCGUGGAUUGAAAUGUUUGAGGACAUAAAUCGUUUUAGUGGUAAAGUUUAGGGACAUAAACUGUAAUUUUCCCAACAUAUGUACAUAAGUAUAAUUUUUUUCUAUUUUUAAUUAACAAAUAUUGGAUGCUUGAAGCAACUGUAUGAUUUGUGGUUUUUUGCAAUGGUAAGUGACUAAGUGCUUUUGAAUUGCGAGCUUGCAAGUAUAAUUUUUACUAUAGUUAAAAGUUCUCAAAACGUGAAAUUGGUCAAUGAUCUAUGUGAGGAGAUGCAUUAGUUGAGUUAUUUGCUUAUGAUUAAUUUUUGCUUGAAGACAUGCAAAAAUUCAAGUUUGGAGGUGUGUUAAGUGUAUAUUUGUACACUUAAUAUUUUAAUUGGAGCUUUUGGUGUAUUUUAUUGAUAAUUGAUGCUUAAAUUUUUGAUUUAUUGUCCUUCAGGCACAAAGUGAUGAAUUUGAUAAAUUGAGGGUCAAAACUGUAAUUUAUAAGAAAAUGUAGACAAAAUCGGACAAGUCAAAGCCACUGGACCGGUCAAGAUCUCAGACGGCCGUCCGAGUCAAGAAAAAGGAAAAAUAACUCACGGCAUUUCGGAUGGCUAUCCGAAAUGUAGUUCAAAACACCUAACGGUCGUCCGAGCAGGUGGGGCUGCUAAGGAAUUUCCAAUUGUACAAGGAAAAACUGCCUUUCGCCAACUUUUCCAACUUAUAAAAGGUCAUCUCAAUUCUCAAGCACAAAACCAGGGGUCCUCUUUUUACGCAAUUGUGAGAAUAAAGAAGCAAUAACGAAGACGAAGAAUUUGUAGACAUAUUAGAUCUGCCCAUGGCUGUUGUGAAGAUGUUUGUUUGUGUACCAAGAAGUAGCAGGUUCCAUGAUAUUAUUCUUAGAACAUUUUAUUUGCGAAUGACAUGACUAUGUAUUUAAGAGGGUAAAGAAUAAGAGAAAUUAGAUUGGUUUUUAAUUUUUAGUAGAGGUUAGGAAAAAGCUGGAACAAACAUACAGGCAUAAACAACUGUUUCAUGAAGAACUCUGUACUGAAAAAAAAUGCUGCUAGCUAAUGAAUUCGACUUGCUUUUCUCUGUGAAUUUUGUUCGACUUUACAUAAUAAACACUACUAAAUCUUGAUCUAAAUAGGAGGAAGAAAUCUUGGAAGUUUAUAAACUAAAAUGUUAAAUAGUAAUCAAUGACAUGGAAGAAAUUAGGAAAUAUUUUUAUUCAUAAUUUUUCUUUUAUUAAAAAAUCAAUUAAAAUAUAAUUUUUAUGACAUUUUGUUUUUGUCAAAGUAGAGCUACAACAAAAUUGAUAAAUUAUCAUAGCAACUACAUCACAUAAAAAUAUUAUUUAGGGUAAAUUGCACCCAUACUAGCUAAAGUAAUAGUCCGUUAGAAUCCUAUCGGAGUAAUGUAUCCAAUUUAUUAUCCCAUUAGAGUUUCUAACUAUGUUUCAGGGGUAAGUGUAAUUAUCGAUACCACAAGGACCUUAAAAUUAUUUUAGCAUACCUCAGAAGUAUUGAGUGUAAUUUAUCCUAUUAUUUAAAUGUAAUUAAUUAUUGAAAAGCUAGAAAACCUCAACUCAUAUAUUCGUGCAAGUCAUCAAUCUCUGCAAAUUACAUAUAUUAAUGUUUGACUUUCUUUCGGCUGAUGCAUAUUGGUAGGUGUUUAUGAUGAAGACCUUAUUGUUAUCAAAUGCCAAAUAUAUGCUGACUGAGUAACAACUUAAUUCACAAUCUUUCCAGUUUGAUUAUCCUAUUUUGACUUUGCUCUGAUCUUCUUGUUAGUGUCUAAGAAAUCACAAAUUUUUCAUAAUCUGUUAGUCGAUUAUCCAAAAAAGAUGGCUGCAACAUAUGCGGCUUUAGUUUCUCUCACUCAUACUAUUGACCAGAUCCUCAAUCCACCUCCUCAUCAUCACUUCAAUUUUGAUCGUGAUCAGAUUAAUUGUCUACGACAAAAAGUCGAUUUCUUGAUAGAUUUUCUCGAAAAAAAUCAAUCAAGUACUGGAGGAGAUCACAAAGAGAUCGAAGAUUUGGAGACGAGAAUCAGGGUUGUAGCUGAAGGAGCAGAGUAUAUCAUCGAAGACAAUGUGAUGAACCACAUUCUUGCUGGAUCUGAAGUCGACAGAUCAGUAGAAACCUCAACCUUAUCUGAAGGUGUACAAACAUCAAUACAAGAUUUUGAUUCCAUCGAGGAAGAGUUGGUGAGAAUCGAGAAAGAUCAUGUGCAGCAUAAAAACUCCAUAACAACGGAAGCUAGUUUAUCAUCAUCGUCAUCGAGGCCUCUUCUUCCGAUUGGCAAAAACAUCAUGGUGGGAUUCGACGGCCACGUGAACGAAAUUAUGGGUGCUCUCUCCACCGAUGAAUCUAAUCGUCAAAUUAUCCCUAUUGUUGGAAUGGGAGGCAUAGGUAAGACUACUCUUGCCACUCAUGUCUAUACCAAUCCUUUUAUCGUGCAACACUUUCAUGUUCGUGCUUGGUUUACGGUUUCCCAAGAAUAUACCAAAAAGGAGAUUCUUCUAGGCCUUUUGCAUAAGAUUAAUAAUAAAAAUUCAAAUGAUGCACAUGACAUGAAUGAUGAAGAUGAACUUGGAGAUAAAUUGCACAAAACUCUGUUUGGGAGGAAGUAUUUGAUAGUGAUGGAUGACAUGUGGGAUAUCAAUGCGUGGGAGAUGAUAAAUAUGUUCCUUCCAGAUAACAAUAAUGGAAGUCGAAUCUUGGUAACUACUAGGCUAUUGAGGUUGGCUAUGGAUAUUGGGUCUUGUCGCCCUUAUCAACUAAAUUUCCUAGAUGAAGAACAAAGUUGGGAUCUACUCUCCCAAAAGAUAUAUGCAGACAAAUGUUGCCCCGUUGAACUCGAGGUAAUUGGAAGAAGUAUUGCAAAAAAAUGCAGAGGUCUUCCUUUGGCCCUUGUUGUUAUUGGUGGGGUUCUUGCAAAGUCGAAAACAGAAAAUUGGAAGUACAUUGAAGAAGAUGUAACUUCAGCAGUGCGCAAUCAAGAUGACGAGUUUUACAUGAAGAUAUUAUUGUUGAGUUAUAAUAACAUGCCUAUAUAUCUCAAGCCUUGUUUUCUUUACUUUGCCGUGUUCCCAGAAGAUUAUACCAUCAAAGUUUCCAAGCUAGUCAGUUUGUGGGUUGCUGAAGGAUUCAUAAGGCAAUGUGGGCAUAAAAGCUUAGAAGAAAAUGGAAAUGAGUAUUUGGAAGAUCUUAUAGAUAGGAAUCUCGUUUUGGUUGAUUGGAGAUCAAUUAGUGGAGAAGUGAGGUCCUGCCGCAUUCAUGAUCUUUUAAGUAAUCUAUGUAGGACAGAAGCUCAGAAAGACAAUUUUAUUCUUACUAGAAAACUUUAUAACCCCAAUACUUUAAGUUACCUAAAGAUCACACAACGCCUCAAUAUUAAUGGUGGCAAAUGGAAAGGGAUGAAACUUACGCCCGAUACAUCACCAGUACCUAUACGGUCUUUGUUAUGCUUCUCUCCUGAGGAUUCAAAUGAUUACACUGUUGAUCAGGUUGGGUUACUACGGGUAUUGAAUGGGGUUGAUAGAUAUCCUAUACAUGAAAUUCUACAGCUAAUUAACUUAAGAUAUGUUUCUUGCAUGGGUCCGAUGACUGCGAUGUCGUCUUCUAUAUCCCGACUUUGGAGUCUACAAACUUUAAUUGUUGAUGGAGAGUUGAAUUUACCAAGUGAGAUAUGGCAGAUGCCCCAACUUCGACAUGUUGAGGCCACACGAAUACAUCUGGCUGAUCCUCCUCCAGAUGAUGUCAAGAACAUCAUACUUCUUCAAAAUCUACAAACACUUUCAACAGUCAUAGAUUUGAAAUGCACUGAAGCGGUAAUUAAAAGAAUCCUAAAUAUCAAGAAGUUUGGAAUUAUUUGUCCGACAUUUGGAUCUAUUUUUUUAAGAAAUCUUGGCCAUCUCCAUAAACUUGAAGAACUUUAUUUGCAAUGUACUCCUUGUGGUGGAGAUGUUGUCUUCCCAAAUUCACUUAAACGGUUGAUCUUACGUGGAUGCAAGAUUCCUUGGGAAGAUAUGUCUGUUGUUGGUUCACUACCCAACCUUGAAGCUCUCACGUUGUGGACAAAUGCUGUUGUAGGCCAAAAGUGGAUUUCAAAAGAAGGGGAAUUCACUCGACUCAAGUUCUUGUACAUUUAUGAGUGUGAAUUGGAGAUAUGGGAAGCAGACAAUACACAUUUCCCAUGUCUUGAAAUUCUAAGUCUUGGGUACUUAAACCUCAAGGAGAUCCCGUCUGAAUUUGCCGAAAUAUUAUCACUUCAAGCGAUUAACUUUGAUUGCAAUAGCAACAAUGACCUUUUGCUAUCAGCAAAUGAAAUAUCAGAGCAACGAGAGAACCUAGGAUACAAUGCUCUUCAUGUUCAAAAUUUCACAUGUGGAGUGUUCAGAAUUUGGGUGAAGAGAGGUAUUAAUCUUGUUGUUGUUAAUGACGGCCACAUCGGAGAUCCUUAUGUUGUUAUCACGAGUUCCAAACAGGUUUUGCGUUCUUACUUCUUGAUGUUUUUUUUUUUUUUUUUAAUUUAUUAUUAGUGUUCCAUUUACCCUCACAAAAAUAUUUCUUAAACAAAAAUCAUUACAAAUUAUUAAUAUUCAAGGAUAAUUUUAUCAUACUGCACUCCAAACGUCACACAACCUCCGCUUGCCUACAUUGUUGUGGUUUAAAAAUUCUAAAAUGACCUCUCAUCGCAUGUCGUCUCUUUCACUUUCAUUGUUGACAUAUACCUCCCACCAUUGCUGUUGUAUUUUCUUUCUUAUUAGUUAGAUACAAUCUCAAAGGGAGGUCAUAACAUAAUUUACUGAAUUUGGAAUAAGUUUUUAAUCACAAUCAGAACUCCGGAAAAGUUUGUGUCAGUAUAUAAUUGGACCUUAACUCAAGGGACAGCACAUUAAUUUAUUAUCCUUUGCAUAUGUGCAUAUAUUUGCAUUAAAUAUUUUGCCUUUCGAGUUUUCUAGAACAAAAUUUGCAAUUUAGUAUAAAUCUUUAUGAUGCAGAGUGUGAAGACUCGUGUUGUGACGAAAGAUAUUAAUCCGGAAUGGGACGAGAAACUCGGAAUUCGUGUUGCAAAUCGCAGUCAUUCAAUUUCUCUGGUGAGGUUCUUUAAUUUAUAAUAUAUAAAAGAAAAUCUGAUAGCAAGUGGUACAAUAUUUCUUUGAGUUAAAAAUGUGAAAUUCAAUGUAGAAUGAGUUCAUCCAAAUAAGUUCAACUUAUUAUAGAUUGGAAAUCUUUAGUUUCAAUGUAUGCUGAUUCAUAGUGUAUGUAUGGUUGUAGACAGUGCAUGACCGCACCAAGUUCAAAUUUGAUGACAAGUUGGGAGAAGCGAAUUUGGAUAUUAGACCGUUUUUUGAAGCCGUGAAAUUGAAUCCAAAUGGCCUUCCAAAUGGUUCAAUAAGCGCACGAGUAUUGCCUUCGAUCUCCAAUUGCCUUACCGAAGAGAGUUCCGUUUUCUGGGAAAAUGGGACAGUAAAACAGGACAUGUGCCUGAGAUUGAAAAAUGUCGAAUGUGGAGCAAUCGAACUUCAACUCGAGUGGAUUAAUAAAUUUAAACAACGGCGGGCUCAAAAUACAACUCACGCGGUGGAUUGAAGUUCGUGCUUACACUAAUUUAUGGGUGUGUUUGGAUCAAGUAAAACAAUCAAUAAAACAGUGAAUACUAUGUAAAAUACUAAUUUAUGGGAAAAUUGCAUAUCACCCCUGUAAAUUUCUGAUUUUCGCACUUUACCCCUUCAAUUUGUUUUUGAAAGUCAAUGUACCCUUCAAAAUGUUAUUCUUGUUGCACUUUGCCUCAAUAGCAAAAUUCCGAUGGAUUAAUCAUCGGAAUUGAGUAUUUUUGUUGCACGUUGUCCCUUUAAAUGUUAAUUUUGUUGCACGUUGCCCUUUUAAAUGUUAUUUUUGUUACACGUUGCCCCUUAAAACUCUACUCUUUUGCACGUUCCCCUUAUCAAAUGUUGUUUUUAUUGCACAAUGCCCUCCAAAAAAUGGCUCCUAUGACAAAGUGCAACAAAAUAAUAUUUCAAAAGGAAUUAUCCAUUUAUUGAAUUUCGAAUGGGAGAAACUAUAAAAAUGGGAAAUUUAUAAGGGUUGAAGUGCAUUUUGUCCUUUAUAUAUUUAACAAAAGCACAACUUUACAUGAAAAUUAAUUGCGUUUACGUUUUUUCUUAUUUCAGAAAAUCAGUGUGAUCCAAUAACAGUCCAUAAGUCUUUGAAAUGUGUCAGCAUGAUGAUUUGACACUUUGCACUCUUAAAUUAUAUGCUAUUGACAUUUUGCAUCCUUAAAUUGGAAAAAUAGCAGAAUGCCUUCCAAUUACAUUUUACUUGGCACUUUGCACCCUAAUUUAUUUUUUUUGCUAGAAAAGUGACAUGCUACCUAUUAAAGAGGGGUAGAUUUAUCUUUCUUUAUUGUUCACAAACUUAAAUAUAUUUCAUCUUCUUCAUUUCACAUAUCCAAACCCGACGAUGACAACACAAAGAACAACUAAUGUUCAUUGUUCUCUAUCAAGAGUCUGAGAUACUUUAGUCCAAUUUUUAAUAAAAUUUAUAUUUUAUUUAAUUUAGAAUAAAUACGUAUUCAAUAAAAAACAAGCAUUCAAAAUUAAUGUAUGUUAAUGUGUUACAUUCAGAUAAAGGUCAUGCAAUCUGCAAUUCCAUAAAUUUUCAUCACUUAGAUAUUAUUUUUAAACAUAUAAUAAAAAUAACUUUUUCUUCUUCGUAUAGGCUUAAAAGGAGAAUUAUGUACAUAUUAUGGUUAUUUGUGCAAAAAAAGUGUUUACUUCUACUGUUUUCGUUACAUAAAUUGGUUCAAACAUCAAAUGCCUUGAUGGUUUUAGUACAAUCCAAGAAACGCAUGUAAAGAUUAUGAACAAGAUUUUGAGCUAGACAAGAAAGCACACAUUCUGGUGUGAAUGUGUUAAAAUAUCUGCAAAGUGAGUUCUACUUUUCAGCAAUUACAAGCAUUGCUUUUGCGUUUAGUAGACAUCUUGGUUCUAUUAUGCAUGAUUGCAUUCAAUCUUUUUAUCUUAAUAUUAAGAGACAUCAAAAAGACAAAUGGAAUAAUCAAAACACAUUCACUACAAGAAAUAUUGGUUUUAGUGACGAUUUUGUAUGGUCGCUAAAAGUUAGAAAAUGGUAGCUAAAACUUCUAGCGACCAAAUUAAGUUUGGUCACCGGUGGUCACAACAGGGUAGUUACUAAAAGUACUCAGCGACAAGAAAAUUAAUUGGACGCUAAAAUAUGAGAUUUAGCGGCGAAUUAAUAAUGGUCACUAAAAAUAUAAUUAUUAACGACCAGUUUUUGACUCGCUAAUGUAAAUUUUAUGGUAGCAAUAAUAUUAACGUGGUUGCUAUAGCAACAUAUAUAGUGGCCAUAUAAUUUUGGUCGCUAAAUGAUAUAUACGUAUAGUGACCAUAUUUUAUUGUUGCUAUAGGAUAUAUAUUUGGCCACCACAUUUUUUGGUUGCUACAUAAUAUACAUAUAGUUAGACACGGCCACGGGCCGGUUUUGGGCCCGGAACCGGCCCGAACCGGCCCGUUGACGGCCCAAACCGGCCCGUUGACCAAGUGAACCGGCCCGGGCCCGUGAACCGGCCCGUCCCACCCGGGACGGGCCCGGUUCUGAAAAUUGAUGAACCGUGAACCGCCGGGCCGGCCCGGCGGUUCACCCGGAUUUUAAAAAAAAAAAAAAACAAAAAAAAAUUCGAAAAAAUUCAAAAAAAAGUGAAUAACGGCCGGGUUGAACCGGCCCGAACCGGCCCGGGUGAACCGGCCCGGGUGAACCGGCCGUUAUUCACUUUUUUUUGAAUUUUUUCCCCCCCAAAAUUUCAUAAAAUAAUUCAAAAAAUCAUUUAAAAUUCAAAAUCUUUAAAAUUUUAAAUUUAAAAUUAAUUUCAAGUCUUUUCAUUUAUUUCAUUUUCCUUUUUCUAUUUAAAAGUACUUCUUUUAAUUUACUUAUUCAUAAAAUAUUUCAAAAAAUCAUUUAAAAUUCAAAAUCUUUAAAAUUUUUAAUUUAAAAAAAAAAAAAAAAAAAAAAUCAAAAUUUCCGGGCCGACCCGGAACCGGCCCGGAUAGGCCCGGAACCGGCCCGAACCGGCGGGCCGACCCGGCCCGCUGAACCGCCCAUUCCACGGGCCGGUUCCGGUUCCGGAAAUUGUGAACCGUGAACCGGUUCGAACCGGCCCGGAACCGGCCCGAACCGGCCCGUGGCCGUGUCUACAUAUAGUGACGGUAUAUAUUGGUUUUUAAAUAAUAUAUAUCUGUUGGUUGCUAAAAUAUAUACAUAUAGUGACCAUAUUAUUGGUAGCAAUAGUUUUUACAUGGUUUCAACAAUUAUUAAAUUUACUGACCAAUUCAGACCAAUAAUUAAUUGGUUGCAUUAAUCAUUAAUGUUUAUUUGCAGCAGUAGCUGUAAAAAUAAAAUUAAAAUAAAAUUAAACAUUGCAAAUUUACAUAUUAUCAAUCAAAUGUGAAUAUUAUAAUUUCAAUUUAUCAUAUUAAAUACAAUAAUAAAUCAAUCAUUCCAAAUAAUAAAAAAAGAUUACUAUUAUUAUUUCAUAAUAAAUUCCACUUCAUAAAUUGUUAAGCGACAACAAAUAUGACUUCCACGAUAACGUCCUUUCACUUCAUCAAACAGUCCAACCUGAAAAAGGGGAAAAAAAAUCAAUUAGAAAAUAAAAAAUCAUAUGAAAUUCCAAUUAUGCAAUCAAAGUACAUAAUACUAAGUAUACCUGGAUCCACGAUAAAUAAAUCUCGUAUAAACGUGAGUAACACCCGAUAAUCUAAUAUUAUAUUCUGUGUCAGCUCCAUCUAAAAUAAGAGUAUUAAUUUGUUUAAAUUUAUAUAUGUCAAACAAAAAGCCAGCUUCUUCUAGUAACAAAAGAGAGAACAAAAUAUAUGGUACCAAAGAACAAAAUUGUGACGCCCACUAUCGAAAUACAAUGAUCCUAAAUGGUCCAAGAGUCGGGAAAAGAACGAUUUGCGUUCAAUGAACAAGAAACAAAUCAUUUAGAAUCAUAAUAGAAGAAGUAGUUCCAACUAGUAUACAAGUAAAGAUGUGAAACAAUUCCGAAUUGAUAGAGAAACAAAUUGAAACUGGUUGAAUUAUUCAAGGUAGAUAAAAUAACUCAAUUGAGUAAUCAAGGAAUCGGGAUGAGAAAUUACUCGAAUAAUUCCCGAAUCAAGAUGAGAACUUAUUAAGUUCCAUGAAGAGGAUUUCGAAUCGAUCAUUAUUUUCAACAAUUCAAGAAUCAAAGUAACAUAUAUCACAUUUAAGUGAUCAAGAAGCAAUAAAAUAUCUUAUUCUCAGUGUGCAUUCUAUUUUUCCAAUAAAUAAUAGUGAAGAAAUAGAGAUCCUCACCUGAAAUAAUGCAAGUGCAAUAAAAACACCUUACUCUCGAAUCAUGCUCAAGUCUUGAAUGAGAGCAUAAAUAUACUCAACACCUAUGAAAUAUUAGAAUUAAAUAAGUUAUCGAAUGUUAACAUAAUCGUUUACUAUUCGGUUCUAUUUCAUAUAAACAUCCUAACUUAAAUCUUAUGCCAUAACUGACAAUCGAACAUAAUACACAAUUUCUAUGGAGUUCUAUUUACCAAAUACAACACACUCCAGCAUCAAUUCACAUGGUACGGAGUUGACUCGUGUUUGUUUGACGAGUUCUCGAAACAAAGGUUUAAAACAUUUGUUUCCACAAUUUCUUUGAAAAAUCAAGACAAUUGGUACGAUUAUCCAAAUUGGGAACGUAAUAUGCCAAAUGAAAGCUAACAACUGCAUCUACAUGUUCACUGAAGACUCUGAUCACAAACUAUGAUCCCAGCAUAUUCAAAACAUGCCCAAAAGAUGAUUACAGAAAACUGCCCGAAUUUUGGAUAAAUUCUCUUUUCUGGUACAGUUUAUUGUAAAAUUCAUAACUAUUUGUAAACUUAUCCAAAUUGGCCAAACAAUAUACCAAAUCAAAGCUGACAACUUCAUCUAAAAGUUUACUUACGAUAUAUAUCCCAAAUUAUUAUCCUAAGACGGUAAUAAAACCCAACGAAGAUGAUUCAUCAAAACUGCCCUGUUUUUGGCAGACUCACCGCCGUCAAAUUCUCAUCUCUAAAAGGCUAUAAGAUUUGCUCGAAUUAGAAGCAAUUUAACACUUACACAUAAUUAUCACGGUCCUCAACGAGUUUUGUGAAGAGACUGGUUCGAAAAUCUCACUCCAAACCCUUCGAUUUCGACUGCGAAAACAGGUGCGGCAGAAGGUUUACUAUUUCUCAGAAUUUCGCCAACAUAGCUGUCGGGUUAAAUUUGGUUAUAUAACUUGAAGAAAUAACUAACAAAGUCUUUCUCAAAUAACAAAGUCUUCUCACCUCGAGUUAGCACCAAAAGCAACAUCAUAGACCGAAAUUUUCUUAGGUACACAACCACGAAUGACACACCUGAAAUAAGAAUCCAUUAGUUUCUUAAGCUUCACCUUCGAUCACAUUACUUUAAACUUGUUGCUCAAUGUGCAUAAGACAAAUUUCAAAUAACUAAUGACUCAAAUAACUAAUGACACAGAUAGAUGCUAACUAUGGACAUUAAACUAGAAACCAACGUUAUUUGUUGUCACAUUUUCUUCCAAAAAUCGUAGCAGGCCGUACGCUUAUCCAAAUUGGGAAAACAAUAUACCAAAUAAAAGUUCACAACUUUAUCUACAAUUGUGAUGAUGAUACCAACCCCAAUUACUAAGAUAACACAACAAUAACAGCCCGAAAAGUUGAAUACAGAAAGCUGCCAGAAUUGUUUUGGACAAACUUGUUUGCUGUCACAGUUUAUUUGAAAAAUCAUAACAAUUUGUAGAGUUAUCCAAAUCGACCAAAUAAUAUACCAAAUCAAACCUCACAACUCAAUAUAGAAAACAUCAGAAGACACAUAGCCUAAAUUAUUACUCCAACAUAACAAAAACAGCUCCGUAUGAUGAUUAGGCAAAACUGCCCUGUUUUUUGACAGAUUCGCUGUCGUCUGAUUCCGACCCCUAAAAGGCUAUAACACGUGCUCGAAUUGGAAAUAAUUAAACACUCACUCAUAGUUUUCGAGGUCCUCUACGAGUUUUGAGAAGGAAUGAUUCCCAAAUUCACACUCCAAACCCUUCGAUUUUGGCUCCGAAAACAGAUACGGUAGCAGAUUUUAUUUCCCUUAGAGUUCCGGCGAGCAGGCUGAAUUUCACACCAAAUUUCGGCGACCACCGACGAAUAAAACUGCCGAGCACCACCAUCAAUGGGAAGCUAACUUCUCGAGGUUUGUAACGGUACCUUCUAUCAUCAAUACUCCACCGUUAACACCUCCGUUCAUUUAAUUAUUUGAAGAGCCAAAAGCUGAACUCCAGACUCCGGCCACCAUCGACGACCUCUGCCGGAAAUCACCAACACCCGAGUACAUCCGAACUCACAAUUAUUCCAAAGGUGGGUCCUGAUCGACGAGAUUCAUUCUCGAAGGUCUCCAAACUUUUAUUUUUCCUUAAAACCCAAAUCUGAAAUUAUCUUUUCAAAUCCCCAAUUCUUUUCCUAUAAUCAAUUCAUCCGAAUCCCCUUUAUUGAAUUCAAAAAUUCUCUGAUAGGGGUAGGAAGUAGGGCUUGGAGAAAUUGGGUGAAAUAGGAGAAUACUUUUGGGGAAAACAAAAGAGGUAAGAUAAGAGGGAUUUUGGUGCACACAUAAUGAAGAAAUUAAGAGAGAACUCCAUCUUGAUUUUCUGUGAUAUUAGCCGAGAAUUGGUAGAGAGAGAGAAAGAGAGCGUAAGGAGAGAGUGAACAAUUUUGUGAUGAAGGAACGAAAGAAGGAGAAUUGGGCCAAUUGGCUGUAUUUUUCAUUAUUUGCAUUUUGGCCCUCCAUCUUUCUUUUAUUUUCUUUUCUUUUCAUGAUUUGUUUAAAAACUAAAUUAGUGACCAAAUCUAUUUGAUUUCCGAAAGUAGUUUCAUAGUGACCAAAUUCAAUUGGUUACUAGCAACCCGAUUAGAUGGUUGUUAAUAAUUAAAUUAAAGACUUGUAGCAACCGUAAAAAAAUUUAAUGAUAAAUUGGUCACUAUUGACACUAAGUUAUAGUGACCAUAAAAAUCGUCGGGACAAACUUUAACUUUAGUUGCUACAAGAUGUCUAGCUAUUAGUGACCACUUAUAGCUACCAAAUGUUCGUUCGUCGCAACAAGAUUUAACCCUUCCCACUUUUGCUACAAAAGUACUUUUGGUCACUAAAUGUGAAUAUUCAGUGACCAUUUAGUUAUGGUCGCUGAGAAUUUGGUCACUGAAACUAGUUUUUCUUGUAGUGAUUGUAAUUACUAUCCUAACAAAAUCAAUUUUUAUAUUUAAUCUUACGAAUUAGAUAUUUAACUAAAAAGACGAGAAAAUCUACAAAUGAAUAUUCUAAUGUUUGGUUUCAUCUCCCUGGCACAAAGCGAUGGUUGAAUUAGUUGUAUUGUCGUAAUUGACAUUAAUCUCGUACUCGUUUAAGAAACAAGUUUGUGAGAAAUAAAGAAAGACAAAUUUGCUGCAUGCCCCUGUUCAAAUCUCAAAUAACAGACAACAUGUCACUUUUCUAGCCAAAAAAAUGAAGGAUAAGUAACAUUAAACCACUCAAACUUUGCCCGUUUAUGCGGAUUGCCAUAUCAACAAAAAAAAUAAAAAUUCAAUCCCACCUGAACUCAAUAAGUUGUGCCACGAUACCCUUUUAAUAAUUAGGCGAAAAUGGCCGGAACUAAACUCAUGUGCUUGCACAUGCAAUUUGAAAGGGCAUUUUUGUCUUUUCAAAAUCACAAUCCGUAAUUCUUCGAAUUCUUCUAUUUUUUUCUUCCAUUUUCCUCCGCAUCUUCUUCGCUCUUCUUCCUCAUCCUCUUCUUCAUCUUUUUCGAAAAGGAAAAGCCAAUCAACUCCUUCCACAUCUACAUUCUCCAUCUUGGAUCACAUGCAAAACUUUAUCAGUCAUUGCAGCAAAAGAAAAGUAUGUUAAUGUACAACAUGUUCAUCCAUAUUUCGCAUGCAAUAAAAGGAGAAACUGAUAGCUACUAUAUAGCAGAGUUACCACAAAAAAAUAUCUGUUUUUUGAAAAUUAAAAUACAAGGACGUAACUGAACUUGUUUUUCUUCAUAUAAUCAUAUACUCAACAACUGACAGCUCAGCAAUACAAUUAGAACAGAAACAAUUCGCUUUUAUUAUUUCUAAAUAUUCUUGUUUUCUUUCAUCUAAACAGCAAGUACAUCAAUAAGCCCUUAACUGGCUUCUCCUUUUCGAAAAAAAUGAAGAAGAGGAGGAGGAAGAAGAAGAGCAAAGAAGAAAGUCAAAGAGAAAUAGAAGAAAAAAAUGGAAGAAUUAGGGAUUGUGGUUUUGAAAAGACAAAAAACCCUUCCAAAUCGCAUGUGCAGCACACAUUGGUUUAAUUCCGACAAUUUUCGCCUGAAAGUUCAAAAAAAAAAGGUAACGUGGCACAACAUAUUGAGUUCAGGUGGGAUCGGAUAUUUUUUUUAUUUUUGAGGUAGUAAUCCGCAAAUACGAACAAAGUUUAGGUGGUUUAAUGCUAUUUACCAAAAAAUGAAUUAGGGUGCAAAGUGCCAAGCAAAAUGUAAUUGAAGGGUAAAUUCUGCCGUUUUUCCAAUUUAAGCCGGCAAAGUACCAAUGACAUGUAAUUUAAGGGUGCAAAGUGCCAAGUACCCGAUCUAUCACAAUCGCAAAAAUAAUAUGAUAUUGUCUCUUACCAAUUGUUAAUUGGAUUGUUCGUAACUUUUCUACCUCUCUUUCUUUAAUAUGACAAAAUUGAAGAGCAAUCACUAUAAAAACAAAGUAGAAGAAAUGAAUGUAGGGUUCAAUACACACUCGUUUAAUUAUAGGGUGCGUAACAAUUACUCUCUUCAAGUAUUAAAUGUAACACUUACCUCCUUUUUCCUCUUUAAAUCUUUAACACCAUUAAUAAUAGGGCGAAUUGCAUACAACCCCUGGGAGGAGGACUUAUUUGCACUCCUAUCCACACCAAAAUCAGUCGUAUAUAGACGCCUGAUAAGUGUUCGUUUUGCACGAUUUUUAUUUAUCGAAUCUUUGAGUGUUGGUCUUCGUUCGUCCGAGUUUUCGGCUUUACAUGUACAUAUUAUGCGUUUCUUGUUUUAUUUAUAUUUUAGGUAAAGUGAAGCUAUUUUUGCCGGUUCGAAACGAUUUUGGAAGCGAAGUCGAAAAUCAAACCAAACACGUGCAAAAGUGCAUUCCCACGGGUUGUGACAGUGUUUGGUAUUUCAAGCAUAACUCCCGCAUACGACUUCCGAUUGAGCUGAUUCAAGAAGCAUAAAAAAGUUAACUUCAAGGUCUACAACUAUAGUGAAAUGCAAAAUUGUCAAAUUCAAGCAAUAAAGGGGUCAAAAUAGGGUUUGAAGUUGACGCAGAGGCCAGAUCGCGAUCCACUCUUCCUGUAUCGCGAUCUGAGGUCACUUACUGAACGUUUUUCGAUCAGGACCCAGAUCGCGAUCCAGCUUUCUUGUAUCGCGAUCUGGGGGUCUCACAUAACGUUUUUUGAUCAAGAACCAGAUCGCGAUCCACCAUUCCCGUAACGCGAUCUAGCAGACGGUGCGCAGUUUUCGAGGCUGCCAGAUCGCGAUCCAAGAAGCCCAGAUCGCGAUCUGGGCGUGAUAAGUGUUCGUUUUGCACGAUUUUUGCUUAUCAAAUCUUCGAGUUUUGGUCUUCAUUCGUCCGAGUUUCCUCUUUAUUUGUAUAUAUUAUUGCAUUUCUUGUUUUAUUUCUAUUUCUAGGUUUUAUUAGAUAUUUUUGCCGAGUCGAAGCCAUUUGAAAGCGAAACCGAAUUUUCAAGCCAAUUUUGAGGCCAAGAAGACCCAGAUCGCGAUACAGGAACUCCGUAUCGCGAUCUGGGGGUUGUCACAUAAAGAAAUUAAAAGUAUCAAGACUCAGAUCGCGAUCUGACAUUCUGAAUCGCGAUAUGGGGGUGUUCACAGAAGGCUUUUUACUCAAGAUCCUGAUCGCGAUCCAGCACUCUGUAUCGCGAUCUGGGGGGUCUCACAGUGCAUAAUUGUUGAAGACCCAGAUCGUGAUACACAUAUCCGAAUCGCGAUCUGGCAUGGCGGUGGGCAGUUCCCCGAGGCUGCCAUAUCGCGAUCCAGCCAACCCUGAUCGCGAUCUGGGCGCGACUUUUGAGAAAGAUAUUUAUUUUGCAAAACUUCUUGAGGAAGCUUUGCAUUUGACUAUAAAUAGAAAGACCCUUUCAUUCUUCAUUUCUUCUUCGACUUUUUACGGUUUUCAACAGUUCUUCGCGGGAAUCAUCAACGGGGGUUUCGACUUGGGUUUUUCUUAUGCAAUUUCUUUACGUUUUGUUCUUCAUUUCUUGUGUACAUUCUUUUGAAAUUUUGUUUGUUAUGAACUAAGAACAUUUUCUUCUAGGGUAAUGAAGCCUUGUAUACAUUGAUUUCGAUCGUCAUUUCUGUUAUCUAUUUGUCGUGUUUCGAUUUCGUUUAUGUUUUCCUAUAUUAAAUGCUUCUGAUUGUUUGAUCAGCUCUCGGAUUGAUAUAAAAUAUGAAUGAACUCGAGAGAGGAUUUCUUGUUUGAAUUUAGGAAAACAUAGCUCGGGGUGUGGAAACGGAGACGUGAUGCACUUCGGGUAGCCCUUAAGGACUUGACCUAAAUGUUCUCUUAAUAGAAGGUUCUGAACGGAGACGUCGGACCUGUGGGUAGACUCUAACUACACUGGAGACGGGGGUUAGACAGGCUAGGAGGUUUCGAGUAUUACUGUUUUCUUGGUGGUUAUUCGGGGUACAAUCAAAUUUCAAUCGCCCCGGAAGACCAAGAGAAAACUAUUUUUACUUGCCCCUACGGUACUUUUGCAUUUCGUAGGAUACCUUUCGGUUUGUGUAAUGCACCUGCUAUCUUUCAAUGAUGUAUGAUGUCUAUUUUUCAUGAUAUGGUAGAAGAAUUUCUUGAGCUGUUUAUGGAUAACUUUUUCUGUGUUUGGAUCGUCUUUCGAUCAUUGUGUGCACAAUCUAGAACUUGUUUUGAAAAGAUGUACAUAAACGAACCUUGUUUUAAAUUGGGAAAAAUGUCAUUUUAUGGUUCGUGAAGGUAUUGUUCUAGGUCACAAGGUCUCGAAAAAGGGUCUUGAGGUGGAUAGGGAAAAAAUCGAAACGAUUGAAAAAUUGCCUCCACCGAAGGAUGUCAAGGGGGUUAAAAUUUUUUUAGGGCAUGCUGGGUUUUACCGUAGAUUCAUUAAAGACUUUUCGAAAAUAGUAUAACCAUUAUGUCAUUUGCUUGAGAAGGAAGCCGUCUUUGAUUUUGAUUCUGCUUGUUUGCAGGCUUUCACGUUCCUCAAGGAGAAGCUAACCCAAUCACCGAUUAUGAUUACUCCCAAUUGAGAGGAACCAUUCAAGAUCAUGUGCGAUGCGAGCGACUAUGUUGUAGGUGCAGUAUUGGGACAAAGGAGGGACAAAAUCUUCAAAGCCAUCUACAAUUCCAGUCGUACACUUGACCAGGCACAGAAGAACUAUUCAACGACCGAAAAAGAAAUGCUUGCAAUUGUUUUUGCAGUUGACAAGUUCAGAUCGUAUAUUUUGGGCUCUCAGAUGAUCAUUUACACCGACCACGCAGCUAUUCGAUAUCUGUUCGCAAAGAAAGACGCCAAGCCCCGACUCAUCAGAUGGGUACUACUACUCCAGGAGUUCGACUUGGAAAUCACAGACAAAAGGGGAGCGAGAAUGUGGUAGCAGAUCAUCUUUCCAAACUCAUACUUGACGAAGUUCUAGCCGAAGGAAAUAUUCAGGAAUCAUUCCCUGACGAGCAACUGCUCUCCAUUAGUACUCACACUCCGUGGUAUGCUGAUGUGGCCAACUUCUUGGCUAGUGGAAUCAUUCCUGACGAUCUAUAUUAUCACCAAAAGAAAAAAUUCCUUCACGACAGUCGUUUCUAUCUUUGGGACGAGCUGUUGCUUUUUAGAACUUGCCCCGACCGAUUCAUCCGAAAAUGUGUUCCGGAAACCGAAGUACGUGAGAUUCUCACACAUUGCCACUCUUCACCUUGUGGCGGGCAUCACGGGGAAUCUCGCACAGCCGCCAAGGUUCUGCAGUCAGGCUUCUAUUGGCCAACCCUAUUCCGAGAUAGGUACGAGUUCGUGAAACGGUGUGAUCGAUGCCAACGGACAGGGAACCUAUCCAACAAAAGCCAAAUGCCACUGAACAACAUGCAAGAGGUGGAGCUUUUUGAUGUUUGGGGCAUAGACUUCAUGGGACCAUUCCCUUCUUCGAACGGGAAGUUAUACAUUCUGCUUGCCGUGGACUACGUGUCCAAAUGGGUCGAAGAAAUUUCCACCACUGCCUACGAUGCUCGUACGGUCCUCAAAUUCUUCCACAAGAACAUAUUCUCAAGGUUCGGGACACCUAGGGCGAUCAUUAGCGAUGAAGGAUCUCACUUCUGCAACAAACUGUUCACUAAUCUCACGAAUAAGUUGGGGAUCCGUCAUAAAAUUGCGCUAGAUUAUUAUCCAUAAACAAAUGGCCUUGCUGAGUUGUCAAACCGAGAAAUCAAACAGAUUCUGGAGAAGACCGUGAGCACGAACCGAAAAGAUUGGGCGUUAAAGCUCGAUGAUGCACUUUGGGCCUAUCGAACAGCAUUCAAGACACCGUUUGGGAUGUCUCCGUAUAAACUCGUGUUUGGGAAAGCGUGCCACCUGCUAGUGGAAUUGGAGCACCGAGCUUAUUGGGCAGUCAAAAAGCUCAAUUUCGAUCAAACAGCUACUGGCGAUCGUCGAUUAUUUCAACUAAAUGAAAUGGAGGAGUUCAGAAACGAUGCUUACGAGAAUGCCAAGAUUUACAAAGAAAAGACGAAAAAGUGGCACGACAAAAAAAUUACAAAGCGAGAGUUCCGGGCAGGUGACCAAGUCCUACUUUUCAAUUCUCGGUUACAAUUAUUUCCGGGAAAGCUAAAGUCCUGUUGGUCAGGACCAUUCGUAGUCCAGAGUGCAACCCCACAAGGAGUUAUCGAAAUACGAGGAUGAGACGGUCUGUCGUUCAAAGUGAAUGGGCAACAAGUUAAGCAUUACUACCCGAAUGGUGCUCCCGAGGAAGUGGAUCGUGUCGCACUAAAUUUCUCCCAAUAAAUCCAAACAAAGUCGAGUCGUCGACUGUAAAACAUACGCUAAAUGGGAGGCACCCCAUUGUUGCUCAUUCUCUGUCAUUUUCCUCUUGUUCUUGCUUUUGUUUUCGUUUUAGCCUUUUCUUGCAUUUUUAUAUUUUUUUAGGGUUCAAUAUCUCUAUCUCACCCGUUUAAAUUUCAAAUUAUUUGCAGAUUACUGGGAUCGCGAUCCAGCAUUUCGGAUCGCGAUCUGGGGUGUCUUACAGUAGGAAAAGUGGAGAGGAACCAGAUCGCGAUCCACACAUCCAGAUCGCGAUCUGAGGUGUUAUACAGAAAAAAAAAAUUGAGGAUCCAGAUCGCGGUCCAGCAUUUCAGAUCGCGAUCUGGGGGGUCUUACAGAGAGCAAAAAAGGGUUAAAUCCAGAUCGCGAUCCAGCAUUUCGGAUCGCGAUCUGGGGGGUCUUACAGAAGCUAGAAGUUACGGACCCAAAUUGCGAUCCAGCCAACCCGGAUCGCGAUCAGGGGGGUUUCAUAAUAAGUUAUUAGGGCAGACCCAGAUCUCGAUCCAGCCCUUCUAGAUCACGAUUUGGGGGCGUAAACAAUACUUAUUAAAAAAACCCUUCUAUUUUUCUCACUUCUUUCUUUUUAAAAAAUUCGAAACCCCUUUCCCCCAAAACCCUAGAACUUCAAUUCUCUAUCAAAUUUCCUCUUCAAACUUGCUUAUUUUUAGAUUUUCAUCAACUAUUAAUGAUUAUUGCUUGUUAUUAUUGAGAAUUGUAGACGAAUCUUCAACAAAGGUAUAUUCUUGACCCAUAUUUUUGAGUUUUGCUUGAAUAUUCGAAUUUCUUCCAAUUUUCUUGUUUUGUCCCUUGAUUCUUCAAUUUUUAUUGCCUGUACAUAUAUGUGUACUUGAUUUUGGGAUUUAAAAGCUUGAUUAAUUGGUUGAGCCAAUGUUAAGAUAUAUGAAUUGUCCUAUUAUGCUUAAUUUCGAAAUUUCUUGUGAAUUAUUGAUUGGGUUGAGUUCUAUUAUGUUAAUUUUUGCUCGUUGAUCGUUAUUGAUUGUUGUUGUUGUUGUUGUUGUGUUGAUUGAUGUAGGAGGGUUAGUUUUCAAAAGAAACUAACAUUCAAAGAAUUUCAAAGAACUUGCGCACGCCAAGUGUUCGACGAAUUGUCCGAACCAAUUCUAAGUUUUGUUUUACACCCUCAUUCACACCAUGACUUCACCGGCAAACAAACUCCAAAAAACGAGUGAGAAUUCAAAGAAAGCCCAACCGAAGAGCAAGGGAAAAGCGCCGAAAAAGAAGAAGGGCAAGGCUCAAGGAAAAAGGGGGGGAGAAGGCUCUUCACACUCGCCUUCACAUUCGGAGGGACCAACCGAGCAAGCUAUGCCAAGAACCGGUGACGUGCCACUCAACACGGGCGCCCGUGCCAAUCAACGCACACUCGUGAACGAAGUCACCUUCGACGAGCGCGGCGAAUAAAUCUAUGUGAAUGUCGAAGCCAAGAGCGAGUACAUCGACCGUCUGCCAUGAGCGAUCAUCCCAAAACGUGAAUUGGAUGUCCGCACGAUUGGAUGCCCCUCGGUUGUCAGCAACAUACAAGAAAGACAUUGGAGAAUCCUCGUCGACAAACCAGGCACCUACAACGAAAAUUUGAUCCGACUCUUCUACGCCAAUGCCGGUCAAUACAAGGGCUCGGUGGUUUUCAUCCGGGGCGUGGAAGUUCGCUAUGACGCAGACGCCAUCAAUCGAGUCUACAGGAUAUCCCCAAAUUAUCCGAACAUUCCGACCGAGCCGUUCCAAGCAUCGAAGAUGGAAACGACUUACCAGCACCUCAUUCAGGCCCUGUGCCCCCGAGGAUCUUAUUGGGCACCAGGAGAUAAGUGGUUCUAUCGAGCCGAGCUUUCGAGAGAGGCCAAGAUUUGGAUGUAUUUCAUUUGCUCCCGACUCAUGCCGACAGUUUCCACGGCCCAGACCUAUGCCACUCGUCUCACGUUGAUGUACGCCAUCAUGAAGGGCACCCCUCUGAACGUGGGUGCCAUUAUCAACUGGGAGAUUCGACGGUGCAUGGGGGACACCUCCUUGGGCCCGAUGUUCCCUUCACUCAUCACAGCCUUGUACAAAAAUACCAAUGUGGUGAUGUUUGCCGACGACAAAGUAACAAAGGCUCCGAAGCCGAUCUUCCCUUUCGACAAGCUCCAGUCAGCUUCCGGUCCACAGGGCGAGGGCGAUGGCCCUGAGCCAGAUGCACCAGCAUCCGAGGAUGACCGACCAGCCCGACCCGAACCACGAGGCGGGAAACAACAGCAGACAGCAGCAGCUCCGCCACUUCCACAGUAUAUGGGCGAGUGGAUGGAUGAUAUGGAUGAGAACGUAGGAUGGUUCAAGAAGAUGAUCAAUGUGAUGGCAGCAGCACUCCAGUGCAGGACGGACGACAUCGUCGAGCAACGACCAUUCCUACCACGACCUCGAUUUGACGGAGCAUCUUCCUCCAACGCAACCGCAGAAGAAGCUGCACGAGCGGCAGCCACCACACUUAUGAGGCCCGUCUGGGAAGAGCAUGAGCGUGGACUUCGGGAGGACGAGGGACGAGCUAUCGAGGAGGACCAUGACAUCUAGGGACGUUGUAUUUUCUAUCCCUUUUAUUUUUUAUUCUGAUUUUGAGCAUAGGGACUAUGCUAGAGUUUGAGGGUGGUGUUUGUUGAACCAGUUUGUUUUUGUUUUGUUUUUAUUUCGUUUGUUUGGAUAAGUCGUUGAAUUGAUAUUUCGUUUACGAUGUAUCUUUGCUAGACUUUGAUUUUAUUUUAUUUUAUUUAUCUUAUUUUGAUUUAGUUCUUUGCAUGCAUAUCAUAUAAUUAAGUUUCGUUUAUGUAUUUCGAUUUCCGUAAUUGUGUUAUGUUUGUCACAUGCAUUUCAUUUAGGAUCGAGUGUAAGUUGCAUUUCCGGAUUCUAUUGAAGCAAAAAAAUUAAUGAAUUAGUAGACUGGCUAGUUGAUUUUAAAAUUGAAAUUGUGGAUAACCGGCUAAUAAUAGAUGAACCUUCCGACUGCGUUUUUGCAACUUGUGUGGAUAGCCUUUCGAAUCCUUUCCUAUUAAGCUUGAGCGCACUUUUCUGAGGGGUAUAAUAGUCUGAGGUUUGGGGGGUGAGUUAGAAUUGAAUUGUGUGUUCACGAUUCGAGUUGUUGGCUAAAAGUUCUAUCAAUGGUCUUUACGUUUUUAUUUUAUGUUAUUGUGUCGAUAAAUAAAUGUUUAAAAAAAAAAAAGAGAGAAAAAUAAUAAUAUGUGGUAUUGUUGUGAUUCACGCUCUGAUUUCCCUGCCUUUCUGACUCGAGCUUAACCCGUUGGGUGCACCUCGUCGCCUAAGUCUCUCGAGUUGUCAAGCUUGGGGGUUUCUUGGACUAAAGUUCGAUACAUGGGUCAGGGAGAUAACACAGUGGUGUCGAGCCUUGCACGAGCUACGAUUAUGCCCGUUUCAAAAAAAUGAAAAAAGAAAAAGUUGUGAUGAAAAUCACCAAAAAUAUUGUUGUCAUUUUUUUAUAUUGAAUAAAUAGACCUACUUAUGCCCAACUCGAGUUUUUGAAUAUCAGAAUCAAAACUUACUUUCACCCACAUUUCUACUCAAAACCCUCGAUGAUUGUGUUUAUUGUUUAAUUAUGUGUUCUCGAGUCUAUCUUUCAUUUUGGUGUAGAAACAACUAAUUGCGUCGCUAGGUAUGUUAUCUGAAAACCCUCACGAGACACAACUCGUCCUUUGGCGGUACCCAGGGGUUCAAAGGCUUGUUGCAUACGCUAAAUGCAAUCGUGACUCCCUACGUUAGUGGCCUAGUUUUAGUUUGUUGUUUUAAUUUCCUUUUUGUUGUAGUUUCGUUUUGAUUUACUCGGGACAAGUAAAGUUCUAAGUUUGAGGGUGUGAUAAGUGUUCGUUUUGCACGAUUUUUGCUUAUCAAAUCUUCGAAUUUUGGUCUUCGUUCGUCCGAGUUUCGGCUUUAUUUGUAUAUAUUAUUGCGUUUCUUUUUUUAUUUCUAUUUCUAGGUUUUAUUAUAUAUUCUUGCCGAUUUUGGGGCCAAGAAGACCUAGAUCGCGAUAUAGGAACUCCGUAUUGCGAUCUGGGGGUUGUCACAUAAAGAAAAAGUAUCAAGACCCAGAUCGCGAUCUGACAUUCUGGAUCGCGAUCUGGGGGUGUUCAUAGAAGGCUUUUUACUCAAGAUCCAGAUCGCGAUCCAACGAUCCGUAUCGCGAUCUGAGGGGUCUCACAGUGCGUAAUUGUUGAAGACCCAUAUCGCGAUACGCAUAUCCGGAUCGCGAUUUGACAUGGCGCAGGGCAGUUCCCCGAGCUGCCAGAUCGCAAUCUGGGCGCGACUUUUGAACAAGAUAUUUAUUUUGCAAAACUUCUUGAGGAAGCUUUGCAUUUCACUAUAAAUAGAAAGACCCUUUCAUUCUUCAUUUCUUUUUCCACUUUUUACGGUUUUCGACAGUUCUUCGCGGGAAUCAUCAACGGGGGUUUCUAUUUGGGUUUUUCUUACGCAAUUUAUUUACGUUUUGUUAUUCAUUUCUUGUGUACAUUCUUUUGACAUUAUGUUUGUUAUGAACUAAGAAAAUAUUCUUCUAGGGUAAUGAAGCCUUGUAUAUAUUGAUUUCGAUCGUCAUUUGUUUUAUCUAUUUGUUGUGUUUCGAUUUCGUUUAUGUUUUCCUGUAUUAAAUGCUUUUGAUUGUUUGAUCAGCUCUCAGAUUGAUAUUAAAUAGGAAUGAACUCGGGAGAGGAUUUUAUUGUUUGAAGUUAGGAAAACAUAGCUCGAGGUGUGGAAACGGAGACGUGAUGCACUUCGGGUAGCCCUUAAGGACUUGACCUAAAUGCUCUCUUAAUAGCAGGUUUUGAACGGAGACGUCGGACCUGUGGGUAGACUCUAACUACACUGGAGACAGGGGUUAGAGUACUUUAGCGUCUGGGUUGACGAAUAGGAAUGUGACUUUAGAUAACGGAUUUGUAGAUCGUUGUUGAUUAUACAUAGACGGAUUUGUCCCUAAAAGUCUCUUUUAAACCGAAGCCCUCCCGCGUUGAGUUGUCGCUACUUUGUUUACGUACAUUCUAUAUUUGCAUGUUUACGAUCUUGCAUGCUUUUAAAUUAGGGUUUAUCACCAUUCCAAAUAUUUACGAUCGACUAGAUAAUAUAACGAUAAUACAAUUACACUACUGAGCAUGUGAAUCUACAAGGUCCCGGUGGAUCGAUAUACGGAACCACUGUUCUCCAAAAUGCGAUAUUGUAUACUUGCGGUAAUUUAUACAUGAGAAAAACGCGUAUCAGGGCACAUAAAUCGAGACCAUAUAUUUUUCUUUGUUUUCUUACUAUAAAUAGAAGGUCUCUUUUUCAUUUUUUGAUCUAAUGACCUCUUCUUCGACUUUUUUCGGUUUUCUCAUCGGUUUUCGCCAGUUCUUUGCGGGAAGCUUCGACGAGGGUUUUGACUUGUGUUUUUCAUAAGAUUUUUUUUUUACGUUUAGUUUAUGAUUUCUCGUGUUCGUCAUUUUGAUGCUAUGUUUGUAAUGAACUGAGCAUUUUCUUUUAGGGAAACAAAACCUUGUAUAUAUUGAUUUUAAUUUCUAGAUCUGUGAUCUAUUUGUCGUUUUUUGAUUAUGUUUAUGUUUUCCUGUAUUAAAUGCUUUCGAUUAUUUGUAUAACAGUUGCAUUGAUUGUAAAUGGGAAUGAACUCGAGAGAGGAUUUCUCGUUUGAUUUUAGGAAAAUAUAGCUCGGGUUGUGGAAACGGAGACGUGAUGCACCUCGGGUAGCCCUUAAGGACUUGACCUAAAUGCUCUCUUAAUAUCAGAUUCUGAACGGAGACGUUGGAUAUGUGGGUAGACUCUAACUACACUGGAAACAGGGUUUAGGGUAUUUUGGUGUUUGGGUUAGCGAAUAUAGAAUUGACAUUAGAUUCGGAUUUGUGGAUCCUUAUCGAUAGUACGCUAGGAGCCAUCACAGGUCGGAAUUCCUCGCUUGUCCUGGCGGACCGUUGUUUUUAUUUAUUAUUUCUUUUUAGUUUCAUUUCUCUCAUUCUUUUGUUCGUCUAGAUAAAGUUUAGGAUAGUUUACUUACGGUACUUGAUAUAUUCAAGAACUUAAUUCCCUUUUGGAUCGAUAUCUGGAAUUCAUUAUUCUACAAAACGCGAUACUGUACACUUGCGGUUUUUCAUACGUAGGUUUUACGCGUAUCAACGCCUAUCCCCCAGCCUCCUGCCCAAAAUGCCUCUCACAAUAUAAUUUACAUCAAUCUCAUCCGCAAUGUACCAAUUUGACAAAUAUUGCACAUUGACACCAAAUUAUAACAAUAUAUCAAACUAACCCCUAUUUUCAUAUUUUUUUCUUCAUAAAAUAUUUUUCUUCUCUAAACAUUUUUUUUUCCGGCCACUAACUGACGAUGAUUUUUUUCCCCAUUUUGUUACCCGCCACCAUCGUAGGUGGUCAACGGCUUUGGUUUCUCUUUUCUGAAAUUGUUAUAAUUUUUUUUGAGUUAUUUUAUUUUCACGCGGUUGAUCGGUCUACACAGUAAGAUUACAGUGAAUAAAUUACAUUAAUCUUACUAUCUUACACGAUAAUAUUAAUGUGUUCACAGUAAUAUUAAAUAUUUUUAUCUUCUUUUUUUUUUUUUUUUUUUUUAAAACACCCAACACUGUAAUAUAUUAUUGUGCUAACAGUAAUAUUAUUGUCUGAGACAAUAAUAGUAUUGGCCAAGUCAGUAAUAUUAAUAUUAACACAAAUAUUAAUGUGUUAACAACAAUAUUAUAGUCUGAGACAGUAAUAUUGCAGACCAAUACAGUAAUAUUUGUCUCUUAAUAAUAAUUUUACUAUUUGGGACCGUAAUAUUGCAGGCCGUGACAGUAAUAUUAUUGUGUUAAUAAUAAUUUUAUUGUCUGAGACAGUAAUAGUGCAAACCAACACAGUAAUGUUAUUGAACACAGUAAAAUUAACAAUGAUUUUGUUGUGUUAAUAGUAAUAUUAUUUUAUGUCCGUAAAAAAAUGUAGAACAAAAAAAAAAAUCAACGCCAGAGACCAGCGGCAACAACGGCGACCGGACGGAAAAAAGGUCCAAUAAAAGAAAGUUUCAAAAAAAAAAAUUAACGCCGGAGAAAAUUGGUUAAUUAGUUUUGGGGUGAAAAUUGGUUAAUUAGUGAAAUAGAGUUAACUCAGGGUUUAAAUCAUGAAAUUGGGGUGAAUUACAGUUUCAAAGAGUAAGGGGUGAUUUUGGUUUAUAUGAGAGAAUUUUCUUUAGUUGAAUAUAAGUGUUGAUGGGUGGAUAUAUUUGCAAAAAAAAGAUGUUUUGAAAACCGGAACGGACAUCCACCCGGCCAAGUUACCGGGUCACGGUUGGACUGUUAGAGUAGGUGACCAACAAGCCAACCUGUGGUUGUCUUUUUUUCAUUUAUUAUUGUAAUAAAUAAUCUUUUACGUAUUAAUGAUAAAUUCACUUGGUAUUCUAUAUCUUUGUCCCUUUGUCACAAGCAUAGAUAUAGUCCUUACAGUUAUUACAAGUACUAGUAAUUGAUCGUUAGGAUCGUGAGAUACUUACUUUAGUAUUAUAACUGUUAAAGGUGUUCCUAGUCGAAGGGUUACUGAUACGUGUAAAACCUACGCAUGAAAAACCGCAAGUGUACAAUAUCGCGUUUUGUAGAAUAGUGAAUUCCAUAUAUCGAUCCACAGGAAAUUAAGUUCCUAAAUUUACCAAGUAUCGUAAUUAUACUAUCCUAAACUUUAUCUAGACGAUCGAAAGGGUGGGGGAUGAAACUAAAAAGAAAAAAACAAUAAUAAAAACAACGGUCCGCCAGGACAAACGAAGAAUUUCGACGUGUGAUGGCUUCUAGGGUAAAAUCCACCAGUGCACUAUCAAUAAAGAUCUACAAAUCCGAAUCUAAUGUCAAUUCUAUAUUCGCUAACUCAUACAUUAAAAUACCCUAACCCCCGUCUCCAGUGUAGUUAGAGUCUACCCAAAUGUUCGACGUCUCCGUUCAGAACCUGAUAUUAAGAGAGCAUUUAUGUCAAGUCCUUAAGGGCUACCCGAGGUGCAUCACGUCUCCGUUUCCACAACCCGAACUAUAUUUUUCUAAAAUCAAACGAGAAAUCCUCUCUCGAGUUCAUUCCAAUUUACAAUCAAUUCAACUGUUGGCCAAACAAUCGAAAGCAUUUAAUACAGGAAAACAUAAACAGAAUCAAAGAACGACAAAUAGAUCACAGAUCUGGAAAUCAAAAUCAAUAUAUACAAGGUUUCAUUUCCCCUAAAAGAAAAAGCUUAGUUCAUUACAAACAUAGCAUCCAAAUGAAGAACACGAGAAAUCAUAAACUAAACGUAAAGAAAAAGCUUAUGAAAAACCCGAGUCGAAACCCUCGUCGAAGCUUCCCGCGAAGAACUGGCCAGAACCAAAGAGAAAACCGAAGAAGAAGUCGAAGAGUCGGUCUAAGAAGUUCUCCUUUUUGAAGAGUGAGGCUUGUUGUAUUUAAAGUAAUCUUUGCCUUUUUGGAUAUUUUUUACGCAUCCCAAGGCCCAUAUCGCGAUAUGGGUGACAGUAUCGCGCGAUAUGGCAAAAAUGCAAGCUCUUUGUUUCGUUUCUCCCCAUACCGCGAUACAGGCUGGCAUGUCGCGCGAUAUGGCAAAAAUGCAAGCUCUCUGUUGUUUCUCCCCCAUAUCGCGAUACAGGAUGGCAUAUCGCGCGAUAUGGCAAAAGUGCAAGCUCUCUGUUUCGUUUCUCCCCCAUAUCGCGAUAUGGAAGAUAAUAUCGCGAUAUGGUCGCUGCAAUAACUUCAAAUUCUGUUUUGACCCUUUUUUAGCCCGAAUUUGACAAUUUUGCAUUUCACAAAAGUUGUAGACCUUGAAUUUGGCUUUCUAAAUCCACUUGAAUCAUCUCACUUGAAGUUGGCUUUCUAAAUCCACUUGAAGUUGGCUUUCUAAAUCCACUUGAAUCAUCUCAAACGGAGGUCGUAUGAAGAAGUUAUGCAGGAAAUACCGAACGCUGUCAUCGCCCACUUGAAUGCAAUUUUGCACAUGUUUGGUUUGAUUCUCGGCUUCACUUCCAAAAUCAUUUCGAAUCGGCAAAAAUAGCUAACAAAACAUAAAAAUAUAAAUAAAACAAGAAACGCAAUAAUAUAUACAAAUAUAGCCGAAACUCGGACGAACGAAGACGAAAACUCGAAGAUUCGAUAAGUAAAAGUUGUGCAAAACGAACACUUAUCAGUUACGCCACCAAUGAGGAUAUCGGCCUUUCCCAUUAAGAGACUAGCACUUAGUUUAUGUGUACUGCAUCUCAUCAGUAAACGGUAUUGUGAUAUCGACAUGCAUAAGUGGGUGCUCGUAAGUUGACGAGUUCACUGAACUCCCUCACCCUAGAAAUCUCUAAGUGGUUCUCAAUAAUCGAGUAAAUAUAUUUAUGGUAUAGAUGUACACUAUUAGUCGUUAUGACCUAGACAUCACCGUGACUUCACUAGAGGACCAGUUGUAUCGUGACCUGUCCCUGAGUUCCACCGAGGACCACCCCAAGGGCCAGUGUUAGUGCAGUCCGAAAUCUAGUGGGAGGUUUGUGCAUUGUAGUCGGGGAUUCGAUCGCUAGAAUAGCCUUGGAUGUCCUGUGUGUUCUCAUAGUUUGUAAUCUCUAAGUCUCUGGCCAGAGAUGACUAACUGAUGAUUAGAGAAUUCAAUUCUCUAAGCCAUGCACGUACCGAUUACAACACUUAGAACGAUCGCACAAUCAUUGAACUACUAAGGAGGUCUUGAUGAACCAAUACCUCUAGUUCAAUCGGGACAUAUGAAUCGAAGGGAUCGUACUGUAAGCUAACUAUAUCAAAAGUUUCUUGCAGGCACUAAAUUUGUAUCUAGGGAAUCAUGACGCGUAGUUUCUAGACGCCAAUCCUGAUUCGUUGGGUGAUUAAGGUGAAACGAGCUUCAUCUUAAUCGUAACUCUAAGGGACGAGUUUUGACCACAAAGGGUUGUGGGCCCACGGCUAUCUUACACCUGAACCAUCGAGCGUCACACUACUCGUGCACAUAAGAUCUUUGAAUGAACGGUCAGAGAUAAAAAUGUUUUAUCUUUGCAUGAUUGGAAGUCAAUAUGAUUGAGUCCAACAUUCGUAAUUUGGAAUUAUGAAUGAAAAUAAUAAAAUGAAAAGAAUAGGCGAACAUCUUAGUGGACUUUCUAAAUCGGGAAGUUUCAAAAUUUAGAAAGUGCACUGAAUUAGGGUUUCCACUUUUGGAAAGUUGGAAAUCCAGCAUUGGCACUCGUAAUGACGAGGACAUUAUAAUGAUUCCGAAAAUGUAAUCGUUACAAUUUUCCGAUCAUUGAAUUGAGAGAAACGAGCGAAUGAAGAACUAACGAACUUAAGUUGUUGGGCCCGGUCCAACUUAAGCCCGUUAGGGCUUUUAUGCAAGACAAUAUAAAUACUUGAUUUAUAGGUCUUGCACACAAACACACAACUCAUGAAAAACCCUAGCCGCUCACCUCACGCUUGAAGAGGUAAACUUUCGAGUUAUUUGUUCGAAAUUAAUUUAAUUCGAUUAAAUUAUGCAUUAUCGUGUUUCGUAGUAUGUUUUAUGAAUUUGUAUGUUUUAUGUGAUUACAUGAAAUUCGUAAUUUACUGCGAGCAUGUUAAUUAAUUUAAUGUGAGCAUGCUAAUUGAUUUACUGUCGAUUAAAUAAUUCGCAUGUAUGUUGUUUUUAAUUUCGCCGGAAUCGCAAAGGUACGCAAGAGGUAUAUGAGCGCAUCUGUGAUGAGUACAGUCGAUGUGUCUAUGAGGCCGGCAGGCAAUUACCCCCGCAAUGGACCAUGCCUGACCUUGUUCGGAUGGUUCUUGGGGAUGAAGCUCUUCAGCACGGCUUUCUGACGGAUGCCUACUAAGAUGUAAUGGUAUGUGGUACUCGUAGUUGGGGAUGCGAGGUGCCCCUUCCUUGAACCGGCUUUCUCUCUUCCUUACCGACCUUCCUUAAGCAGGACCCUCACUUCAGUGCGAGAAAAAGCGUUUAGGUUUUACCGAUGACUGAUAGCGUGAGCAAAAUCCAUAAAAUCAUCACAUUUUGAAGUCCUGCAAUUAUCGGGCAUGUGAUUAUGUGAUUUAAAUUUGUUUAAAUUCGCAUAAAAUUUUUGUUUUCCGCUGCGUACACGUAUCUGAUUCCCAACAUGGACUGGUUCAACUGGGGUUCAACCGGAUUGCUUAUUAUUUUUUUUAAUAUAUAAUUAUUUUAUUAAUUUUAUACCUCAAAUAUAAUAUAUUUCCUUCCCACUUUUAUCACUUUACCUACUCCACCUUUUUUAUAAAAGAAUAAUUUAAAAUUAUUAAUUUUGUUCUCUAACAUAGAGGCAAUAGAGUAAUCCGUUGGUAUACUAUAUGUAUUUGUAUCUUAGAACUUCUUCUGACGACUUAUGCAUUCUGCUAUCAUUUUCAAUCGGAUGAUCCAUUAAUACAACUAGUGGAGGAUUAUAAAUGGAUCAUUUUUUUUGAUUUCCACUGGAGAUUAGGAAUAGAUGGAAUCUCUAUAGGACCCAUUUUACUGACGGGAUUCAUAACUACUUUAGCUACUUUAGCGGCUUGGCCAGUUACUCGGGAUUCUCGAUUAUUUAAUUUCCUGAUGUUAGCAAUGUACAGCGGGCAAAUAGGAUUAUUUUCUUCUAGGGACCUUUUACUUUUUUUCCUCAUGUGGGAGUUAGAAUUAAUUCCCGUUUAUCUACUUGUAGCUAUGUGGGGAGGAAAAAAACGUCUGUACUCAGCUACAAAAUUUAUUUUGUACACAGCGGGAGGUUCCAUUUUUCUGUUAAUGGGAGUUCUCUCUUCUUUCCCCCAUCCCCUUCUUUUCUUCCAUCUUCUUUUCUUCUCUUAUUUCUCUGUUUAUUCUUAAUUAUCAUAAUCUCCAUUCACACACAUACUUUAUUUUCUCAACUUAUUUUUGCAUUUUUUUUCUUCAUUUUCACUUUCACCUUCUUCGUUUUCUUUUCCUCUGUGGAAAGUUAUGGCGGCCACAACUUGGAUUGGGUUAGAUACUACCCAGAUCUGUCUAGAUCCAUUCACCAACAACCUUUCUUGUCAAGAUUCAUUUACCUACGAGCACCAUUGAUGUAGAUCCGACAUUGAUAUUUUGUUUUGAGCUGAAAACCGGUUUGAGGACUUGGUUUCGGGUUAAUCUGUUCUUAACGGUCAAACCGGGUUUUUGGGCUUUUUGGGUUUUCACAUUUAACCGGACCGGACAUGGCGGCGGUUCGCGGUUGAACCGGUCGGACCGGCCGGUCCGAUCCGAUUUUCAAAACAUUGCUUUUUAAUACGACCAUUAACCAUAGAAAAUGUACCAAAGUUGUAGUAAAAAAACCUUUUGCUACGCAUUGCCCCAGAGCAUAUAUUGGCGUGAAAAAAACUUUGUUACAGUAAAUGGUUGUAGCAAAUACCUUUUUGCUACGAUAAAUCCUAGCAUUUAUUACGACUCUAAGAUUGUUCCAUACUAAAAGUUACCUUAAAUCCAUGUCAUUGCAAUAUUCCACGUUUCCCACUAAGUAGAAUACUUAAGUGCUAAUUCCUCUGUUCCACAAUAAUUGUCUCUUUUUAAAAAUAUUUUUGUUCCAUAUUAUCUGACACUUUAGAUUUCCAAUACUGCAUUAAAUGCAUUUUUUACUGUUUUAACCUUAUUAAUUCAAUUAUAAGUAUUAACUCUCUCUUACCACAUCAUUAAAUAAUCAAGGUUAUUUUAGUCUUUCUAAUAUAUUUUACCUAAAAUCAAGACACAUUUAUUGAGCUUCUUAAUACUUGUGCAAAGCCAAAAACGACACUCAAUAGGGAACGGAUGGAGUAAUUAGAAGUGCUAAAAGGUACGCAUUUCUAGAGCUAAUAGCAUAGAACCCCCUGUAUUAUUUAUAAUUAACAAAAAAACCCUCGUGUUUAAUAAAUUAGCAAUCUCCCCCCUAUACUGUGUUUGACAUAGCAUACAGCCCCCUAUUUACCAUUUUGUUGUUGACUUAACUAACAUGACUAUUAAACCCCAAAUAAAAAGAAAAAGUAAAAUACCUCCAAAUACCCAAACAAAUUAUCUCUCUCCUCGUGCUCUUAUUUUUUUCUCUACCUCUUUUCAUACUAACCAGACCAUCGGAAAAACUUAACUGCGGUGGACGAAUUUUUGCACAACAGUUUCAAGACUUGAUGGGUAGUUUUUGGGUUGGGCUGAAUUUGGGUGGACGCAAGACGGGCACUUUGUGAACCUGGGUGGCGGCGCUGAUAAUUUCGCAGAGGAUUCGCACUUGGGGAGUGGUGGUGGUGUAUGUAGGGAAACGAAUUGGGAACUGGAGUUGGAUUGCUCAAGUUUCCCGCCGCCUUUUGUGUGUUCUUUCUCACUCUCUCUUCCUUUCAAUGCUUCAACAUUUUUGUAAUUUUGAUUUUUGGUUAUGACGGAGAUUAUUUUAUGUCUGUGGGUGUUGAUUGAUCGACUGAUGAUUUUGAUGUGGCGAAGCUUCGAACAAAAUUAUGAGCGGAGAAGUCCAUGAUUGGGUUUGGGUUGAUUUUGGGAGAGGCUUCAUGAAAAUGUUAGGGAUCCAAUUGAAAAUUUUGAAAAUUUCAUUAUGGGACUCAUUAAAAUUCUAGGGUGAAUCUGUAAUUUUUAUAACUUGUGAUGUAAGGGUAUUUGUGUCUUUUCAAGUUAAAAACACACCCCUAGUUGCAUAAUACGGGCGUGCAACACACGUUAAGUUGUUAGGGACCUUAUUGACUUUGACUAAUUUUCAUAGGGGGGUUGUUGCUAAUAUUUUUAACACAAGAGGUUUUUCGGCAAUUAGAGAUUACAUAGGGGCGGUAUUUGCAAAAAACCCCGCAUUUCUAUUGUAUUCCAAGAUUCUUGCAGAUUUAUAAUACAGUUUUGUUUUUUUACUUUUCAAACGAUUUAAUGUAAAAAUUGCCCUAUUCAUGGGAAAUAUAAUAUAGUUCGAAUUUUACCAGAUUAUUCGAUUUUAUUAUAAUUUUUUUAUAAUAUCUUGUUGAGGAAUGGGGGAACAUCAAAAUAAAUUAAGGAAAAUUUUCCCUAAACCUCUGUGUGUUAUUUUUAUUGUAAAACUCCCUUUUAUUAUAUUUUUGCUUGCAUAAAUUCCCCUUUUUGCCGUUCACAGUGAAGGAAUUUUUCGAUAAAAAAAAGAAAAGAAAAAGAAAACAGCUGAUUUUGUUUCUUAAAAAAAUUAAUCCUGCUAUAACAAGAAUGAUUAAUUAACAAGGUAACAACAACCUUAUAAGUUAUAAAUAAUACCCUCCCUCCCACCCUCUCCCUCCGUGGGUUCACUACUUUUAGUCUCUCUCUCUCUUCAAUUGUUGUUCAAUUAAUAAUCUUUCGUGAUGGGAUAUUCCAACUCCUGCGACAAAACAGUAAACUUAGUAAUGAAUGAGUUUAAAACCCUACGGUCCUCGAUGUAUCAAGAGGCCGUCAUCUUCUUGAAAUUCAGUUUUGUAUCGGCUUACUACGAUUGGAUUCAACGGCCAUAUUGCUCGGUUCCAGAGUUUCUCCAGCGAGUCGAUAAACCCCAAGCGUAUAAAUCAAUCUCCGUCGGCUGCCGCCAAUUAUUCACGUACCCAGACACAGCACGUGAAGUCAUCAGCCAAGGAUUCCAAGGUUGGCCACUAAGCAGCUCCGAGCGCAGCCAAUUGAUCGAAGAUGUGCUGACCAUAGUCAGGGAAAACGUUGACCAAAACUGUACUGUCGACGUUCUGUUAAAACUCCAUGUGUUGGAGAAACACAGACAUGUUUCCGACGAGAUGUCGUCGGAUUCCCACGGCACAUGCUCUGUUUGCCCCACCUAUUAUUCUCUUCGCUAGCUUCUUUCCUUCACUCCUUACCUAUUAGCUUCUUCGACGACUCUACUUAUUAUUAUGCAUAUGCAUGCUAUUGUUACGUACCCUUUUUUAUUACUACUUUAUUCAAACAUUAAAAAUUAUAUUAUGGUUUAUUUUUUAUUUUAUUUUUGGUUUUUUUUUGGUAUUAUGGUAUUUUAAUUAUGCUACUCUAAAUAAUCCAGUACUAGCUAUUUUUAUAUUAAUGUUGGGGGUUCAUAUAGGCUGAGAUACCCCGUAUUAUAAACUCAUAUGAGAUAUGAUCUAAUUAACACUAAUUUUAUAAGAUUAGAUCUCGACUCUAGGAAAAUAUACUGGGUAGUCUUACAAAUAAUGAAUCAUUACCAAGUAGCCUUCGAUUAAUUAUUUUAUUAAACGAAUUUAAAAUAGAUUAACAUCAAAUUGUCUAAUUUACCCCUGACUAUAUUUUAGUGAUAAUUAAUUUAAGGGUAAAUUUUAAUUUCUUCCCUUGUACUUUGGCUCGAUAUCACUUUACCCCCUUCUACACAAUCCUUGUUAUUACACAAUAUAUCAUGAUUGGUACGUAGAGUGAAAUUAUGUUAAUUAUUAUAUAAUCUUGAAACUGUUACGUACUUAAAAUUUCACCGAAACAACAGAGAUGCUCUGUUUUCCCAGACUAUCAUUCUCUUGGCUCUCGUAUUUCGUUAUUGCCUUAGCUUUGUUGCUCUGUUUUCCCAGACUAUCAUUCUCUUGGCUCUCGUAUUUCCCUCUUGCCUUAGCUUUGUUCGCGUCGAACCUCGUAUGGUAUUAUACAAUUAUCGGCACACCCUUAUUAUUGUUUUAUUAAAAUAAAAUAAAAUAAUAAAAACAUAAUAUUAUGGUAUUUUAGGUAUGAUACACUAUAUUCAUGAUUUCUUUUUAUUUUCCAUUGAUGACCCAGAUUGAAGGAGAAUAUUUUCCGAACAUGAAUGAACGAUUAAUUCUCCAAUGUUAAUUAGCAUAGAGUAACUUGUUUCCUUUCAAGAUCAUUUGUACUAUAUAAUUUGGGGUGAGAUAUCCGUGUUCUAAACUCAUAUGAGAUAUGUUCCACUCACCAUUAAUUUUGAAAGAUUAGAUCUGAACCCUAAAAAACUAACACGAAUGGUAUUACAAUCAAUGAGUCAUUUACAAAUGUACCCUUCGAGGAAAAGUUUAUUAUUAAAUAAUAUAAAAUAGAGUACUAUUGAAUUGUCUAAUUUACCCCCACUACAUUUGGGAUUAUUUUAAGAGACCCCCUCAUAUGGAAAAUAUUUGGAACUAAUCACCAAGAGGAUUACAUUGUGGUGGAUACCCCUCAUUUUUAAUAUUAAUUUGACAUAAUCCCUCGCCAAUUUGAAGUACCUAAAAUGUCUUUUUAAAUCAGUUUUAAACUCUAGUCAACUCACAACCGCCUCUCUCUUUCUCUUUGAACUCCCAGAUCAAAAUCCCCUCCCCCCGCCAUAGGUCUCUAACCGGCGAUGUUGCUUUCCGGAGUCAUAACUCUAUCUCCGGUGGUCGGAUUUCGAUGGUUUAACUACUGUUGGAUUCCCCUCGCCGAGUUCAUUCUUUUGGUGGUGAUUUCAUUCGGUCUGGAACUCUGGAACUGUUUUUGCAAUCGUUUUACAGUCCCCGCAUAUUUCAACGACGGUGGGUCUUGCCGGAUGAGUAAUUUGUGUCCCGACAGUCGGAAUUUGAGGGGCUACCAACCUUUGGAUUCCUCUCGUUGAGAUUUUUUUAUGGUAAUUUCAUUCAAUUUUUUAUUGGCAGAUUUGUUUCUGUAAUUUUUUUCAUUGCGAGUGCAGAAACUUAGGUGGUUGGAGGCAACGUGGUUUUGGUAGGAGGCGCUUGGGGUGAAAAGUCAUUGGCGGUUUAGUCUAAAAUUCAUAGUAUUUCGCAGCCAUGGCCUCUCUCUCUCUCUCUCUUAGCGUUUGUUGACUUUUGAGUGUUUUGUUUCUUCAAUUCUUGUUAAUUUGCACUAAAAUAAUAAAAAAAAAAUUAUUUUGAUUUUGCAAAUGCAGCUUAAUGGAAGCCAUUGAUCCUCUUCCUUGAAGGUGUCAAAAAAUUUGGUUGAAGUUACAUCUGCUUCAAGUUAUAUUGUUCUACAGAUUGCAUACAUUAUUGUACAUUACUAGUUACAUAUAGUAACAUAUGCAUAUAAUUUUGUAUUUUUGAUUUAUAUUUGUUGGUUAUGAGUUGAUUUAUAAUAUAAAUAUUGAAAUUUUAAAUUUUUGUUGUUGGGUUUAUGAAUUUCUUUUUUUAUAAGCUAAUAUUCGCGUGUGUAUAUAAUUGGUCGGCUAAAAAUUUGGGGUAAAAAGAAAGAACAUAACUACGAAUUACUAUAGUUUACUAUAGUUACAUGUAGUAAUUUUCAGUACAGUAAACAUAUCGAUUUUUAAAAAAUAUUAAAAAAAAUAAUAAUAAUAAAAUAAACAAACAGGUUUUAAAAAAAAAACAAAAAAAAAAAAAAUAAUACAAAAAAAAAUCAGCAAAAAUGUUAAAUGCAUGACCAGAAUAUUGAAUGAAGUUUGGCCAAAAAUUGCAUAUAUGGGCAAUAUUAUACUUACUGGACAAUUUGGAAGGCCAUUUGGAUUCAAUUUCAGGGCUUCUACAAACGGUCUAGUAUCCAAACAGUCUACUUAAUUGGUGUGGUUAUGCAAUGCUACAACCAUAGAUACACUAUGAAUCAGCAUACAUUGGGCCUAAAAAUUUCCAAUCUAUAAUAAUAAAUGCACAUUGAACUCAUUGUACACUGAAUUUCACAUUUUUAACUCGAGUAAACUGCAAAAAGUACCCCUGUAUAAUCUCUAAAUAGCAAAAACCCCCCUGUGAUAAAUAAACUCGCAAAAACCACCCUGUGAAAUUUAGUCAAAGGCAAAAACCCCCCGGUUGACUUAAGUGUGGCUCACUCGCGGGUUGCGCGAUUGGUAGUAGGUUUUUGGACAUGAAAUGACGAAAUUGUCCCUAAAAAUGUAUUUAUAUGUAUAUAUAUUAUAUGUAUAUAAAUUUUCCUUUUAAUUUGAUUGUUUAGAAAUUAAAAUAUCGUUAAAAAAUAGUAAAUAAUUAAAUUUAAAAAUUAUUAAAAAUUUGUUAAUCAAAUUAAGUAUAGAUUUUUUUAAAUAUAUAAUAACGGAAUUUAAAUUUUCUUUUGAUAUAGCGAUAAUUUAAAAUAUAUACAAAAACUAUGUGAUAAUAUAAACAAAAAUAAAUUAAAGACCCCAUUGUACCUUUAUAAUUAAGAUAUAACAAAAAUAAAAUAAUUAAAAUAUUUAAAAAAUAUAAGAAUUUAUUAAUUGCAAAAUCCCGGGGGUAUUUGGGUCUUUUUAUAUGAAGUCAACACUCAAAUGAUAAAUGGGCCGAAUGUGCUAUUUAAAUAAUUUCAAAGGGGGUUGUUGCUAGUUUAUUUAUCAUAGGGGGGUUUUCGCUAUUUAUAGAUUACACAUGGGUACAUUUUGCAGUUUACUCUUUUUAACUCAGAAAUAUUGUAGAACAUGUUAUAAUCAGAUUUUUUUUUAUAUAUUGUAAAUUAAAGAACCUCACCAGAGAAAUUGAAUUACUACAAUUUGCAACACGAAUUCUGAGUUUCUUAUCCCAUUCAGGAUUAAUAUCUGUCGUCAAAACACGAGAACUUAACAUCAGCAACACAAGAAAGCUAUUUAAUGAUUAAUCUCUUAAGAACAACAAUACGGCCUGCAGACUCCAAUUGCUUAGCCGAAGAGAGUUCCGUUUUUUUUCUGGGAACACCGCAUCAUAAUGCAGGACAUGUGCCUCGGAUCGAAAAUCGAUUCUGGCCAACUCCAACUUCAUAUCAGAUAUUCUUCUAGGGAUUAAUUUAUAUACAUAGAUGCCAAAAUUUUAAAUAUUUGAGGGAGUGGUUGACAAAAGCCAUAUUUCAGGGAUGUAGUUGUCAAAUGGCAAGGUGAGUACAAUUUAUAUAUAUAUAAUUUAGGGGUGCAAACGUAUUGGAAUUAGCCCUUUCGUAAAAAUUCCUAUUUUUUCCGGAAGUCCAAAAUGGAUUGCACAAGUCAAAAUUUUGUCGGACAUAAACGUGAAGUUUUCAUUCCCAGAGAACCUUAAAUACGAAAAACCAAACAAAAGAAAGAAGGAAAGAAAGAAAAAAUAAAACUAUUAAAAAAAAUCCACGAUAGGAAGAGGAAUAUCAAUGCACCGCAGCUGAAGUUUGACUUGGCCGGAUUCGAUAUUUCUCAGUCCGAGGCACAUAUCCUGCAUUAGAUUGCCAUCCUUCCAGAAAAUGAAACUCUCUUCAGACAGGCAAUUGGAGCUUGAAGGCAAUAUUCUUGUGGUUAUUGUACCGUUUGGUAGGCCAUUUGGAUGCAUCUUAAACGCUUGUACAAAUGGUCUAAUAUCAAACUCUGCGUCUCCCAUCUUCUCAUCCGCAAUGAACACGUUUUUGUCGUACACUGUCUACAACCAUACGUACACAUAGAAUCAACAUAUAGGUAUUGCGGUUUCUAAUAAGAAAAUAUAUUUCGGUUCCGUAUGGUUUUUUACCGAAUUAUUCGGUUCGGUACCGGUAAAACCGAAAUAUAUUUUCUUAUUUUAGAAAAGGUAAAAUAACAAUUUAAACGAAAUAAUUCUUGAAUUUGACAUUCAUAUUUCAAUUACCGGCCCUAAAAACAUAACGUGAUUAUCAAUAGAGGCUAAUUUGUAAAUAAUGGAAAACAUUAUCAAUCUACAAGUAUUUUAGAAUAUUUUUAUAACCUGAAAGGAUUUAAAAUAAAAGAAAAAAAUAAAUAUAUAUUAAAUAUUUAGGUAUUCGGUACGGUACGGUAUACCAGACGGUGGACACCAAUACCGUAUACCAUACCGAAUAUCGGAAUUCAAAAAUAACAAUUACCAAAUACCGAACCGAAUUUUCAUUAAGAAAGAGGCAGAAGAUUCAAAUCUUGAGAUCACUAAAACUGCAUUAGUUAAUAUUCAAACUCAAAACAAUUGAAAAACAAAAAUAUCUGAUUUUAGAAAGCUCAAAUUUGUUCUUGAUAUAUCAAACUGAAUUUUCUUUUUUUAAAACGUGUAUCUAGUCUAGAACCAGAAGGAUCAAUAGCACAACCUAAUAAUUUGUUUUAAUUUUAUCGCUAAAGAAAGAGGCUCACCACAGAAACUGGUUGACUAGGAUCUAAAACAGCUACCGUCAAAUCGUCAUGCCAUUCGGGAUUAACAGUCUCUGUAACAACAUGAGUCUUCAAAAUCUGCAUCGCAAUGAUUUAUAGUAAAUUGCAAUUCUGUUUAGAAAAACCUAUAAGAAAACGAACAAGUAAGAACACAAAACCUGUUUGGACAUCCUGACAACAGCAUAAGGAUCUCUGCUGCGGCCAUUGCCAAGAGCAAGAUUGAUACCUCUCUGCACAGAAAUUCUGAGCAGUGCAAACACAGAACUUCGAAUUUGAAGAGCGUCAUAUCCUAGGUUCUCUCUUUCCUCCGAUACUUCCUUUACCGAUGCCAAUAGGGAACUUUUGCAGCGGUACAAGUCAAUCACUUGAAGUGGUAAUAUUUCUGCAAAAUCUGAAGGGAUCUGCUUCAGGCUCACGGUUCCGAGAUGCAUUUGCUCAAGACAUGGGAAAUGUGUAUUGUCUGAUUCCCAAAUCUCCAACUCACACUCAUGAAUCAACAAGUACUUUAGUCGAGCGAAUUCCCCUUCAUUUGAAAUCCACUUUUGCCCUACAGCAGCAUUCGACCGCAGUUUGAGAACUUCAAGAUUCGGUAAGGAACCAACAAUGGACAUAUCUUCCCAUGGAAUCUUGCAUUCACUUAAGACCAAUUUUUUAAGUGAACUUGGAAAGACCAUGUUUCCACGAGGACCACGACCACGCUUACCAACAAAUGCUAGACUUAGUGAUUCAAGUUUAUGGAAAAAUCCAAGAUUGCUUAAACUAUAAGAUCCAAUUGUCGGACAAACAAUUCCCAACUUCUUCAGAUUCGGGAUUUGUUUAGUUACCUCUUUAGUACAUUUGAAAUCUUUGACUAUUGAAAGUGUUUGUAGAUUUUCAAGAACUGUGAUUUUUUCGCCACGUGAAGGAGGAUCAGGUAGAGAAAUUCUCCGCGCCUGAACAUGUCGAAGUUGGGGCAUCUGCCAUAUCUCCCUUGGUAGAGUCAACUCUCCACCAACAACUAAGGUUUGUAGGCACCAAAGUCGGGAUAAUAUAGAAGACGACGACAUAGAGAUCAAACCCGUGCAAGAGACAUAUCUUGAGUUAAUUAGCUGUAGAAUCUCAUCUUUGGGAUAUCUGUCAACCACAUCCAAUACCCGUAGUAACGGAGACCGACAAGCACUAUAAGUAGACAAAUUCAUAGAAAAGAAGGUUAAGAAAGACCGAAUAGAUGCCGUUAGUGUGGCAUCUUUCCAUUGGCCAUUAUUAAUGCUGAGGCGGCGUAUGCUCUCCAUAUCUAACGAAGCUUUGUUGUUAUCCAGCUUUGAGAGGACUAGAAAAUUACCUUUCUGAGCUUCUCUCCUGCAUAGAUCGCUUAAAAGAUCAUGAAUGUGGCAGGUCUUCACUUCUCCACUAAUACCUCUCUUACUAACCAAAAUAAGAUUCCUAUCUAUAAGAUCCUUCAAAUACUCCUCUCCAAUUUCUUCUAAGCUUUUAGGCCCACAUUGUCUAACAAAUCCUUCUGCAACCCACAACCUGACGAGCCUCGACAUUUUGAUAUCAAAAUCUUGUGGAAAUACGGCCAAAUAUAGGAAACAAGGCUUGAGAUAUAUAGGCAAGUGAUUAUAACUCAACGAUAUUACCUUCAUGCAUAACUCGUCAUCUUCAUUGUUCACUGCCGAAGUUACAUCUUCUUCGACGUACUUCCAAUCUUCUGUUUUGGACUUUGCAAGAAGCCCACCAAUGACAACAAGGGCCAAAGGAAGCCCUCUGCAUUUUCUCGCAAUAUUUCUUCCAAUUUCCUCCAAUUCAACAGGGCAACGUCCUUCUGGAAAUACCUUUUCACGAAGUAGAUCCCAACUUUGUGCUUCGUCUAGUAAAUUCAAUUCAUAAGGGGUACAAGAUCCAAGAUCCACAGCCAACUUCAACAGCCUAGUAGUUACCAAGAUUCGACUUCCAUUAUUAUUAUCGGGAAGGAACCUUUUCACAAUCUCCCAAGCCGUGAUAUCCCACAUGUCAUCCAUUACUAUGAAAUAUUUUCUCCCAAACAAAGUUUUGUGCAACUUUUCUCCCAAUACAUCAUCAUCAUUCAUCUCAAGUUCAUUUCGAUUGGUAGGAUUAAUAAUCUGAUGCAAAAGGCCUAGAAGAAUCUCUUUGCCAGUACAUUCUUGGGAUACAACAAACCAAGCACGAAUAUCGAACUUUUCAAUGAUAAAAGGAUUGUUAAAAACAUUAGUGGCAAGGUUAGUCUUACCUAUGCCACCCAUCCCAACAAUAGGGAUAAUCCGGCGGCCCGAUUCGUCGGUAGAGAGAGCGCCCAUUAUUUGAAUCAAGUGAUCCUCGAAUCCCACCAUGGUGUUCUUGCCAAUCCGAAGAGGCAGCGCUGAUGAAGAAGCUUUCCUAGUAGACUGGUUAUCCAUGCCUUCAUUUUUGUCCACCAAAUCCUUCUCGAUGGAGAGGAACUUUUGUAUCAUCAUAUGUAUUUCUCUAUUUUGCUCCAUCUCCACCGACACCAAAUUCUCCUUAGUGGAUUUAGCACAUAUUUGGUUCCUCAAAUUGGAUUCAAUUACAUCCUCUGCUGCGUAAGACGCGUCUACGAUUCGCGAUUCCAAAUCAUCCAUCUCUUUGCUGCUGAGUUUGCAGGAAUAAUGAUUUUCCAGAAAAUCGAGCAAUGAAAGAACCCUAAUUUGAAGAGACUCGAUCUGUUCUCUAACGAAAAUGAAGUGAUGAGCAGGAGGUGGGUGGAGGAGGAUCUGGUCAAGAAUAUUGCUGAGAGAAACUAGAGCUCCGUAAGCAGCCAUCUAUGGCUUCCUUAUCUUUUUCGAUAGAUAAAUUUCAGACGAACAGUAUAGCAUAGUCCAAGCUGUUCAGCUUCAAAGUGGGCAUUGAGUAAGCUUAAAGGUCAUACAUUUGCACCCUUGUAUUAUAACCAAUGUCGUAUUUACUUUCCUGUACUAUGAAAUGGGACGAUAUGGCCGGUUAAAUUUUAUCCGGCAACUACACUUCUACCAUUACCAUGUAAAAUACGAAAUUAGCAGUUGACUUAUAAGAAAUGACUAAAUUAACCCUCGUAUUAUAAUAAUUUAUGUUUCAAUUAUAAAUAAAUAAAAAUGCAAAAUGAAUUUAAUUAGAAAAAAUCCAAAAAGAUAAAAGAAAGAAGGGUAAAUUACAAACACCCCCUAAGGUAUGGUUAAUUUACAAAAAAAACCCCUCUUAUUUGGAUAAUUACAUCUACUCCCCUCAAUUAUGUUUUUUUUUCUUACACAUCCACCCUUAUGGUAUCAAAUUCAACAUAAUCAUCUAGAUUUCGUGGAAUGUGCUCUAGUUUGUACUCGUUUUGUAUAAAAAUACAGUUUAUGAUGCACCAUAAUCUGAUAUAUACAAGUCAAAAAACACAUAUUAUGAUCAUCUUGCUUGCUUCAAAAUGUAGAGUUCGAAUACGGGUACAAAAGUGAUAAUAUUCCAUAUGAUCUCGAAGAUUCCACUAAAUUUGAGGAGUUGAGAGGUGGUUGUAAUUAGCCAAACAAGAGGGGGGUUUUCGUAAUUUGACCAUACCUCAGGGGUGGUUGUAAUUUACCCAAGGAAGAAAAAUAAGAAAACCCACGGCCAUCAUCUCCUCCCCCAACCCAAAAUUCUUCCAUCCGCAUCACCACCACCUCACCACCACGGCCGCACCACCUGCCUUCCCACCCAAAUAAAAUUAUGCUUUAUGUUUGAUGGGUUCUUCCAGAUUUCUUUUGAAUCAAGAUUUUUGGAUCGCCACCCUAUUCUUCUCAUCUCUUCGUCGGCGGUGGGUAUGGAGGCGGCAUCAUCCGGGCCGGAUGAAUCAUCCAUGGCAGAUCGGGCCCUCUCUCUCUCUCUCUCUCUCUCUCUCUCUCUCUCUCUCUCUCUCUCUCUCUCUCUCUCUCUCUCUCUCUCUCUCUCUCUCUCUCUCUCUCUCUCUCUCUCUCAUACACACAAGGUUCCAUCGUGAAGUGCAACUUUUGUUGGUUUUUCUUCUUUUGCAAACGGGUUGUUUAAGAAGAUGAACUGCUUGAUAUUGUUUCGUAGCGAGGAACAGAUCUGAAGAAGGAGACGGAGAAAGAAGAUGAGGUUUUGAGAAAUUAUGAAAAUUGCAAUUUGGUCCUAUGCAAUUUGGAGGGAGGGCUUUUCUGAAAUUAUUAAGGAUUGAAUUGAAAAUUCUGAAAACUUCAUUAUGAAAAAUACUGGAUAAAUUUAUAAAUUUCAAAAAAAAAUGAUUUCAAGGGUAUUUAGUAGGUCUUUCUAGUUCCAAAAUCAGAUGGCCAGUCGCACAAAGCGCGAGUGUAUAACACAUCAAGCUCAUAGGAUCUUUUUUGGCUUUGACUAUUUUUCAUAUUGAAUUUUUUGCUAAUAUUUUUAACAUGAGGGAUUUUUCAGCUAUUCAAGAUUACACAGUGGUGGUUUGUGCAAAAAAUCCCAAAAUUGCACCCAACCCUUUACACCCAAUUCUUAAUUGUAACCCCAAUUUAAUCAAUUUGGACCACAAAAAUCCAAAUUUUUUUUUUCCAAAUAUUUUUUUUCUUCAAAAAGUAUUCUUUUGCCGCCGGUUUCCGGCGUUGACUUUUCGAUUUCUUUUUUUAUGAUCUGUUUUUUCCGACGCCGGAUUCCGGCGUUGACUUUUUUCUAGUGUUUUUUUUUUUAAGUCCGCUGCUAAACGUUGACCGUAAUUAUGUUGUCUUUAACGGUAAUUAUACUGUCACUGACAGUAAAUUAACGUAAUUAUACUGUCACUGACUGUACAUUAACGUAAUUGUACUGCCGUUGACAAUACAUUUAUGUAAUUGUACUGCUGUUGACAGUACAAUUAGAGUCAAUGACAAUAUUAUUAUUAUUUUUUUUUUUGAUUUGUUGACAAGUCAACGUAAUUAUAUUACUGUCGUUGACAAUAAAAUAACUGUAAACACAAUAAUAUUACUGGCAACCACAUCAAUAUAAUUAUUUUUUGGGUUUUUUGUUUUAUUUGAGUUAUUCACGGAGUAACGUAAUGAUAUCACUGUCUAUUAUUGUAAUAUUACUGUAAACACAAUAAUAUUAAUGUGGUUGACGGUAAUAUUACUGUUGUUAUAGUAAUAUUACUGUUAACCACAUCAAUAUUAUUAUUAUUUUUGGGUUUUUUUUGUUUUGUUUGAGUUAUUCACGGAGUAACAUAAUAAUAUUAAUGUCUAUUAUUGUAAUAUUACUGUAAACACAAUAAUAUUACUGUGGUUGACGAUAAUAUUACUGUUGUUAUAGUAACAUUACUGUCAAUCACAGUAAUAUUAUUAUUUUUUGGGGUUGUUUGAGUUAUUCACAAAGUAAUGUAAUAAUAUUACUGUCUAUUAUUGUAAUAUUACUGUAAAUACAAUAAUAUUACUGUGGUUGACAGUAAUAUUACUAUUGUUAUAGUAAUAUUACUGUCACUCACAGUAAUAUUAAUUCUUUUGGGUUUUAUUAUGUUUACCUUUGUUGAGCGGUCAACAUAUUAAUAUUACUCUAUUACACAAUAAUAAUGAGUUUUGCUGUGUUAAUAUUAUUGUGCUAGAGAUUAAUAUAGCAAUAUUACUGUGUUAAACUGCAAUAUAGUUAAUUUUACUGUGUUUAACAGUAAUAUAGUUAAUAUUACUGGCAAUCACAACAAUAUUAUUCUUUAAACGGGAGGGGGGAAAAGAUGUUAAAGAAAAAAAAAAUCGAAAAAGUCAACGUCAGACCAACGUUGACCGCCAGUCAACGCCCGAAACCAGUGGCGGAAAAAUCAGGGGAAAAAAUGAAAAAAGAAAAUCAACGCCGGAGACCGGCAUUGACCGCCGGCCAACGCUGAAAACCGGCGCAAAAAUCAGGAAGAAGAAAAUUUCAGCCACGUAAAUAUAACAAAUAAAUACCUCCAAAUAAUUAUUAUUUGCUAGCAACGUAAAUCCCUUCUCAAUCAACCACAAAUUACAUUUCACCUAAUUAUAACAAUCAAAACACAACAAAUUUUAAAUUUCAGCCAUUAUUUAAAAAAAAAAGAAAAAAAAAAGAUGAAAAUAUGUUAAAUUAUUAAAACAUGGGAUCAAAAGUGAAACUGAUGUAAACUUGAGGGGCUAAAGUGUAAUUUUACCAUUUUCAUAAAUUGAAAAGAAAAAAAUAAGAAUUUUAAAGUCAUUGAUAUUGAAUUUUGACUAAAUAUCCAUAAAUUCAAAUAGUUUGCAAUCAUGAAUUUGAAAUAUAAACCCUAAUCAUGGUAAAAGAGACGAUUUAUGGUCAUAAAUUAAUGGUACUAAGAAAAUGGCACACAACAUUUACAGUGAUUACUAGCACCAAUAACAUCAAUAAUUUGAACAGAUAAAAACACAAUAAAAUUCGUCUCUUUAAAAUUAUAAAAUAUGGAAGAAGUAAACAAACUUGUCUACGGUUCGAAAAUUCUAAAAUUCUACAAAAACUCUGGUUGAAAAAGAGACAAUAAACGAACAAAACCACAUAAUAGUUCAUAAGGUAAGAUUUUAACCUAAGUUCCAAUGUUGGUAGCCUUGUUGAGGAUAACACCUAUUCUAAUGCCAUGACUAAUUCUACCAAUUUAUCCACUAACUCACUAAUAAUUAAUUAAUUUAUCCUACUAAUUAUUCUACUCGUAUCAUAUUUAAACCAUUAAAAAAAUUUAAAUUUCAGAAAUUAUUUAAACACAAUCAAACAUUCCUUCUUAAAUCCACCACAAGUAAAAGUUUAACAUAAAAAUAACAAGUAAAAAAAACAUUAAAAAUUUGAAUUUCAUAAUAAAUUAUAUAUAUUUUAACAAUACAAGAAAUAAUUUAUCUCCAAAUUAAUUGAUAAUUUACUAGAUCGAAAUUCCAUUAAUCCACCAUUAAUAAAAAUUUAACAAAAUUAUAUUAAUAAUUAAAAUCCUAUUUAACUAUAAUAAUAAUUGAAAGAGUGAAAAAAUUUACCUCAAUAAGUACCCUGCUGAAAUUAAUUAAAAUUACCUACAUUAAUUAAAAUAUAAAUUAGCAAAAUACCAAUUAAACAAUAAUAAAUAAUAAUUAACAAAAAAAAAGGAGAGAGAAAAAGAACUCACGUUGGUUGGUGUUAUAGGGGUUAAUUUAUAAUCGAAAAUUUUUCCACCGUACGGUUUGAUUUACGCACUAAAUCAGUCAGCCCACUCAACGAUUCUUCGCACAAACGUAUUGCACCAUUGUUGUAUCAAAUAAAUAGCAACAAUAACAAGUAUGCAGCGGAAAUCGAACAACACAAGCAAUUUACGAGCAACGCUCAACCUUUAUUGAUUCACUCACGAAUAAUACAAGGAAAGCCCUUGGUGCACACAACGAAUCCUCACAACAGAUGCUAACAAUUGCAAUCUGAGUCCCUCUAUCUCAAUGGGUCGGACUUGUGCACUCAAGGGCCUAUAAAUAGAAGGCACAAUGCAGUUUACCCACUAAAAUACCAAGGGACACAUGGCGGCACGCAGGCCAGCCACUAAUACAACAUAAAAGGGACGGUUUUCUAAGUCAUUGCUGAUGCCAAUCGCUCCGCAACUGCCUUCCGUAACUUCCUAAGUCAAUUAGCUGCCCGGCUUGCCCAAUCGGCGCGCGCGCGCCCAAGGAUCGAUUAUGCCCGCACGCAUGCUAUCCAGCCCGCCUGCCAUGCCCACACUUGCCAUGCCUUUCUCGGCCAAGCAUCUCAAUGCUUGCCAAUCAAUCGAAAUCCUUGCCUUGUAAUUCUCGGCCAAGCACCUCAAUACUUGCCCAUCUCUCGGCCACCGUUUGGCCCAUGUGUAGCAUGCCUUGUGCCAACACUUCUUGGCACCACUUCAACUAUAACUCGGCCACACUUGAGUUAUAGUCGAUGUCUCCGUCUAAGGGGGUAACAGACCUCCCCCACCAACGGUGUUCGACGCCCUCGUCGAACUGUUCACUCGCUUCAGAUUUUUCCAAUACAUUGCCAACUCGUCUUCAAACUGCCACAGAUUCACUUCCUUCUCCCAAGUAGCAUCGGCCACCUCUGAAUUUUUCCAAUGUAUUAAAAAUUCAGUCCGCCGGUUCUUCUUGCUUUGACCUUGGGUCUUGUGGUCCAGAAUUUGCUGAAUUUCUCUCUCAAAUUCCUUUCGGACCACUGGUGGGGCUCUCUUCGUUUGCUUCCGACUUUCAUCAAGUAAAUCUUGGUUGAACUUCUACAAAAAACUCACAUGAAACGUAGGAUGCACUUUCAAUCUGUCCGGCAACUUCAAACGAUAAGCAACUCGACCAACUUUUGACACCACUUCAAAAGGACCGUCAUACUUUGUCACCAACCCACGGUGCACUGAUUUGGAACUAAUCUUCUUCCAAAUUUGAGGCGUUAAUUUCAGCAACACCUGAUCACCAACUUGAAACUCCACGUCUCUUCGAUGAGCAUCAACAUACUUCUUCAUCCUCGCUUGUGCUUUCAUCAAACUAUGAUUUGCCUCGUCUAGCAAUUCUUGUCUAGCACGAGCAAAGCGAUAUGCAGCACGACACUUCCCUCCGGUACGCUGCAAUGCCACCUCAUGCGGCACCAUUGGUUGCUGCCCGUACACCAACUCAAACGGGCUCAUCCCAGUAGCUGAAGACUUGUGAAGAUUGUAGCAAAAUUGGGCUGUAUCAAGCAAACCGACCCAAUCCUUCUGGCUAGCGCUAACAUAAUGCCGAAGAUAAUCUUCCAACACGGCAUUCACCCGCUUCGUCUGUCCAUCCGUCUGUGGAUGAUUUGCCAUAGAAAACUUCAACUCAGUCCCCCAACAUGUUGAAGAGCGCUGUCUAGAAACGGCCCGUAAACCGAGUAUCCCGAUCGCUGAUAAUGUCUUCGGGAAUUCCAAAAUACUUCACAGCGUUCUUCAAAAAUAACUCAACAGCUACAUCAGCCGGACAAGCCAUUGGUGCAGCAAUAAAAAUCCCAUACUUUGAGAAACAGUCAAUGAUCACAAAGGUAGAAGCGUUGCCGUUCACUUUCGGAAAUCCCGACACAAAGUCCAUCGAAACCGAUUGCCAAGGCCUCUCCGGAAUGGGCAGAGGCUGCAAUAGACCGGCCUCCUUCUUCUUGUCGGUUUUGUCUAGUUGACAAACUAGACAAGUCUUGACGUAUGCCUCAACGUCAAACUCCAUCUUUGGCCAAUUAUACGAUCGUGCUAGAAGGGCCAACAUCCUGUCAAUUUCGGGAUGACCAGCCCACGUCGGAUCAUGUGUUUCCCGCAAUAGUUCACGCCUAAGGGAGCUGCUUGGCACAUAAGCACGACCACCCUUAGCAAACAACAGCCCAUCCUCUAGCCAAUAUUUCCGAAUUUGUCCAGCCCGUACUUGCUCAGCCAUCUUUUGGUAGACCAAAUCAGUCUUGACUACCUCUCGAACCCGUUCAAGAAAAUCAGACUCCACACGAGUCAAGGCACUAACGUAGGAUUCAACGACUUUCCUACUCAGUGCAUCAGCCACGUCGUUAUGCUUUCCCGGUCGAUGUACCCACUCGAAAUCAAAUUCACCCAAGAAUUCUUGCCAUCUUGCUUGUUUCGGCGACAAUUUCUUUUGAGCCUUGAAGUAUGUGUUUGCCACAUUGUCGGUGACAACCACAAACUUCGUAGCCAACAAGUAAUGUUUCCAAGCAUCCAAACAAUGCACCACUGCCGUCAUUUCCUUCUCAUGAGUAUUGUACCGCAUCUCAGCAUCUUUCAGCUUUCUACUUUCAAAGGCAACGGGAUGCUUGUCUUGCACCAACACACCUCCAAUAGCACGGUCAGAAGCAUCCGUUUGCAACUCAAACGGUUUGUCGAACUCGGGCAACUUCAGUACUAGUUCCGAAGAUAUAGCACCCUUCAAUUUUUCAAACGAACCAUCACAAUCUGAAGUCCAUUCCCACUUCUGAUCCUUCUUCAAAAGAUCCGUCAAAGGAUUCACGAUCUUUGAAUACCUAUUGAUAAACCUUCGAUAGUAGUUUGCCAAACCUAAAAACGAAUGCAACUCAACCACUUUCGAAGGAGCGGGCCAAUCAGUCACAGCCCGUACCUUCUUCAUAUCCAUCUUGAUCUUUCCUUGGAUAAUGAUGUGGCCAAGGAAUGAGAUUUCUUCCCGACAUAAAUCACACUUCUCCUUCUUGGCAUACAACUUGUACUCCCUCAACUUCAAGAAUACAACCCGCAUAUGCCCAACAUGCUCGCCCAACGAUUCAGAAUAAACCACGAUAUCAUCAAGAUAUACCACCACAAAACGAUCAAGAAACUCGUACAACACAUCAUUCAUGAGGUUGCAAAAAGUUGCGGGAGCAUCGGUUAAGCCGAAAGGCAUAACCAAGAACUCGUACGAUCCAUAUCUCGUCACACAAGUUGUCUUUGCCUCAUCACCUUGUGCCACACGAACUUUCCAAUAUCCAGCCCGAAGAUCUAUCUUUGUGUAAAACCGUGCCCUUGUGAUAUGAUCCAGCCAUGCAUCGAGGUUAAUGCCGAGCUGACCAAAGUGCAUACUCUCAGUGUGAAUGUUGAUGAGAUGGCGGUGCCUAGAGAGAUGCUUCAUCCAUUCUCUAUACAGAGGUUGGACGCAUUGGGAAUUCGAGCUACAAAGUAUCCAUGUCCGUACACAUUUCAAUGGCUGCAAGAUGGUGUGUUCUGCGAUGUGGUGCAGAGAUGUGUAAGUUUGCUACCGAACAGAGAGAUCGAUUAUGAGAUCGAUUUUGUUUAUACUCCUUGUGAUAUUUGUCCGGAUUCGAGGACGAAUCCUUUUAAAGAGGGGGAGUAUGAUACGAUCCACACAAGCUCAAAGAUGAAGAAUUGGAAGAAGAGAAAGCGAGUGAGAUUAAUGGAGCUGUUCGUGUUGGAGUUGAAGAGUAAAGGCUUGAAUCAGGCCUUUGAAGAGUCGUUGUUGAGGAAUUUGAAGAAAAAGGAAGAGGAAAAUUCGUUUGACAAGUCGAAUUCCAUGCAUCCGAGAUUCUCGCCUAUUCUGGCAGAGUUUACCAUUCGAGUUAUAACUCUCGCAUCUGAAGUCCAUUUAAGCUGAUUCAAAAUGAUUCGGAAAGCUAACUGAAAGAUCUACAACUUUUAUGUUUUGAGAUAAGAGAUAUUCGAAGUGUAACAGUGUCGAAAUUGAACUUUAAUUGCACUUAUAAAUAGGUUCCAUACAUCCGAGAUUCUCGCCUAUUCUGGCAGAGUUUACCAUUCGCGGAAGCAAGAUCGAAAUCAUCCGAGUUGGUAACUGAUACGAACCCCGUAGAACUUGUUACGAGACCCAAUACCUUACGCGGAAGCAAGAUCGAAAUCAUCCAAAAACAAAGAUUCAAGUUUGGCAGAAGCAAGGAAUAAUGACGCCAUAGAUAUAAAGAGCUAGAAACCAUUAUUAUCAAGGUGAAUUAUAAUAUCGACCCCGUGGUUAUAAAGAACCAGAAACCAAUAUUAUGGCGCUAAGAAAAUUACAAGAAUCCACUUGUAAAAUCCCGAAGAUUGCUGUAGAACAGCGAAGGAGAAUUAACCUCACCAAAUACUCAAAAUAUCAUUAAAUUUCGGCCAUUAAAAUAAGCCAAAUUGGCAACCUAUUUAUAAGUGCUAAAAAGACUCAUUUUUCACAAGGAAAAUGACUCCUACCUAAACUAUAAUAAAGAAACUUGUAAAUAAGCAAAUCCUAACCAUAAAAGACUCUAAAAUAAUAAAAACAUAAUAAAACCUAAAUUAAAAAACGUCCAUAAUUAUAUUAGAUAACUUGAUCUUCAAGUCGACUUCUCGAUCACCCUUCUUAACUCGCGACAUUGGGCUGUGCACGUGCAUGCAAUUAAAGUUCAAUUUCGACACUGUUACACUUCGAAUAUCUCUUCUCUCAAAACAUAAAAGUUGUAGAUCUUUCAGUUAGCUUUCUGAAUCAUUUUGAAUCAGCUUAAAUGGACUUCAGAUGCGAGAGUUAUAACUCGAAUGGUAAACUCUGCCAGAAUAGGCGAGAAUCUCGGAUGCAUGGAAUUCGACUUGUCCAACGAAUUUUCCUCUUCCUUUUUUUCCAAUUCCUCAACAACGACUCUUCAAAGGUCUGAUUCAAGCAUUUACUCUUCAACUCCAACACGAACAGCUCCAUUAAUCUCACUCGCUUUCUCUUCUUCCAAUUCUUCAUCUUUGAGCUUGUGUGGAUCGUAUCAUACUCCCCCUCUUUAAAAGGAUUCGUCCUCGAAUCCGGACAAAUAUCACAAGGAGUAUAAACAAAAUCGAUCUCAUAAUCGAUCUCUCUGUUCGGUAGCAAACUUACACAUCUCUGCACCACAUCGCAGAACACACCAUCUUGCAGCCAUUGAAAUGUGUACGAACAUGGAUAUUUUGUAGCUCAAAUUCCCAAUGCGUCCAACCUCUGUAUAGAGAAUGGAUGAAGCAUCUCUUUAGGCACCGCCAUCUCAUCAAUAUUCACACUGAGAGUCUGCACUUUGGUCAGCUCGGCAUUAACCUCGAUGCAUGGCUGGAUCAUAUCACCUUGCCAACUGGUCGAAAAGAUCCAGCGCAUUAGGAAUAUGAUACUCAUUUUUUAUAGUAACCUUAUUCAGUGCCCGAUAGUCUACACACAUCCUCAUUGAACCGUCGUGCUUCUUCUGCAACAGAACCGGCAAACCAUAAGGAGCUUUGGAAGGUUGCACGAGACCCGCACUCAGCAAAUCGUCCAGCUGCCUUCUAAGCUCAGCCAACUCCAAAGGACACAUCCGGUACGGUGCUUGUGCUGGCGGCUUGGCCCCCAGUUCCAACUCAAUCUUAUGGUCAAUGGCUCGCCGAGGCGGCAACUCUCUCGGUAAUUCAGGAGGCAUCACAUCGUCGAAUUCAACCUGCAAUUCAGCAACUGCAUCCGGCACUUCUUGGUACACAUCCGGCUUGAUUUCGACCAGUGCAGCCAGGCAGGUUGGCUCACCAUGUCUUAGACCUGCCUUUAGUUGCAAUGCCGACAAUAAGCCCUCAGAUUUCUUCUCUUUGACCUUCUUCACGAACGUUCCCUUCACGAAACAUGGACAACUAGGAUCCAUGAACAACAAUCCACUCAGGAAAGGUAUGACACCAACACGGGCCGACAAUAGAAAGUCUUGCCCCAAAAUAACGUCAAAAUCGUCUAGUGGUACGGCAGUAAAUGAGCACUGCCCACGCCAAGGACUAAUGCACAACUCUACAUUGGUCAAACCCCUCACCGGCUUGGCUUCUGAAUUUACGGCUUUAAUUCUACUUGCAUGUUGUGAGAGAUUCAGAUCCAUCUUUCCAAUCUCUCGAACGGCAACAAAGUUGUACGUUGCACCCGAAUCCACCAUGGCCAUCACUUUCAUACCGUUCAGCAAAGUUUCGACAUACAUCAAACCUUUGGGGUUGCUAGGUACCUUCUCGACCGUCAAGGCAUUCAACAACUGGAUGGGGUUGACUUGCUUAGGGUCAUCACCAUCUCCAUCCGAUUGCAGCAUCAAAGCAUUCAAUUUGCUUCGUUUAGGGCCAUCCCUCAUUCGAUGGUCACUGUUACACAAGAAACAGCCUUUGUUUUCCUUGUUAACGGACAAUUGCCCCGCGGGUUUGGCCGUUCCCGUGGGCUUCUCAAAAUUCUUCUUGGCCUUGAAUUUCCCAUCUCGGCCAAACUUUCCACCCGAUUUCUUGGUCUUGCCCUUAUCCUUCGCGGAUUCUUUAUUUUCAGCAUCCUUGGCACCAACCGUCUUGUAAUCAACAAGGCGAUCUGCAGCGGCAAUUGCUCCCGGCAGAUCCUUCACGCCUUGACUCCGCAACUCAGAUUGUGCCCAAGGUUGCAAACCAGCCAUAAAGUUAAAUAUCUUUUCCUCCUCUGACAUAUCCCUAAUGUCAAGCACCAAGGAACUGAAGUCCUUCACGUACUCACGAACGGACCUCUUAUGCUUCAAUUGACGUAGGGAUUUCCUUGCCAACCAACUCGUGUUGCAAGGGAGGAAUUGUUCUUUCAAAUCCUUUUUCAACGUUUCCCAGGUUUCAAUUUUGUCCCUAUUGGCACUAGCAUCGUCGGAAAGACGUGCUCGCCACCACAUUUUCGCAUCACCCGACAAGUACAUGCUUGUAAUGGUCACCUUCUCUUGGUCAGACACAUUUGCUUCCUUUAAAUAGUUCUCCAUGUCCCAAAGGAAGUUUUCUAACUCCUUUGCGCUACGUGCACCACCAAACGUAGCGGGUUCAGGCACCCGUACCUUGGACGACGAUGAUCUGCCCUCAACAGCACUCGAUGUCCCCUCAUGAAUCGCCCGCUUCACCACAUCCAAAUCCGUCAAUAACGUCUCAAACUUGGCUUCAACCGCAUCACUUAGUAACCUGAGAUCUUCGGCAUCACUUGCCAUCCUAGUCUCCACAAACUCUGGUAGACCGGCUAUAGAUUUGGAUAGCCGUUCGAAUGCUUGUUGCCCAUCAACAAGUUGUUGGAGAAUAGGGGCUGCUCUCAGAUCAGCGGGCGGCCCAACAAGAGUCUCAAGAGGUUGAAAUCUCGCUUCCAAAUCGAGCAACGCUGUGCGCGUAGGAUUCAUCAUUGAGGAAGAACCCGAAUCUUCCAUGUCAGAGAACACCGUUCAGAACCCGAGAACCUGGCUCUGAUACCAACUGUUACAGGGGUUAAUUAAUAAUCAAAAAUUUUCCCACCAUACGGCCUGAUUUACGCACUAAAUCAGUCAGCCCACUCAACGAUUCUUCACACAAACGUAUUGCACUAUUGUUGUAUCAAAUAAAUAGCAACAAUAACAAGUAUGCAGCGGAAAUCGAACAAUACAAGCAAUUUACGAGCAACGCUCAACCUUUAUUGAUUCACUCACGAAUAAUACAAGGAAAGCCAUUGGUGCACACAAUGAAUCCUCACAAUAGAUGCUAACAAUUGCAAUCUGAGUCCCUCUAUCUGAAUGGAUCGGAUUUGUGCACUCAAGGGCUUAUAAAUACAAGGUACAAUGCAGUUUACCCACUAAACUGCCAAGGGGAACAUGGCGGCACGCAGGCCUGCCACUUGGCUUACUAAUACAACAUAAAAGGGACGGUUUUGUAAGUCAUUGCUGAUGCCAACCACUCCGCAACUGCCUUCCGUAACUUCCCAAGUCAAUUAGCUACCCAGCUUGCCCAAUCGGCGCGCGCGCACGCCCAAGGAUCGAUUAUGCCCGUACGCUUGCUAUCCAGCCCGAUUGCCUUGCCCACACUUGCCAUGCCUUUCUCGGCCAAGCAUCUCAAUGCUUGCCAAUCACUCGAAACCCUUGCCUUGUAAUUCUCGGCCAAGCACCUCAAUACUUGCCCAUCUCUCGGCCACCGUUUGGCCCAUGUGUAGCAUGCAUUGUGCCAAUAAUUCUUGGCACCACUUCAACUAUAACUCGGCCACACUCGAGUUAUAGUGGAUGUCUCCAUCUAAGGGGGUAACAAUUGGGAAGAAGGGAGCAAAUGGAGCAAAUGUGGGUGAGUUCUAAUUGUUUAAGGGAUAUAUAUAUAUAUAUAUAUAUAUAUAUAUAUAUAUUCAGCCGAAAUCACGGUUGUUGGAUCAAGAAGAAUUGGACGGCCCUUAAAACGCGCGAUUUGAACUGACGUGUUCAACCAUCUGACAGGUCAAAGCGCGUCGUUCAAAACGACGCGUUUUAAGGGCCAUCAGAUCUUUUAAUCAAUCCCUGAACGUCCGAUUAAGAGGACAAAAUUGGAGAGCAUGGCCGUUGAUCCUAGCUCAAUCCGACGGUCCUUAAAGAGCGUCAUUUCAAUUGACGCUUUAUUGUAUUUAUGAAAUCAAUUAUAAAAUCACCACAAUUUUGAAAAAAAAACCCGAAAUAUUGUAAAAAAAAAAUGCCCCGUUAAGGAUUAGACCUAGCCAAUUUGUGAAAUUUUUUUUUGAAGCCACCGUUCAAAAGAGCACGAACACUUGAAGAAACUUCAAGUAUCCAUGCUCUGUAGAACGGUGGAUUCAAGUUUUUUGAACUUCACGUUCUGCAGAGCACGGAAACUUGAACUUUCUUCAAGUUUUCGUGCACUGUUGAACGGGAAGCUCAAAAAACUUUUUAAACUUUAUUUUCGGAAAAAAAAUUAAAAUAUGAAUCCCCCGUGCUGAAGAACACGAGAACUUGAAUAAUCUUCAUGUUCCCGUGCUCUGCAGAGCGGAGGACUCAAAAACAUGAAGUUCCCGUUCUGCAGAACAUGCGAACUUGAAGCUUCAAGUUCCCGUGUUCUGCAGAACAGGAACUUCAUGUUUUAUUUAUUUAUUUUUAUUUUUUUAUUUUUUUUAAUAUUUUUUUUUAAUUAAAUAAUUAAUAUGUUUAUUUUUUACAUAUGGCACGUCAGGACAAGGGGAAAGGGAUUAUGGGUGCUUCUUCGAGUUCGGAAAAAGUCCCGAAGAUUAAAUUUCGAUGUGGCGGGGGAGGCGGGGAAGCUGGGGCUUUUUUUUUAAUAUAUUUUUUUAAUUUAAAUAUCAAAUUUUGUAAUUAUUUAAGGAACAUGAUAACACAUAUUGGGAUUAUUGUACACGUUUGCAUAUUCAUCGUCAAAGAAAGUCAAAAUCACAUCAUCACCCUACCAAAGGAAUAAAGUAAACAAAAAAAAAAGAAAAAGAAAGAAAAAAAAAACUAAAACCUAGAUUCCCGUGCUCUAGGGGAUGGGUACUUCAACAUUUUUCUUUCCUUUUUAUACCCCACGUGCUGCACAGCACGAUCCCUCCCUUCAUUUUUUUUUCUUCGUUUUUACCAUGUAAAAGUAACGUGGAUCGGUCAUAAGAAAAAAUGUUGUUUGGUUUCGAAUUUGUCGAACGACCUUCAUAUUCUAAGUUUUCGACUUUUUUUAGUUGAGUGAGUUUCGAUUUUUUAGAAAGUUAGAAAAUUGACAAAUGAGACUACCGCUGCAAAUAAGCCAAGUUUCAGUAAAAGUUUCGCUGCAAUUAGCAUUUCAUAUUAUUAAAGGCCCCAGUAUGUUUUUUAGGUAAAUUUUGAGAAUUUACUUUUACUUCUUUUUUUUUUUGGUUUUUUCUUUGCUGUUUCUAAGAAGAAGAUUGCAGUCUGAAGGAAUAUAAUAUAAUAUUAUAAUUUAUGCAUAAAUAAGGCAUAUCAGAGAAAAGGAAAAAAAAAAGGCAUAUGAGCUUGCCGACAAACCUAGUUAGACAUGUCAUGGGCCGGUUUUCAGCCCGGAACCGGCCCGAACCGGCCCGUUGACCGGUAAACCAGUCCUGAAACUGUGAACCGGCCCGUGUCCCUCGGGCCGGGCCCGGUUCUAGAAAUAGGUUCACCCAAAUUUAAAAAGAAAAAAAAAUUAAAAAAAAAAGCCUGAACCGUCCCAGUGAACCGGCCGUUAUUUGUUAUUUUUUGAAUCCCCCCCCCAAUGUUUACCGAUAAAUACUCUCACACCCCAUUAUUUCUAUAAAAUUAAGUUUAACUCAUUUUAUUUAUUUUCUUUUGUUUUUUUUCCUAUUUAAAAGUAAUUCUUUUAAUUUCUGGGCCGGCCUAGAACUGGCCUGGAUAAGCCCGGAAUCAGAGUGAACCGGCGGACCGGCCCGACCUGCCGAACCAUGCGUAGUACGGGCCGGUUCCGAUUCCGGAAAAAGUAAACUGUGAACCGACCCCUGGCCGUGUCUAAACCAAGUCAAUUAAUAUUGAGUCAUUGACUUGCAGUGAUAAAGAUGUGGUGAUGAUAGCGAACACGUAAGAGCCACAUAUCCCACAAUAAAUAAAUAAAUUUAGGGCUUAUUUUAGACGGAAAAUAUGAAAUAUACAACUCAAAUGGAAAAUAUUUUGAUGUAAAUUCAAUAGACUUUUAAAAAAAAUCCUACACCCAAAUUUCGUUCUUAAUUAGUGAGACCCCUCUCUACUAGUGUGAGAAGACAAAUAUACCCUCAACUACUAUAACCUUAAUUAUUUGCCCACCUCUAUCACUUUCAUCUUCUCCACCUCUUCCUCAACUCUCUCCGAAAAUUCCAACCUUCCCCCUCCGUCGUUGCCGUCGCCGCGCCAUCGCCGCUCAUUGCCGUCGCCGCUCAUUGCCGUCGCCGCUUUCUCUAUUCGUCUCCACAUAAAUAUGUUUCUCUCUUGUUCGUUAUCUCUUUCGAUUUCUCUCUCUCUUUACACCAACAUCGUCUUCACAUAGAUCUCUACACCACCACCGUCGCCGCUCGUUGCCGCCGCCACGCCCUUCGUCUCCAGGUAAGGUUUUUUCUCUCUUUUUUCUACACCACCUCCAUCGUCUUCACAUAGAUCUUUUUUUUUUGUCCACCACCACUACCGUUGCCAACGCCGUUGUCGUCGACUCCCACUCCCUCUCUUUCGUUAUUUUUCUAUCUCUAUUUUUGUAUUUUUCGAUUUCUCUCUCUCUCUCUCUCUCUUUUUUUAAUCUCCAGAUCUAAACUAGCAGCAUUAAAAUGACUAGUCAUAUUCGAAAUUUUUUUCCUUCUCCAGAUCUAAACUUUCUAUCUCUAUUUAUGUACUUUUAGAUUUCUCUCUCUCUUUUUUUUCCUCCAGAUCUAAAUUACCAGUAGCAGCAUUAAAAUGACUAUAAUCAUAUUCGCAUAUUUUUUUCUUCUCCAAAUCUAAACUAGCAGCAGUAACAUGGCUAUAAUCAUAUUCAAAUACGACUAUUGUUUGAAUAUGACUGUAGUCAUAUUCGAAUAUGAAUUUAGUUGAAUAUGACUAUAGUCAUAUUCAAAUAUGUUCUAUCUUUUUCGUUUUCAAGGUUAACUUGUAAUUAUAACAUUCAAAUUGUGAUUUUUUAUGUGGAUGUUGAUUGGAAUGUUUUCGUAAGCAAUAGGCAAUUUUUGUUGUUUUAUAUAAUUUGGUAAACAUGCAUGUACCAUAUUAUACAAUCGAAUUUCUAAAUUGAAAAUGUAAAAAACUGCAAUAAAGAAAGAAUAUGACUACAGUUGAUGUGGUCACAUAUAGGCAACUAUAGUCAUAUUCGGCGUAGUAAACAAGUCGAGAAAAAAAAUUCAAUUUUUUGUUUAAAAAAAAACGAAAUAAAUCCGAAAUAAUAAAAAUUAAAAAUUAAAAAUUUCAUUUUUUUUUAUUUGAUAGCAAAUUUUUAGGAAUUUGGAAGAAGCUUUUUAGGAAUUACAUUGUUGUUAUGGAAAGAGAAAAAGGAAAGGAAUAAUUGGGACAAAUUAUGCUAAUUGACAUAAUAAAGGUAGUACUGGGAAUACAAUUUCUAGGGGUUAUAACAAAGAAAGAUUUAAGGGUGGACAUAUCACCAUUUCUUAGCUAUAUGAGGGGUUUAUUGCUAAUGACCCCUAUUUUAUAUACCCCUAGAGACCAAAAAAAUUAGGGAUAAACCCAAGCCGAAUUCAUACUUUGACAUACCCCUGGAGAGGCAAAAGUACUAUACUACCCUUAUAUGCAAUUUUCAGCCAAACUGCAUUCAGCAUUUCUGGUCCAGCAUUGAGCAUUUUGGCUGAUUUAGUUAUUUAUUAUUAUUAUUAUUAUUAUUAUUAUUAUUAUGAUUAUUAUUAUUAUUAUUAUUAUUAUGCACAAAAAAAAGGUUUUUGAAAAAAGGUUUUUGAAAAAAAAAAGGUUUUUGACGGCAAAAAAAUGGUUUUUGAAAAAAAAAUGUUUUAUGCACAAAAUUGAAUUUUUGUGGUCAAAAUUGGAUUUUUGUGGACAAAAUUGAUUAAAUUGGGGUUACAAUUAAGAAUUGGGUAUAAAGGGUUGGAGGUAAUAUUGGCAUAUACAUGAAUGUUUCCUUUAUUUAUAAUGAAUACUAAAGGGAUGAGCUUAUUGGUGAAAGAUAUAUAACCAAUAAACCUAAAAUAAUAAAGAUGCUUGAUUCGAAACUUAUGCACAAAAACCCUACUAUUAAUCUUACCUCAAUUAAUGAUUUAAUUUUAAAAUUAGUUAGAGAAUAACAAACAAUUGUCUUAUGCGGGUAAAUUAUAUUCGUUAAUUGUUUUUUUUUUUCUUUUUUUUCAUUAUCUAGUGAACUGUUUGGGCAAUAGUUUAAUACGUAAAAGCCAUAGUGUUAAAUCUUUACAUUAGAAAAACAAUAUUAUUAAGAAUUUAACAUUCAUUUAAAUUGUGUGUUUAUUCUUAAUUAUUAUUUUGGGUGUGUGAAUUCUUUAUUAUAAUUUAUUAUUCUCGUAUAUGAUAUUUUAUUCGGGUUUAUUAAAAAAAAAUCCAAAAUAAACAUAUUCCAAAAGGGUUUCUAGGAACAUACUCCUGGUAAAGAACACCAGGUGCCUCUCCUAUUAACACGUGUGGGGUUUAGUAAAUUAACCUUAGGGUUUAAUAAUUUAACUUAGGGUUUUUAAAAAAAUAAAAUAAUAGAAUUUGAAAAUUAAAACGCAAAUGCCACGUGGUAAUAGAAGAGUUAUCGGAUAUUUAUCACCAGGAGUAGGAUCAUAUGAACCUUCCGAAUAAUUAUGUGUUAAAACGAAAAGAAAAAUUGUUUUUUAGAAAAAAAAAGAAAAAAUAAUGGAAAAAAGUUUAUGGGCCUACAUAUAAGGAAGUUGCAUGCGCUUGCAAUUCUUAACUAAGAGCAACUCCAAUGGGUUAUCAAAUAUGGUAUUCAAACCAUUAACCACUAUUUAUACACCAAAAAAUAGAAAUUUUCAACUCCAAUGGGGUUAUCAAAUUAGGGUUCUAUUUUGAUAAUUCAACUUUUGAAAUGUAAAAAUACUUGCUGGAAAUUGAGUUAUCAAAAGUGUAACUAUCUAAACAUCCAAUCAAAAGUGGAUAUGUGGCAAGUACAAAUAAAAUUACCCAUAAACUUCCAAUUGAUAAUUAAUUUGAUAACUAUGGUUUGAGUAGAUGGAUUUUAAUCAAUAUUAAAAUAUUAUCUCAAAUAUCAAAUGAAUAUUUGAUAAUUCAAUUUUGGUAUUUAGCAUUGGAGUUGCUCUAAGGAGUUUUUAAUUUAAAAUACCUAUAAAUUAAGAAACAUAAAUAAUCAUAUUUCUUAAUUAAAUGUCCACGUGUCACUCAAUGGGUGGAAUCCGUUUUUCUUAUAUAAAUGGGGGAUCCGUUCCAAAUUUGCUCCCAUAAAAUAAAGAUUAGGGUUUUAGCUAAUCAAUACAACAUUGAAAUAGUUUUGGCAAAAAGAAUCUAACAUUAAUAUGGAAAUAAUUAGUACAAAAUUUAGAGGUGACGACGUUAAAGAUGGAAGACGGCUUAUGCUAAUUACUCUAUAUGGAAGACGUUAAAGAUGGUAAAUUGGUAAUUACUCUAUGCUUAUUAACAUUCAUGUUCCAAAAAUAUUCUCCUUCAAUCUGGAUUGUGGUGGAAAUCAAUAUUAUUUAGAAACUAGUAUUUCACCCGUGCGUUGCACGGAUGUGAGUUUAAAAAUGACAAAAGUAAACUUAUGUAAACGACUAUUUCUUUAUAACAAUACCAAUUCAAGUAAAACAAAAUAGAAGGAAAUAAAAAAUAUAAAUUUUAUCUCUUAAUUUAGGAUUGUAACAUAUGAAAUUAAGUUAAACAUUACAAAUAAGAAAACAUGAAAGCGCGCAAAACACGAUAUCAAGAUUAAGUGAAAUCAUUUAAAACAUAUGGUAUAACUCUAUUUCUUAGAUUGCAAUCUACUACACCAUGUGAAUCUUCUGCAAAAUAACUAAGGUAACAACAAAUAUGGUAGCAGAGAAGUAACACAAUAGAUAUUCAAAUAACAUGCAAGUUUAUCACUAAUGGCGUUCAAUUAGUGAUGCACAUUACUCAAACAACAAUAAAACUUAUAAAUAUUGCAAAAGAGAUAUGAUGUAUACGCCACUACCAGUACUGAUACCAAUACCGAUACCAAUACUAAUACCAAUAUUAUUACCAAUAGUGAUACUAAUUCGAUUAAUACUAAUAAUAAUAGUAAUACUAAUACUAAUACUAAUGUUAAUACUAAUAGUGAUACUAAUGUUAAUAUUGGUACUAAUAUUGGUACUAAUACUAAUACUAAUAAUAAUACUAAUACUAAUACUAAUACUACCACUAAUACUAAUACUUAUACAAAUAAUAAAACUAAUAUUAAUACUAAUAUUCAUAUUGAUACUAAUACUAAUAAUAAUAUUGGUACUUACAUUGAUAAUUAUAGUUAUAUUGAUACUAAUACUAAUACUAAUACUAAUACUAAUACUAAUACUGAUAUUAAUACUAAUAUCGGUACUAAUACUAAUACUGACACUAAUACUAAUACUAAUACCGAUACUAAUACUAAUAAUAAUACUAAUACUGAUACUAAUAAUAAUACUUAUACUAAUACUAAUAUUAAUUCUCAUACUAAUACUCAUACUCAUAUUCAUACCAAUACUAAUACUAAUACUAAUAAUAAUACUAAUAUUUAUAUUAAUAUUCAUAUUGAUACUAAUACUAAUACUAAUACUAAGAAUAAUACUAAUAUUGAUACUAAUACUGAUACUUACAUUGAUAAUGAUAGUUAUAUUGAUACUAAUACUUAUACUAAUACUAAUACUAAUACUAAUACUAAUACUAAUACUAAUACUAAUACUAAUACUAAUACUAAUACUAAUACUAAUACUAAUACUAAUACUAAUACUAAUACUAAUAAUAAGACUACUGAUACUAAUACUAAUAAUAAUAGUGAUACUUAUAGUGAUACUAAUAGUGAUAUUGAUACUAAUAUUAAUACUAAUAGUAAUACUAAUACUAAUACUAAGACUAUUACUGAUACUAAUAACAAUAAUAAUUCUGAUAUUGAUACUAAUACUUAUACUCAUACUGAUACUCAUAGUAAUAUUAUAUUAAUAUUAAUGUUAAUACUGAUACUGAUAUUGACACUAAUACUGAUACUCAUAGCAAUAUUAAUAUUAAUACUAAUACUAAUAUUGAUAUUGAUACUCAUACUAAUACUGAUACUCAUAGUAAUACUAAUACUAAUAUUGAUACUCAUACUCAUAUUGAUACUCACAAUCAUAUUGAUACUCAUAUUAAUACUGAUAUUAAUAUUAAUAUUGAUACGGGUACUAAUACUGAUAUUGAUAGUGAUACUAAUAUCGAUAUUGAUGCUGAUACUGAUACUCAUACUGAUACUCAUAUUGAUACAAAUGUUGAUACUGAUACGGGUACGAAUACUGAAACUGAAACUGAUAUUGAUAUUGAUAUUGAUAAUGAUACUGAUAUUGGUAUUGAUACUUAUACCGAUACCGAUACCGAUACCGAUGUCGAUACCGAUGUCGAUACCGAUAUUGAUGUCGAUACCGAUACUGAUAUUGAUAAUGAUACUGAUAUUUAAACUAAUAUUAAUAUUAAUAUUAAUACUAAUAGUACUAUUACUAAUACUAUUACUAAUCUUACUAUUAAUACUAAUACUAAUAUUAAUAUUAAUUUUAUUACUAAUACUAAUAUGUUAAUAUUAAUUUUAUUACUAAUACUAAUAUGUUAAUAUUGUUAAUGUUAAUGCUAAUGUACAUAUUCUAAUGCUAAUACUAAUUUUAAUGUUAAUGUUAAUCUGGAUAUGCUUAUGCUGAUUAUAAUUGUAAUACUAAUAUUAUCCAAAUCCUUAUCCUAUUCCUAAUCCUAUUCAUAACACUAAUCAUAAUUCUAAUCCUAAACCUAUUUCUAACAUUAAUUAUAAUCUAUAUAAUUUUAUUACUAAUAAUACUUGUGCCAUGCUAAUAUCAGUGUUCUAAAAAUCGUCCGAGGCAGCCGAUUAAUCGGUCUCCGAGGCGGAGGCGGUAAAAACGCCUUUACGAUUUUAGUGUAAAGGUUUGAAAAAUCGGUUUUUUGCCUGUGAGGCGGUUUUAGGCGGUUUGAGGCGGUCAAACCUUUAUGGCGGGUCAAACUUCGGUGACAAAAUUCGGCCAAAAAUCGGUCAAAAAUCGGUUUUUUUUUUCAUAAUUCAAAAUAAAAGUUGGGAUUUUAAUAAACAAAAUAUGAGCUUAUGUUUUAUUUUGUUUAUGUUAAUUGUUAUUGUUAAAUAACUAAUGAUAUAUGUUAGGAAUGUUCAAGAAUAAAUGUAAAUUAAAAUAAAAUUAUUUAUAUUUUAUUAUUUUAUAAGGAUAUUUAUGUAUUAUAAUCUUAUUAUUAUUAAACUUUUAUUAUUUUGUUAAGAUAUAUACCUGAUGGAGAUAUAACUAUGUUUAAAUAUCUUUUUAUAUAUGUUUUUAAUAUUUAUAAAUAAUAUUUAUAAAAAUAUAUUGUAUUAAAUUUUAAAAAUCGAUUUCUUUCCGAUUUAUCACCACCGUCGCACCGAUUAAUCGUUAGUUGGUCCCUGACCACCUCCGACACGAUAACCGCUUUUUACAACCUUAGCUAAUGUUAAUUCUAAUUAUAAUUCUAACCAUAAUCCUAAUCAUAAUGCUAAUCAUAAUCAUAAUACUAAUGCAUGUCACUAAUUGUAGUACGAAUCAAUAAUCAUAAUCUUAAUUAUAAUUCUAAUACUAACAUUAAUCAUAAUCAUAAUCCUAAUAUUAAUUAUAAUACUAUAUUAAGACGAAUCCUAAUCCUAGUAUUAAUACUAAUACUAAUUCAAAGAAUAUUAAUUAUAAUUCUAAUUCUAAUACUACAACUAAUCUCAAUCCUAAUUAUGAUUUUGCAUCAAUGUUUUUGCAAUUAUCUAUUAUUUUGUAUAAAAAAAAAAUUAUAUUCCUAAUCCUAGUAUUAAUACUAAUACUAAUUCAAAGAAUAUUAAUUAUAAUUCUAAUUCUAAUACUACAACUAAUCACAAUCCUAAUUAUGAUUUUGCAUCAAUGUUUUUGCAAUUAUCUAUUAUUUUGUAUAAAAAAAAAAAUCUAUUCAAUCUCGCAACUUUUAUAUUAAAUUCCUUAUGUGUGGUACCUGAAACAUCAAGAAACACAUAUUAAAUAUUAUAAAUUAAUAUUUAAUUAUAUUAUCAAACUGACAUUAAAAUUAUUUAAAAUAAUAUAAGGGUAUAAGCAAACGUUAAGACGUGAAAAUAACGAUAAUCGUUAUUAAUAGGAUAAAUUACGAAAAUCCUCAUGAACUUAGACUAAAUUACGGAAAUCACCCCCACUUAUCGGUAAUUACCAAAAUCCCCCAGAUGUUUGUUUAUGUCUUACACGACCCCCUUAUGGUGUGAUUUUUUACGGAAUCUUUUUUAUUCCAUGUAAUAUCCCAAAAAUUGUGGAUUCUACCCUUGCAGAUGUGACAUUUCUUUUAUCUUACUUUUUAAAUACAAAAAUUACCCUUAGGGGAGGUAAUAGUAAUCCUAAAAAGUUGUGAAGAUGUUAUUUAAGAACAAUAAAUACUUCGUGUAAAGUUCCCACAGGGUAACUUUUAUUUUUAAAAAGUACCAUAAACAAAUGUUGUGUGCAGGGUAGAAUAUGCAUUUUUCGGGGAAUAUUCCACAUAAUAAAAAAAAUUCCGUGAAAAUUCAUACCGUAAGGGGGUCGAUGUAAGACGAAAACAAACAUCAGGAAAAUUUUGGUAAUUACGAAUAUAAUAUUAAAUUAGUAAGAAAGAUAAACAUAUUCUCUGAUCAUGUUCAUGUAAAAUGUAUAAUAUUAAAUGAUUUAUUCUGCAUUUUUUUUAUAUAUAAAUCCAAGUUUAUGAAUUAAAAUACAAAAUUUUCGUAACACCAUCAAUGAUAAAAUUAUAAUAAGUGAAGAUUUUAAAUUGAAUUUAAAAAAAUUUAAAAUAAAUUAAUUACAAUUAAAACUAAAUUAAAAAAUAAAACUAUUUAGAGUUUCCAAAUAAGUUGAUAUAUUUAGAACAUUUUAUAAAUGGUAUGAUAUAAAUACAUAAUAAAAUAAUUAAAUAUCUUUUUAAUUUUGGAAAAUGGUGACAUGUUUUUUGAUGAUUUAUUUUCACCAAUCAAUUUGGCACAUGGGAUGAAAUUGAAUACAUGUCACCAAUUAAAAUUGACAAAUGUCAAUCAAUUAGGUGUGGAAUUCAACUUUUAUAUAUUAUAUAGAUUCCAAGAUUAAUGUGAUAUUGAUAUACCUAAAUGGGCUGGCCCAAUGGGCCCUCAAAUUUAUCUACUAAUUAGGCCCACUACCCAAUCACAUACAAGUGGGCCCAUUACACGAAAGCCCAAUCUCCUUCAAAGUAAGGCUUGGGCCCAACAAAGUAAGCCCAACUCAUUCAACGAUAUAUAAAUAGAUGUUUUACUCAUUUAUUAAGGUACGUUCUAAUUAUUCACAAUCAAUCUCGAGUUUUAUUCUCUCCACUAUCUCUACGAUCCAUACAUCUGACUUGAGCGUCGGAGGGGUUUCCGCCGGAUCAACCCCCGGCUUAGUUCACGUGUGCUCAUUUUGUAGGGACCUCAGGAUCAUCGAGUUGACUAGCUACUGAUCAGCUUUGCUCUCCCAGCUCGUUUUCUAUACUACUCCGGUGAGCUAUAUUUUAGCAUCAUCAUUUUGGCGCCGUCUGUGGGAACGAUGCAAACCAGAUCACGUAGCCAACAAGAUCCUCCUGAGGCGUCAGCUCGGAGAGAAAAUGACACAGCUAACAACCUUCCAGUCCGUGGAGGAUCUGGCAUACGACCUCCUCCACGCGCCGCGGAACCACUUCCCCCACGUGCCGCGGAGCCAGCUCCUCCACGUGUAGCAGAUCCACCUCGCGAGGUUCAGGUGAUCCCUCCUCGGGACCCACCACUCGCCGAUCCACCACUCCCUGCUCCUCGAACGGUUCAAAUAACCGAGGACGCGCUCCAACGCAUGAUAGCAGAAGCCUCAACUCGCGCCGCCACGGAGGCUGUAACUCAAUAUAUCGCCACGAUAGGAGCAAACGCUCCCAAUGCGAUACCAGCGCCAGCUCCACCUAUAGCGCCACCUGUGGCCCCACCGCCAAUCCAGAAUCAAAUAAGUGUCUCCUCCUCUACCUCGGACCCACGAUCCCGAGUACAGCUAUUUACUAAUCACAGAGAGGCACAACCCAGACAGCAGCGUCGGCGCUCACCCCCACGGGGGAAUGCAUCACCACAGAGGGUCCCUCUCUUUAAUGAGGGAGAAGACGAGGUAAACAGCAGAAUGUCUCGCCAAAAUCUUUUUCCCCAACCAAAUAAUCUAAUGGGUGAAAGAAUGCCUGUCCCAACAAGACGCAGUCCCUUCACCAUAGACAUUCUCAACGAGGUAUUACCUCAAGGAGUAAAGAUCUCAGGGUUACCUCAAUUUGAAGGAACCACCGACCCACAUGAGCAUAUAGAGAAAUUCAGUGCCAUGGCAGAUUUAUAUGGCCCGACGGAUGCUGCGAUGUGUAAAAUGUUCCGCACCACUCUCUCCAAGAGGGCAAUGAAUUGGUUCAACUCUCUACCCAUAGGGUCGAUUGACACCUUCGCUCGGCUGUCAACCCGGUUCACCAACCAGUUCGCCAUCAACAAAAAAUAUGCCAAGAUCCCAGCUCAUCUUUUCUCUGUAGUACAAAGAGAUAACGAAACACUCCGCAACUACAUUAAGCGUUUCGUAGAAGCCGUCCAUGAAGUCCCCAGUGUAGGGCAAGACAUGCUCUCCGGGAUUAUGCAGCAAAACUUGAAACCGGGAAGAUUCAAGGAGUCUAUCGCCGGGAGACCCCCAGGCAACCUAGAGGAGUUGCUGAAUCGAGCCGAAAAAUACGUCCGGAUAGAGGAAGCCUCUACCCAUGCUCCUCCAAAAAGGAAAAGGGAAGAUGACCGUCAGGACAACAGGAGGCGCGAUGAUCGACGUCCACCACUUCCACCUCAAGGCCAACCCUCUACCUCCUACAAUAGGUUCACUCCGCUAAACGCUCGUCUCACUGAAAUCCUUCACGUGAUAGAACAUAAAGGUUUAGCAGAGCCUCCACGUUCUAUGCAGCCAAAUGCAAAGCGAGAAAAGUCGGAUCGUUAUUGUCGAUUCCAUAAGGACAGAGGGCAUACUACGGAGGAAUGUGCACAACUCAAAGUGGCAAUUGAGAGGCUGAUCAAACAGGGCCAUUUAGGCGAAUACAUUGAUAAGCCUCGAAAUAAGCGCCGUGAUGAUCCUCCACGCCGAGAUAAUAAUCGAGAUCAACAGCAAAGGCGAGAGGAUGGGGGUCACCGACGUGACCUAGAUAACAACGAUAACCAACCCACUCGGGGAAUCAUCUCCUUUAUCUCCGGAGGACCGGCGGGCGGCGAUUCGCAAAAUGCAAGGCGCACCCUCGCUCGAUCAGCACGCAUGAAUCAAGAACGUGCUUCUCCAUCCGCACGCAUCUAUCAAAUACGAAGACCUGAUCAUAGCAUAGUCUUCAACUCCUCCGACCUUGAAGGUCCAGAUGAAGAUCAUGUCGAUGCAUUGGUAGUAACAACAACGGUGGCCAACUUCUUGGUCAAGAAGAUAUUGGUGGACGGUGGGAGCUCAGCUGACAUCAUGUAUCUCCACGCUUUUAAGCAGCUGGGCAUAGAUAAUGCCCGGUUUAGUCCCAUCUCCACACCCCUGAAAGGAUUCACAGGAGAAAGCAUUUUAUCCAUGGGAGAAGUGGAGCUGCCCGUUUCACUAGGGGAAGACCCUUGUCGAAUCACAAAAUUAAUCAAAUUUCUCGUCGUCGACAAGCCAUCCCCCUACAACAUCAUUCUAGGGAGGCCAGCAAUCCAUACCUUCAAAUCAGUGCCUUCGUCCUACCAUCAGAAGUGGAAGUUCCCUACUCCCUAUGGAAUGGGGGAAGUACUUGGAGAUAGACGUCUCGCCCGAGAGUGCUAUGCAAGGGCCCUACGAGAACCUUCCAAGAAGCCUAAACCACCCGGAAGGGGAGACGACACCCAAAAAUCCGACAAACGGAAGUGGGUCAACGCGAUCAUUGAGGAUAAUAAAGAAAUCCUCCUCAGUGUACCAGAUGACAGCAUCAAGCUAGCAGCUGUCGAAGAGCUUAAGCUCAUAGAGCUCAUUCCCGGAGAUACUUCCAAGAUCAUACAAAUAGGAUCCGAUUUAGAUCCAACCACGGAGCAGCAGCUAAUCAACUUCCUGCGACACAAUGGAGAUGUGUUCGCAUGGAAAGCCCAAGAUUUGCCGGGUAUUCCUCCUCAGGUAGCUCUACAUCGGCUCAACGUCGACAAGAGGUUGAAGCCAGUCAAACAAAGAAAGUGGACAUUUGGUCCUGAGCGCAACAAGCAUAUCAAAGCGGAAGUGGCAAAACUCCUUGAAGCGGGCCACAUACGACCAGUCCAGUAUCCUGAAUGGCUGUCGAACGUAGUACUCGUUCCCAAGCCGGGUGGCAAGUGGAGAUUAUGCGUAGACUUCACUGACCUCAACAAAGCUUGUCCUAAGGACCCAUUUCCUCUACCCAGAAUCGAUCAGCUCAUCGAUUCGACCUCGGGGUGCAAACUCCUCAGCUUCCUCGAUGCAUACCAAGGGUAUAACGAGAUCUUACUUGCGCCAGAAGAUCAAGAGAGGGCUAGUUUCAUCACUGACCAAGGCAUCUACUGCUAUCAAGUCAUGCCCUUCGGGUUAAAAAACGCAUGAGCCACCUACCAGCGUCUAGUGAACAAAAUGUUCGCAGAUCAGAUAGGUAAAAAUAUGGAGGUGUACAUCGACGACAUGCUCGUCAAAAGUGUCAAGGUCUCGGACCACCUAACUGAUCUAGAUCAGUGUUCCGCCUCCCUGCGAAAAUAUAAGAUGAAGAUCAACCCCCUCAAAUGUUCAUUCGGAGUUCGGGGAGGCAAAUUUUUGGGUUAUAUGAUUUCUCAGCGAGGAAUCGAAGCUAAUCCCGCGAAAAUCGAAGCAAUCACCUCCAUGGCUCCGCCAACAUCGAUCAAGAAAGUUCAGCAGCUCAACGGCUGUUUGGCAUCCCUGAACAGGUUCAUUUCAAGAUCAGCGGACAAGGCUCUCCCAUUUUUCAAGAUUUUAAGGGGAGGAAAAAAGUUCGAGUGGAAUGAGGCAUGUCAAAAAGCCUUCACUGAGCUAAAGUCAUAUCUCGCAUCACCACCCUUGCUUACAAAACCUCAGCCGGGAGACACCCUCAUGCUGUACUUAGCUACCUCGGUGGAUGCCAUCAGCGUAGUCCUCAUCCGAGAUGGAGGAAAAGGUCAUCAACCCAUAUACUACAUAAGUCGCGCCCUCCAAGGAGCCGAACAACGCUAUACCAAUAUGGAGAAGCUCGCUCUCGCCCUCAUCAACGCAGCUCGGAAGCUUCGACCCUACUUCCAGUCGCAUCAAGUGGUGGUUCUCACCAAUUAUCCUCUGAAACAGAUACUGAGAAGUCCCGAGACAUCCGGGCGAUUAGCAAAAUGGGCAAUAGAGCUAAGCGAAUAUGGAGUGGAAUUCAAACCUCGCCCCGCUAUCAAAGCGCAAAUAUUGGCUGACUUUCUAGUCGAAAUGACUUCAGUAGAAGAAAGCACCUCUCUACCAACUUGGUCCGUUAGCGUCGAUGGAUCUUCCACUGCCACAGGAGGUGGAGCGGGUAUCGUCCUAACGAACCCCGACGGAAACGAAUUCGAAUAUGCUCAACGAUUCGAAUUCACAGCCUCAAACAACGUAGCUGAAUACGAAGCACUGAUAGCGGGAAUCCGCCUUGCCCUAGCAGCCGGAGCGCGCUAGCUCCUAAUCCAAAGCGACUCUCAGCUCGUCGUCAACCAAGUACUCGGAGCUUAUGAGGCUAAAGAAGACACCAUGGCCAAAUACUUAGCUCUCGCGCACACUCUCUUAUCUAAAUUCGAGAGCUACGAGACAAGUACCUCGCUCCAAUAACGUCCAUGCUGACAAAUUAGCUAGGCUUGGAAGCUCCAUGGCUAGCAUCGGAAGCCGGAAGGUGACGCUCCUUACCUCACCUCAGCCAGAGAUAACUUCACCCACUGAAAUACAGUACACCGAGGAGGAUGAACCAUGCUGGUUCACUCCAAUCAUGAAGUAUCUCAAGAAGGGAGAACUUCCAGCGGAUCCCACCGAAGCACGAAAGUUAAAAACAAGAGCCGCUCGCUUCGUCAUAGUGGGAGAAGAGUUGUACAAACGAGGGUUCUCAUUCCCCUACCUCAAGUGCCUCGAACCGACCAUAGCGGAUUACGUACUUAGAGAAGUACACGAAUGCAUCUGCGGAAAUCACUUGAGCGGGAGAACUUUAGCUCUCAAACUACUGAGGCAAGGCUACUAUUGGCCAACGAUGCAUGAAGACGCGAAGAAGUUAGUCCGGAAGUGUAAGCCCUGCCAAGAGCAUGCAAAUAUUCCUCACCUGCCAGCGGCAUUAAUGCAACCAAUUGACAGCCCCAUCCCUUUCGCCCAAUGGGGAAUGGAUUUAGUUGGACCAUUCCCGCCCGCCACAGGAGGACGUAAAUACCUCAUUGUAGCAGUGGACUACUUCACCAAAUGGGUGGAAGCUGAACCCUUAGCACGCAUCCGAGAAGAAGAAGUCAUCCAAUUCCUAUGGAAGAACAUCGUGUGUCGCUUUGGGAUCCCACGCUCCAUUAUCUCAGAUAACGGAACCCAAUUUUGUGGUGACAAAGUAAAGAAUUGGUGCCUCGACUUGGACAUCAAACAGUUCUUCACAUCCGUAGCCAAUCCACAGGCUAACGGCCAGACAUAGGUCACGAAUCGCAUCAUACUCCAACACCUUAAGACAAGGCUUGGAAGUGCCAAAGGGAAGUGGGUGGACGAGUUGCCUAACGCACUAUGGGCUUAUCGCACAACCCCACGAGCAGCAACCGGAGAGUCACCUUUCAAUCUAGCUUUCGGAACAGAGGCUCUCGCACCAGUCGAAAUCGGAGAACCAUCUUGGCGAAUCACCAAUUAUGACCCAGCGGCUAACGAAGAGGCUAUGCGGGGAAGCCUAGACCUCGUAGAUGAAUUACGUGAGAUUGCAUACAUCCGACAACAGAUGUAUAAAUCACGCAUGGCCAAGGCCUAUAACUCAAAGGUCCGCCCUCGCUCCUUUCAAGUUGGAGAUUUAGUCCUCCGAAAAGCUGAAGCCUCUCACCCCAUCGGUAAGCUCGACCCAAAGUGGGAAGGACCAUAUAAAAUCACCAAAGUGGUCAACACUGGAGCAUAUCGCCUCGAGAACACUGACGGACACCCUAUACCCAGAACUUGGAAUAUAGGGAACCUCAAACGGUUCUACGCGUAAGGUACACAUCCACCUCAAUUAAGAGAGCAGUUGAAGUCAUCACCUAUACCAUUCCUAUAUAAAAAUUACUUACAAAUCAUUACCCCUGCAGGCUCCGCGACCUUAUACGUCACUCGUCUCGCGAAACUGUGUCUACAUGCUUGGAAAUUUUCUGCUAUAUAACUAGGUGCGUGAACGUCCCACCUAAACUGGGGGGCUAAUAGUUUUUACUUACAUCAGCAAUUCAUAAUCGCAUCCCAUCGUCUUCUUACAGGUUGAGAACUUAUUACGAGAGGAUGUAUAUUACUCAAUCAAUGGUCCAAAGAGCGAAGACGCUCCAUACCACAUCGCCAAGGGUAACUAUACUUCCACUAGCAUUCAACACACGGAUGAUCUUACUUACUCUUACUAACGUGAAAAAAUAAUUCCACUAGCAGGCAUAAUCGCAUAACAACUCGCAGCAACUCACGAGUUGAUUUCAUAUCUCAGAGUAUGAGGAAGAAAAACAAUCCCCGUAAUAGGGUACGUAAAAGUGCAACAUACAUCGCCACAACUUCAAUUACUGAAUAUCCCACAAGUGUUUAAACAAAAUUCUUUUUUUUCUCAGUUAUACUUGACAGGAAUAGAGACGCCAAAGAAAUUCAGUUUACCAUCAGCACAGCGAAACGAACGAGUACAAGGAAGACGUGGAAGAAGAACAAGUGUAGUAUAAUCUCUUAGAAUUUUUUUUUAUCAAAUCAGUUUACUUGCUUUUAUAGCAGAUAUUUACCUUCGCCUCACGUAGGCAUAUCGCAUUAACUAUUUAUCUACAUUCGCCUCACAUAGGCUUCUAUCAGUGCACUUUUGCUAUCAUCGAAUUAAUCAAAUUUAUUUUUGCUUUACUCUCUGGAUGUUACAUCUACACAAAUUACCUAGUACCACGAGUUCAAUUCAAAACAACCUUAAAAACACUUAGAGAGACUUAGAUAAUCCAUAUAGCCUGGCCAGCUGGAUUGUUUAAGUCCCUUUAUUUGGUUCACGAGGUGUUAAUUUUAAAACGUGGCCACGGAAAAAUAUAUUUAAGACCUAAGCGGUCCGAACAAAGGGCACGACCCUUAACAAAAACCUUGGGAGACUGAUCCCCUCCUCAAGUACAUCGCGUAUAAUGCUAGUGUAAACACACAUAAGCAACGCAUUAAUUCUUGACAAUGUCAAAAUAAAUAAAUCGAAAUAUUAAACUUCAAAGUCAAACAAGGAAGAAAUUCAAACGAAGUAGUAGUGGACAUACCCAUCUACAUCAGCGAUAAAAACAAACUAAGAAAUCCAUAGCAAAAAAAAAAAAAAAAAAAAAAAAGGGGAAAUUUAACUAUCCUAACAGAUAAGUCUAAACUCCCCUACCACGAGCGGAAGACGUACCCACAGUGGAGUCAUCCGCUACCAUGUCAUUCACAAGCUCUGUGCCCGUCCCAUUGACAUCUAUCUCAUCCUCCUCUUCAUCGGAUAUGCCGGCUUCCAUCCCACGAAUCACUUCCUCGCUGAUCCCACCCGCAUCGCGCAGAUAUUUGCGACAAGCACGCACUAAGGGCUUAUAAACCACACCCAAUGCAUGCUCCUCAAUCAUAGCAGCACACUCAUCACUACCUCGGAAGCUAAGCUUGGUUUCCUCCACAAUGGACUCCCUAUAAGCCGCACCACCUGACGUCGCGAGGAACCUCUUCCCCGUUGCCUUCUCGACUUCGUAUUUCUCCUUGAGCUGGUCAUAGCACUCGUUUAACUUAUGAACAUCAUCCUUAUACGCCUUCGCGUCACCUCGGAUAACCUCGAGCUCUUCUGUCCUUUGAGCAAGCUCCUCUGUCCUUUGAGCAAGCUCUUCCGUCCGUUGAGCAAGAUCGGACCGUGCUAUCUCCAACCAGCUUAGAAGUUCGUCCUCACGCGCCUGACUUCGAACUCGCUCCUCUUCCUUCAUAGCUUCAACAUUCCUACCAUGCUCCAUGAGAUAUCUCCAAGUCGCUACCAACUAAAAAAAAAAAAAAGAAAAAAUAAAAUAUUUUUCACGCAAGGAAGAGAGGAAGUAACAUUUAACCUGGUUUUAAAUAAACAAGGACUUACCCGACAUAUAUCCCCACCGGCUAACUCCAACAUGUGAGAAGGGCCCUUACCAGACAUCCGAGCACGGUCAUACUCCCGAACGAACCCUUCGGUACUCAACAUAGGCAGAUCAUGGUCCGACACAUCCCAAUACGACUCCUUACCUUCGCGAUUCACGCCAUAGGUAAACAACUGUUUCCCCGCCCCACCACGGAAAGCAUAGGUCUCCUCGGGCUCUACCCGUGGACGUUUGAGUACAGCCACAUACUCGGUAUCCACCCUCUUUCCCUUGCCACGGUCCCUCAUCGAUGGACGCCUCUCCACUUCACCAGCACUGCUACGGUCAUCUUCAAUAACUCGAGGAGUUUCUACAUGGACCAUCUCACGAGACAAACCGCCCGAAGAACCUCCCAGCGUAGCGGGAACCUUCCUCGAUGCCUUCUUCGACGUCCCAUUCGCCUUAGCUCGAAGUGCCGCAAAUGUGAUACCUCCAUCUACAAAAAGUAACAACCACAUAAGAGACAUGAGGUAUACACUACCAAAGAACUACCAAAAAAAAAAAAAAAAAAAAAAAAACCAACAAUUCAUCAAAAGGAUAUACAGUGCUGACCCUUCGCCUUCGGUAUCAAACACCUCGGAUCAAACUCCAUAUCACACAACCCAGAUUCUUCAAUCCUCUUCGCCAUAUUGGCGGUAAUCUUGAAACUCUCGCAUGUAGGGUUCCAAACUACGGGGACGUCAAAAGUAGGAGCCCUCACAUAAAAAAAAUGGGUCUUCCAUUCCCCCAAGGAUAACUUCACACUCUUCACGAAUUGGUAGGGAACGCGAGGAUGAAAACAAAAGAAAGGCAUCUUAGUGGGCCGAUGUAACGUAAAUAACGCCUUAAACAAACUCACAGUAACUGGAAGACCUACUCGAACCACCCUAUAGUGAAACGCCUCGAACAUCAGAACAGCAGUGGGAGUGAGCUGACUAUACCCUAUCUUGAAUUCCUCGCAAACCUUCAACAAGGUCGGAUGCGGAGUAAUCUGAGAUGUACACGUCAAGUACCCCAAAAAUACCGUAUGAAACCCAUCGGGUGGCGAGUACAAACGGUCACCCUUCUGAGGCAACAACAACUCGACAUUACUUGGCGCUCCAGAUAAACGACAGAUAGAAUUCAAAUGCUCGUCCGUCAAUACACUAUCAAAAUCAAUUAAGUCCAAAUUAAUUGGCUUAAUUUUCUUUUGCCUCCUCGUAUCAAUCUCAACAUCACCCCGCGGAAUAUCAUCUUCCUCCUCCUCUUCAUCCGUCAGCUCAACUUCACUACUUGGCACCGCAUGAUCACUCGCCGAAGGUGCUUGAAUCGAAUCAUCGCUGUCACUACCAAAAUCCACGAUUUGGCGCCGAGAAUUACGACUACUAGCUACAACUCCAUCAACUUGCUCACGAGCUUUAUUAAUCGGACCUACGUCGUCGCUCCAAGAUUCAAUAACUUCUCGCCGUCCUAAACUACCCCCGUUUAAACCACCAAGUGCAACAUCACUCUCGACACUUCGCCCAUCGAUUUCACCCGAAACGGGCCCAAAAACGUGUUCUAACGCGCCCUCACGCGCGCGCGUGACCCCAAAAGGGGCUGAUUCACGCGCGCGCGUGUGAUCAACCUUCUCCGUAACACGUGCCGCCUCCCUGCUGGCCGAACCGCGCGCGUCACCUUCAAACAACGCGCCCUCACGCGCGCGCGUGACCCCAAAAGGGGCUGAUUCACGCGCGCGCGUGUCAUCCGAAACACGUGCCGCCUCCCUAAUGGCCGAACCGCGCGCGUCAUCUUCAAACGGCCCAUCCGACGCGCGCGCGCGUCGCUUGGGAAGCGCGCCCGACCUCAGCCGAUUAACGGCCACGCGCGCGCGUCUCUCAAUCUCAGCGCCCGACGCGCGCGCGCGUGCCUCUUCUUCCGUACCCGACGCGCGCACGUGGCUUCCUCCCAUUGGACCACGUGCGCUGGAAUCUCUCUCUCUCCUCCCCCCAGCAGUCGAGCCAGCCUCCAACUCCUUGGCUCGGCUCGGCUCCUCUCUCACCUCGAAGCGCGCACUCUCACGCGUUCGAAGCCGGCUAGAAGCACGGCUAGAGCCGAUCUCUGCGUCUGAGCCACCUACCAGGCCAAUCUCACGGAUAUUCGAGCACCACCUACCGCAGAUCCGAUUUCCCCACCUGAUACCACUACCUUCUCGCGCUCCAUGCCCACGGAACCAAAAGUUUUCUCGCCCCCUUCAACCGGAUCUCGGAGUCUAAUUCGCAAAGGUUUCGACUGACCCAAGAAACAAAAAAUUUUCUACUCUACCGCUAUAGAAUAAAAUAAGAAGAGCACAGAAGAAGACCUAGAGUUAAAAAUACAUACCCAUAUUUAUUACGCAGGAGUUGAAGUUUAAUUAUUUCCACCGCAAAAGGACUCUAUUUAUCUGGCCCUGGUAUAUUAUUUAAAACCUUAAAUAUAUACCUCGCUGCCAAACACAUACAAUUAUUCCUUAUUUAAAUUAAGGAAUUAUUUCACCACCAACGGAAACAAUUCAAUCAACGACGCAAUUAACUCUCGACACGACCCGGAUCCCGCCACACAAAUCCCCGUCCCGAAUCGAGAGUUGGGGGGCUUAAUGAUAUACCUAAAUGGGCUGGCCCAAUGGGCCCUCAAAUUUAUCUACUAAUGAGGCCCACUACCCAAUCACAUACAAGUGGGCCCAUUACACGAAAGCCCAAUCUCCUUCAAAGUAAGGCUUGGGCCCAACAAAGUAAGCCCAACUCAUUCAACGAUAUAUAAAUAGAUGUUUUACUCAUUUAUUAAGGUACGUUCUAAUUAUUCACAAUCAAUCUCGAGUUUUAUUCUCUCCACUAUCUCUACGAUCCAUACAUCUGACUUGAGCGUCGGAGGGGUUUCCGCCGGAUCAACCCCCGACUUAGUUCACGUGUGCUCAUUUUGUAGGGACCUCAGGAUCAUCGAGUUGACUAGCUACUGAUCAGCUUUGCUCUCCCAGCUCGUUUUCUAUACUACUCCGGUGAGCUAUAUUUUAGCAUCAUCAGAUAUCUAUAUCUAUCUAUAUCUAUAUCUAUACUACUUAUAAAAGUGGGAAUGUUAGGGGAGUUUUCUUCCCUUUUUUGUGAGGACCAAAAUGCCCCCAUCAAAAUUAAAAUAAUUAAUAUUAAUUUAUAAUUAGUCUUUUAAUGUAUGUUUAUGAAAAUAAUUGAUAUUUUUUAGACUUUAAUGUACAAAGGCACUGGAAAAGAGGAACUAUGUAUCUAUUAAAUGUUAGUCAUACAAGAAAUUCAAAGAAACUCAAUGGUUUCCAUAAUUCAAUAUGGAUUUCAAUUUUGCAUCAGUUAAACCAAAGAAAGAAAAGAAAAUGAUCGCAACUUUCAUUUUCAAGUUCUCUUUCAUCUUUUCUUUCUCUUCUCGAUUUCUUUUUCGUCUUCUUCUUCUUUUUUUUUUUUUUUUUGUUUUCAGUUCUAUGUUUAAUAGUUUGAAUAUUUUCUCAACUACGUCCCUCAUUUUUCCUUCUCUAUCUUCCGUCCAUCUUUGAACCCUAAAUUUUGAGAAAUUGAUUAAGUUUUCUAGAUUAAUGAAGGAAUAAAUCCUCCAUAUCAAGACUGGAUUGAGCAUCUGUUAAUAAAGUUCGUAAGUUAUUUUGCAUAUUUUUCCCACUUCUAUGUACUAAGUUAAUUUUUUUAUUCAUUUGAAUUAAUUGACUUAAUGAAACAUGUAUGGGUCAUAUCUAUCAUUGACUUUGAAUCUUUCUGAUCAGAUCUUACAUGUUAAAAUUAUUUCUACUCAGGUAAUUCAAAAUACGUGUCUGUUUCAUAAAAUCAAAGGUCUAUGCAUGGGAUUAUUGAUUUAACUUUUAUCUACUAAAUUUACUUGAUUACUUGCAAUUAUAUUUUAUUUUUCCAUUCAAUUCUUUAUUUAUGUAUUGGCAGGUAAGACUCAUUGUAAUAUAGUUUGUGACUAAAAAUAUUAUGCGUGAAGUUUUUAAGGACUUUCGAUUUCAAUUGGCUUAUUCUUGUCAUCAAAGUUGUUAGUCUUUCUCCUACAAGACUUUACUAUACAUUUUCUGGAAACCAUAAUUUAAUUUUAGUUUUCGUGGCUUUUGGUAUUCCACAUUUCGUUUACGAAAAUAGGAAGUUAAACUGACAUGUUAUUAAUCUUUGUUAAUGUUAUGAAUUGUGAGUGGAUAAAUAGGAAAUAAUCUGUUAAAUGGGCUUUAUAUUGCUAUCGGUAGUUUUGCAUUAGAUGGUUAUAUUGGCUUGUCAUGUUUUAGUUACUCCGAGACUUCACUUUAGGUGGCUUGACUACAUCUAUUGGUUAGUGAUAUAAAUUUAAGGGGAAAUUUCACUUUCCCCCUUGUACUUUGGUUCGGUGUCACUUUACCCCCUUCUACUCUCGAUUGCAUCGAUUUGCCCCCUAUACUUGAAAAACUGUCUCUCGCUAUUAGUUGUCACACAUUUGACAUUAACACCGUUUGAUCUAAGCUCUGAAAUUACAAAAUCGCCACCCCCAAAUUUAAAUAAUUAUGAAUAAACGAAAAAACAAAAAAUAAAAUAAUAAAAAUUCAAGACAACGAGAAAAUAUAGUCCACGACGCCUGUCACAAUUUUUUUUAAUAAUUAUUUAAACUAGGAGGGUGGUUUUUUUAUUUAUUUUCAGACUUAGAUCAAAUGGUGUAAGGUCAAAGGUCUGAAAACUAACGGCGAGGGCCACAUUGAGACAAUUUUUCAAGUACCGAAGGGCAAAUCGAUGCAAUUGAGAGCAUAAGGGGUAAAGUCAUAUUCAGCCAAAGUAUAAGGGGGGAAAGUGAAAUUUACCCUAAAUUUUAUGCACUGGACUGAUGGUUUUAUGUUGUCUAACGGUAGAGAAACAUAACUUGGAAUUAAAAGUUAUUUCUCAUGUAAUUUAUUUCUAUAAACUUGUUUCCUUGAUUUUUAUUUUGAUGGCGAAAAUUUUAAUGCCUCUUGUUCGUUUUAUCUUCUAUAUUAUUUGAAUUUUUAAUGAAUUUAUUUGUUCAUGAACUUCUUAUAUUUUUCAAUUCAUAUUUUUUCCCUCUAAAUGUUAGGGUCCAAUGGCUAUAGAUAGUUUCCUUUUUAAGUUAGUAAGUUUUGUGUUUACUCCAAAUUAAAAAUCAUGAGUUAAGCUUUAGACUCUGGUUGAAUCAUCCAUCUCCUUCAUGCAGGCAAUACCUCACACCUUAUGUAAAACACUUGUAAUCGAUGUCGUGCUCUCAUAAUUUUUUUUAAAGUUAUUAGAUAUUAAAUUCCUUUAACACAACUCUGAACUUGGCAAGCAUGCUGUUUUCUAUAAUUUCUUCGAUCUGGUUCCCGUUACCAUUUAGGUGAGUUUCAGGGAGAUAUUAUUAUAGAAAAUCUACGAGCCAUUCAAAGGGAUACUGGAGUGAAUUAUGCCCGUAUACUUUAUAUGCUUUAUCACUGUUAUUAUUGGAGAUAUUAGUAUUAAAUGAUACACUUCACUAAUAACUUAAGCUUUUGGUUGAGGUAGUCAUUCAACAUGGUAUCAGAGUUAGACCAACUGAAAGGUCAUGAGUUCGAAUCCCACCGCCACCCAUUUCAAAUAUUUCAAGUGCAAGGCUUCAAAUGUAAUUCGCUUGAACUUUAGGGGGCGAAUUGGAGAUAUUAGUAUUAAAUAAUAAUAGCUUAAGUUUUUAGUUGAGGUGGUCAUUCAACAAUUAUAUUUGUUUUUUUCUUUUGUUUUUUUUUCCCUUUAUAGAAAGUCGAUGUGAUCCGUCAAAACUACAAGAUAAGAUGUUGGAUGUACACCAUAUUUCUUAGACAUAGCAGGUAGGGGAGGUACAACCAUACAGAUGAAGUCAACAACAAAUGGAUUCUCCAUGGUGUAGUCACAUGAUGAUGAAACUCAUAGCUGAAGGACAAAAUGAAGCCACCCAAAAUGCAUAAGCAAAAAUUUCAGCUCAAUCUUGUAUUCUCGAAUGCUUUUACUCAAUAGUUAUUUUAUAGGAAGCUAAAUGAAGAAAUGGUUGUACAUGUAGUCCGUUCUUUGUUUUGAUAUUUCAUGGCAUACCAAUGGCCGAAGACAAACUGUUUUAGUUUCAUUAAUAUAUUUCAUUGUUUUAUUUAGAAUUGUAGAAGAUUUUACUGUAUAAAGGUCAAGAUUAUGCUCUUGCUAUGCUCUUUUAGAAUGCAUUCAAAUAGAAAAUCAACUUCGUGCUCUAGAAGAAAUUUGAACUUUUGGAUAAUAAUUUUCAUGGAAUGCUCAAGUUUAAAUGUUUUAUUGGCCAUAAUUUUUAUCUCUAUGAUACACUAUUUUUGCUCAAUAUAGUUUGACUGAUUGUUGGAUAGUGUGGCCACUUGAUUCCAUUCUUUAUUUUUUUUAGGUUUUGCAUUUAGAAGCUAGACAUUUUACGAAACAUGCAAGAUAUAUCUUUCAAUCUUUGUACCAUAUAAAAGAUAUCAUUGUAUGCAAACUUAUGGACAAUAUCUAAAGUUCUUCCAUGAAUUAUUUAUUCUUUAUAAUUAGACUUAGUUUUACUUUGUGAAAUCAUUAUGUCAUUACUUCAUGAUGAUGGCCUGGUACAUAGUCUGUCAAACUCAAAAUGCCCUGAGGUAUGUUAUUAAAAUAUGCAAGUCUCUUUUUUGUUUGUCUCUUCUUCUAUGUUUCGAAUUUAUCUAAAUUCUCUAAAUCUUAAACGAUCGAGACUAUUAUAGAGCUACUCCAGACUUGCGUUCAUGUGGAGUGAUACUUUUUGUAAAGGUUGCACGAACCUAACCUUCUCUUUAUACUACUGUGAAGCAUAUAGACCAAUUAAAUUUGUGUAGAGUAUGUGUUGGGAAAAUUGGUUAAAAAUUGAGACAUGAACAAUUUUUAUCAAUGUUAUUGUAUGGACUAAUUGAUUAUAUAAAUCAAUGUUUGGAUUAGAUUAAUAUAAAACCAAUUUUGUGGUGAAUGAAAAAUUACUAGUCCAAAAUAUAAGGAAAGUGGGAUUUUGAGCUAUCCCACAUUGGAAAAGUAGAGAAGUACUGAGCUGUAUAUAUAUCUAAAUGUUGGGACAAAGGGUCACGCCCUUUGGGCAUUCAACUUUGUUUGGGAGAAAUGCCUAUAUGUUAUGUGUUUCGAAUCGUGCCCACACGCGCGCGCCGCCAUCCGACCGGCUCGCUCGUUCGUACGUAUUGGAUUUGGGCUUGGGCUUGGGCCCAAAUCACUACAUUUUUUUUGGGCCAAAAAAAAACAUUAGGUCAUGGGCGUCAACUCGCCUCGGCAAAUAUUCUUUACUAGCAGAUUAAUUAUUCCAACAGUAUGUUGGAACAUAAUUUACAUUCAUGCUCAUUGCUAGCUGGAAAUUAUGUUAAUGCACCUAGCUCCUGAUUUUUUUGUUUAUUUUUCUGAUGUAUGUUUCAUCGUUCAAUAAGGAAAAAAAAAUGUAAUUGGUUAAAGAGCGGGUAAUCCACAAUAAACAGAAUCUGUUGCAUAAGGAUUAGAUGUGCCAUGAGGGACAUUGCAAUUGGAUGAUGCAUUUUGGUUAUCAGGAAAACAUUUGCUGUCCCACCACGAGUUAUAUGAGUUGUAUUAGUUUUUAAUGAUUUUACAUAAACAUCAUUAACUAAACAAAAUCUCGUAAUUGACUGCAAAUUUGCUAUUCAAUCUCGAAAAAUAUGUUUUCCUAGGAUUCACCUGAAUCUCCAAUACAAAGAAGAUAAAGAUAAGUUUGAUUUGAUGUAGUUUACAUUUCUCCAAUAUUUACAGAAGUAGCAAUAUAUUUUUAAUCUAAAACUAAUUGACUCAUAUUUUAUGAAAGGCAUCUUGCAAUCUAAUGUAUACAUAAAAAUUAGGGUAAAUAGCAUGAAUCCACCUGAACUUUUUAAGUUUUUGCGGAUCACCACAUGAAAUUUUUUUUUUUGCACGAGUUCAUCUGUACUCAAUUAAUUGUGUCACUUUGCCCUCUUGUGCCCGUUUCCAGGUCAAAAUGACCGGUUAUGAACGCAUGUGCGUUGCACGUGCUAAAUCCAAGGCUAUUUUUGUCUUUUCCAAUUAAAAAUCCCUAAUUCCUUUAAUUUUCUCUCCAUUUCUCUCUUAUCUCCAUUAUUUUCCCUCUUUAAUUAGCUAGAAAUGGUGUUAUUUUCUUAAUGUGAAGAUGGGCGAUUGUUUAGGAUGAAGCAGUCGCUAGAAAAAUGGUGAAGUUCAUCGAAGUUAGCACAAUCUGAGUGUCGAAAGAGGCGCAAAACAGAGCAGCCACCGUUCUUGAAAUCAUUUCCCUUAGCUGCUGCAAAAGUGAUGACAACAAACUCGAGAAUUUCUUCGAAUACAUCCAUAAUCCAAUGGCCGAAAGGUGGAAGAAACUCAGAGAAGCUAUCAAGAACAACAAACUCUUUCACGUCGCCAAAUUUCUGAACCUGCACUGCAAUUUCGCCAAAGACUACACCAAAACAUAUCCCGGUAAUUACUUACACGUAUACAUAUAUAUUUUGCUCGUAUUUAUUAAAAAAAUACCGAUGCUUAUACGAUUUUUUUGACAGCUUUUGCGUGGAUGAAAUGCAACGAGAGCGAACUUUGACUGGUCAUUUGCUGUAGGUUCUGUAAAAAAUCUUGAUUCCAUUGCUGUUAAUUGAUGCAUCCCCAUCUCCGUUCUGAUAAGCUCCCACGUUUAAACAACGGCAUUGUGGGUUGGGAUUUGGGAUUGUAGAGAGAGAGAAAGAGGGGAACUAAGGAAGAUGAAACUCGAAAGGGACGACUUUUACAAGUGUUCUUUUUUCCGGCAACGUAAUUUGAAAUGCUCGAAAAUGCAAAUAUUUUGCGAAUGAGGGAAUUCAUUUCUUUCUUAUAGAAGAAGAAAACUAAUGGAGAUAAGAGAAAAAUGGAGAGAAAAUUAAAGGAAUUAGGGAUUUUAAAUGGAAAAGACAAAAAUAGCCUUGGAUUUCACAUGUGCAGCGCACAUGGUUUCAUAACCGGUCAUUUUGACCUGAAAACGGGCAAAAGAGGGCAAAGUGUCGCAAUUAAUUGAGUACAGGUGAACUCGUGCAAAAAAAAAUUGUUCAGGAGGUGAUCCGCAAAAACUUAAAAAGUUCAGGUGGUUUAAUGCUAUUUACCCUAAAAAUUAUUUUCACCGUAUAAUAAUAUUACGACACGUGCAACGCACGUGCACCUUGCUAGUACCAUAAAAAAGUUGAAACUUGGAAUUAGGUUGGGCCAAAUGAAUGUAACAUUAAUAUAGAAAUAGUUAAUAUACUAGAAUAUUUAGUGUAGCAUAAUUAAAAUACUGGGAAAAAGAAAACCAUGAAUAGCAUAUAUAAUAAAAAUAAGGGGCUAUAUGCCAAACACCCUUCAUUGGGAUUUUAAUUCUUGAUAAAUCCUUUAUUUAUAAAUGAUAUUUGAGUUAAAUCCAAUGGGCCUGGAAAAUCAUUUAUGCCCCCACUAAUUAUUAAUUAGUAUAAUUAUUUAAUUUUAAUAAAAUUAUACUCAUAAUCUACACCCAAAUCUUCUCCAAAAGUUAUUCCCCUCAUCACGCCAAUUCAGUUUUUUUUUUCCUUUUCUUUUUUAUUUUGUUUAAUAGUUUUCUUUAUUUCUAUUUAAAAGAAAUUUUUUUAAUUAUUUUAUCUUUUUUAUUUUUAUUUUAUUUUCGGUUUUUUAUUUUAAAUUAUUUUUUUUCUUAUUUAUAUUUUUCAUGUUUUUUAUUUUAAUUUAAAAAAAUAGUGUGAUUUUUAUUUUCGUUUUUUCAUGGUUUUUCUUUUUUCUUAAUUUCAAUUUUUUUAAUGGUUUUUUUUUUCUUUCCAUUUUUUUAAAUAAAAACCACUCUAUAUAAAAAUGAAAACCACUCUGUAUAAACAACUACAUAAACAUGAAAACCACUCUGUAUAACAACUAUAUAACAUGAAAACCACUUUGUAUAACAACUAUGUAAACUUGAAAACCACUCUGUAUAACAACUAUGUCAACAUAAACACCACUUUGUAUAUACACUUUGUAUAUACAGUUAUAUACAAAUAUGUACAAAAGUUAUUGAAAACCACUAUAAUUUUUUUUAAAACUAUUAUAAAUUUAUCAAAAACAAAGCCUGACAUUAUGAAAACCACUCCGUAUAAACCGCUAUAUAAACAUGAAAACCACUAUGUAUAAAAAAACUAUAUAAACAUGAAAACCACAUUAUAUACACAACUAUAUAAACAUCGAAAAUCACUAUGAAUUCUAACAAGAAAACAUAAAAAAAUCUGCGAAAAAGAAGCUAUAAAACCACUAUAAAGGACAUCAUCUUCUCUCCAAUGAACCCUAGAGCAUAGUCCGUGUAAUCAUCUUCUCGUUAUUUGAAACGUAAACUACUAUUUGAAAAAAUCAUCAUCUUCUUCCUCCCAUCAGCAAUUUCGUCAAAAAAAUCAUCAAGAUAAAAAACAUUACCAAAAUUAAAAGAAAAAAAAUCAGCCGGUAAAAAAAUAUUAAAAAAAAAUAUUUCCCACCGGAGGAAAAUGCAACAAAAAUUUGCCGAGUUUUAAUAAAAUUCAUAAUGUUUUUUUAUUGUAUAACUAUUAACUACACAAUCAAUUGUAUGAGAUUACCUCAGAUGUAAGUAUUCGUUGGCUUCAUAUUUGAAAAAAUUAGAUCUGACGAGACGGUGAUGCGGUGGCGAUGGAUUAAAAAGAAACGGCGUGCAGAGGAAAAGUUUGUGAGUACCAGCGGUUUGUUGCCGAAUAAUUCCUCAGAUCUCGCAUGAGGGAGAGAGAGACUAGGAGCGGCGUAUAUUUGAGAGAAACAAAAAUUAAACAAAAUUAGGGUAAUACCGGCGUAUAUUUGUGAGUACCAGCGGUCAGGGGCGUGCGUACCCAUGCUUGUGGCUGGGGUGGCCCCUGCCCCCCCAAGAAUUUUUUUUUAAGCUGUUUUUGUUUUUUUUUUUUGGUUAUUUAUGUAUUUGUUAAUGCAUUUUCGCCCCCCCAAACUUUUAUUUUUUUACACUUUAGUCCCCAAAAACAAAAAAAAAAAAAUAUCUCUUAAACUACCCCUAUAUUUCAGCCCCCCCAAGAAACCCCCCCUGGGUCCGCCCCUGCCAGCGGUAUAUUUGUAGUAAUACCGCCGAUGAUUCUUCAAAGCAUGUUUGGGAGAAACAAAAAUUAAACAGUAGGUUUUUUUUUUUCAGAUAACAGUGCCCAAACCAAAAAACUGAAAAUCAGAACGAAUUUGUGGUAAAUACCAAAAAAAAAACAGAACGAGGAAAAAGAUUGUAAGAAAAAAAACCUCCGUGGUGGUGGUGGCGGUGGUGGUGCUACCAUUUGCGCUGAUUGUGCUGGUAUCUGAGAAAACGCAACCCCUUGGGCCGAACAUUCUGCUUCUCUGAUGUCUUUCCUCUUCACUCUCUGUUCUUCCUGUGAUUUUUAUUUUUUAUUUUUGAGUAAGACGGGGUGAUUAUUGUACGCGAUAAAAUUAGGGUUGAAUAAAUAAUUAAAGGGUAUAAUGGUGAAACUUAACUUUUUUUAAUUAAUAAAAGAUGUUUUGGAUUUAUCUUAAAAUUGAGAAUUUUUUUUGGACUUAAUGUAACUAGACUUGUCUAAUGGGGGACUUUUGUGAAAUACCAUAGUAUAAUUUUUAAUGUUUGAAUAAAGUAGUAAUAAAAAGGGUGUUUCUACUGUGAGAUCCCAAGAACACAACUUAUAUGAGAUACCCUCUUCAAAUUGCGACACGUGUCCCAGCAAAAAAACCUAUUUUUUCCUCAUUUAUGUAUUGUCGCAAAUACCCUUUGUACAAUUAUUAUUAUAAAAAAAUCGGCAAUUAUAAAUCAAUUAUAUCAUUAUUCGUAAAAAACAUUAAAACACCCAUCUAAAAUUGCAUCAACCUGAAUUUGAACUUGUGACCAUCUAAAAACAUACAAGAAUACUUACCAUUAAGACACAUCACAUAAUUGACAAUAAACUAACAAUACGGAUAUAUAUAUCACAAAGCUACAAUUUAUAAUGGUUAUAAAACUUAUAUAAAUAAUGUUAAAUAAAUUAUUAAUUCUCAUAUAAUUAUUAUUAUAUAUUAAAAAUAUCCCAUACUAACAAAUCUUUAUAUAAUAUAAUUUAAAAAUCUAAGGAAAUGCUGAUCAACUCGUGUAAUUUAAAAAUGAAUUUCGAAAGAAUUUGAAGUUUGAAUUGAAUCGUAAAUUGUAAGAUUCAAUUAAAUCGUAAUAUUUGAAUCAAUUAAACUCAUGUGUUUUCAAUUCAAAAACAAUAUUCAAAGAUUUGAUCGAUUAAGCUCAACUCAUUUCAAUUCGUAGACAAUAUUCAAAUAUUUGAAUCGGUUAAACUCAAUAAUUUACAAUAGCGUAUUAAUCAAACUAUGCAUAGUUAAAUUUUAGUAUCUUUUUUUUUUUAUUGAAUUUUAUCAUAAAAACUAAUAAAAUUUAAUUCGUAAAAAUCGAAAGAUUUAAUCGGUUCAUGGUUAGAUUAAAUUUUACGAUUUACGAUUUAAUUCUUACGAUUUUACGAAUUAAAUUAUUAUUUCUUUGUUAAAAUUGAAUUAAAAGGAUAGUAGACUUUAAUUAUAAAUAGUUAACUCGAUUAAUACGUUCUUGUCAGUGGUUGAACUUAAUCGAUUAAAUUUUUUGAAUAAUAUUUACAAAUUAAAAGGAUUUGCGCUUAAUUGAUUCAAAUCAUACGCUUUAAUUAAUCUUAUGAUUCGAUUCUUACUUAUUUUAGGAAUUAUUUUUUGAUUUUUUUAUGAUAAUAUUGAAUUAAAAAUAUAUUACACAUUAAUUAAUAAUAGUUAAUUUGAUUAAGACGUUCUUGUCAAUAGUUGAGCGCGCUAAUUAAUCGAUUCAAAUAUUUGAAUAAUGUUUACGAAUUGAAAGGACUUGAGCUUAAUUGAUUCAAAUAUUACGCUUUGAUAAAAUAUUACGAUUUACGAUUAGGUUCUUACAUGUGUUAGGAAUUAAAUUUAUUAUUUUUUAUGACAAAAUUAAAUUAAAAAGAUAUUAGACAUUACUUAUAAAUAGUUAAAUCAAUUAUGUAACACGUUAUGUCAAAAUAGUUAAGAACUUGUGCUCAUAUUGGAUGGUUGGAUGUGGUUCGGAACAGUGACAUCUCUGAAAAUUUUCAAAAAUAUUUGCCAAAAAGUGGAGUUCGUCUUGUAAAUAGCACAAGUGCUCAUUUGUCUGUCCAAUUCCAUUUUCUGGGUUCAACCUUCGAUGUCUUUCAGUAUCCUCCAACUCUUGUUGAAUGUAAUCGGCUCUGAAUUGAUGCUGGCAAAUAGAGAGGUCAUAAAACGAGGCCAUCAAUGUAUACAAAAAAAAAUAAUAAAUAAUAAAUAAAUUAAAGAAAAAAAGAUGUAAAGAAAGGAUAGUUGGUAACGAUAAGUAAGUUCAAGAUAACUAAUUCCCCGGCAACGGCGCCAAAAACUUGAUACGCGUAAAACCUACGUAUGAAAAACCGCAAGUGUUCAGUAUCGCGUUUUAUAGAAUAGUGAAUUCCAGACAUCGAUCCACAGGGAAUUAAGUUCCUAAAUUUACCAAGUACCGUAGUUAUAGUGUCCUAAACUUUAUCUAGACGAUCAUGAAUGGAUGGGAGAAAUGAAACUAAAAAGAAAUAAUAAUUAAAAACAACGGUCCACCAGUACAAGCGAGAAAUUCCGACAUGAUGGCUUCUAGGGUAAAAUCCACCAGUGUACUAUCGAUAAAGAUCUACAAAUCCGAAUCUAAUGUCAAUUAUAUAUUCGCUAACCCAUACACUAAAAUGCCCUAACCCCCUUCUCCAGUGUAGUUAGAGUCUACCCACAGGUCCGACGUCUCCGUUCAGAACCUGAUAUUAAGAGAGCACUUAGGUCAAGUCCUUGAGGGCUACCCGAGGUGCAUCACGUCUCCGUUUCCACAACCCGAGCUAUAUUAUCCUACAAUCAAACGAGAAAUCCUCUCUCGAGUUCAUUCCCAUUUACAAUCAAUUCAACUGUUGGCCAAACAAUCGAAAGCAUUUAAUACAGGAAAACAUAAAUAGAAUCAAAGAACGACAAAUAGAUCACAUAUCUGGAAAUCAAAAUCAAUAUAUACAAGGUUUCAUUUCCCUAAAAGAAAAUUCUCAGUUCAUUACAAACAUAGCAUCAAAAUGAAGAACACGAUACAUCAUAAAGUAAACGUUAAGAAAAGCUUAUGAAAAACCCGAGUCGAAACCCUCGUCGAAGCUUCACGCGUAGAACUGGCAAAAACCGAAGAAAAAUUGAAGAAGUCAAUAGAUUGUCCAGCCGUUGAAAAAUGAAAAAGAGACUUCUAUUUAUAGAAAGAAAUCAAAGAAAAUAUAUGGUCUCGAUUUCUGUGCCCAGAUCGCGAUCUGGACUUCUUGGGUUGUAAUCUGGCAGCCUUGGAAACUGCGCACCAUCUUCCCAGAUCGCGAUCCAGGAGGUGUUGAUCGCGAUCUGGCCUAAUUUUUCGCUGCUACUGGAAUUUGCCACCAGAUCGCGAUCCGGUGGUGCUGGAUCGCGAUCUGGCCUCUGCAUCAACUUCAAACAAUGUUUUGACCAUUUUUUUGCCCGAAUUUGACAAAUAUGCAUUUCACAAAAGUUGUAGCCCUUGAAGUUGGCUUUCUAGAUCCAUGUGAAUCAGCUCAAUUAGAGGUUGUGUGCGAGAGUUAUGCUUAAAAUACCAAAAACUGUCACAACCCGCUAGAAUGCACUUUUGCACUUGAUUGGUUUGAGUCUCGGCUUCGCUUCCAAAAUCGUCUCGAAUCGGCGAAAAAUAGCUUCUCUUUACAUAAAAUAGAAACAAAACAAGAAAUGCAAAAUAUGUACAAAUAAAGCCGAAAUCUCGGACGAACGAAGACCAAAACUCGAAGGUUCGAUAAGUAAUAAUCGUGCAAAACGAACACUUAUCACCAGGCUCGUCAGGUUGUGGGUAGCUGAAGGUUUUAUUAGACAUUGUAGUCAUAAAAGCUUAGAAGAAAUCGGGGAGGAAUAUUUGGAGGAACUUAUAGAUAGAAAUCUCGUUUUGGUUGGUAUAAGAUCAAUUACGGGAGGCGUGAGUAUCUGCCGUAUUCAUGAUCUUUUAAGUGAUGUGUGCAGGAAACAAGCUCAAAAAGAAAAUUUUUAAAGAUCAAAAUUGGCGAAUCCAAAAUUUCAUUGGAUGUGGAGAGCAUACGCCGCCUCAGCAUUAUAUUACCAGUGCCAAAUAGGAAACGAUGAUAUAUUGUCCCUCUAGACCAGUGAUACCUACACAAUCUUUCUUAUAUGCUUCUCUUACGUGAAUUUCUAUGAUUAUACUGCUUGGUAUUUUAGGUUACUACGCGUAUUGGAUGUGAUUGAUAGAUAUCCUGUAGAUGAGAUUCUACAGCUUAUUAACUCAAGAUAUGUUGCUUGUAAAGGUUCGAUGUUGCUGUCAUCUUCUAUAUCCCGACUAUGGAGUUUACAAACCUUAGUUGUCGAUGAAGAGUUGACUCUAACAAUUGAGACAUGGCAAAAACAAUUUCUCCCCCCGAUCCUCCUCUAGAUAAUGGCCAAACGAUCAUAGUUCUUGAAAGUCUACAAACACUAUCAACAGUCGAAGAUUUGAAACAGACGGAAAAUGUUAUUAAAAGAAUCCCAACUUGCUUAAAUCUCGACCUUCUCUCUAAGCUCGAAUCACUUAGCCUAACAUUUACCCGUGCUUGUGGUGGAGAAAUUGUGUUCCCAUGUUCACUUAGAGAGUUGAGAUUAAGCGAAUGCAAGAUUCCUUGGGAAGAUAUGUCGUUGCCCAAACUUCAAGUUCUCGAGUUGCGCCAAAAUGCUGCUGCGGGCGGAAAGUGGGUUCCAAACGAAGAUGAAUUCGUUCGACUGAAGCUCCUCUUGAUUGAAGAGUGUGAGUUGGAGAUAUGGGAAGCAGAGGAUGUUAGUUUUUAAUUUUAACGUUUUAAUUUCAAUGGCACAUUAACCUUUGAAUUUAAUUUAUUAAAUGCGGGUAAUUCAGUUAUGGAAUUAAUGCUGAUUUAUGGUAAUUAAUUUGUAAUGUAUGAUGACAAUAAAAGACCAUGAUGAAUGAGAUUUGUCUUCUGCAGUUACAAAUCAAUCGUGGCCCUCUUCUCUCGUCUAUAAAAGAAUCCACAACUCUUCUCCUCAACCACAUACGCAAUUUGAGAAUUCCAUCAAUUAGAGAACACUAGUGAGUUGUGAUAGUGGAGAGAUAGAGAGAAGAAGGUGUGCCUACGAAUAAAGUUCUCACAAGGAGAUUCGAAGGAGGCUUGGCUUGUAGAUUGAUAUCAUCCUAGUUCAUUAUGUUUAUCGGAAUCCAUGGCGAACGGUAUGUCGAUAAUCUCAAUUAUGUGAUUAUGUUCUUAAGAUUAAUUUGAUAUCAAGAUUCUGGAGUAAAUUGCAAAUACCACCCCUGUGAAAUCUCUAAUUGUCAAAUACCCCCCGGUCAAAAAAUAAUUCACUCAUACCCCCCUGUGUAAACAAAGUCAAGGCAUUGAGGCCCCUGAGAGCAAAUCGUGUCUCUCACGCGCUGCUACUGCGAUUUUUCCUUAAUUUUCAAUUGUGAAAUGUCAAAAAUGUCCCCAUCUCCCUCCCUGUUCUUCAUUCUCCAUCGUCCCCAACAUUUACCAUUCUGCAUUCUCCAUCAUCCCAACAUGUAGCAGUAUCCACGGCCGCAAGAUGAAGAUAGUGUAACAAAACUCCAUCUUGACGGUCGCGAAAUUACUCCGCUACACCUCCUUUAUGGGCCUCCAUUUUCGCCGCCCCAGUCGUCAUAAUUUUCGUCCCUCCGCCGCCCAGUACCUCCACCGCGAAAUGAGCUGCCCUCAAUCGGGAGAAGCGAGUCCAAACCUCGGCCCAUCCCCUCUCCAAUUCUCCCUUCUAUUUUCACAACAACAUCGCCGGACCCGCCGCCAUUUUUAGACCUGCAAAAACGCAUUCCAUAGCCAUCUACAGACCCUUCAUCGUAAAUCGACAAAAUCGAUCAAGCCCCGAGCUUAUACACCGCCACCAAAAAAUUCCGAGCUUGAAGAAGCCUAAACAAUUGAUGGAUGUGGUGGUGCGUGGUGGGCGGCGGCGGUGAAUGAUAAGUAUGAUUGGAAAUUGAGAGGAAGGUGAAGAAUUGGGCUGCCGCUGGUAAAAAUGGUAGAAAAUUGGGAGAUGGAUUUUGGAAAAUUUCAAUUUAGUCCCCAAAUUUAAGUUUUAGAAGUUUUACAAAAUUCCAAUUUGGCCUCUUAAAUUAUUAUAAUUUUAUGUUAUUCCACUUAGGGGUAUACUUGUCUUUUUACCUUCAGUCAACCAUUAAAAUGAUAAUGGGUGAUGUGAGCUUCGAAAAAUAUUACAUAGGGGGGUAUGAGCGAAUUUUUUUUUGACAGGGGGGUAUUUGACAAUUAGAGAUUUCACAGGGGUGGUAUUUGCAAUUUACUCCAAGAUUCUGUUAUUAGAGUUUUCCGCAUAAAAUUAAAUAAAUGUCUUUCAAUUAGUAUCAGAGCAGGGUUUUGAAAUCAAUUCAUCUUAGAACUCAAAAUUUGUUAUACGUCAAUCUUACGGCUGUGUGAUUUCAUUGAAUUAAAUUUUGAGAUAAAAUUAUUGUUUUGGUGUCUGAUUAUAAAUUAGAUAUAUGUAAAUUAGAUAAUAAGAUAAUCUUGAUUGAUAUACGUGUUUUAAUAAUACAGCUAAAUUUUGUGUACUUACCUGUAUUCGACUGAUGAGUGGUAAAGAAUCUAACACGGGCCUGUUAGUAUAUGUGAGUCUUGAUUAAAUUAAAGGUUAAAUACAAAAACACCCUUGUACUAUGGAUUUCGUAUCCUUUACCCCUUUGUAUUACACAUAAAUACAAAAACCCCCCUCACAUUGCAUUUUUUCUAGAAUAUGACGAAAAUACCCCUACUCUAGCGUAUAUAUAUAUAUAUAUAUAUAUAUAUAUAUAUAUAUAUAUAUAUAUAUAUAUAUAUAUAUAUAUAUAUAUAUAUAUAUAUAUAUAUAUAUAUAUAUAUAUAUAUAUAUAUAUAUAUAUAUAUAUAUAUAUAUAUAUAUAUAUAUAUAUAUAUAUAUAUAUAUAUAUAUAUAUAUAUAUAUAUAUAUAUAUAUAUAUAUAUAUAUAUAUAUAUGUGUGUGUGUGUGUGUGUGUGUGUUGAGUUAUCUCACGAGUCUACUAGAUCAGCUCACAGUAAUAGAGUAACUCGUUAGGACUAUAUCUAUGCUGCUUGCAUGGGAUAAGAGAUAUAGAAUGCAAAAAGUAUUUUACCCUUAGUAUGAAAUAGAUUNNNNNNNNNNNNNNNNNNNNNNNNNNNNNNNNNNNNNNNNNNNNNNNNNNNNNNNNNNNNNNNNNNNNNNNNNNNNNNNNNNNNNNNNNNNNNNNNNNNNUCUUCCGGUAGUUCAAACAUUCUAAAAUUACGAACAUCAUUGCAAUCCUAUUAUUGUUGAGAAUUUGAACUACCGGAAGACAUUUAAGAAAAAAAAUGACGAAAUUCAAAAUGACAAAAAUAAAAGGUUUUAUUCAGAAAAAAAAAAUCUUAGUAAUUAAAUGUUUUGAAGGAAAAAAAAUAAAAAUUUCCCAAGUAAAAUUGACUGAAAAUGUUAAAAAAUAUAGUGGAAAAUGGCUCAAACAAUCCCUUAUAUUUAUAAGUUUAGCAGGGGUAUUUUCGUCAGAUUUUGGAAAAAAUAUAAUAGCAGGGGGGUUUUUGUAUUUAUGUGUAGUACAGGGGGAUAAAUGAUACAAAGUCCAUAGUACAUGGGUGUUUUUGUAUUUUUGUAGUUAACCCUUAAAUUAAUUAUUAUAUGCAAUUGUGUGUUUCAAAGUUUGUCUUUGGGAAAAUCAAUGUGUUGUACUGUGGAUAUUACCUUUGGACGUGAUACUGCACACACACACUCGUGAUAUUGCACGCACACAUAAAAAGUAUAUUUCAAAAAAAAAAAAAAAAAAGUGGGUUUAAUAUGUUACGGCAUAUUGCAUGUAUUUGUUAUUUCUUGUGGUGUUUACUUUUCAAUUCAGUAUGCAUAAUAUAUAUAUAUAUAUAUAUGUGAUAUAUCUAAAUGGGACGGCCUAAUGGGCCCUCAAAAUUAUCUACUAAUUAGGUCCAUUACACGAAAGCCCAAACACCUUUAAAAUAAGGCUUGGGCCCAGCAAAGUAAGCCCAACCCAAUCACCGAUAUAUAUAUAUAUAGAUGUUUUACUCAUUUAUUGAGGUACGUUCUAAUUAUUCACAAUCAAUCUCGAGUUUUAUUCUCUCCACUAUCUCUACGAUCCGUACAUCUGACUUGAGCGUCGGAGGGGUUUCCGCCGGAUCAACCCCCGGCUUAGUUCACGUGUGCUCAUUUCGCAUGGACCUCAGGAUCAUCAAGUUGACUAGCUACUGAUCAGCUUUGCUCUCCCAGCUCGUUUUCUAUACUAUCCCAGGUGAGCUAUAUUUUGGCAUCAUCAUUUUGGCGCCGUCUGUGGGAACGAUGCAAACCAGAUCACGUAGCCAACAAGAUCCUCCUGAGGCGUCAGCUCGGAGAGAAAACGACACAGCUAAUAAUCUCCCAGUCCGUGGAGGAUCUGGCAUGCCACCUCCUCCACGUACCGUGGAGCCACUUCCUCCACGUACCGCGGAGCCAGCUCCUCCACGUGCUGCAGAUCCACCUCGCGAGGUUCAGGUGAUCCCUCCUCGGGACCCACCACUCGCCGAUCCACCACUCCCUGCUCCUCGAACGGUUCAAAUAACCGAGGAUGCGCUCCAACGCAUGAUAGCGGAAGCCUCAACUCGCGCCGCCACGGAGGCCGUAACUCAAUAUAUCGCCACGAUGGGAGCAAACGCUCCCAAUGCGAUACCAGUGCUAGCUCCACCUGUAGCGCCACCUGUGGCCCCACCGCCAAUCCAUAAUCAAAUAAGUGUCUCCUCCUCUACCUCGGACCCACGGUCCCGAGUGCAACUAUCUACUAAUCACAGAGGGGCACAGCCCAGACAGCAGCGUCGGCGCUCACCCCCACGGGGGAAUGCGUCACCACAGAGAGUCCCUCUCUUUAAUGAGGGAGAAGGCGAGGUAAACAGCAGAAUGUCUCGCCAGAAUCUUUUCCCCCAACCAAAUUAUCUAAUGGGUGAAAGAAUGCCUGUACCGACAAGACGCAGUCCUUUCACCAUAGACAUUCUCAACGAGGUAUUGCCUCAAGGAGUAAAGAUCUCGGGGUUACCUCAAUUUGAAGGGACCACCGACCCACAGGAGCAUAUAGAGAAAUUCUGUGCCAUGGCAGAUUUAUAUGGCCCGACGGAUGCUGCGAUGUGCAAAAUGUUCCGCACCACUCUCUCCAAGAGGGCAAUGAAUUGGUUCAACUCUCUACCCAUAGGGUCCAUUGACACCUUCGCUCGGUUGUCGACCCGGUUCACCAACUAAUUUGCCAUCAACAAACAAUAUGCCAAGACCCCAGCUCAUCUUUUCUCUGUAGUACAGAGAGAUAACGAAACACUCCGCAACUACAUUAAGCAUUUAGUAGAAGUCGUCCAUGAAGUCCCCAGUGUAGGGCAAGACAUGCUCUCCGGGAUUAUGCAGCAGAACUUGAAACCGGGUAGAUUCAAGGAAUCUAUCGCCGGUAGACCCUCAGGAAACCUAGAGGAGUUGCUGAAUCGAGCCGAAAAGUACGUCCGGAUAGAGGAAGCCUCUACCCUUUGCUCCUCCUAAAAGGAAAAGGGAAGAUGACCGUCAGGACAUUAGGAGACGCGAUGACCGACGUCCACCACUUCCACCUCAAGGCCAACCCUCCUCCUCCUACAAUAGGUUCACUCCAUUAAACGCUCGCCUCACUGAAAUCCUUCACGUGAUAGAACAGAGAGGUUUAGCGGAGCCUCCACGUCUGAUGCAGCCGAAUGUAAAGCGAGAAAAGUCGGAUCGUUAUUGUCGAUUCCAUAAGGACAGAGGGCAUACUACGGAGGAAUGUGCACAACUCAAAGCGGCAAUUGAGAAGUUGAUCAAACAGGGCCAUUUAGGCGAAUACAUUGAUAAGCCUCGAAGUAAGCGCCGUGAUGAUCCUCCACGCCGAGAUAAUAAUCGAGAUCAACAGCAAAGGCGAGAGGAUGGAGGUCAUCGACGUGACCCAGAUAACAACGAUAACCAACCUACCCGGGGAACCAUCUCCUUUAUCUCCGGAGGACCGGCGGGUGGCGAUUCACAAAAUGCAAGACGCACCGUCGCUCGAUCAGCACGCAUGAAUCAAGAACGUGCUUCUCCAUCCGCACGCAUCUACCAAAUACGAAGACCUGAUCAUAGCAUAGUCUUCAACUCCUCCGACCUUGAAGGUCCAGAUGAAGAUCAUGUCGAUGCGUUGGUAGUAACAACAACGGUGGCCAACUUCUUGGUCAAGAAGAUAUUAGUGGACGGUGGGAGCUCAGCUGACAUCAUGUAUCUCCACGCUUUUAAGCAGCUGGGCAUAGAUAAUGCCCGGUUUAAUCCCGUCUCCACACCCCUGAAAGGAUUCACAGGGGAAGGCAUUUUAUCCAUGGGAGAAGUAGAGCUGCCCGUCUCUUUAGGGGAAGACCCUUGUCGAAUCACCAAGCUAAUCAAAUUCUUCAUCGUCGACAAGCCAUCUCCCUACAACGUCAUUUUAGGGAGGCCAGCCAUCCAUACAUUCAAGUCCGUACCUUCCUCCUACCAUCAGAAGUGGAAAUUCCCUACUCCCUAUGGAAUGGGGGAAAUACUUGGAGAUAGACGUCUCGCCCGAGAGUGCUAUGCAAGGGCCUUACGAGAACCUUCCAAGAAGCCUAAACCAUCCGGAAGGGGAGACGACACCCAAAAAUCCGACAAACGGAAGUGGGUCAAUGCGAUCAUUGAGGACAAUAAAGAAUCCUCAUCAAUGUACCAGACAAUAGCAUCAAGCUAGCAGCUGUCGAAGAGCUUAAGCUCAUAGAGCUCACACCUGGAGAUGAAUCCAAACUCCUACGCAUAUGAUCCGAUUUAGAUCCUGAGAUGGAGAAGCAAUUAGUCAAAUUCUUGCGGCACAAUGGAGACGUGUUCGCUUGGAAAGCUCAAGAUUUGUUGGGCAUUCCCCCUCAUGUAGCUCUACAUCGGCUUAACGUCGACAAAAGGUUGAAGCCGACCAAACAAAGGAAACGAACAUUUGGACCCGAACGCAACAAGCACAUCAAAGCAGAAGUGGCGAAACUUCUAGAGGUGGGUCAUAUACGACCAGUUCAGUAUCCUGAAUGGUUGUCGAACGUAGUACUCGUUCCCAAACCUGGGGGAAAGUGGAGGUUAUGCGUGGAUUUCACUGACCUCAACAAAGCUUGCCCUAAGGACCCAUUUCCUUUACCUAGAAUCGACCAACUCAUCGAUUCAACUUCAGGAUGUGAGCUCCUUAGUUUCCUUGACGCUUAUCAAGGGUAUAACCAAAUCUUGCUCGCACCAGAAAAUCAAGAGAGGGCUAGCUUCAUCACCGACCAGGGCAUCUACUGCUAUCAAGUCAUGCCCUUCGGGUUAAAAAACGCAGGAGCCACCUACCAGCGUCUAGUGAACAAAAUGUUCGCAGAUCAGAUCGGUAAAAAUAUGGAGGUGUACAUCGAUGACAUGCUCGUCAAAAGUGUCAAGGUCUCGAACCACCUAACUGAUCUGGAUCAGUGUUUCGCCACCCUGCGAAAAUAUAAGAUGAAGCUCAACCCCCUCAAAUGUUUAUUCGGAGUUCGGGGAGGCAAAUUUUUGGGUUAUAUGAUUUCACAGCGAGGAAUCGAAGCUAACCCCGCGAAAAUCGAAGCAAUCACCUCCAUGGCUCCGCCAACAUCGAUCAAGAAAGUUCAACAGCUCAACGGCUGUUUGGCAUCCUUGAACAGAUUCAUUUCAAGAUCAGCGGACAAGGCUCUCCCCUUUUUCAAGAUUUUAAGGGGAGGAAAAAAGUUCGAGUGGGAUGAGGCAUGUCAAAAGGCCUUCACGGAGUUAAAGUCAUAUCUCGCAUCACCACCCUUGCUUACAAAACCUCAACCGGGAGACAUCCUCAUGCUUUACUUAGCUACCUCGGCUGAUGCCAUCAGCGCAGUCCUCAUCCGAGAUGGAGGAAAAGGUCAUCAACCCGUAUACUACAUAAGUCGCGCCCUCCAAGGAGCCGAACAACGCUAUACCAACAUGGAGAAGCUCGCUCUCGCCCUCAUUAACGCAGCUCGGAAGCUUCGACCCUACUUCCAGUCGCAUCAAGUGGUGGUUCUCACCAAUUAUCCUCUGAAGCAAAUACUAAGAAGUCCCGAGACAUCUGGGCGAUUAGCAAAAUGGGCAAUAGAGCUAAGCGAAUAUGGAGUGGAAUUCAAACCACGCCCAGCUAUCAAAGCGCAAAUAUUGGCUGACUUUCUAGUAGAAAUGACCUCAGUAGAAGAAAACACAUCUCUACCAACUUGGUCCGUCAGCGUCGAUGGAUCUUCCACGGCCACAGGAGGUGGAGCGGGUAUCGUCCUAACGAACCCCGACGGAGACGAAUUCGAAUAUGCUCAACGAUUCGAAUUCACAGCCUCAAACAACGUAGCUGAAUACGAAGCACUGAUAGCGGGAAUCCGCCUCGCCCUAGCAGCCGGAGCGCGCAAGCUCCUAAUCCAAAGCGACUCUCAGCUCGUCGUCAACCAAAUACUCGGAGCUUACGAGGCUAAAGAAGACACCAUGGCCAAAUACUUAGCUCUCGCGCACACUCUCUUAUCUAAAUUCGAGAUCUACGAAAUAAGACAAGUACCUCGCUCCAAUAACGUCCACGCUGACAAAUUAGCUAGGCUUGGAAGCUCCAUAGAUAGCAUCGGAAGUCGGAAGGUGACGCUCCUCACCUCACCUCAGCCGGAGAUAACUUCACCCACUGAAGUACAGUACACCGAGGAGGAUGAACCAUGCUGGUUCACUCCAAUCGUGAAGUAUCUCAAGAAAAGAGAACUUCCAACGGAUCCCACCGAAGCACAAAAAUUAAAAACGAGAGCCGCUCGCUUCGUCAUAGUGGGAGAAGAAUUAUACAAACGAGGCUUCUCAUUCCCCUAUCUCAAGUGCCUCGACCCGACCACAGCGGAUUACGUACUUAGAGAAGUACACGAAGGUAUCUGCGGCAAUCACUUGAGCGGGAGGACCUUAGCUCUCAAACUACUGAGGCAAGGAUACUAUUGGCCAAUGAUGCAUGAAUACGCGAAGAAGUUAGUCCGCAAGUGUAAGGCUUGCCAAGAGCAUGCAAAUAUUCCUCAUCUGCCAGCGGCAUUAAUGCAACCAAUUGACAGCCCCAUCCCCUUCGCUCAAUGGGGAAUGGAUUUAGUUGGACCAUUCCCGCCCGCCACAGGAGGACGUAAAUACCUCAUUGUAGCAGUGGACUACUUCACCAAAUGGGUGGAAGCUGAACCCUUAGCACGCAUCCGAGAAGAAGAAGUCAUCCAAUUCCUAUGGAAGUACAUUGUGUGUCGUUUUGGGAUCCCACGCUCCAUUAUCUCUGAUAACGGAACCCAAUUUUGUGGUGACAAAGUAAAGAAUUGGUGCAUCGGCUUGGACAUCAAACAGUUCUUCACAUCCGAUCCGUAGCCAAUCCACAGGCUAACGGCCAGAUGGAGGUCACGAAUCGCACCAUACUCCAACACCUUAAGACAAGGCUUGGAAGUGCCAAAGGGAAGUGGGUGGACGAAUUUCCUAACGCACUAUGGGCUUAUCGCACAACCCCACGAGCAGCAACCGGAGAGUCGCCCUUCAAUCUAGCUUUCAGAACAGAGGCUAUCGCACCCGUCAAAAUCGGAGAACCAUCUUGGCGAAUCACCAACUAUGACCCAGCAGCUAAUGAAGAGGCUAUGCGGGGAAGCCUAGACCUCGUAGAUGAGUUACGUGAGAUUGCAUACAUCCGACAACAGAUGUAUAAAUCACGCAUGGCCAAGGCAUAUAACUCAAAGGUCCGCCCUCGCUCCUUUCAAGUUGGAGAUUUAGUCCUCCAAAAAGCUGAAGCCUCUCACCCCAUCGGUAAGCUCGACCCAAAGUGGGAAGGACCGUAUAAAAUCACAAAGGUGGUCAACACUGGAGCAUAUCGCCUCGAGAACAUUGACGGACACCCUAUACCCAGAACAUGGAAUAUAGGGAACCUCAAACGGUUCUACGCCUAAGGUAUACAUCUACCUUACUUCAGAUCCGGUGAAGUCACCACCUAUACCCCCCCAUAUGAAAAUUACUUACAAAACAUUACCCGUGCAGGCUCCGCGGUCUUCCACGUCACUCGUCUCGCAAAACCGUCUCUACAUGCUUUGGAAACUUUCUACUACAUAAUGAGGUGCGUGAACGUCCCACCUAAACUGGGGGGCUAGUAAAUUUACUUACAUCAGCAAUUCGUAUUCACAUCUCACCAUCUUAUUACAGAGUAGGAGUCAAUUACGAGAGGAUGCAUAUUACUCAAUCAAUGGCCCAAAGAGCGAAGCCACCCCAUACCACAUCGCAAGGGUAACAAUACUUCCACUAGACUACAACACACGCAUGCUCUUGUUUACUCUUACUAACGUGACAAAAUCAUUCCAUCUAACAGGCACAAUCACACAACAAAUCACAGCAACUCACGAGUUGAUUCCAUAUCUCCAAGUUCGAGGAAGAGAAACCAUCCCCGUAUUAGGGUACGUGAAUUUGCAAUGCACAUCACCUCAGCUUCAAUUACUAAGUCUUCGAUACAAAUGCUUAAACAAAUUCUCUUUUUCUCAAUUAUACUUGACAGGCAUAGAGACACCAAAAGAAGACAGCCUACCAUCAGCACAGCGAAACGAACAAGUACAAGGAAGACGUGGAAGAAGAACAAGUAUAGUACAAUCACUUAGAAAAUUUUUGUUAUCAAGUCAAUUUAUUUGCUUCAGCAGUAGUUAUUUACCUUCGCCUCACGUAGGCCUAUCGCAUUACCUAUUUACUUACAUUCGCCUCACAUGGGUCUGUAACAAUUCUCCUUUGCUAUCAUUGAAUAAAUCAUACUUUUCGCUUUACUAUCUGUGCCUUUACAACGAUACAAACUACCUCUCAUCAUGAGUCUAAUUCAAUACCACCCUAUAAACACUUAGAGAGAUUUAGAUAAUCCAUAUAGCCUGGCCAGCUGGAUUAUCUAAGUCCCUUUACUUGUUUCACGAGGUGUUAAUUUUAAAACGUGGCCACGAACAAAUAUAUUUAAGACCCAAGCGGUCCGAACAAAGGGCACGACCCUUAACAAAAACCUUGGGAGACUGAUCCCCUCCUCAAGUACAUCGCGUACAAUGCUAAUGUAAAUACAUAUAAGCAGCGCAUUAACUCUUGACAAUGUCAAAAUAAAUAAUUCAAGAUAUCAAACUUCAAAUGUCAAACAAAGAAGAAAUUCAAACGAAAUAGUAUAGGACAUACCCAUCUACAUCAGCGAUAAAAAUAAAACUAAGAAUCCAACAAAUAAAAAAGAGUUGAACUAUCCUAGCAAAAAUAUCUAAACUCUACCACCACGGGCAGAAGACGCCCUCACAGUGGGGUCAUCAGCAACCAUGUCAUCCACGAGCUCUGUGCCCGUUUCGUCGCCACCGACCUCAUCCUCCUCUUCAUCAGAUAUACCAGCCUCCAUCCCGCGAAUAACCUUCUCACUGAUACCACCCGCAUCGCGAAGAUAUUUGCGACAAGCACGAACUAAUGGCUUAUAGACCACAGCCAAAGCAUGCUCUUCAAUCAUAGCAGCACACUCAUCACUACCUUGGAAGCUAAGCUUGGUUUCCUCCACGAUGGACUCUCUAUAAGCAGCACCACCUGACGUCGUCAGGAACCUCUUCCCCGUCGCCUUCUCGACUUCGUAUUUCUCCUUGAGUUGAUCAUAGCACUCGUUCAACUUAUGAACAUCAUCCUUAUACGCCUUCGCGUCACCUCGGAUAACCUCGAGCUCUUCUGUCCUUUGAGCAAGCUCCUCUGUCCUUUGAGCAAGCUCUUCCGUCCGUUGAGCAAGAUCGGACCGCACUAUCUCCAACUGGCUUAGAAGUUCAUCCUCACGCGUCUGACCUCGAACUCGCUCCUCUUCCUUCCUAGCUUCCACAUUCCUACCAUGCUCCACGAGAUAUCUCCAAGUCGCUACCAACUAAAAAAAAAAAAAAAAAAAAAAAAAAUUUACACAAGGAAGAGAAGAAGUAACAUUUAAUCUGGUUUUAAAUAAACAAGGACUCACCCGACAUAUGUCCCCACCGGCUAACUCCAACAUGUGAGAAGGGCCCUUACCAGACAUCCGAGCACGGUCAUACUCCCGAACGAAUCCCUCGGUACUCAACAUAGGCAGAUCAUGGUCCGACACAUCCCAAUACGACUCCUUACCGUCGCGAUUCACACCAUAGGUAAACAAUUGUUUCCCUCCCCCACCAUGGAAAGCAUAGGUCUCCUCUGGGUCUACCCGUGGACGCUUAGGCACAACCACAAACUCGGUAUCCACCCUCUUUCCCUUGCCACGAUCCCUCGUCGGUAGACGCCCCUCCACUUCACCAGCACUGCUACGGUCAUCUGCGACUACUCGAGGAGUUUCCACAUGGACCUCCUCACGAGGCAAACCACUUGAAGAACCUCCCAACGUAGAGGGUACCUUCUUCGAUGCCUUCUUCGACGUCCCAUUCGCCUUAGCUCGAAGUUCCGCAAAGGUGAUACCCCCAUCUACAAAAGAUAACAAACACAUAAGAAACAUGAGGUAUACACUACCAAAGAACUACAAAAAAAAAAAAAAAAAAAAAAAAACACAAGUCAAGGCAACAAAAGGAUAUACGGUGCUGACCCUUCGCCUUUGGUAUCAAAACCCUCGGGUCAAAUUCCACAUCACACAAUCCCGACUCUUCAAUCCUUUUCGCCAUAUUCGCAGUUAUCGUGAAACUCUCGCACGUAGGAUUCCAAACUACGGGAACGUCAAAAGUGGGAGCCCUCAUAUAAAAAAAAUGGGUCUUCCAUUCCCCCAAAGAUAACUUCACACUCUUCACGAAUUGGUAAGGAACGCGAGGAUGAAAACAAAAGAAAGGCGUCUUAUUGGGCCGAUGUAACGUAAAUAACGCCUUGAACAAACUCACAGUCACAGGCAAACCCACUAGAGACACCCUAUGGUGAAACGCCUCAAACAUAAGAAUUGCAGUCGGAGUUAACUGACUGUACCCUAUCUUGAAUUCCUCACAAACCUUCAACAAGGUCGGAUGUGGUGUAAUCUGAGAUGUACACGUCAAGUACGCCAAAAACACCGUAUGAAAUCCAUCGGGUGGCGAGUACAAACGGUUGCCCUUCUGAGGCAACAACAACUCGACAUUACUUGGCGCUCCAGAUAAACGACGAAUAGAGUGCAAAUGCUCUUCCGUCAACACACUAUCAAAAUUAACUAAGUCCAAAUUAAUUGGCUUCUUUUUCUUUUGCCUCCUCUUAUCAAUCUCAAUAUCAACCGGCGGAAUAUCAUCUUCCUCCUCCUCUUCAUCCGUCAGCUCAACUUCACUCGCACGAUCACUCGCCAAAGGUCCUUCAUUCGAAUCAUCGCUAUCACUCCCAAAAUCCACGACCCCACGCCCAUAACGACGUCUACUAGAACCCACUUCGUCAACAAUAGGGCAAAUAUCAACAUUAUUACUCGCUUCUACAUCGUCACUCCAAGAUUCAAUAAUCUCUCGCGGACCAAAACUCCUCCGAUGCACAUCAACUUCGUCAUCAACUGCCAACUCCAUCCCGCGAACCGCGUCGAAAACGGGACCCAGACGCGCCCUCACGCGCGCGCGUCGCAUCCGGAGACUACCUCCCACGCGCGCCCCCCCCCCCAAUUACAGCGCAUUCACGCGCCCCAGCCCCCUCCGGUGACGCGCGCGCGUCUGCCAGCAAACCCUCCCCCAUUGACUCGCGCGGACGCGCGCCUUUAUUGGGCAGCGCGCGCGCGCGUCAGCACUGCCCCCCCUACCUACCGGCACGCGCGCGUCGGGACACGGCCCAAUCCCGAGCGCGCGUUCCCCCAACCGUGACGCGCGGUCGACAGCAGCAGGCCCCCGUGGCCUGCUCUCUCUCUCUCUCCCCUCCUCGGUCCGGGUGCAAGCCGGCGGCUCCAAGGCUUCACUCGGCUCCGUCUCUGCAUGAAAACUCGCGCCCCUAGACUGGUUUUGACGCCCGGCUACACGGCUCGAGCCGACUCCGGUCUCCGAGCCACCUACUUUGCACCCCUUCCCCAUAGUUUGUGAACCUACUACUGCAGAUCCGAUUUUCGCACCGGAAGCUACAGGCUUUUCGCGUUCCAUACCCAUGGUACCAAAAGUUUUCUCGCCCCCUUCAACCGAAUCUCGAAGUUUAAUUCGUAAAGAUUUCGAAUUACCCGGAUUCGACAUUACUAAAAUUUUUCUCAGCACAAAAAAUCAAAAAACAAAAAAUUUUCUACUCUACCGCAAAAAAAUUCUUCAAGAGAAGAAUAGCACAGAAGAAGACUUAGAAUCAAAAGUACAUGCCCAUAUUUAUUACGCAGGAGAGGAAGUUUAUCUCUUUCUACCGCACAAGGAGUCUAUUUAUUUAGCCCUGGUAUAUUAUUUAAAACCCUUAAAUAUAUACUGCGCUGCCAAAUAAAUACAAUUAUCCCUGAUUUAAUUAAGGAACUAAUUCACCGCUAACGGAUACUACGCAAUCCACGACGCAAUUAACUCUCGACACGACCCGAAUCCCUCUACACAAGUCCCCGUCUCGAAUCGAGAGUUGGGGGGCUUAAUGAUAUACCUAAAUGGGCCGGCCCAAUGGGCCCUCAAAGUUAUCUACUAAUUAGGACCAUUACACGAAAGCCCAAACACCUUCAAAGUAAGGCUUGGGCCCAGCAAAGUAAGCCCAACCCAAUCACCGAUAUAUAUAUAUAUAUAUAUAUAUAUAUAUAUAUAUAUAUAUAUAUAUAUAUAUAUAUAUAUAUAUAUAUAUAGAUGUUUUACUCAUUUAUUGAGGUACGUUCUAAUUAUUCACAAUCAAUCUCGAGUUUUAUUCUCUCCACUAUCUCUACGAUCCGUACAUCUGACUAGAGCGUCGGACGGGUAUCCGCCGGAUCAACCCCCGGCUUAGUACAUGUGUGCUCAUUUCGCAGGGACCUCAGGAUCAUCAAGUUGACUAGCUACUGAUCAGCUUUGCUCUCCCAGCUCGUUUUCUAUACUAUCCCAGGUGAGCUAUAUUUUAGCAUCAUCAAUAUGCACCACAAAUUACAUGAGAUAAUAAGAUGUACAACAUGCAAUAUGUGUGUGUUCAAUUAUAUGCUAUUGUUAAUACUCAUAUAUUUUAUGAUUAUUUUGCAUUAUUAAAGUUAUCCUUAAAUAAAAAUUACGAGAAUAGCAUUAGUUUUAUAUUUAUGAAAUUAAUUUUGUAGUUGCUAAAGUGAUCUAGAUUAGUAAAAUCUUAUAAAUAUAAGAACUAUAUGAAGGUUUAAUCAUUUAGAUGAUAUUAAAGAUUAUAAUAUUCUCUUGCAUUGAUAAUUAAGAAAUUGAGACUAGCUCAAAGGAUAGUCGAUUUUAAUUAAUUAUGAACUCGGUAGGGUAUCAUAAUUUGUAUUACUUAGCAAUUAGAAUUGUUUACGUAAAGGUAAUAUGACUAAUUGACGAGUGAAAUAAAUUAUGUUUGACCCUACUUAGGUGUUAUAAAAGAUUAUUUACACCAACAUAGAGUGAACAAUAGGUAUACUAUAUUUCACCCAAAUGAGAACUUGUAGUGAUAUCGACAGUUCAUCUUAUUUGACUCAAGAUCUUAUGUGAGCAUCCUUUUAUCUUUACCUUAUUAUAUUUGCUAUAUUCAUUUCAGUUGCUAUUCCUACUUCGUUGUAUUCGCAUGCUUCUGGUAUUAAGACUCUUAGUGGGUCAAAUUUCUCCGAAUGUUAUGAACAAAUUCAGUUUACCUUGGGUGUUAUGGAUUUGGACAUAGCAUUGCUUACUGAAAAACCUGGGGAAUUAGUGAAUGCUGAUAGUGAGGAAUAAGUUAGCCUAAUUGAAGCGUGGACCAAGUCCAAUAGGCUUAGUCUUAUGCUUAUUAGAAUGACCAUUGCUGAUAACAUUAAGACUUCUCUUCCCGAGGUUGAUAGUGCUAUGGAACUGUUAACGGCUAUUAAAGAACGCUUUAAAUCAGCGGACAAGUCGAUAGCAGGGACACUCAUGGCUAAAUUGACUACCAUGAAAUAUGGUGGUGAUAAAGGAAUUCAAGAACACAUCCUGAAUAUGACUGACAAGCCUGCCAAACUUGGAGCUCUUGGCAUGAAAGUGGAAUAGUCCUUCCUUGUGUAAUUUAUCCUUAACUCACUUCCAUCAAAGUUUGGUCCGUUCAAAAUCCACAAUAAUACUCAAAAAGACAAGUGGAAUUUGAAUGAGCUGACUAGUAUGUGUAUUCAAGAGGAAGUGAGAUUAAAGCAAGAAGGAAAUCACUUUGCACUGGCUGUAACUCAUGGACUAUGAAGAAGAAAAGAAAAUUUGUGAAGAGUGGAAAUAAAUUUGCACCAAACAAAACAUAUGAACCUAGUGAAAGUAGUCAGGAUCAUGGAAACGGUUUUGUUGUCACCUGUUACUUUUUUAAUAAAAAAAGGACACGUAAAGAAGGAUUGUGAGAAACGUAAGGCUUGGUUCGAAAAGAAAGGUAUUCAUCUUUCUUUUGUAUGUUAUGAAUCAAAUCUUAUUGAAGUUGCUUCUUACACUUGGUGGCUUGAUUCUGGUGCUACAACUCAUAUCACGAAUUCAUUACAGGGAUUCCUUACAACUUGGAAACCGGAGGAAAGUGAAAAGUACAUCUAUAUGGGAAAUCGUCUCAAAUCUAAAGUGGCGAGUGUUGGCACUUAUCGCCUCAUAUUAGAGACGGGUCAUAAGAUGGAUCUUGAAAACACUUUUUAUGUACCUUCGUAUUCUAGGAAUUUGGUUUCUUUGUCAAAACUCGAUGUUUGUGGUUAUUCAACUUUAAUUGAUUGUGGAAAACUCAGUUUUAAUUUUAAUUCGAUAAUAAUUGGUUCCGGUAUUUUAUGUGAUAGUUUAUAUAAAAUAUCUUCGAAUAUUGAGUUUGAACAAUCAUUUUUAACCACUCAUUCGGAACUUGGCGUAAAGCGAAGCCUAAAUAACGAAAUUCUUCUAUCUUGUGGCAUAAACGUUUGGGGCAUAUCACCAAGGAAAGAAUCGAAAGAUUGGUAAAAACUGGAAUUUUGGAAAAUCUAAACUUCACUGAUUUUCCAGUUUGUGUGGAUUGCAUUAAGGGUAAGAAAACCAAACACAAUAAAAGAGGUGCCGUGCCACAAGAUGUAAAGAGCUUCUUCUGUUAAUCCAUACAGAUAUCUGCUCACUACCUAUUCCAUAUUUUAGUGGAGAAAAGUAUUUUAUCACCUUAAUUGAUGAUCUAUCUCGUUAUGGUUAUCUCUAUCUAAUUCAUGAAAAAUCUUAACCUGUUGACAUGCUUGAGGUGUUUGUUACGAAAGUCGAGAGACAAUUAGAUAGAAAAAUUAAAGUUAUACGAUCAGAUCGGGGUGGGGAAUACUAUGGUAGAUAUGAUGAGUCAGGACAAAAUCCUGGCCCAUUUGUUAAAUUCUUAGAAAAGUGUGGUAUUUGUGCUCAAUAUACAAUGCCUGGAACACCACAGCAGAAUGGAGUUGUUGAACGCCGUAAUCGUACUCUUAUGGAUAUGGUUAGGAGUAUGUUAAGUAAUUCAAUUGUACCCAUUUCACUUUGGAAUGAAGCCUUGAAAACCGCUAUGUAUAUCUUAAACCGUUUCCCAGUAAGGCAGUCCCAACAACCCCUACGAGUUGUGGACUUGUAGGAAACCUAGUUUAAGACAUUUACAUAUUUGGGGUUGUCCAGUAGAGGCUAUAAUAUACAAUCCAAGUGAAAAGAAAUUGGACCCCAGAAUAAUUUAUGGUUAUUUUAUUGGUUAUCCACUAAAGUCAAAAGGGUACAAAUUUUAUUGUCCAAACCAUACUACGAGGAUAGUUGAAACUGAAAACGCCAAAUUCUUAGAGAAUAGUGAAGUUGGUGGGAGUGUUGAAUCAAGAAAGGUAGAACUUGAGAGGAUUAGGGUGGAUAUUUUACCAUCUUAUUUCCCUCAAGAUAAAGUUACUCUUCAACCUAUACAGCAGGUUGAAACAAAUGAUUUACCACUCCAUUCACCACUUCAUGAAGAUGUCAUCAUUGGCAAUGCUGUGGAACCACCACGACUGGUAGCCUUGAGGAAAUCUCAAAGGGAAAGGAAAUCUGUCAUAUCCGAUGAUUAUGUGGUGUAUCUACAAGAAUAUGAUUUUGAUAUUGGUAUUCAAAAUGAUCCAGCUUCAUAUUCACAAGCCAUGAAAAGUAAAGAUUCUAGUAAAUGGAUUGAUGCUAUGAAUGAAGAGUUGAAAUCAAUGAACUAUAACGGUGGCUAGGAUGUCGUCGAAUUUCCUAAGAACAGUAAGAAAGUCGGUUGUAGAUGGGUCUUCAAGACCAAACGUGACUCUAAGGGCAAUAUCGAAAGAUUUAAAGCCAGACUAGUGGCCAAAGGUUUCACUAAAAAAGAAGGCAUUGAUUAUAGAGGGACUUUCUCUCCAGUAUGUAAGAAAGACUCUCUUAGAAUCGUUAUGACUCUUGUAGCUCAUUAUGAUUUGGAGUUGCACCAAAUGGACGUGAAAACCGCUUUACUGAAUGGGGAUUUAGUUGAGGAUAUCUAUAUGGACCAGGCUGAAGGAUUUGCAAAACAAGGAAAAUAACACUUGGCUUGUAAAUUAAAGAAAUCCAUAUAUGGACUUAAACAAGCUUCUAGACAAUGGUAUAUAAAAUUCAAUGAUACCAUUACUUCCUUUGGAUUUAAGGAAAACACUGUUGACCGGUGUAUAUAUCUAAAGGUCAGUGGGAGCAAGUUUAUCUUUUAAAUUUUGUAUGUGGAUGAUAUUUUACUACUAAGUAGUGAUCUUGGUUUGCUUCAAGAAACCAAGAAUUAUCUUUCAAAGUAUUUUAAGAUGGUUGAUAUGGGUGAGGAAAAUUAUGUUAUUGGGAUAUAGAUCCUUAGAGAUCGAUCUCGAGGAUUGUUAGACAUGUCUCAAAAAGGACAUAUCAAUCAAGUUCUUGAAAGAUUUAAUAUGCAGUUUUGUUCAACCAUUAAUGCACCUCUCACGAAAGGUGAUAAUUUAAUGAAAAGCAAUGUCCAAAGAAUGAUUUGGAAAAUAAGAGAAUGAAAUUGAUUCCAUAUGCAUCAGCAGUUGGAAGUCUGAUGUAUGCACAGACUUGUACUAGACCAGAUAUUAGUUAUGCAGUGGGAGUACAUGGUAGAUAUGAAAGUAAUCCUGGAAUAGAACAUUGGAAAGCAACAAAGAAGGUUAUGAGGUAUCUUCAAGGAACAAAGGAUUACAUGCUUACUUAUAGGAGAUCGGACCAAUUAGAGGUUAUUGGUUAUUCGGACUCCGAUUUUGCUGGUUGUUUAGAUAGUAGAAAGUCCACAUUGGGCUUUGUAUUUCUACUAGCUGGUGGAGCAAUCUCUCGGAAGAGUGUUUUCUAAUCAAAGUAUUAUUGUUUCUUCCACAUUGGAUGCCGAGUUUGUAGAAUGUUUUGAGGCCUCGAGUCAUGCACUAUGGUUGCGAAAUUCUAUCUUAGGGCUUAAGGGUGUUGACUCAAUUGCUAAGCCUUUGAAGAUAUAUUGUGAUAACACCGCAGCCGUUUUCUUCUCUAUGAAUGGAAAAUAUUAAGUGGAUCAAAGCACAUGGAUCUUAAGUACUUGGUUUUUAAAGAAAUAGUCCAUAAACAACAAGUGUCAAUAGAAAAUUUAAGUACAACUCUCAUGGUUGCUGAUCCAUUAACUAAGGGAUUGCCUAUAAAGACAUAUGAGGAACAUGUUAUUAGAAUGGGUCUUUGAGCAAUCCUUGAUUUGAUGAGUUGUGAUUGUAAUUGAAACUUAAUUUAUUAAAUCAAAUAUUUUUGUUUUCAUGUUUCCAAUUAUGUGUGCACAUAUUAUAUUUGGAAUUAAUUUCACAGGAUUUGUCCUAACAAGACAAAAUUAAAGGGGCUAUGAUGGAUUAGAAUAGUAAGGGUUAUUAGUGGUGUGAUACAUAGAAGGGAAUAUGAUGAAUGAAUCAUAUGACCGCUAUGAUUCACAUUAAUAACUCAAACUAGUUCUAGUAUUAAAGUACUUUAUUUACCAAUUAUGGUAAUCAGCUAAAUUUUCUUUUAAAAUCGUGAUCACGUGUCAAAUGUUUUGUACGAAGAACCCACCGAGUCAAAUAUUUUUUAACCUUAUUUUUCUUAAUCGGUUCAAUUGGCCAAGUGUAAGAAUGUUAGUUUUUAAUUUUAACGUUUUAAUUUCAAUAGCCCGUUAACCUUUAAAUUUAAUUUAUUAAAUGUGAUUAAUUCAAUUAUGGAAUUAAUAUUGAUUUAUGGUAAUUGAUUUGUGUUGAUUUAAAUGCCUAUCAAAAUCCACUCGUUCUGUUGAGUCAGAUUAUUUGUUACGACAUUAGAUGUGGUAACAAGAUUCUUGUGAGUCUACAAAAUUAAUCUACUAAAAGCAGAAUAAAAGAACACAAGAAUUUUAAUGUGGUUCGGAUACAAAUGUACCCUACAUCCACGAGGACUUGCAAACUAGUUCAUAUUUAAGUGUACAAUAUUGGACUUAAUAAAAACACUAAAGUCUCCAUCUUUAUGUUAUAUGCCGUUUUUGCAUACGACUCAAACUUGUUGAUAUUCAAAGCAAUUCCUCCAUCCACACACUUGGACUCCCUCCAAUGCUUAACUCCCUUUAGACGGCGGAUCGACCUAUCCCGAGAUCUUUUAAGCACUUCUCCCGAAACGCCGAUCUUCUUUAUGGCCUGGUAGAAGAAACCCGUCAUGUUGCCACACCUGACGUGCAGACUCCGUCUUGUUGCCACACCUGAUGUGCAGACAGGGCUGCAGCACCGGCUGCAUCCUUCAAAGCCUUUAUGAUGGGAUUUUUCGACUAAAGCUCCAUAGAGACUCAUAUGAGGUUGAGGGCCUUAUAUAUGCACGGAAUUCACCACCCUAAACCUAACUUGAGCCCUAAGAAAUCGAUUUAACUAGGUAAUAGAGUCCUAGUCGAUUUCUACUUCUAUUCUAGAUAAGUAUAAAAGAUACCUAACUAGAAUAUAAUACAUGGAAAUAAAUCUAAGUCCUAUAUAACAAUAUUAGAAGAAUAGGACUCAAAUAUUUGGCAAUCUUUAAUUUCCAUGUAUGCCGGAUUUCCUCAAUCUUCACUAACAGAAAUCUGGCGCCAACAAUUUGUAAGCGUAUGAUGGCAAUAAAAGACCAUAAUGGUGGGAUUUGUCUUAUGUCGGUACAAAUCAAUUGUGGCCCUCUUCUCUCAUCUAUAAAAGAAUCCACAACUCUUCUCCACAACAACAGACGCAAUUUGAGAAUUCCAUCAAUUACAGAACACUAGUGAGUUGUGAUAGUGGAGAGAUAGAGAGAAGAAGGUGUGCCUACGAAUAAAGUUCUCACAAGGAGAUUCAAAGGAGGUUUGGCUUGUAGAUUGCUAUCAUCCUCGUUCAUUAUCUCUAUCGGAAUCCAUGGCGUACAGUAUGUCGAUAAUCCCAAUUAUGUGAUUACGUUCUUAAGAUAAAUUUGAUUUCAAGAUUAUGUUAUUAGAGUUUUCCGCAUAAAGUUAAAUAAAAGUCUUUCAGAGGAUACACAUUUCCCAUGUCUUGAACAAUAACUACAUCUUUCAAAAAUUGGGCUGAAGGAGAUUCCCUUGGAAUUUGAUAAAAUAAUGCCGCUUCAGUUAAUCGACAUAGGACAAUCCUGCAAAAUUUCCGUUUUGGUAUAAGCAAAGGAAAUAUCAUAGCGACGAGAGGACCUAGGAUAUGAUGGUGUUCAAAUUCGAAAUAGUAAUUCCGGAGAGCUCAAAAUUCGGGUUAGGAGAGCAAUUAAUCUUGAUGUUCAUGAUCGCCGCAGCAGAUCUUAUGUUCAUUUCGACAUAGGCUAAUAGGUUUUCCACACAUCUCUGCCAUAUUUUUUUUUUGUGUUUCCCGCCUUUUUACUUGAGAAGAAUUUCAAGUAAAACAGCUUUUAUAUUGAAAAUAAAUUCAAAUGGAAAGAACUGAUCAUUUAUUUUGACUUGACUUGUUUGACUGAAUAGUAGCAGCCUAUGAUAUGUUAUUUUCAAGUAUUUAUAAAUGCAUUUUGGUAUGAUGUGACCCUUUUAUCAUCCAGGUAAGGACUUUAACAAUAAAAGACGAUGUUAAUCCCGAACGGAAUGAAGAGAUUACGUUUCACGCCUAAUCUUCCAGUUUAUGUGGUGAGGCUCUUUACAUUAAUCAAAAUUGCCUUUAGUUGAUUCAUUUAAAUAUAUGUCCAUGUUGAUUAACUGUGUAUGUAUCUAUGUACGUAUGGGUUUCGACAGUGUAUGACCAUGACAUAGAAGACAAGAUGAGACAAUUUACAUUAAUGUAUGACCAUAUGACAUCGAUGAAAAGGUGGGACUAUUUACAAUGUAUUACGAUAAAAUUGAUGAAAAGAAGGGAACUGCGGAGUUUGAUAUGCGACCAAUAGUAGAAAACUACUGGAUAAAUCAUCCGGAUGAUACAAUAAGCGCAUCGAUACCGCUUGCAGACUCCAAUUGUUUAGCCGAAUAGAGUUCCGUUUUCUAGAAACACGGCAUCAUGUGCCUCCAAAUGAAAAAUGCUGAAUUCGGCCAACUCCAACUUUAUAUCCAAUACUCUUCUGGGGAUCAACACACACACACUCACACACACACACACACAUAUAUAUAUAUAUAUAUAUAUAUAUAUAUAUAUAUGAUAUGCCUAAUUGGCCCAACCCAAUGGUCCUACAAAUUAUUUACCUACUGGGCCACGAGCCCAAUAUCGAAGACCACUAUCACCGAGGCCCAAUCACCUUCAAGCAAGGUUUGGGCCUGACAAUCUCAAUUAAGCUAUAAAUACACCUUUUAACUCAUUCCAUAAGGUACGUCCUAUUAACUGAGCAAUACUACAAUACGUAUUCUCUGGACUAUUUCUACUAUCAGCACGUCUGACUUGAGCGUCGGAGGGGUUUUUGCCGGAUCAACCCCCGGCUUAGUUCAUGUGUUCUAUGAUCGCAGGUACCUCAGGAUCAUCAAGUUGUCAAGCUAUUGAUCUGCUUUGCUCUCCCAGCUCAUUUUCUACACCACCCUAGGUGAGCUAUAUUUUAGCAUCAUCAUUUUGGCGCCGUCUGUGGGAACGAUGCAAACCAGAUCACGUAGCCAAUAAGAUCCUCCUGAGGCGUCUGCUCGGAGAGAAAAUGACACAGCUAACGACCUCCCACCUCGUGGAGGCUCUGGCUUGCCACCUCCUCCACGUCCCAUGGAUCCGCCUCGCGAGGUUCAGGUGAUCCCCCCUCGGGACCCACCACUCGUAGAUCCACCACUCUCUGCUCCUCGAAUGGUUCAAAUAACCGAGGAUCUGCUUCAACGCAUGAUAGCAGAAGCUUCAACUCGCGCUGCCACAGAGGCCGUGACCCAAUAUAUCGCCACGAUGGGAGCAAAUGCUCCGAACGCGAUACCAGCACCUGCUCCACAUGUGGAGCCACCUAUGGCACCACCGCCAUCGACUCCCUGGGGGCUUACAUCUGCCCCCAAAAUAUUUCGUUCGCCAAAGGUUAUCGACUCCCUGGGGGCUUACAUCUGCCCCCAAAAUAUUUCGCUCGCCAAGGGUUAUCGACUCCCUGGGGGCUUACAUCUGCCCCCAAAAUAUUUCGCUCGCCAAGGGUUAUCGACUCCCUAGGGGUACUGUUGGGUGCUAAAUACCCACACGCAAGUGUACGUAUCGCAAACAAGUAGUAAAAGUGGACUCGUGAGAGUCGGAUGUCGAUCCCACAGGGAAUACGCAAAUUAUUUAAUCCUAAGUACCAAAUUGUAACAAUUACGAUUUUUAUCCAGCCUACGCAAGGUUGUCAAAUUAAUUAACUAAAUAAAUUAAACUAAUUAAUAAAACAAUUAAUUACGAGAAAAUAUCAAUAUGAAACGGAUCUAGGAUUUUAUCUUCCCCCUAUGCAAGAAUUGCUCACCCAAAACCCCUCAAUUAUGAAAUAUAUGAUUCAUGAUUAUUAACCCGAGACACUAAUUUACUCAUAACCCGCUGUCGCGUGUAUUAUGAGUCUAUUAUUCAUAAACGAUUCACUAUAUGUCUAUGCAAACCAAUUAUAAAUAAAGCAUUAACUAACAAGUCUCGUAAGUGGCUACCUAAGGUGAUAUCUGUAUGUCUACGACACCACAUGCAAUUGACACACUCAUCCGGUGAAAACUACUCGAAGGCUCUUAUACUUACCGUCUAAUUAUCAAAAUAGCUCUGUCAAGUCAAUCCCAAUAAUCACAGAUAAAGCACAUAAAUUGAUCAAGUUCAUGCACUAACAAUCAUAACAAGUAUAAGAAAUAAUCAUAAAAUCAUAAUUGCAUAAUCUCAAGAAAACGGGUUCACAAUCCCCACAUAGGGUUCCAACAAAAUCCUAGAUUAAAAACUUAGCUACUCAUAACGAAAAACAUAAUAAAAGUAAUAAAAAUCAUAAAAGCUAUAAAUAAAAGUCAAAGAGGGGAACUAGGAUGAAGAUUCGUCAAGUCUUCGUCUUCGUUCUUGUGCUCCUUGAUCGCGUGUAGAAAGAUGAAAAAUAAAAACCUAAAGAUUAAAGAUAAAAGGUAAAAGAUCCAAGAUAGGUCUAAUUGUGUGCUUGUGGCCUUUAAAUAGGGUGCAAAAAUAUAAUAGGGCGGGUUUCCUUGUGUAAUUAAACUUCCUUCACUGCGCCCCUACGCCCAUCCGGACGGCCGUGUGAGAUUAAGAUCUAAAACCCGCACGGCCGCGCGGCCUUCUGUUCUUCAGAAUUCUGAUUAUUUCACUUUUGGCCCACUUUUUCUCUGAAUUUGCAGUUUUCACCCCAAAAGUUGCCAAUUCUUCAAUUUGCACCUAAAAUACAAAUAAUAACCAUAUUAAGCACCAAUUAUCGUAAAAACACAUCAAAAGCUCCAAUUAAAAGGUACAAUUAAGUGUAUAAAUAUACACUUAACACACCCCCAAACUUGAACUUUUGCUUGUCCUCAAGUAAAAUCAAAUUAAGAACACAAAACACGACUAUACAUAUCAUUACAUAGAUCGAUUGGUCAACUUCGUGUUUUCAGAACUUGCAAUUAUGGUGAUAAUUCCUAGGCAUUCGCAAGCUUAACAUUCAACGGCACUUAGUCAAUCACUAUUACCAAAAACCACAAAUCAUACAAUUGCUUCAAGUAUCCAAUAUUUGCAAGUUAAAAAUAGAGAAAAUUUAUACUUACAUGCAUAUAUUUGACUCCAAAUACUUACCAAAUUAUUUUACUCAACUAAUAUUGAACAAUAAGCUAUUGGGAUCAUUGGGACUUUGUGGCUUUCAAUUGUUAGGCUCUUUGGUCCGAGGUAGGUAAUAUGGGAAUGUGUGGCUAAUUUUCUUGAAUUGAGGUGAUUACGCCAAAAUUUGAAAGCUAGGCGUUUGAAACAAUAAAUUCACCUCUAGGGACUUUAGUAAACUCGACUCUCCAAAAUUCACACGUCAACACUUUUGCCCUGAGGCAAUGGAUCGAGUUUUCAACACAAUUCAACCACUAGUCCUUAUUUCUCCCUUCUAAUCUAUUCUUCUUCUUCUUUUUCUUUUUUUUUUUUUUUUUUUUUUUUUUUUUUCGAAUCGAAUUUAGAUAUAUAUAUAAAUAAAGAUGCACGUAUAUAUAUAUCUAUUUUUUUUUCUUUUUUUUUUCUUUUUUUUUUUCGAAGAAGAAGAAAGAUCUAAUAAAACAUUUCGACCGAACUCCAAGGGAUAAUUAUUCAAAAAUCUCCACUUUUCCACCUUUUACAUAUUGGCUAAAAGAAAGAACACCUUUUUUCUCCGAGGCUCAAAUCAAGGUUCUAAGGAUAAAAAUUUAAAGGUAGGCUUGAAAGGCUCAAACGGUUCAAAGAAUGCCCAAAUCAUAUCCCAAAUCACUUACUACCCAACACUUCGUUUCAUAAAUGUCCUAAGGUGAGAUUUAAAACCGAACAAAGCAUGAUUUAGCACAAAUAAAUUCCAAAUUUAAAAUACAAAACAUUCAACCAAAGCAAUGCAUAAAGCGUGAUUCCUAGCAAUAAUUCACUUCUACGUUCAGUUGAAUCGAAAGCUAAACAAAUACCAACUCCUUAUCACAUAAAGCAAGCAAUUUCAUCAUCAAACAUUGGCCAUCUCCCAUCAUCAUAAUUCAUCGAUGCGUCGAACCAAUUUUUUUUUUUUUUUUUUUUUUCGAAUAAUAAAACGAUAACUAAAACAAAAAAAAAUAGCGCAAGCAAACUAACAAAUAUAACCACCCCCAAACUUAAAAUUCACAUUGCCCUCAAUGUGAUUCGCCCAAAGUUUAAGGAUAGAAAACACCUGUUUAAACGGCGUUUUUCUUGCCCUUCCCCUUGCCUUUAGAAGUGCUUUCGCCUUGUGAGGUGCCCUCCCCGUCACGUCCUCGUUUCCCCAUGACUUGAGACUGCGUGUGGAAGGGAUUAGGAGUGAAUUGAUGUGCAAAAUUUCCCCCAAACUUGAUUUGGGCAAUUCGUCGAACACCUUGUGGGCGUUAUUGAUGGAAUGGGUUUGUGGAGAAAUUUGCACCUUUCUUGAAGCCUCCCUGCGCAAAUCAACAAGAAACCACCAAGAUUAAGUAGUAUGUGUGUGUAGUUGGUGAAUUUCUGGUGAAAUUUGUCAAAGAAAAGUGAAAUUUUUGAAAGAGGAAGGCUAGGGUUCGAAGUGGGGGAGAGAGGGGAUUUGAAAUUAUGAUUUUUUUUUUUUUUUUUUCGCACGGCCGUGCGAGAUUUAGGUGAAAAAUCCGCACGGCCGUGCCAUUUCUCAUAAUUGGGCAGUAGCCUCUUCAAAUUUCGCACGGCCGUGCGAGAUUUAGGUGUAAAAUCCGCACGGCCGUGCCCUUUUCCUAUUUUGGGCAGUAGCUUCCCCGAAAUCUCACACGGCCGUGCGAGAUUCCUGCCCUUUUCUUGCACGGCCGUGUGAAUAAUUGCAAUUAGGUCCCUGCAAAAUAAAAACUUCCUAUUAGUGCCCCCAAAACUUUUUUUUUUUUUUUUUUUUUAAAUAAAAUAAAAACAAACUAAAAAUCUAAAAUAACAUAAAAUAAGAAAAACGAAAGCUCGGGUUGCCUCCCGAGAAGCGCUAAGUUUAUAGUCUUCAGCCAGACUUUGUUCUUGCUCUUCAAUUCCUUAGCUUUUGAACCCAUCUCCUUACUUCCUUUCGGAGAAAGUCUUGAAUAAAUGGGUUGAUCCGAUUCUUCUUUCGACUGGUUCGCUUAGGAUUGCCCUUGAAUUUAUUCUUCUUGAUGUCAUGAGGCUUGCCAACAUCGUCUUUUAUCACGGUGUUUUGAGUAGGUGUUGUAACCAACUCAACCUUUUUCUUUUGUUCUCCUACAUGCACAUUAGUAUCCACAAAAAAAUUUAAAUCAUGUAAUUUAACAGGAAAAAGUUUAGAAUCACUUACCUCAUCAAGAAGAUAACAUCCAUUAGCUGUAAUAGGCUUUUCAUCUACCCGGUAUACCUUGAAGAUCACUGUUUCUUCCCCCACACUCAUUCUUAGCUCUCUCUUUCCUACAUCAAUAAUUGACCUACCGGUUGCUAAGAAGGGGCGUCCUAAGAUAAGGGGAAUAUUUUCAUCUUCCUCUAUGUCUAGUACUAGAAAAUCGGCCGGGAGUAUGAACUUAUCUACCUUGACCAAUACAUCCUCCACUAUACCUAAAGGGUGAGUAAAAGAUCUAUCGGCUAGCUGCAAGGUCACGGAAGUGGGCUUAAUUUCUCCUAAAUUCAAUUUCUCAUAAAUUGAUAAAGGCAUUAAAUUUACGCUCGCCCCUUGAUCACACAACGCCCUCCCAAAAUACCUAGUACCUAUUGUGCAUGGAAUGGUACAACUGCCCGGAUCUCUAAGCUUCGGUGGAAUUUUAUUUGCAAGGAUAGCACUACUUUGCUCAUUGAGGUCUAUGAUUGCUGCACACUCCGGAAGCCUCAUCUUCUUCGAUACAAGUUCCUUUAUAAACUUAACCCAAUUCGGCAUAUGCUUAAGUGCCUCAACAAAAGGAAUAUUAACAUGCAAUUUUUUAAGAUAAUCCAAAAAUGACUGAAAUUGCAUAUCAAGCUUAGAGUUUUGAAAACGUUGAGGGAAAGGUACCUUGGGAGUAGGUUCACUUACUGUGAUCUUUGUGUUGCUUGGCCCGACCUCGGUUUUUUCCUUGGGCUCCUCUACAAUAGGCGGUGGUGCAACGGACUUUUUAGGAACUUCCUCUAAUUGCCUCCCAUUUCGCAAACUCACUGCAUUGCACUGCUCGAUGUUGCUCUUUCGAGGAUCUUCCGUAUUCGACGGCAGUGCUCCCGACGGCCUCGCGUUUAGUUGGGUUGCAAGUUGCCCCAUUUGUGUCUCAAGGUUCCGAAUGGAUGCUUGAGUCGCCGUCAUGAAUUUUGCUAAGAUGUCAGCGAGGUCAACUCCUUGGGGUGGAGCUUGAGGUGGUGCUUGCCUUUGUCCUUGCUGAUUUCCUCCCCAUCCAAAGUUGGGGUGAUCCUUCCAUCCGGGAUUGUACGUGUUGGAGUACGGGUUCCUCUGUUGUCGGUUGGUGUCAUGCACAUAAUUCAGAGACUCCGUUUCUUCUAUGCGUUGGUCGGGAACUUGGACUGCGUGGACUUGCUGAGCUUGCAAAGCCGCUACUUGCUUCGAUAGCUUCUCCAAUUGGGCCGUGAUUGCAGUGACUCCGUCUAACUCCAAAAUUCCUCCCGUCUUGACUGCUCCGCUAUUCGACCGGUCCGAUGCUUGCAUGUAUUUAUUUCUAGCGAUUCGUUCCAAGAGCUCGUAUGCUUCGUCGUAGGUCAAACUCAUGAACAUACCUCCAGCUGCAGAGUCGAGCACUGUCCUCGAGUUGUCUUGCAGUCCAUCGUAAAAUAUUUGCAGUUGGCGCCACUCUUGUAGUCCGUGAUUCGGGCACCUCCUUACUAACUGUUUGAACCGCUCCCACGUCUCGAAUAAUGCUUCACCGGCUUCUUGUAUGAAGUUUUGAAUUUCUCGCCGGAUUCUCUCAGUUUUUGUUGGGGAAUUGUAUGUGUUCAUGAAGAGUUGCGCUAGUUGGGCCCAAGACGAGAUGGAAUGCGGUGCGCGAGUUUGUAACCAUUCUCGGGCUGCUCCUUGUAGGGAGUGCUUGAACAGGCGGAGUUGCAAUGCUUCGGGCGUUACUCCGUUCAUCUUGUGCGAGUCACACGUUUCGAGAAAGUUGACCAAGUGAAGAUGUGGAUCUUCAUGAGCUAAUCCGCUGAAUAGACCAUUGUUUUGGAGCAUCGUGAGGAGUCCCGCUCGAAUCUCGAAAUUGUUGGCUUCAAUGGGGGGCUGCUGGAUGCUUGAUUGGAACCCAUUGAGUGUCGGAACGGUGUACUCGUGCAAGGCUCGUUGACGCGGUGGUGGAUUAAUUAUCUGGCGUUGGUUUUGCUCGUUGACGAUUUCUCUCGCCACAUUAGGUGGUUGCCUUUGGUCACCUUCCCCACGAUUAUUCUCGUCUUCCAUCGAUGCUGGAGUGUUUUGGGCUAACCGUUGAUUUCUCCUGGCUUGCCUAAACGUUCGCUCAAUUUCGGUAUCAAGAGGUAGCAAGCUCGUGUCGUGUCCUCUUCGCAUAAAAAGUACCUAAAACAAAAUAAAAAAAAUAAUUAAAUAAAAUAAAAAAAUUGGCUGAAGUAAGAAAAAUUGCUCAAAUUUAAUAUUAGGAUAAAUAAAUAAUUUAGCCGUAUUCCCCGGCAACGGCGCCAAAAAAUUGUUGGGUGCUAAAUACCCACACGCAAGUGUACGUAUCGCAAACAAGUAGUAAAAGUGGACUCGUGAGAGUCGGAUGUCGAUCCCACAGGGAAUACGCAAAUUAUUUAAUCCUAAGUACCAAAUUGUAACAAUUACGAUUUUUAUCCAGCCUACGCAAGGUUGUCAAAUUAAUUAACUAAAUAAAUUAAACUAAUUAAGAAAACAAUUAAUUACGAGAAAAUAUCAAUAUGAAACGGAUCUAGGAUUUUAUCUUCCCCCUAUGCAAGAAUUGCUCACCCAAAACCCCUCAAUUAUGAAAUAUAUGAUUCAUGAUUAUUAACCCGAGACACUAAUUUACUCAUAACCCGCUGUCGCGUGUAUUAUGAGUCUAUUAUUCAUAAACGAUUCACUAUAUGUCUAUGCAAACCAAUUAUAAAUAAAGCAUUAACUAACAAGUCUCGUAAGUGGCUACCUAAGGUGAUAUCUGUAUGUCUACGACACCACAUGCAAUUGACACACUCAUCCGGUGAAAACUACUCGAAGGCUCUUAUACUUACCGUCUAAUUAUCAAAAUAGCUCUGUCAAGUCAAUCCCAAUAAUCACAGAUAAAGCACAUAAAUUGAUCAAGUUCAUGCACUAACAAUCAUAACAAGUAUAAGAAAUAAUCAUAAAAUCAUAAUUGCAUAAUCUCAAGAAAACGGGUUCACAAUCCCCACAUAGGGUUCCAACAAAAUCCUAGAUUAAAAACUUAGCUACUCAUAACGAAAAACAUAAUAAAAGUAAUAAAAAUCAUAAAAGCUAUAAAUAAAAGUCAAAGAGGGGAACUAGGAUGAAGAUUCGUCAAGUCUUCGUCUUCGUUCUUGUGCUCCUUGAUCGCGUGUAGAAAGAUGAAAAAUAAAAACCUAAAGAUUAAAGAUAAAAGGUAAAAGAUCCAAGAUAGGUCUAAUUGUGUGCUUGUGGCCUUUAAAUAGGGUGCAAAAAUAUAAUAGGGCGGGUUUCCUUGUGUAAUUAAACUUCCUUCACUGCGCCCCUACGCCCAUCCGGACGGCCGUGUGAGAUUAAGAUCUAAAACCCGCACGGCCGCGCGGCCUUCUGUUCUUCAGAAUUCUGAUUAUUUCACUUUUGGCCCACUUUUUCUCUGAAUUUGCAGUUUUCACCCCAAAAGUUGCCAAUUCUUCAAUUUGCACCUAAAAUACAAAUAAUAACCAUAUUAAGCACCAAUUAUCGUAAAAACACAUCAAAAGCUCCAAUUAAAAGGUACAAUUAAGUGUAUAAAUAUACACUUAACAGGUACACAGUGCCCCCAAAACAUUUCGCUCGCCAAGGGUUAUCGACUCCCUGGGGGCUUACAUCUGCCCCCAAAAUAUUUCGUUCGCCAAGGGUUAUCGACUCCCUGGGGGUUUAUAGUGCCCCCAAAAUAUUUCGUUCGCCAUGGGUCAUCGACUCUCUGGGGGCCUACUUCCGCCCCCCCUCGAACGGUUCAGAUAACCGAAGAGGACAUUCAGCGUAUGAUCGCCGAAACUUCAACAAUAUCAACUUCUACUUGCUCCUCUAACGGUUCAGAUAACCAAUAAGGACCUUCAGCAUACGACAGCGAAAACUUUAACUCGUGUUGUCACUGAAGCAACGACACAACCGUGUGCAUCCACCUCAGACCAUAGGUCUCGAGCGCCUCAUCCUAUAGUGGGUAGUUAACCCAUCCCAAGGUUGGGCAUCACCCUUACCUUUCAACCCCAAGUGGGUUCACAUCACAUCUCAAGAGACGAGUAUAAUCUCCCAACUCAAAAAAUAGAAUAUCCCAAGGGGUGAACAUCAACCACCAACAAAAAAAAAAAAAAAAGAAGAAGAAGAUGAAAAAAUAGAAGAAAAAAAGAAGAAGAUGAAAAAAAGAAAGAAGAAAAAAAAAUAGAAGAAAAAAAGAAGCAGAUGAAAAAAAAGAAAGACAAAGACAAAAUAGAAGAAAAAAGAAGAAGAAGCAACAAUAGAAGAAACACGCACAACGACUGAAAAAAUAGAAGAACACACAAGAAGAUCAAAAAAGAGAAGAAGAAAGAAGAAGAAAAAAGAAAAGUAAAAAAAAAANNNNNNNNNNNNNNNNNNNNNNNNNNNNNNNNNNNNNNNNNNNNNNNNNNNNNNNNNNNNNNNNNNNNNNNNNNNNNNNNNNNNNNNNNNNNNNNNNNNNAUGAUAACACUGGUCGUUACAGAUGCCUAUUGCGCCUAGUUUUGUCCUCACCAGUAUUCAUAAGUGGUUGUUGUUGGGUAUUACAAGCACAUAAAUAAUGAUGGUCAUUAUUCUUAUUAUUGUUAGAACGAUGGUUCUCCCUCAGUUACAUUUCCUGAAUAUGACAAAAAAAAUCCUCGGGCACGAACCUUGAAAACAAAAAAAAAAAAACCCGGGCAUGUAUCCCGACAAAAAAAAAAAAAAAAAUUUGGGCACGGUUCCCGAGGCGCGCACGUGCACGAUUCCCGAGGCGCACACGGGCACGCUUCCCGAGGCAAAAAAAGGCACGAUUCCCGAGAAACAAAUUUGGGCCCGAUUCCCGAGGCGCACACGGGCACGCUUCCCGAGACAAAAAAAAAACAAAGGAAAAAGGGAAUAAAGCAACAUGAUGCGUCACUCUCGAGGAAGUCCCAUAUCAGCUCCUCAUAAAAUGUUUAACAGCUCUACACUCUCUCCCCCCAUGCACUACAUGCGCGCGUGCACCCCCAUAUGGGCUAGUGCGCACACGGACCCCAAGUGCGCGCGAACUCUAGCACAUCAGCGUCCUACAAUGCGUGUCGCCUCUCCUACCUCGUAGCACGCGCAUACCUGAGGUCGAGCGCAACUCUCAAAAUUCUACAUCAAAUCACGUGAAAAUUUUGACGUACUUUACUAAAUCGCGCAAGAAUUUAUGUGCGCUCCACCAAAUCGCUUGAUAGUUUCAUCUCGCUUAACCAAAUUGCGCGAGCUCUUCAACGUGCCUACCAAAUCGUGCUCGCUAUCAAACGGAUAAAAAGAAUAUAUAUAUUUCUCCACGCCACGCCAACGAUAAAAAAAAAAAAAAACACUACAACACCGAUCUACUCUCGACACGAUCCGGUACCCUCUUCGACGUGGCUCCCACAUCGUCUCGAGAGUGGGGGGCUUGCGAGACAACUCCCACGAGGAGCCAACUCGCUCAGUACUACCACCCGCAGCGAGACAACUCCCACGAGGAGACAACUCGCUCGGACCUACAACCAGCAGCGAGACAACACCCACGAGGAGCAAACUCGCUCUGUCCUACAUCCAGCAGCGAGACAACUACCACAAGGAGCAAACUCGCUCUGUCCUACAUCCCGCAGUGAGAUAACUCCCAUGAGGAGCCAACUCGCUCGGUACUACAACCCGUAGCGAGACAACUCCCAUGAGGAGCAAACUCGCCCGGUCCUACAACCAACAGCGAGACAACUCCCACGAGGAGACAACUCGCUCGGUACUACGAACCCUCAGCGAGAUAACUCCCACGAGGAGACAACUCGCUCGGUACUACGAACCCUCAGCGAGAUAACUCCCACGAGGAGCCAACUCGCUCGGACCUACAACCCCUUGCGAGGAAAAUCCCACGAGGAGACCACUCGCUCCGUCCUACAACCCGCAGCGAGACAACUCCCACGAGGAGCCAACUCGCUCGGUACUACGAACCCGCUGCGAGACAACUCCCACGAGGAGACAACUCGCUCGGUACUACUACAUUAUCAGCGAGAUAACUCCCACGAGGAGCCAACUCGCUCGACACUACAAAUCCGUUGCAAGGCAACUCCCACGUGCAGCCAUCUCGCUCGAUAAUAAGACUCGCUGCGAGACAACUCCCACGAGGAGAAAGAUCGCUCAGAGCGACAUCAAUCCGCACACUCGUCAGUCGCGCGUCAUCCAAUGAUUCUACAACUUCGCUGCGAGACAACUCUCAUGAGGAGACAACUCGCCCGAAACUCACUAUAUAAUCGCAAGCUCAAGUUAGCACGAUUACAACCCUAGAAACACUUAGAAAUAUUAUGGGAAUCUAUAUAGCCUGGCCAGCUUGAUUACUCAAAUUUAUCUACUUGUUUUCGAUGGGUCCUUCAUUAAAACGUGGCCACGGUCCAAACAUAUUUACGACCCACGAGGUCUAACAAAGGGCACGAUCCCCAUAUAAAAAUAUUAAGAGCCUGAUCCCCUCCUCAAGUACAUCACGUACAAAGCUAUAUGUAAACACAUACAAGCAACGCGUCACAACAUUGACAAUGUCGAUAAAUAACAACUCCCACGAGGAGAAUACUCGCUCUGUGCUACUACAUUAUCACGAGACAACUCCCACGAGGAGAUAACUCGAUCAACUCUAUUACCCCACGACGAGACAACUCCCACGAGGAGAUAACUUGAUCCGAGCUAUUACAUCAUCGCGGGACAACACCGACGACUCAAAUAACUUACAUCGCGACAACUUGGUUGCGCUACGCGCCAACGCACCUUCACGCCCCUCCGACACACGCUCCGAUGCGUUUUCGCACACCAUCGACUACUACAAUUUUUACUCUUGACACGAUAUGUCGCCCAUUUCAACAUGGCCCCCACAUCGACUCGAGAGUGGGGGGCUUAAUGAUAUGCCUAAUUGGCCCAACCCAAUGGGCCUACAAAUUAUUUACGUACUGGGCCACGAGCCCAAUAUCGAAGACCACUAUCACCGAGGCCCAAUUACCUUCAAGCAAGGUUUGGGCCUGACAAUCUCAACUAAGCUAUAAAUACACCUUUUAACUCAUUCCAUAAGGUACGUCCUAUUAACUGAGCAAUACUACAAUACGUAUUCUCUGGACUAUUUCUACUAUCAGCACGUCUGACUUGAGCGUCGGAGGGGUUUCCGCCGGAUCAACCCCCGGCUUAGUUCAUGUGUUCUAUGAUCGCAGGUACCUCAGGAUCAUCAAGUUGUCAAGCUAUUGAUCUGCUUUGCUCUCCCAGCUCAUUUUCUACACCACCCUAGGUGAGCUAUAUUUUAGCAUCAUCAAUAUAUAUAUAUAUAUAUAUAGGUCAUUUUUGUUGUUAUCAGUGAACAUUGAUGUUGUCAAGUUACAUAUGAAUCAUAAGUGUCGAAUUUAUUGUCAAGUUGAUAGUUCAGGGGAAGUGAAUGCCAAAAUUUUAAAUGUUUCGGUGAGGGUGCCUGAAAUUUAUCCAACGAAUAAUACGUAUAGAAUUUAACAGUGUAAAUAGGCAAUGGAAAGUGUACCGUUGGAGCUGGUCCGCACAAUGUGAGAGAUACUUCAACAAGGUAACUAUCUUAUUAAGUCGGAUCCCAACAAAAUGGACCAAUAACUGGUUCUCGAAACUCACAAUUCUAUUUUUUCUAUAAAUAUAUGAUAAUUCUCGUAUUCGUGAUCAGAGUUAUAUUAGAUGCUUGGGGAGACAACAUAAGCAGUCAGAUAUGUUCGCGACUCUGCUUUUUUACAUUUAGUAUUUGCAUCAAAUAAUGUUACAUUGGAUCGAUAUUUUAUACGUUAGAUACUAUUAACAAUUGCAUAUAACAUCAAGAGUUACUGGGCGUGUUACAAGGGGAAAACGCCUUUGAAUCCAUUCCUUUUUUCUUCUUCAUUUUUUUUUCUUUUUUUUUUCCCCUUUUUCUAGUAGCUUUAUAUCAGGCAAUUGCAUCCUUUUUUUUUCAAAACGAAAAAAAAGAAAUGUUCUUGUAAUUAAUUGGCCAUUACAAUACAGUUACACAUCUAUAAAUUAAUACAGUCGGGACUAGGGAAAUUCUAUUAAUUCAUCGAAUUAUUAAAUUAUCGAGUUGAUAAUUUAACACGUUUUCACCCAGUCGGGACCGAGAGAAACUAUUAUUUAAUCAGGAUUAUUAAUUUAUCGAGGUUCUAUUGUAUACUCAUUCGAAGAGAUUCAGACAUUCGACCGCAGUGGGAAAAGCCUCAAUACCACAAUUAGAUUAAGCAUUGAUAGUUAACAGACACAUGCGAAUACAUAUUCACCGUCGUAGACACUACAUUUGGUCCCGGCGGGGAGGAAAUGUAAAAUAAAAGGAAACAUAUUGAAAAAUAUACACAAAGUUGUAUCAGUUACUACAAACAAAAGUUAAGCUCAAUGUUUUCAAAUUCCGAUGUAAUUAUUGAAAAGUUAGAAAACCAACUUUUAUAUUCGUGCAAAUAAUCAAUCUCUCCGAAUUACAAUAAUAUUGAAGAUAUAUACAAUUGCAAUUUGCAAGCUAACCUGACAAACAUAUUUGUUUGACUUUUGUUUUGUAGCUGAUACAUCUCGUGCUGAUUGCUAUAAACGCGGCUCUUUCACAUGUACAAACAUUAAUAAUAUGUGUGUGCAUGUAUUUUAAAAUGUCUGAAAGGGCAUAUUGGUAGGUGUUUAUGAUGAAGACCUUAUUGUUAUCAAAUGCCAAUUGCUGACUAAGUCGCUAAUUAGACAACUUAAUUCACACCACAUUUAAUCAUUCCAGCUUAAUUAUCAUUUUGACUUUGCUCUUCUUGUUUGUCUCCAAGAAAUCACCAAAUUUUCUUUCACCAUAAUCUGCUAAUCGAUUAUGUGAAAAUUGUUUAUCGAAAAAAGAUGGCUGCAGCUUAUGCAGCUUUAGUUUCUCUCACUCAUACUCUUGAUCAGAUCCUCCUCCACCCACCUCCUACCCUUGAUAUCAUUUUUGAUAAAGAUCAGAUUCAAUCUCUACGAGAUAAGGCCGAGUACAUUUUGGUAGAUUUUUUCGAAGAUUAUACAAGUAGUGGAGGCAACAAAGAGAUGGAAGGCUUGGAGACGAUGAUCGGUGAUGCAGCAUAUGCAGCAGAAUAUAUCAUUGAGUUCAAUGUGAUGAACCAAAUUCUUGGAAGAUCUGCAGCCGAUAGAGAAGAAAGCUCCAAUCUCUUGUUUGAAGGUGUAGACAUUUCAAUACAAGAGUUCCUUUUCAUUGAGAAAGAGUUGGUGAGAUUCAAGAAAGAUAUGCAACGACCUAAUAACUACUACUUAACGACAACAAAAGCUAGUUCUUCUUCUUCAUCAAGGCCUCUUCUUCUGGCCGGUGGCAAAAACAACAUGGUGGGAUUCGACAACCACAUGGAUGAAAUUAUGGGCGCUCUCUCCACCAACGAAUCUAAUCUUCGGAUCAUCUCUAUUGUUGGAAUGGGAGGCAUAGGUAAGACUACCCUUGCCACUAAUGUUUUCAACAAUCCCUUUAUUGUGGAGCACUUUCAGCUACGUGCUUGGUUUACGGUAUCCCAGGAAUAUACUGAUAAGAAGAUUCUCCUAGGCCUUUUGCAUCAGAUCAACAAUACAUAUCGAAAUGCACAUGAGAUCGUUGAUGAUGAUGAUGCAAUAGGAGACAGACUGCACAAAACUCUAUUUGGGAGGAAGUAUUUGAUAGUAAUGGAUGACAUGUGGGAUAUCAAAGCAUGUGAUAUGGUAAAAAGGUUCCUUCCUGAUAAUAAUAAUGGAAGUCGAAUCUUGGUAACUACUAGGCUGAUGAAGUUGGCUGUAGAUAUUGGAUCUUGUAGCCCUUAUCAACUGAAUCUUCUAGAAAAAUCACAGAGUUGGGAUUUACUCCGUGAAAAGAUAUUUGCAGAAGAACGUUGCCCCGAUGAAUUGGAGGGAAUUGGAAAAAGUAUUGCGACAAAAUGCAGAGGACUUCCAUUAGCCCUUGUUGUGAUUGCUGGGGUUCUUGCAAAGUCCAAGACGGAAGAACAUUGGGUGUCAAUUGAAAAAGAUGUAACUUCAGCAGUAAACAAUCAAGAUGAUGAGUCCUGCAUGAAGAUACUAUUGUUGAGCUAUAAUAACUUGCCUAUACAUCUAAAGCCUUGUUUCCUUUACUUUGCCGUGUUUCCUGAAGAUCAUAUCAUCAAAGUGGAAAGGCUGGUCAGGUUGUGGGUUGCUGAAGGAUUUAUUAGGCAGUAUGGGCAUAAAAGCUUAGAAGACAUUGGAAAGGAGUACUUGAAGGAUCUUAUUGAUCGAAAUCUCAUUUCCGUCAAUUGGAGGUCAGUUACGGGAGAAGUGACCGGCUGCAACAUUCAUGAUGUUUUAAGUAACCUAUGCAAGAGAGAAGCUCAGAAAGACAAUUUUAUUCUCUCGUUCGCAAGAAAGCUUUAUAACCCCGAUAUUUUAACUUUCAUGAAGUUCACACCACGUCUCAGCAUUAAUGAUGGAAAAUGGAAAGGGACGAAACAUAAGCCAUAUACAUCACAGAUACCUACACGGUCUUUGUUUUGCUUCUCUAAAGGGGCUUCAACUGAUUACACGGCUCGUCGGUUUCCAUUACUACGAGUAUUGGAUGUAGUUGAUAUAUAUCCCAAAGGUGAGAUUCUACAGCUGAUUAACUCAAGGUAUGUUUCUCGCAUGGGUCCGAUGAUGUUGCCGUCUUCAAUAUCCCGACUUUGGAGCCUACAAACAUUAUUUGUUGAUGGAGAGUUGAUACUGCCAGGUGAGAUAUGGCAGAUGCCCCAACUUCGACAUGUUGUGGCCAACUCUAUUAUCUUGCCCGAUCCUCCGCCUCCAGAUAAUGUCCAGAAAAUCAUACUUCUUGAAAAUUUACAAACACUUUCAGGAGUCGUAGAUUUUGAAUGCACUGAAGCGGUCAUUAAUAGAAUCCCUAAUGUGAAGAAGUUGGAAAUUGUUUGUGGGACAAUUGGGUCUAAUUGUUUAAGGAAUCUUGGACUUCUCCAUAAACUUGAAUACCUUAAUCUGAAAUUAAAUACUGGUACUAGUUGCUGUGGAGAAAUUGUCUUCCCAAGUUCACUUAAAGUGUUGGUGUUAAGUGAAUGCAAGAUUCCUUGGGAAGAUAUGUCUGUUGUUGGUUCACUACCCAACCUUGAAGCUCUCACGUUGUGGACAAAUGCUGUUGUAGGCCAAAAGUGGAUUUCAAAAGAAGGGGAAUUCACUAGACAAUACACAUUUCCCAUGUCUAGAGGAGCUACAUCUUGGAUGCUUAAACCUCAAGGAGAUCCCUUCGGAUUUUGCCGAAAUAAUACCACUUCAAGUAAUUGACUUACAUCACUAUAGCAGCAAUGACCUUUUGGCAUCUGCAAAUGAAAUAUCAAAGCAACGAGAGAACCUAGGUUACGAUGCUCUUUAUGUUACAAAUAUUAUAUUUGGAGUGCUCAAAAUUUGGGUGAAGAGAGGUAUUAAUCUUGUUGUUGGUGGUGGAGAUCCUUAUGUUGUUAUCACGAUGGGCGAUCAGGUUUCGUGUUCCUACUUUUGAUGUUUUUUUUUGUUCAUUAAUGUUAUUUUCACCCUCUUCAUAAUAUUCUUUUAGAUAAAAAGGAUAACAAAUUUGCAUUAAAUAUUUUGUCGUCCGAAUUUUCAAAAACAAAUUUGCAAUUUAGUAUAAAUCUUUAUGAUGCAGAGUGUGGAGACUCGUAUUGUGACAAAUGAUGUUCAUCCUAUAUGGGAUGAGGUACUCACAAUUUACGUUUUAGAUCCUAGCCGUCCAGUUUCUCUGGUGAGAUUCUCUAAUUUAAGAUAAAAAUAAAUUUGGCAACUAGUUUUGCAAUAUUUAUUUCUCACCAUUUUUCUUCGUAGAUCCAAAAUCUGUAGUUUCAAAUAUGUGAUGUGUAUAUGCUGAUUCAUAGUUUGUGUAUAAUGGUUGUAGACAGUGCAUGAUCGCAACAAGUUGAGCAACAUGGAUAACAAGAUGGGUAAUGCAGUGAUUGAUAUUAAACCAUUAGUAGAAGCCAGUUGGGUGCAUCAAAAUGACCUUCCAAACGGUACAACAAUCACAAGAAUAUUGCCUUCAAGCUCCAAUUGCCUGUCUAAAGAAAGUUUCAUUGUCUUGAAAAAUGGGAGAGUAAUGCAGGACAUGUGCCUGAAAUUGGAAAAUGCCGAAUGUGGCCAAGUCGAACUUCAGCUCUGGUGGAUUGCUUAAAUAGAAUCUGGUGAAAUCAAACUUCACUCGAGUGGUUGAAGUUCCUACUACCACUAAUUUACGGGUGUGAUUGGAUCAAAUUAAACAUUGAGUAAAAUAGUGAAAUUGCAAUGUAAACUAAUUUAUACGUUUAACGAAAUCAUAAAUUUAAAUGGAAAUUUUGUUUUAUUGUAAUUUCGGACAUGUAUAGUAAAUUUUUUUAAUUCAUAGGAGGUAUAGAAGAAGAAGAAAUAAAUGUAACAUCAAUUUGAUUAAUAAAAUUGAAAUGGCUAGUCCAAAUAAUUGGAGAAGAAUGUAGUAGAAGGUGACUCGUUGGAGGUUAUAUUGCCGCAGUUAGUGAAUCUUCAAGUUCCAAAGCUCCAUACAUAUGAAUAUCAUAGAGGAUAUAUAUCGAGCGGGCGAGUGAGUGGUUUGAGCAUUUUUGGACGCAACACGUUUCAGGGGAGGCCAAAUAAGUAGCUCAUGAAGUAACAACUUUGUCGAAGACGGAUUAUUUCUCUAUUUAAGUGAUCUAUGUAGGAGAGAAGCUCAGAAACAUAAUUUUAUAAUCCCUUCAAAACUGGUAACCACAAUGCUUAACCAGAUCCGCCUCAGAAUUAAUGGUGGCCAAUGGAAAGAUAUGACACUAACGGCAUCUAUUCGGUCUUUCUUAACCUUCUUUUCUGUGAAUUUGUCUACUUAUACUGCUCGUGGGUCUCCGUUACUACGGGUAUUGGAUGUGGUUGAUAGAUAUGUCUCUUGCACGGGUUUGAUCUUUAUGUCGUCGUUUAUAUUAUCCCGACUUUGGAGCCUACAAACCUUAGUUGUUGGUGGAGAGUUGACUCUCCCUAUUGAGAUAUGGCAGAUCCUCCUUCACGUGGCGAAACAAUCACAAUGCUUGAAAAUCUAAAAACACAUUCAAUAGUCAAAGAUUUCAAAUGUACUAAAGAGGUAACUAAACGAAUCCCGAAUCUGAAGAAGUUGGGAAUUGUUUAUCCGACAAUUGGAUCACUUAGUCUAGCAUUUUUUGGUACGCUUGGUCUUUCCAAGUUCACUUAAAAAAUUGGUCUUAAGUGAAUGCAAGAUUCCAUGGGAAGAUAUGUCCAUUGUUGGUUCCUUACCGAAUCUUGAAGUUCUCAAACUGCGGUCGAAUGCUUCUGUAGGGCAAAAGUGGAUUUCAAAUGAAGGGGAAUUCGCUCGACUCAAGUACUUGUUGAUUCAUGAGUGUGAGUUGGAGAUUUGGGAAUCAGACAAUACACAUUUCCCAUGUCUUGAGCAAAUACAUCUCGGAAUCGUGAGCCUGAUUGAGUUCCCUUCAUAUUUUGCUGAAAUAUUAUCGCUUCAAGUGAUCGACUUACACCGCUGCGAAAAUUCCCUUUUGACAUUGGCAAAGGAAGUAUCAGAGCAACGAGAGAACGUAGGAUACGAUGCUCUUCAAAUUCGAGCUUUAAUGCCUGGACUGCUCAGAAUUUCUGUGCAGAGAGGUAUCAAUCUUGCUGCUCGCAAUCACCCCAAUAGAAGUCCUUAUGCUGCUGUCAGAAUAGCCAUUCGGUGCUCUUUUUCGUAUGGAUUUUCGAUCUUUUAUGCUUUCCUUUUUUACAAAAACGAAUUGCAAUUUAAUAUAUAUAAAUGAUUGCUGCUGUCAGAAUAUCCAAACAAAUUUAAUCCCGAAUGGCAUGAGAAUUUGACAGUUGCUGUUUUAGAUCCUAGUCAACAAGUUUCUGUGGUGAGCCGCCUCUUUCGUUAGCGAUAAAAUUAAAACAAAUUAUUAGGUUGUGCUAUUGAUCCUUCUGGUUCUAGACUAGAUACAAGUUUAAAAAAAAAAAUCAGUUUGAUAUAUCAAGAACAAAUUUGAGCUUUCUAAAAUCAGAUUUUUUGUUUUUCAAUUGUUUUGAGUUUGAAUACUAACUAAUGCAGUUUUACUGAUCUCAAGAUUUGAAUCUUCUGCCUUUUUCUUAAUGAAAAUUCGGUUCGGUGUUUGGUAAUUUUUUUUUUUGAAUUCCGAGAUUCGGUACGGUAUACGGUAUUGGUGUCCGGUAUACCGUACCGUACCAAAUACCGAAAUAUUUAAUAUAUAUUUAUUUUUUUCUUUUAUUUUAAAUACUUUAAGGUUAUAAAAAUAUUCUAAAAUACUUAUAGAUUGAAAAUGUUUUUCAUUAUUUACAAAUUAGCCUCUAUUCAUAAUCACUUUAUGUUUUUAGGGCAGGCUAUUGAAAUUUGAAUGUCAAAUUCAAGAAUUAUUUAGUUUAAAUUGUUAUUGUACCUUUUCUAAAAUAAGAAAAUAUAUUUCGGUUUUACCGGUACCGAACCGUACCGAACCGAAUAAUUCGGUAAAAAACCAUACGUAACCGAAAUAUAUUUUCUUAUUAGAAACCGCAAUACCUAUAUGUUGAUUCUAUGUGUACGUAUGGUUGUAGACAGUGUACGACAAAAACGUGUUCAUUGCGGAUGAGAAGAUGGGAGACGCAGAGUUUGAUAUUAGACCAUUUGUACAAGCGUCGAAGAUGCAUCCAAAUGCCCUACCAAACGGUACAAUAACCACUAGAAUAUUGCCUUCAAGCUUCAAUUGCCUGUCUGAAAAGAGUUUCAUUUUCUGGAAGGAUGACAAUCUAAUGCAGGAUAUGUGCCUCGGAUUGAGAAAUAUCGAAUCCGGCCAAGUCAAACUUCAGCUGCGGUGGAUUGAUAUUCCUGGCUACGAAGAUUUAUAGACCACAUCUUGUUGUCGCUUCUCGUUUCUUCGUAUCGUGGAUUUUUUUUUAAUUGUUUUAUUUUUUCUUUCUUUUGUUUGGUUUUUCGUAUUUAAAGUUCUCUGGGAAUGAAAACUUCACGUUUAAAUCCGACAAAAUAUUGACUUCUGCAAUCCAUUUUGGACUUCCGAAAAAAAUAGGAAUUUUUACGAAAGGGCUAAUUCCAAUAAGUUUACACCCCUAAAUUAUAUACAUAUAAAUUGUACUCACCUCACCGAACUAUUGCCAUUUCACAACUACAUCCCUGAAAUAUGGAUUUUGUCAACCACUCCCUCAAUUAUUUAAAAUUUUGGCAUCUAUGUAUGUAUAUUAAUCCGCAGAAGAAUAUCUGAUAUGAAGUUGGAGUUGGCUAGAACCGACAUUUUUCAAUCCGAGGCACAUGUCCUGCAUAUAAACUGGAAGAUUAGGAUCAUCAAAGUGGAAUGUAAUCUCUUCAUUCCAUUCAGGAUUAACAUCGUUUUUUUUACUGCAGAAGUCUUUCUCACCUAGUGCACGUGCGUUGCACGUGUCGUAAUAAAUAUAUAUUGUGUUAACAUCCUAUUAUUUGGCAGUCUUAAGAAUGGUGUGAGCCAGAAGUAAUUUUGACCAAUAUUACUUAACACACAGAACAAAUAGUUUUAUACAGAAUAUUGUGAAUAUGUGAAUACUAUGCUCGUAAAUAGGCGUUAGAUUCUAUUAAAAAUUCAUUGCCCCACAUGCAUGCAUCAUGAAAAUGUAAGUAAUGUGCAACUAAUACAUUGGGUAUCCCUCCACAACUUAAAAAAAAAAAAUCACUCCACAUUGUUACAAAUUUGCCCUGAACUGUAUAAUGGUGUGGUUGUUAGUAUCCGGCUUGAUUAGAACUUUGGUUGUCGAUCAUGAAGUUCCUCUUGAUAGUGUUACAUAUAGUUGGCCAUGAGAGAACACCGGUUGAGGCAGAUAGACUCCUAUAUUAAGAAUUGUUGGGUAUGUGCUUUAUUGAUUGUCAUAGCGAAGCAAAGUCUAAUAGGAAAUAGCUUACGCUUGAAUUUGAAAGGAUAGCCCUCAUUUUCAACUGGGGAAAGUGGUAUUCUACGAAUGAAAACAUAUUUGCCGACGUGUUCGCCAAAUACUAUUUCCGCAUCAAUAACAUUGGACUUGAAAUUCCUACACACCAUUCUUGUACCAUUUCACAAUCCAUUUGAUGCGUCCAAAUUCCUUAGGAGGAUUAUUGGACAGUUUCUCUUCAAGACUAACUUAUGCAGGGGCAAGCCAUUUGAAGUCAAAGAAUUGAGAAAAUCCUCUUCAUAUUUAUUAUUUAUAACAUCGAUGGCUUCAUCAAAACUCUGAAAUGUUCUUGCUUCUCCAGGAAACAUAGAAAUUAACUUUUCAUUCAAUUUAUCAACUUCCUCAUUUUUAGAUGCUAGUAUUGCUCGAGUUGUCUUGUAAGUAGAGGAUUCAACAUUACUACUCAAGCUCGGGAAAGUUGAAUCAAUAAGCCGUGCCAUGGAAUCCUCUUCAUUGUCAUACUUGACAAUCAUCUCUUCAAGAAUUCUAAUGUUGCCUUCAAUAUCAGAGGUUUCCUCUCCAUUUCCAACUCGAAGUAAGAAAUAACCGAAUUCAUGAUCUUUUUGUGCACUCAUACUCUUCGACAAAGAAAAUUUUAUCAUGUUAUGCCAUAGCGCUGAUUUCACCAAGAUGGCAUAAAUAGUUUGAUGAAUUGUACCCCUUGAAACCACGGGUAGUACUUGCCUAAAAUCACCACGAAAGACCACUACUUUACCCCCAAAAUGCUCAUCGUUUCCCAUUAUGUCCUUAAAUAACUUAUCCACAUUCUCAAUAGCCCAUCUUUUUGCCAUUGGAGCUUCAUCCCAUAUAAUUAAUUUUGUUGUAUACAAUAGAUUAGCCACACCACUUUGCUUCGAUAUAUUGCAGUCACUGGACUCAUUUGCAACGAUUGGUAUUUUAAAGUGUGAAUGAGCUGUAUUUCCGCCAGGCAUUAUUGCAGCGCCAACUCCAGAUGUCGUUGUUGCAAUUAUAACUUUUUUUCUAGAUCUUAAAUGAGCUAGUGAAGUUAACAUCUCCUUCCAUAAUUUUACUACCUUAUUAAAAUGAUGUACAUAAUCCAUUAUGAAAGAAAAGAUUCUAGCUAAACAAAUUGAUUCGAUCUUCCUAUAUUCGAAUAUUUAAAACAACUGUUAAGUUUACAUCACCUGUAAUAGUUAUGCAUAUUAAAAAUUAAAAAAGCUAUGACGACAAAGAUGUUUAUAGGAACCAGGGAAAAAUGAAGAUAUGUUUCUGAGUAAUUAGAAUUUUUCAUGGUCUUUCAAUGGCCUAUAAUCGAAGGAAAUUAUGAGGGAUAGUUUUUCGAACACACUUACACCGUAUAAUGGACGUAUAAUUUUUCGUCAAAUUGGGAAACUCUAUCAGCUGUAGUGACUCGGGUAAGAACGAUUUAUUUUCGUCGUUGUCAAGAAGAAUUUGGCCUACGUGGAAAAUCUACACCAUUUUCCCAACUAAUACGCACAAAUUGUAUUUUUAGACCCCCAACGUUCAAAAAUCAUGUAACAGACUCUUUUACUGUUGAUUCUAUAUAUUUUCUAUGAUUUUAUAUAAAAAAUUAUUCUUCUGUAAAACUCUGAACAAAACACAAUCUGAAUAUAUUUUGUAUACAUGAAUCGUUAUAAUGGAGAGUUAAUGCAUAAUUACUUCUUUUUAUGACUUAUUAUGACUUAAGUUACAAAUACAAACUUGAAUAAGCCGUCCAAUCUAAAUUCAAACCUAUAAUAAUGAAAUGACAAACUUUCGUAUUCUUUUAUUUGGGGAUGGUAAUGCAUUACAGAUGAACAUAAUAUGUUAUAAAAUAGUAUAUCUAUUCAAAAUGUUACAAUUUUUGGAGAGUAUUAUUUAAGUUGGGGGAUUUGGUAAGAAUUUUAUAUCUUAUAUUUUCCACGAGUAAAGUGCAAAACAAAGUUAUUUCGGCAAUCUUCGAACAAUUGGACAUCUCUCUGUAAAACAUGAUACGCGUAAAACCUACGCAUAAAUUACCGCAAGUGUACAAUAUCGCGUUUUGUAGAAUAGUGAAUUCCAGAUAUCGAUCAACAGGGAAUUAAGUUCCUAAACUUACCAAGUACCAUAAUUAUACUAUCCUAAACUUUAUCUAGACAUACGAAAGAAUGGGGGAUGAAAUGAAGCUAAAACGAAACAAAAAUAAAAACAACGGCCCGCCAGGACAAGCAAGGAAUUUCGACGUGUGAUGGCUUCUAGGGUAAAAUCCACCGGUGUACUAUCGAUAAAGAUCUAUAAAUCCGAAUCUAUUGUCAAUUCUAUGUUCGCUAACCCAGACACUAAAGUACCCUAACCCCCGUCUCCUCCAAUGUAGUUAGAGUCUACCCAUAGGUCCGACGUCUCCGUUCAGAACCUGAUAUUAAGAGAGCAUUUAGGUCAAGUCCUUAAGGGCUACCCGAGGUGCAUCACGUCUCCGUUUUCACAACCCGAGCUAUGUUUUCCUAAAAUCAAACGAAAAAUCCUCUCUCGAGUUCAUUCCCAUUUAGAAUCAAUUCAACUGUUGGCCUAACAAUCGAAAGCAUUUAAUACAGGAAAACAUAAACAUAAUCCAAAAACGACAAAUAGAUCACAGAUCUGGGAAUCAAAAUCUAUAUAUACAAGGUUUCAUUUCCCUAAAAGAAAAUGCUCAGUUCAUUACAAACAUAGCAUCAAAAUGAAGAACACGAGAAAUCAUAAACUAAAUGUAAAGAAAAGCGUAUGAAAAACCCGAGUCGAAACCCUCGUCGAAGCUUCCCGCGAAGAACUGGCAAAAACCGAAGAAAAAUCGAAGAACAGGUCGAGAUAUAUGUCUUGAUAUCGAAAAAUGAAAAAGAGACCUUCUAUUUAUAGUAAGAUAUCAAACAAAAAUAUCUUGUCUCGAUUUCUGUGCCCAGAUCGCGAUCUGGGCUUCUUGGAUCGCGAUCUGCCAGCCUCGAAAACUGCGCACCGCCUUCCCACAUCGCGAUCUAGGAGGUGCGGAUCGCAAUCUGCCCCAAUUUUUCGCUGCUACUGGAAUUUGCCACCAGAUCGCGAUCCGGUGUUUCUGGAUCGCGAUCUGGCCUCUACAUUAACUUCAAACAUUUUUUUCACGCUUUUUAAGCCCGAAUUGACAAAUAUGCAUUCCACAAAAGUUGUAGCCCUUGAAGUUUUCUUUCUAGAUCCACUUGAAUCAGCUCAAUCGGAGGUUGUAUGCGAGAGUUAUGCUUGGAAUACCAAACACUGCCACAAUCCGCGAGAAUGCACUUUUGGUUUGGUUCUUGGCUUCGCUUCCAAAAUCGCUUCGAAUCGGCAAAAAUAGCUUCUCUUUACCUAAAAUACAAAUAAAACAAGAAACGCAUAAUAUAUACAAAUAAAGCCGAAAACUCGGAUGAACGAAGACCAAAACUCGAAGAAUUGAUAAGUGAAAAUCAUGCAAAAUGAACACUUAUCAAAACACGCAUAACUCUAUCGUCCCACCUCCAAAUUCGAAGUGUAAAUAUGCCUUGGAAAAAGAGAAGAACGCUCUACAACUUUCAUGUUUGGAGUUUUAGAAAAUUUUGUCUGUAUUGGGAGAUACUUAACUCGACUUGCAUACUUUGAUAAUUUCUCCAAGGCCCACUUAAGUAAAGUAAUUUGGGAGAGUGCUUGAAAAAAAAAAUGUCUUUAACAAAAAGGGUUAAAUAGACUUUAGACCCAUAAUGUAUACCAUACAUAUCACUUACCCCUUCAAGUAUCAUUUGUAAUACUUACCCCUCAAACACUAUUAUUUUGCAUUUUAAAUAUUAAUACAUACAAAAUUUCUCUUUUAUUGGAUGGAAUAACCCAAAAGAACAAUUAAACUAUAUUAUAAAAAUAUCUAUUAACAAAAAUUUCAUAUUUUAAUAUUUAAAAUAAAAAUAGGGUAAAUUACACUUGCAACCCCGAGGUCUGCUAAAAUAAUUUUAAGGUCUUUGUGGUAUUUGUAACUACAAUGACACCCCCCCCUGUUGGUACAAGUAAUAAAGUGGACAAUUAAGUCCGGAUAUCGAACCCACAGUGAAUAUUUAAUUAUCUAAUCCUAGACGCUAAAUUCUACCAAUUGUUAUCAAGCCCACCCUACACAGUCGAAAGAUGAUUAAUAAGCUAAAUUAAACUAAAGCAAUUAAAAAGACAAAAACAAGAAAGCAAUUAAAACGAAGAUUUAAUCAAUGAAAACAAGCCUAGGAUUUUAUUCUCCCCCCUAUGAGAUUAUUAUUCCCCCAAUUCCUUCAAUUAUGCAAGCAAUUAACCCAGAUUAUUAACCUGAGAUGCUAAAAUAAUCAUAACCCGCUUCCGCGUGUAUUACGAUUCUAAUACCCUAGAUUCAAUUACUAUAUUCCUAUGCAAUCAAUUCUAGAACACAUCAUUAAGCACAAAUCUCAAUAAUGGCUACCUAAGAGAUUAACUAUAUUCCUAUGUUAAUACCACAAAGGCUCUUCUACCACAGUUCUAAUUAUUAACCCGAUCUUCCGAUUCAUGCGAUUAACAAUAACAUAAAAGCGCAUAAAGUGGCCAGUUUCAUGAACUUAAUAAAACAAGUAGAAGAAAUAAUCCGGAAUUAAAACUUGCAUAAAAUCAUAGAAAAGGGUUCAUAAAUCCCACAUAGGGUACCAAAUAAAAUCCUAGAAAUAAGAAAAUUAGCUACUCAUGAUUAAAAGAAAAACACAAAUAAAAUAAGUCAUAAACGAUAAAUCUAUGCUUAGAGUCUUCGAAUUCUUCGUCUUCGUUAUUGCUUUGUUGCUCUUGAAAUUGCGUCAAAAGAUUCCAAUUGAGUGCUUGGCUUGGUCUAAUAUAGGGUGAAGAACUUGGGGAAAAAGGCAGUUUCCUUGUGCAAUUAAAAUCCCUUUACUGCGCAGCUUCGGAGUCUCGGACGGGGGUCCCACAAUUUGAACUAAAACUCGGACGGGGUCCGAGCUUUAAAUAUUCAGAAUUUUGAUUUUUUUCACUUUUGGCCCAUAUUUUCUCCAAAAUUUCAGUUUUGACCCCAUACUUUUCCAAUUCUUCAAUUUGUACCUAAAAUACAAUAAAUCAACUUUUUACGCACCAAUUAUCGUUAAAACACACCAAAAGCUCAAAUAAAAAGGUACGAUAAAGUGUAAAAAUAUACACUUAACACACCCCCAAACUUGAACUUUUCCUUGUCCUCAAGCAAAAUCUACCAAUAAGCAAAUAACUCAACUAUAACAUCUCAUCACAUAGAUCAAUGAUCAACUUCACGUUUUCAGAACUUGUAAUUAUAAUGACAAUUCUUAGGCAUUCGCAAGCUCAAAAUUCAACAACACUUAGUCACUCACCAUUACUAAAAACCACAAUUCAUACAAAUGCUUCAAGCAUCCAAUAUUUGCAAAUUAAAGAUAGAAAUAAUUUAUACUUACAUGCAUAUGCUUGACUCCAAAUACUCACCAAAUUAUUCUAGUCUACUAAUAUCGAACAUUAAGCUAUUGGGAUCAUUGGGGCUUUGUGGCUUUCAAUUGUUAGGCUCUUUGGUUCGAGGUAGGAAAUAUUAUGGGUAUAUGUGGCUAUUUUUCUUUAAUUCAGGUGAUUACGCCAAAAAUUGAAAGAUAGGCGUUUGAAACAAUGAAUUCACCUCUACGGACUUUAAUAAACUCGAUUCUCAAAAGUUCAAAAGUCUCCACUUUUGCUUUUGAGACAAUGGAUCGAGUUUUCAAAAAUAAUUCAACAACUAGUCCUUAUUUCUCCCUUCUAGUCUCUUCUUCUUCUCUUUUUCUUUUUUAUUUUUUUUAUUUUUAUUUUUUUAUUUUUAUUUUUUAUUUUUUUUUUUUGUUUUUUUUGUUUUUUUUUAAUAUAUAUAUAGAAGCAUAUAUAUUUGUCUUCUUUUUUUUUUCUUUUUUUUUUUCUCCUUUUUUUUUCGAAGAAGAAGAAGGACCUUAUAAAAUUUCUCGACCGAACUCCAAGGGGUAAUUUUCAAGAAUCUCCACCUAUUCUACCUUACUCAUUGGCUAAAAGAAAGAACACCUUUUCUCCGAGGCUCAAAUCAAGGUUCUAAGGAUAAUUUCGAUAAAAAUGUCGGCUUGAAAGGCUCAAACGGUUCAAAUAAGUCCCAAAUCAUAUCCCAAAUCACUCACUACUCAAUACUUCGUAUCAUAAAUUUCCUAAGUUGAGUUUUAAAACCGAACAUAGCAUGAUCUAGCACAAAUUAAUUCCAAAUUUAAAAUACAAAACAUUCAACCAAAGCAAUGCACAAAAUGUGAUUCCUAGCAAUAAUUCGCUUCUAAGUUCCGUUGAAUCGAAAGCUAAACAAACAUCAAAUCCUUGUCACACAAAACAAGCAAUUUCAUCAUCAAACAUUGAUCAUCUCUCAUCAUCAUAACUCAUCGAUGCAUUCGACUCAAACAAAUUUUUUUUAUUUUUUUUAUUUUUUAUUUUCCGGAAAAACGAGAAAAACAAUAAAAACGAAUAAAACCUAAUGCAUGCAAACUAAAACAAAUAAGCACAAAAAUAACGGUUUUUUCACCCCCAAACUUAAAAUUUUCGUUGCCCUCAACGAAUUUAGCCCAAAGUUUAAGGAUAGAAAACACCUGAUUCAGUCGGAGUCGAUGUGAUCGGGGUGCUCCUCCCUAGCUCUCUCAAAUAAGUAUAUUUUGGAGAAUUUGAUUCGAUUCUCUAACGUCCCUGUCAACACCAACAAAAGAAAAAAAAAUUGUGAAUUUUGGAAGAAAAAUUCGAAACAAAUUCAAAAAUUUGUGUGUGGGAGUUUGAGAGAAGAAAAGAGGAGGGUUUAGGAAAUAAUGAGGGAGAAAAUAUAAUUUUAUAAAUUUAAAACACCCUAUUUUUAACUCGGACGGCCGUCCCGGUUUUUGUGCUCUUUUUCGGACGGCUGUCCGGUUUUUUUUUUUUUUUUUUUUUUUUUUUUUGCCCUCACUGGUUGUGGGACGGCCGUCCCACUUUUUAGGCUAUUUUUCGGACGGCCGUCCCACAGGCAGAGCUGCAAAUUGCGGCCUUCUCUUUCCCAGACGGCCGUCUGGGAUUUUGCUUGCAAUUUCGGACGGCCGUCUGGACCCCCUGACCAUGUUUUCGACCCUGAAAAUUAAAAUUCAAAUAAAUUAAUUAGAAUGCAUGCCUAUGACAAUAAAAACGAAACGAAAAAUUAAAGAAAACUACGAAAAACAAUUAAAGCUCGGGUUGCCUCCCGAGAAGCGCUAAGUUUAAAGUCUUCAGCCGGACGUUGCUUCUUUAAUUUCAAGCAAAAGUGACCGAAGUCACUUGGAAAUCUUCACUCGCUUCCCAAUACGGUUUGAGUUGGCUCCGCUUCACGUUGAACGUACGGUUUGAAUCUCGCUCUUUUAUUUUGACCACUUCGUGAGGAAGAAUCUCUUGGACAAUACAUGGUACCGACCACUUUGAUUUGCGCUUCCUUGGGAAUAACCACAGCCGUGAUUUGCACAAUAACACCAAUUGUCCUUUGUGCAAUUUCCUUUUGACUUUCUCCUUACGACCACAAUAGCUUGACUCAUCCUUCUCUCGUGACUUGCUCGAGCCUUUGGGUGGCAACAUCUUCCUUGCACUCUCAUCGCCGUUAAGACUCAAACUCGUAUGAAUUUCUCUCGGAGAAGUUGAAAUUGAGUCCAUGACGUAAACUUGCUCCGUCCGAUUCCCGUUUCUGCCAUCAUCUCCUGCACUCAAAGAUACUUUCCCAUUGUCCAAGUUCAAAACAUCAAAUUUUUCAUGAGUUGUAAAAUCCAUAAGAUCAAUAGCAAAACAAUCAUUAUUAUCACAUGGAUUUUUAUUAGCACUAAAAACAUUGAAUUUGAUUGUUUGAUCAUGAACAGUCAUUGUAAGAUCACCACUAGCACAAUCAAUUAGCGUUUUUGACGUGGCUAAAAAAGGUCUCCCUACGAUAAGAGGUAUCUCCCUAUCCUCAUCUAUAUCAAGUAUAACGAAAUCGACAGGGAAGAUAAAUUUAUUGACUUUCACUAGCACAUUCUCUAAAAUACCUUUUGGGUAAACUAAAGAUCUAUCGGCUAAUUGAAGAGUUAUAGCUGUCGGUUCAAUUUCUCCUAACCCAAGAUUUUUAAAAGUAGAGUACGGCAUAAGAUUAAUGCUAGCACCUAAAUCAAUGAGCGGUCUAAAUUUUUUACCUCCUAUAGUACAAGGAAUAGUAAACUUACCUGGAUCGCCGAGUUUUUGUGGAAGAGGCCGAGUAAGAAUUGCACUAAUUUGCUCCGUGAGUUGGAUCAUCUCGUUCCCUUGCAAUUUCUUACUUUUCUUCACGAGGUCCUUUAGGAAAUUCACCCACUUUGGCAUCUUUUGAAGUGCUUCAAUGAAAGGAAUAUUUAUUCGAAUUUCCUUCAACUUGUCCAAAAAUCUUUGAUAUUCGGCAUGGAGCUUCUUCUUUAUAAACUUUUGAGGAUAAGGAAUUGGAGGGACUUGUGAAGGAACCGUCGAUGGUGGCUCUCCAUGAGUUGAUUCUUUUUCCUCAUUCUUUUUCGGCUUCUCGAUUACCGUGUUUCUCUUCUCUUUUCGUGGAGCUUCCUCCAAUUUCUUGCCGUUCUUCAAGGUGACUGCUUGGCAUGUCUCGACCUCGAUCUUUUUCGUUAGCCAUCUUUGUGGAUAUGGGAUUGGCUCGAUCCAUUCGGCUACAGUGACUUGCGGCUUGACUUGAAUUUCUUCCUUUUUCUCGAUCUUGAAAUCGAUAGCUUGGCACGUCUCGAACUUUUGCUUUCGAGGAUCUUCCGUAUUUGAUGGCAAUGCUCCCGCCGGACGUUUCUCUUGGUUCACAACGAAUUGAGCGAAUUGAUUCUCCAAAUUCCGCAGCGAGGCUUGAGUAGCAGUCAUGAAUUGGGCCAAUAUCUCCUCCGUGUUUGAUUUUUGGGCCGGUGGAUUGUUGCCUUGAUAGCUUUGUUGAGGAGGGGCUUGAUUUUGGAAUUGACCUUGAGGUCUUUGAUAUCCUUGGCCUUGUUGAUUUCCUCCAUAUUGCCCUUGUGAUCUCCACCCUUGAUUUUGGAAUUGGCGAGGUGCAUUGUUGACGUAGUUGAGUGACUCCAGAUCUUGAUGGCAUUGGAGCGUGUAAUGAUUUCCACCGCAAAUUUCACAACAUGGAGAAUCAAUUGCUUGGACUUGUUGUGGUGGACUUGCUUUGAUGUGCUGCAGAAGGAGUUGAUUUUGUUGAGCAAUUUGGGUCACUUGGGCUUGAAGGGACGUAAUUGCAUCUAACUCUAACACUCCGGGAAUUUUCUUGGCUCCACUAAUCGUCCUCUCGCUUGACUUGGCAAACCGAUUUUGUGCAAUUUGAUCCAGCAUGAUAAAUGCAUCCGGUAUCGAUUGACUCAUAAAAUUACCUCCGGUUGAGGCAUCUAAAACGGUUCGUGCAUUCUCGUUGAUCCCUUGGUAGAAGAUGUGGAUUUGCCGCCAUUGUUCGACUCCAUGUGUUGGACAUUGCGUCAAAAGGGUCUUAAAUCUCUCCCAUGCCUCGUACAAUUGCUCGCCUUGCUCUUGGACGAAAUUAUGAAUUUCUCGUCGGAUUCUCUCGUCCUUCUCGGGUGAGCUAUAAACUUUCAUGAAAAAGUUGAGGAGUUGAGGCCACGACGAGAUAGAGUGGGGGGCUUGGGACAUCAACCACUGGCGAGCUCUUCCUUGUAGGGAGUGCUUGAAGUGAAUUAAUUGAAGCGCCUCUUGGGAAAUGCCGUUUUGACGGUGGGAGUUACAGGUAUCUAGAAAAUUGACAAUGUGAAGAUGGGGAUCUUCACCUGCCAAUCCACUAAAUAACCCGUUAUUUUGGAGCAUCGUCAAGAGGCCUUGCUUGAUCUCAAAAUUGUGCGCCUCAAUGGGUGGAUAUUGGAUGCUCGGGCGGAAUCCGUCUAGAGUUCGGAUUAUGUAAUCUUGAAGUGCUCGUGGACGAACUGCUGGCUGUGCUGGAAGUUGAGGGGGUGGGUCUUGGACUUGGUUUCCGUUGGCCUCGAGUAAAUUGCCCGCGGCCCUGCGUUCUUCGUCCUCCAUUAUAUUGUUUUCGCGUUGAAGUCUCCUAGCCGCUCGAAAAGUACGUUCGAUUUCGGGAUCAAACGGUUCUCUAGCAAGAUCGGGUCUUCUACGCAUACACAGUACCUAAAAAAAUAAAACAAAAAUUAAAUGGGUGAAUCGUGAAAAUUGUUCAAAUCUAGAGCUAGAAUAAAAUAAAUAAUUAAAAUAAUCCCCGGCAACGGCGCCAAAAACUUGUUGGUACAAGUAAUAAAGUGGACAAUUAAGUCCGGAUAUCGAACCCACAGGGAAUAUUUAAUUAUCUAAUCCUAGACGCUAAAUUCUACCAAUUGUUAUCAAGCCCACCCUACACAGUCGAAAGAUGAUUAAUAAGCUAAAUUAAACUAAAGCAAUUAAAAAGACAAAAACAAGAAAGCAAUUAAAACGAAGAUUUAAUCAAUGAAAACAAGCCUGGGAUUUUAUUCUUCCCCCUAUGAGAUUAUUAUUCCCCCAAUUCCUUCAAUUAUGCAAGCAAUUAACCCAGAUUAUUAACCUGAGAUGCUAAAAUAAUCAUAACCCGCUUCCGCGUGUAUUACGAUUCUAAUACCCUAGAUUCAAUUACUAUAUUCCUAUGCAAUUAAUUCUAGAACACAACAUUAAGCACAAAUCUCAAUAAUGGCUACCUAAGAGAUUAACUAUAUUCCUAUGUUAAUACCACAAAGGCUCUUCUACCACAGUUCUAAUUAUUAACCCGAUCUUCCGAUUCAUGCGAUUAACAAUAACAUAAAAGCGCAUAAAGUGGCCAGUUUCAUGAACUUAAUAAAACAAGUAGAAGAAAUAAUCCGGAAUUAAAACUUGCAUAAAAUCAUAGAAAGGGGUUCAUAAAUCCCACAUAGGGUUCCAAAUAAAAUCCUAGAAAUAAGAAAAUUAGCUACUCAUGAUUAAAGGAAAAACACAAAUAAAAUAAGUCAUAAACGAUAAAUCUAUGCUUGAAAAGAGAGAAACAAAGAUUAAUUUUCAUAAGAAAGAAUAAUAUUAAAAAAGCUUUUCUUUAUUGCUGUAUGUUUUUUUCACCGUAAACAAAUAGGCUUUAGAUAUGGUAUUUAAAUACAAUAGACAGGAAUCCUAGAUAACUAUGAAUCCUUGAUUUGCCUUAUCUAAGUGAGUUAUCAUCUUGGGUUGAAGUUGUUGCCGUAAGGUCUCCAAGUUCACCCAACUUCUCUCCUCUUAUUGUGGGUAAAUCACGAGAGUCUUCAUCCUUAUCUCUCCAAGAGUUUUGAUCUUCCUUAUCUCUCCAUCGACUCCCGUGAUUAUUAGAUACGUUGCUAAUAUCCUCCCGCAAAGUUUGCCGGGGCUGAAGGCAAAGUUUGUUGCGGAAAGAACGAAGAGCGAUUUUUGACAUUGGCUUUGUGAAUAGGUCAGCAACUUGAUUUUCAGAGGAAAUAUGUUGAGUGACAAGUAGCCCACGGGCAACGCGUUCGCGCACAAAAUGAUAAUCCAGCUCGAUAUGUUUGCUACGUGCAUGGAAUACAUGAUUCACUGUCAUAUAAAGAGCACUAAGGUUGUCGCAAUAGAGUACCGGAGGUGAUGACAAUGGAACUCGAAGGUCUUUCAGAAUAAAAGAUAUCCAUGUGAGUUCAGCCGCCGUGUUUGCCAUGGCACGAUAUUCGGCUUCUGUGCUGGAGCGAGAAAUUGUAUGUUGCUUCUUGGCACACCAUGAGAUAAGAUUUUUCCCAAGGAAUGUACAAUAACCGGUAGUUGAGCGCCGUGUAGUAGGACACCCUGCCCAAUCUGUAUCAGAGAAGGCAAAAAGAUCAAGUGUAGUGCGUGAAGAAAAGUGUAAUCCUAUUUGAAUGGUCCCUUUAAUAUAUGUAAAAUGCGUCGAACCAUUUUUAAAUGUGUGAACGUCGGAGCAUGCAUGAAUUGAGAGACAUAAUUAACACUGUAAGAAAGAUCAGGACGAGUUAGUGUAAGAUAUUGUAGAGCUCCAACAAGUCCUCGAUAAAAGCUUGGAUCUGUCAAAAGUAUAUCUUUAGAGGAUGUUUUCGUUUUAGCUUCAAGAGGUGUACUCAUUGGCUUGCAAUCCACCAUAUUGGAACGUUCAAGUAUAGUCAGUGCAUAGUGUGAUUGAGACAAAUGAAGUCCACUCGUUGUUGACGUAAUUUCCAUUCCAAGAAAAUGAUGAAUAGGCCCCAAGUCUUUCAUUGCAAACUCAUUGCUUAACACCUGGACAAAGUCGGAAACAAGUUUUAAAGUGGAUCCAGUGAGCAACAUAUCAUCUACAUAAAGUAAUAAAUAUAAUGAUCCGUAAACGGAGUGAAAAAUAAAUAGUGACGGAUCAGCUAAGCUACAAAAGAAACCAUAUUUAAUAAGAAACGAACUAAAUCGGUCAAACCAGGCACGCGGUGCUUGUUUUAGACCAUAGAGGGCCUUUUGAAGUUUACAAACAUGGGACGGAUAUUGAGGAUCUUUCAUCCCUGGUGGUUGUUGCAUGUAAAGAUCUUCGGAAAUCAAACCAUGCAAAAACGCAUUUUUAACAUCUAACUGACGAAUAGGCCACUUUUGAACAAGAGCUAUGGUAACUAUCAUGCGUAUUGUCCCUGGUUUAAUAACCGGAGAAAAUGUUUCAGUGUAAUCAACUCCAUCAAUUUGAUGAUACCCUUUUGCAAUCAAACGUGCCUUGAGACGAUCUAAAGAGCCAUCAGGUUUAAGUUUUGACUUGAACACCCAUUUUGAACCAAUGACAUGCAUGUUUGGUGUGCGGGGAACAAGAGACCAAGUCUCGUUCUUAUGUAGUGCAUCUAAUUCCUCAUACAUGGCUGCUCUCCAACCAGGAUUUGCCAAGGCAAUUUUGACAUUAUGGGGCUCACGAGGUAUACUGGAAGAUGUGAUGGUGGUUAAGGCGUACUUCGGGUUUGGUUUUAUCACUCCUAAUUUAGACCGAGUGACCAUUGAAUGACUCACUGGUGCAAGAUUGGUGUGAGACAAUUCGGGUGCUUCAAUUAUUUCGGGAAAAUUAUCAGACACAUGAGGCUCUGGCGAUGAAGUUGUUACAGACGGAGCAGAAAUAUUUGGGGACUCGAAUAACUCCCUAUUUUCAUCAGAGAUGUGUGGCUCGAUGGGAGUGGGAUCAGCUGUAGCAGUGGGCAGUAGAGGACUUACACAAGGAGGUAAUGAAGCGGCCGUAGAUAUACCUGGUGAAGAAGAAACAGUAGCAUGUGGCAACCAUGAGUCAAAAAUACUCAUUGUAUGCGGUUGUUCUGUUGCAAUACAAGACGUGUUAGUAGGUCUAUAUGGAAAAAUCAAUUCAUCAAAUACAACAUGACCGUGAUAUAAAUUUUUUUUUGCUUGAAGGAUGAAAACAUUUAUAUGCCUUAUACGUGUCGCUAUAUCCUACAAAAAUACAGAGAACCGUUUUUGGGUCAAAUUUAUUUUUUCUUGUAUCCCAAGUGUAUGGAAAACAUUUAGACCCAAAAACUCGAAGUGACGAAUAAACUGGAUGCGUUCCAUGAAGCAUGAAAUAAGGUGUUUGAAAGUUAAGAGCAGAUGAUGGUAGACGAUUCAUAAGAUAUACGGCCGUAGUAAAAGCUUCUGUCCAUAAAAAUAAAGGUGCACCACAGUGAAAUAACAUGGUCAUUCCUAAUUCUCGUAUAGUCCUAUGACGUCUUUCAACCACACCAGUUUGUUCGGGAGUAUAAGGAGAAGAUACCUGAUGAACAAUACCUGAAGAGCGAAAGUGAGUCGAUUAUUUGGAAUUGAUGAAUUCACCACCUCCGUCGGAAUGAAAGAUUUUGAUUUUUUUAUUAAACUGCCUAAAGACAUACUUUUCAAAAGCAAUAUAUGCAACAAAAAAAUCAGAUUUAUUUCGUAAGGGGAUAAUCCACGUAUAUUUGGAAAAAUCAUCAACUAAACAAGCAUAAUAUCGAAACUUUCCAAUCGAUAAAACAGGGGCAGGUCCCCAUAAGUCACAAUGAAUUUUUUCAAAAAUACUAAUGCUUGAAUGUUUUGAACAAGAAAAAGGUAAACGACUAAGCUUUCCUAGUUGACAACUAUCACACAAAUUUUGUGAUUUUGUUGUCCCUACGACAUCAAUAAGUCCUUUAUUUUUAAGCAUACUUAAAACUGAAUAUUGGGGAUGGCCUAGGCGUUGGUGCCAAACUUCUGCAGUACUGGAUCUAAAACGAUGAGAGAAAUACAGUUCCGGAAAAGUGGGCAAGACAUAAAGAUCACCCUUGCGUUUCCCAGUGAUCAUUGGUCGACCUGUUGCCCGAUCCUUAACACAAAAAUCAACAUUAAAAAACUCACAAUUAACUGGAAAUUGAGUUGUUAUUUGGCUGACUGACAAUAAAUUUUUUGUUAAGUUUGGAACCAACAAAACAUCAUUGAGAGGCAAGGUAAUAUUUUUUUGCCGUAAAGAAGAAUCACCAGUUGCAAGAAUUGGCAUAGAAGAACCAUCUCCUAUUAACACAGAAUCAGCACCAAAAUGUGUACGGAUAUUUGUUAACAUACCUGGUUUACCUGUCAUAUGGUUGGAGGCUCCGGUGUCCGUGGUCCAUUCCGUGUCUGCAAUGGUAUUAUCCAAUGUAAGAGCUGCAAGUGCCUGUGGAAUUUCAUUCCUUUGAGUGGAAUUCUUUGGCACCCACCAAAAUAUCUUAGCAAUGUGGCCCAUCGCCCCACAGUAUUGGCAUUGUUGAUCGCGGAAUUUUUCCCUUUCCACAGAUGUCAUUCGGCGUUCCCCUGGUGGUGGAGGUCGUCGUUGGAGAUUUGCAGAAGACGAAUUGCCAUGGUUGGAGUCUCUUUGUUGUUGUGCCUGAAAACCACGUCCAUUGGAAGUGAAUUUCCGUGAUGAGCCACGAUAGCCUGAUGAAUUUGAUUUUGAGUAUCGCUGUUGUUGUCCAUAAAAAGCCAUUUGAGGGUGGACAGUAGGAGUUGGGCCAUCCGUCUGGUUGGAGAACCAACUACGCCUUUGAUCAAAAUUCUGGAGUUGAGAUACCAAUUCUGAGUAUGCAGGCCUCGGAGGUUUCAACAUAGUUGUGGUAAAAACUUCAUAUUGUGGGCCAAGACUUGUGAGAAGGCAAAAAACCUUUUCUUGAUCUGGAACAGGUUUUCCGAUAGCCGCUAAGUUGUCACAGAGAACUUUGAAUUUGCUAAUGUGUUCGGUGAUUGUUGUGUGAUCCUCCUUUCGAGAAUACGUUAUUUGUUGCCGUAGUGUGAAUUCACGUUCCUGUGAUUCUUGGGCAUAUGCAUUUUUUAGGGCCUCCCACACUGUAUAAGCUGUGUCGAGACCAACAACAAGUCCAAGACUUUCCUCUGUGAGUGUUCCGAUAAUCCACCCUCGAAGCAAACGGUCAGAUUUUUGCCAGGCUAUGAAGGCUUCCGUUAACUGUGGAGUGGACGGAGGUGUGGACUUUUCUGCAUCUUUUCCAACCCUUCAAUUUGUACCUAAAAUACAAUAAAUCAACUUUUUACGCACCAAUUAUCGUUAAAACACACCAAAAGCUCAAAUAAAAAGGUAUGAUAAAGUGUAAACAUAUACACUUAACACCCCCCCCCCCCCCCCCCGAAAUAAUGCAUUGGAUAAUUUAUUACUUUAGGAUUCUAACGGAUUAUUAGUUUAAGAAAGUGGUUGAGACAACACAUAGCUCCUGCAACAUUUCUUAAAUCCUUAUUAUUUUAUACAAUAUUUAUAAACUUUCUUCUAUAGUAGCAUUAACGGCCCCGCGAAAAGCAAAUAAAGUGCAUAUCGCUCCCCAUGACAUGAAAUCUUGGCUCCGUAAUUGUUUCAGGGGUGUGGUUGUAAUUACCAAACCCACAGGGACUUUAAAGUUAUUUUAGCAUACUUCCGGGGUGUAGGUGUAAUUUAUCCUUAAAAAUAUUAUCUUAAAUUGGGUACAUAUUUAAUAGGGUAAGUAGCACUUAACACCCGUGUGGUUUCAAUUUUUUGCAGAUGACCCUCUUGUGCUUGUAAUAUCAUCACAUAAUCCCCCUGUGAUUAAUGGAGGGUAGCUUCCGUUAGUUUUUCCGUCAAAUAUAACCUAGUGUGUCAAACUUAAAGAGGGUAUCUGCAAAAAUGAAAGCACAAUGGGGUCAUCUGCAAAAAAAAAAAUACUAUGAAAACAUUUUAAAAAAUCAAUGAAUUCCAAACAACUAAUUAUUCUUUAAUUUCUACAUCGUUUCAUAAAAUGUAUGUGCAAUAUAUUUGUAAUAAAUUUGUAGAAAUCAAUCAAUAAUUAAUUUCUUAAAAUAAUUAAUUUUAGUGACUUUUAAAUUUAUUUUAAUUCAUUAAUUUCUUAAAAAAAAUUUCAUUCAUUAUUAUACAAUAUAUAUUAUUAUCAAUAUUUUUCCAAUAGUUUAAGUUUAGUUACUUUUAGAUACAAAAGAAAUAUAAAAUUUUACAAUUGGCAUUGACUUUUCAAUUGAAAUUUUUAAUAAAUUAUUUGAUUUUUUUUUAAUUAUUCCAUCCAAUAAAAGUGGAAAUAUAUUAAGAUUAUUAUUAUUUUUUAAAACUUAAGAUACAAAAUAUUUAAUAUCGAGAGGUAAGUGUUAUAUACACUAUAUAUCAGGGAUACAAAACGUAUUUAACCUAUUUUCUUCAAAAGAAAAGUAUCGAAUAAAAUUAUAUUUUCAAAAAUUAAAACAUGUUAACUCUAAAUAAAUGAAGAAUAUUACAUGACUAUGACUGUUAACAUUAAAUAAAUCAAAAAAACUAUACAAUAAAAAUUUAUUUAUUGAAAGUUCGCAAAUACCAUCACUAGAAUUGACGAAUAAUCAAAAACCCCAAUAUGUAGCAGAGUACUGCAAAAAAGAAGAAAAAUAAUAUUGUGGCAGAGUUUUGCAAGAAUUUGGGAAGAUUUCUGCCAAUGUAUUGAUAUUUCGGUGUUUUUAUAGAUUUGUUGACCGGGGUUGGGCUUUGGUGGGAGACCCUGGUGGGAUAUUGGUGGGAUAUUGAAUACUGUCCCGCAACUUUGUAAUGAAGUCUGUCCCGUAGCUUAUCUCACUCCCAACUCGUAAAGCUUUUAGUUUAAGCGUUCCAAGUUUUGCGUUACUUGUAAGUCUCUUAAGCGAAAAAUAGAAGCAAGAGACAUGGUUGGUUCAUUUUCUGUAUUGUAAGAAACAAAUAUUAAGGUUCGAAUUAACAAUUAAAGAUGUAACAUAAAAAAAAUGUAAAUGAAGACAUAUUGGUGGGAAGUGGAUUAUAUCUAUUUGCUUCCUAGGUAUGUACCUGAUAAACAAAAUCAAAUUUAGGGCCUCCUCUUUGUGUUAUAUGGAUGUUCGGUGUGGAAAUUGAGUUAUAGCGUGAAUAUAUAUACAUGGACUAUAAUUUGUUGACAUAUGUGAUCGUUGGUAAUAUAGCAACUGUUACUAAUUCAAUGAAAUUUAUUUUGUGUUUGUGUGAAUCGUUCGUUGAGAAUGUUUAUUAUUUGAUUUAAUUUCGCGAGCAUGCUAUGAUGAUUUAAUUUAUGUUAUUUAAAUUAAUUAUAUAUGCGAGUAUGUUUGUCGGUGAUUGGAAGCAAAAAGGUAUGCAAUUAAUUGUUAUUAUUGUGUGUGUGUUUGUUUAUAUAAAUAAAAUAAAAAAAAAAAAAAUUGUUUUCCGCUGCAGCAGCACACAUGCCUGAUCCCCAACAUUUAUGAGGCAGCUACAACACGACUCUAAGAAAAAAGUAAAUGUGGCUUAUUUUUCUAUUUUUUUUUUAAUUUUGACGUAUUAAGAACUUUUGACAUACACAAAAUUUAGCAAAUAAAAGAAAUAAACCCUUAUUUUCUAGUAUGACAUUUCAUUUUUCCAUCUUUUAAUAGAAUAAAAAUUCUGGAAAUUAAUAAUAAAAAAAUCGAGUAACUUUGUUUUUUCUACUUAAUGUAAUUUAUUAUUUUAAUAUAUUACUUUUUGUUGGUAGUUUAAUGAGGAAAUUAUUUUUUUUUUAAAGAAAGAAAAAAAAAAUUAGUAUAAUUUUUCCCAAACAUGCUUAGGGCCCCGAAAGUUACAGGAACGGUCUGGUGGUGAGAAGCGGCGGAGGUGUUUUUGGGAUUUUUUUGGUUAGCAAUUCAGUCCCUGACUUUGGAGAAGAGGGUUUUUCUGAAACUUGAAGGGAUUGAAUUGAAAAAAUUAAAAUUUUAUUUGGGGCUUAUUUUUGAAAUUUAUAAUGUAAAGGGUAUUUGGGUCUUUUCACAUCAAAAAGUCGAACCCCAUUCGCAUAUUUGGCGAGUGUAUCACACGAUCAGCUCGUAGGGGCCUUUUGUAACACCGGGGGUACGUGCUAAUUGUUUUAACCUAGUGCUUUUUUUAGGCAUUAGACAUUACACAGGGGUGCCGGAUGCUAAAACCUCUGUGUCUUUUGAUCUGAAAAGUCAAAAAUAUCCUUCAAAUAAAAAUUAUAAAAAACUUCGAUUUUUUCCCAAAAAUACAGUCUAUAAAUAAUAUAUAUUCUAUAAUACAUAUUUUAAGUUUUUAUUUUAUUUUAUUUUUCUCUGAAACAUUAAUUUGAUUUAAGUUUUGUUUUGGGAUUUUGACAGAUUGAAUUGUUGUUAGAAGUUUUAUUGGAUAUUUGGUUUAUUUUUAUUUAUUUAUUUUUAACUGAAAUUUAGCAGUUAUUAGUUUUACUUUUAUCGACCUUGAUGUUCUUAUUUUUGAAAAAUUAUGGAAAUUUCCGUUAUGCUUUGAAAUUUUAAAAUUUAUGAGAUUUCCGAAUAAAAUUCAAAAUCCCAAAAUUUCCGGGAUUUUUGGAAUUGGAAUGGAUUUUAAAAUUCCGAUUUUUUUUAAAAUCGAAAUUGGAAUUAAUUUUGUACUUCCAAAUUUUUUGCGAAAUUUUUCAUAAAUGUUAUUUCUGAUCCAAUCCACCCGACUCUUACCCCUAGCUAGCGCAAUUACAUCAAAGAACAAAAUUAAUAUCUCUUAAUUAUUGUUUGCCCCUCAUUAAUUUGGUGGCCUACAUAUGGAGCCACAGAUCCUGAAAUCACUUGACCCAAGUUUGAAUGCACAUUAAAAAAAAUUAUUAAGAUAUUGUUGAGAAACUAAUAAAGAAGAACAAAGCAAAGAUGAAUUGACAUAGUAAUAUAGAGAGAAUCAAAUAUAUUAUUCUCUUCUUCUUCUUGUGUAUCCAACUCAAUACAAUGGAGCACUAUAUAUAGUACAAGUAAGACCAUGAAAGGUCAUGAGUUACAAGGAGUUAUGGACCUAUAAUGGUGAGUAAAUGGUGGGAGUAAGGGUGCUUGAUGAUGGUGAGUAAUGGUGGUCAUCCACACUUAAGAAAUUCAUAACACUCCCCCUUGGAUGUCUACCAUAUAUGGAGUAUGCCUCGUUAAAAACCUUGUUAGGAAAACCCAAUGGGACAAAACCUAAACGAAGGAGAAAAGAGUACAUAUCCAUUUAAAUCUUGCCAAGAAAAACCCAUUAGGAUAAAAACUUGGACGAAGGAAAAAGAGUACAGUGUUGAAAUUGUUGAUCACGCUCCCCCUUAUUUCAGCAUGAGACAUUAUAUUGGAGUAAGAUCGCCGACGUAUGGAUUUGCAAACUCGUUAUUUGUUUGUCAUCAAUAACUGUCAAUGUCGUCUUUCUUCUUUAACUCUCGAGUAAUUCAGAAAUCUUCAAUAAUUCUUCGGCCACCUCCCUUGAUAUAGCCACACUCUCGUUAGUGCAAUCCGACAUCAUUAUCCUCAUAUAUUAAGACCAAGGUCUUCAUUAUCUUCUCGAGGGCUUAAAAUAUCUUCAAUUAUAUCCAAUGAUUGGACAAACAUAAUAUCACUCAAUAGAUCUUCUUUUCGAGAUGCAUUUUGCACUUCCAAUAUUUUUUCAUCUCAAAUUAUGUCACCAAAUAAUUGACCAUUUUUGUGAGCUCUUCAUGAGUCUCCACAGAUUUAAUUCGCACCAAAUGAUAAUGGAAAUCAAUUUAUUUGAUUAUUCCUUCUGUAAACAAUGUAUUAACUAAGGUGACAAUACCAUAUUCUUGAAUGGAUCAUUCGUAGAGUCUAACUCAUGAGACCUCUUAUUAUAUGCUUCAAGAAUUUUCAAUUCUUUGAAAUAAAAAUUUAUGAUCCAUAUAAAUAUGCGGUAAUUGCAUCCAUAUGGUGCAUGUCAAAUAAUUUUGAAUACCAUCAUAAAGUGAUUGCAUCAUAAAAGUAUAUUUUCAAAAGGCAUUGAAAUUUACCGCAAUGAUUUUACCCACUUUGGCACUAAAGACUUUCACAACUUUAUAUGUAAUGACCGCAAGUCAAUGUAAAAUUCAUGUCAUCAAUAAUUUCAAAUAAUCAUGGUCAAUUGCAUUUGUGAAUGCAUAUACUAAUGACCAAUUAGAUGUCGACAUCUAUUAAGAUUUAUGAGCUUCAAGCUCUUCACAUUAUAGAAAUAAUUGUACAUAUAGUUAUUCGAUAACAUCUUAAGUACUCCCCAUAUUUCUUUAUAAUCAAUCAAGAGCUCACUAUUUCACAAUCCGGUACCGGAUUCUCCUUAAAGAAUUAUAUUAAUAUAAAUGGGGAUUGUAGCCUUUGUGGGUACGAUCUCUUGUAGAGAUCCAUAUCUUUUCAUGUACCAUGUCUUUUUCUCUUAUAGAGAAUUCUAUAUUGCAUCAAUAAAGUUUGUCAUAAUACUUUAUGUGCUUGAACUCAUUAUUUAUUUCAAUAUAAAUGUCCUACAUGGACAAAAUGCGCGCUUUUGAGUUUCACAAUGUGGAGGGGGUAUUGAGGACUACAUGUCCACUUUAUUUUCAAACUCAAUAUUAACAUUCAAUUUGGUACAUGAAUAUUCGUUCGAAAAGAAUUUUCAAUUCUUUAAGAUAUUAUAUCGGUACAACAACAACGUUGAGAACUAAUAGUCUCAAAUGCCUCUCUAUUCACUUAGAGAGCAAGCUAACCAUGAUUUAUUUGCCAAUCAAUUCUUUAUUGGCACAUAAUGGUUCGAUUUAUAAUGGUCUUGGUAGCUACCAUAUAAUCAUCAAUGAUUUUCUCAUCCAAAUAUGUAUUUCAUUUAUGCCACCACAACUGGCAAAAAUUCUCAAAUCAUAGUAAUGGAUACUAGUGUUGAGGCGUCCCCCAACAUCGUCUUUAAGACGAAUCCUUUCAUCGAAUGAGAUAAGUAAUAUGAUGAGAGUAUGAUGCUACUAGCGCUAGUAGACUUGAAUUGAACGGUAUUCACACCACUUAUAAGGGUGUCAAUCAUUCGAACCAACAUUUAUAUAUCUCCCCCUCUUAUAUGUAUAAAGUAUAAUUGGUUAGCUGUGUAUCGUAAUCAUUUUUCACCCAUUUAGGGAUUCACGAUGCAAUCACAAUGUAAAAUUUGUCCUACGAGGACAUUCGUUUAUUAAGACGUUCAUGAAAAAAUCUAAUGUGCAAUGUGUCCUUCUUUAGACAUUUUCUCUUGCACUCAUUUGCAACAUAUAUUAUAAUAUCAAGUUGCUAUUUUGUCGAUAAAUGCAUCUAGCAUUUUACACAUUAAAAUUGUUGCAAAUAAAUUCUUUUUUCUUUUGUUCUUAAAUAUUUCCAUGCACAAAUUUAGAUGAGACAAAUAUCAUUUCAUAUAAUUCACGCCGUUAUACAAGAACCGGCUUCUUAUCUCCCCCUUAACGGCGGGAAAAUUGUCUCAUUAAAAUGGCAAUUGACAAUGUAUGCCAUAGAAAUAUCACCCAUUAGGGGUGCAAAAGAUUGCAUAGCAUAAAUAAUAAACAAACCACAUGAUAUCAUGUUAUGUGGCUGAAUAUAACUUCGUUUGAGAAUCUAACAGAUUCUGAACAUAAAUGGUUAAAUUUCAAAACUUUGAAAAUUCAGGGACCAAACUGUAUAUUUUGAAAAUUUAGGGACCAAAUUGUAAAUUUUGAAAACUUCAGGAACUAGGCUGCAAUUUUAAAAAAAUCUGUGAAAGUUGAAAAUGUUGAAAUAGAUUCAGAAUUUCGGAUGAUGAAAGGAACGAGCUGCAUAUUCUGAAAAACAUUUGGACUGAAUCGUAAAUUUUUUUAAAUCUAGGGGACUAAAAUGAAAUUUUUGAAAAUUUUGAAGGACUAAACUGUAAAUUUUUAAAAAUCAGAAUUUGCAGAGGUUUCGAAUUUUAACAAGAAAAUGAGAUCCCACCUUUUAUCGUUUGGUUUGAAAUUUCAUCUCAUCUCAUCUUGACUAAGUAUAAAAAAUCAUGCACAUACAUCCAUCCAUAGAUAUGGAUUUUGAAUAAAAUUUGCAUCACUAAACUUUUGUGAUUCAAAAUCUUUAAUUGAAUUGGUCAAUACUGUGACACCAAAAUCAACACAAUUUCUUUUGCUCUUCUAUUGGUGUUUGAUAAAGCUUAUCAACAUGCUUUAUCAUAAAAUGGAUAUGACCAAUCAUUUUUCAUAUUUCUCAUCUCUCUUCCACUUGUAAUGUUGAGAUAAAAUUUAUAGUAAAUAAGCUUUAGCACCAUGAUAGCUUUUCAUGUCAACAUAUCUCUUUGAAUUUUUUUAAUAUUGUUGUUUUCACUUUCAAAGAAUAACAACAAUUGAACGAGUUUUGUAUUAGCUCACAACUCGUAUUAUAGUACGAUAUGCUAUUAAAAAUCUUUAUUUUGCUAUUACGAGUGCAACUUGAGUUUUUAUGUUGUCACUUCAUGAUCAUAAUAUAGAUCCAUAAAUUAGAGAAUAUUUUCUCUUACAAUUCUUCAUUAUAUGUAUCUUCAAGACACAUAUAUCAAUAUGAAAUAUUUUACUUGUCGUUUGCAAAACAACAAGUCAAGAUUUAAAGAGAGCAAAUUAUAGAGGAUCAAAUAUCUAUCUAUGUUCUUCUUCAUAAGUAACUACAUGUAAUGUUACUUUUACUUAUGUGUUCAAGACACAUACCCCAAAUUAAGUACUUGUUUCUUGAAAAAUGAAACAAUAAUAUUUUGCUCGGUGUCUUAUAGACACAUUUUCAUUAUGAAAUAUUUGGCUUGUGUCCUCAAGGCACAUAACAAUAACACGAAUAUUUUGUGAUAUCAUGAGACAUAAAUGGAUUUUUAACUUCAAUGAUCCAACGCUCAUAGUUACAUUUCUUCUUGAGCUAUCAAAAAUAAUUUCGAAUUGUGUGAUAUGUCUCAUAUCAUUGAAUUACAAAGGAAUAGUCCUUUCGAGUGCAUAUAUAUAUAAUCUCAAAAUUUGAAUUUUAUUGCUUAAAAGUACGUACUCAAUUUGAGCCUCAAGGCUUCAUAUAAAUCAUUAUAUAGUACUUGUCAUGAAAUAAUAGUACUAUAAUUAACUCAAAUCUUCAUAUACAUCAUUGAACAACAAACUCAAUAGUUCUUUCGAGUACAAUAUAUUAUUCAAAUAUCAAGGUUUGAGUUUUAUACCUUGAAUUUAUGUACUCGGUUUAGGCCUCAAACCUUUAUAAUUGGUACGUAAUCGUAAAUUAAUAAUAGUACCUUGAGUGGGAAAUACUCAUUAACUCAAAUAUUCAAUGAUGAUUAUCAUCGCUUAGACCUUGAGUCUAAUGUAUUCAAUUGAGACUUAUAGUCUUCAAAUUUAUUCAGGGCCUCAAGCAUUUAUAUUUAAUAUUCCUCCACAUAAGCUUUCAAGCUUUCAUAUUUAAACUAGGCUUCGAGCCUAAAAUUUAGGAACUUCGAGGUCUUUUUCGAUUGAUCGAGCUUUUCAAGUCGCACAAAUUAGAGAGCAAGUGGCUUUUGUUUUUUAAUAUAUCAUUAAAAUCUUUGAGUCACUUGAUUGCACGUGCUCGAUUUGGGCCUCAAGCCUCAAUAUAUAAUAAAAUUGUUAUAGUACGUUGAUCAUGAACGAAUAGUACUAUAAAUGGGGAAUACCCUCUAACUCAAAUGUUCAAGAGUCUUAUCAUUUAGACUUAAAGUCUAAUAUACUCAAUCGAGAAUUUUAAUCUCGUAUGUAAUAUAGGCUAUAGGCCUAUAAUCGUCCCUUUUAUUUUUAGAACAUCAUGUUCAAAAUUCGCACAAGGGACAGCUCUGGCAGAACUGAGUAUUUUAAGCAUAUCUCUCUUGAUCGAGAUCCGAUUUCGAUGAUUUAAAAUGUUCCGAAAAUCCAACAGAAAAUUUUACAAGUUUCGUAUUUUGAAUUUUCUGAAAUUCGGACAGUAUCAGGUCCAAAACAGACAUCGAAGUACAGACUCGUGAAUUGCACGAAAAUUCACCUACAACAAAAUUAAGAUGAUUAAUAUUUAAUCAAUUUAAAACAACAAUAAAAUAUUUGAAAUCAACUCCCUUUUCAUCUUCUAUGGUUGAGAAGUAAUUAUCUUCUUUGGAUCAUCUUUACUCGAAAAUGGAAAUAGAACAUUCGUGCUGAUAACGUGUUGAGAAACUAAUAAAGAAGAACAAAGCAAAGAUGAAUUGACAUAGUAAUAUAGAGAGAAUCAAAUAUAUUAUUCUCUUCUUCUUCUUGUGUAUCCAACUCAAUACAAUGGAACACUAUAUAUAGUACAAGUAAGACCAUGAAAGGUCAUGAGUUACAAGGAGUUAUGGACCUAUAAUGGUGAGUAAAUGGUGGGAGUAAUGGUGCUUGAUGAUGGUGAGUAAUUGUGGUCAUCCACACUUAAGAAUUCAUAACAGAUAUAACUACUAAUUAAUCUUUAAUAAUAAAAUAAAUAGUCACUACAAGAAAAUGCAAAAUAGGCAACGAUUUUUUUAUUGACGAAAUUAAUUUCGUUGCCAAUAGUUAUAUUUUAGCAACGAAAUAUAGUAUUUGUGGCUAAAGAUUAACGUUUUUGUAACAAGAUAUUUUUGUUGCCUUUGAAUCUCAUAGGCAACGAAAUAUAUUGUUGUGAAUAGUAUCAUAUAUAUUUUGCAACGAAUUUCAUGAAAGACAACAAUUUUGUUUGUUGCAAAAGAGCAUUUCUUUUUGCUACGAUAUAAAAUUGUAGUAAAUACAUUUACAACGGCAACAAAUUUAUUUUGUCACCAAUAAGUGACGAACGACGACAAAAUCUUUUGUUGUAAAUGCUCCAAGAGAUUUGGCAACAAAAUAUAUUCGUUGCAAAUUUAAAAACCAACUAUUUUUUCUUGAUUUUAAUUUACUUUAUAUGUUAUUAAAUCGAUAUAAAUAUUUUAAUAAAAUAUUGAAUUUAUUAAUUAAUUUUAGAAUUUCAUCAAUCUCAAAUUUAUUAGAAUACAUUAACUAUAUAUAUACAUAUUAUAUAUAAUAAAAUAUGACAAGAAAAAUCUUAUUUGUUUUAUUGUAAAUUUUAUUUUUUUUGAACAUAAAAUAAAUAUAGUUUUCGUUAUGACACUAAUAUUAUUUAUUUAUAUAAUUUAUUUUACAUUAUUUAUAUAACUAUUUUAAUUAUUUUACCUUGUCUAUUUAAUUAUUAUAAAUUUAUUUGAAGUCUAUUUACACAACUGCACUAUUGGCCCAGCGGUUGGAGAGGUCUAUAACUUGCAAUCAACCAGGGUUCAAAUCCUUCUACUAUCAUGUCUCUAUAUAUUUGAAAUUUAUCAAUUGUGGCCCGUUGGGCCAUCCCUGAGUUCGACCCAGCAGUUCCGAUUUCGAACAGGUCGGGGUCGGGGAUGUGCGUCGGGUCGGCACACAUAUUGGUAUAUUUUGUUUUCUAUUUACAUAUCUUUUGCAACGAAAUAAAUUCGUUGUGCAUACAUAUCUUUUGCAAUGAAAUAAAUUCGUUGCGUAUACUAAAUACAUUGGCGACGAAAUAAAAUUGUAUAUAUUUGACAUUUAUCAAUUGUGGCCCGUUGGGCCAGCCCUGAGUUCGACCCAGCAGUUCCGAUUUCGUUGUGCAUACAUAUCUUUUGCCACAUAUUGGUAUAUUUUGUUUUCUAUUUACAUAUAUUUUGCAACGAAAUAAAUUCGUUGUGCAUACAUAUCUUUUGCAAUGAAAAAAAUUUGUUGCGUAUAUUAAAUACAUUGGCGACGAAAUAAAAUUGUAUAUAUUUGACAUUUAUCAAUUGUGGCUCGUUAGGCCAGCCCUGAGUUCGACCCAGCAGUUCCGAUAUCGUUGUGCAUACAUAUCUUUUGCAAUGAAAUAAAUUCGUUAUACUAAAUACAUUGGCGACGAAAUAAAAUUGUAUAUAUUUGACAUUUAUCAAUUGUGGCCCGUUGGGCCAGCCCUGAGUUCGACCCAACAGUUCCGAUUUCGAAUAGGUCGGGGUCGGGGAUGUGAGUCGGGUCGGGGAUGUGCGUCGGGUCGGCACACAUAUUGGUAUAUUUUGUUUUCUAUUUAUAUAUCUUUUGCAACGAAAUAAAUUCGUUGUGCAUACAUAUCUUUUACAAUGAAAUAAAUUCGUUGCGUAUACUAAAUACAUUGGCGACGAAAUAAAAUUGUUGCAUAUAAUAAAUGUAUUGGCAACGAAACAAAUUCGUUCUAGAUUAUAAACGUAUUUGCAACGAUGUAUUUUGGGUGACGAAAUAGAUUCGUUGCCGAUAAUAGUGUAUGCACAACGAUUUUUUAUUUUCGUUGCCAUGAACUUUCAGCAACGAGGAUUUGGCAACGAACAUGGCAACAAAAAAAAAAUCGUUCUGAAUUGUAUUGGCAACGAAAUUUUACCCUUUCAACAACAAAAAACGUCAUUGUGAAAUAUAAAAUUUCUUGUAGUGAGUAUAACAAAUAAGUAAUAACCAAUAUUCCUGGAUGUCGAUUCCCAUUUCAAAAUUAUUUUUUCAAUGUUGUGCAUGUUAUAAAAAUAUGACAGUGGUCCGUGGUUGAAAUUUUACCUUAUCAGAAAUACCAACAUUGAUAUCUACUUGUUUUACUGAGGUACAUAUUAUGCAUGUGUAUGUAUUUUGUAAGUAUGUGUAUGAAUAAAUUGAAUUUCAAAUAUUAAAAUUAAUACAUAGAUAUGCAUAGCUUCAACAGUUAAAUUUAAACAUACAUAUAUAUAUUCCCUGGAUAAUCUACAAUUGGCUUUAUCCAUUAAAAAAAAUGCGACUUAACAAUUUUGAAGAUGCAUAGAUAAUUUAAUUAACUAGACAAACUUCUGUAAUAUAAUAAGCUCGCUACAUAUUCGGAGUACUCCUCGUCUUGUUGUGGUUGGAAGAAACCGAAAAACCCGUCUGAUUGUUGUUGCGGUUGGAAACCUUCGUCUUGUUGUCGUGGUUGGAAGAAACCGUCUUGUUGUUGUUGUGGUUGGAAACCUUUGUCUUGUUGUCGUGGUUGGAAGAAACCGUCUUGUUGUUGUUGCGGUUGGAAACCUUCAUCUUGUUGUUGUUGCGGUUGGAAACCUUCGUCUUGUUGUCGUGGUUGGAAGAAACCUUCUUGUUGUUGUUGCGGUUGGAAACCUUCGUCUUGUUGUCGUGGUUGGAAGAAACCGUCUUGUUGUUGUUGCGGUUGGAAACAUUCGUCUUGUUGUUGUUGCGGUUGGAAACCUUCGUCUUGUUGUCGUGGUUGGAAGAAACCGUCUUGUUGUUGCUGAUAAUGCAUUUGUUGUGGUGGUUGCAAAUCAUACUGGCCGUAGUAUACGUCGUCUUCCGGGAAAAAAUCGUCUACUAGUGGAAAAGGAUUAUAUUGGUGGUGGUGGUGGUGGUGCUGCUGCUGGUGCUGGUGGUGUCGUUGUUCAUCCAUUUCUUGUGGUGGUGGUGGUAACGCAACAUGUGUGUUGUUGUCGUCCAAUUCAGCCUUGUUCGACUUUGUUUCUCUCUUGUGGAUUCGGCAUAUCACCCAACUGUCCAACUGCAAAUAAUUAAUCGGGAAUAAACCGACAAUCAGUAAAUAGCUUCAAAUAUUUAAAUUAAGAGGGAAAAAAAAAAUUACGACUACGCCGGAAAAUAACCAAAAUAUAACACGUACCCUCAUAUCAUUCUCAUCUUCUGGGAGUUUUUCUGUUUUAGGAGUAGGGUCUGCAAUAGGUAACUUGUACUCGUGCAUAAUCCAAUCGGUCUUUCGUGAAUAUUUAUGAUCUCCUUCGUAAUAUACUAAAUUCUUCUUGUAACCAAUGAUUUGUUCCGUCUGAUCAAGGUGUAUAGGCUUAUCUGCUGCGGUGGCCUUCCAAUAGCCAUUGCCAGCCGAUCGAUUAGGCCUCUUUCCGUUCUGAUACUUCUUCUCCCGAAACGUGAAAAAAUACCAUUCCUUUUGCCCGAGUCGAGAAGGAUGUUCAUCUGCAUAAAUAAUAAAUAAUAAAUAAUAAUGUUAAUUUUACAUCUGGUGAGAUACAAGAAUCUAAGUUAGAAUAAAAUUAAACCCUAAAAAAAAGAGCUGGUAUAUUUAUUUCACGUAGCAUCACAUGCAUGUUCAAAAAGAUUAUUCAACCCUAAAAGGAACAUAUGUUCAAAUCAAUUAUAUAUAAUUAAAAACAGAAAAGAAAAAGUACCAAUUAAUUUGAACCCUAAUAUUAAAAAAACAGAAAUCCAGGAAUAAUAUACUAAUAUUUUCAUGCAUGAUCAGAUCAAUAGUUAAUUCAAAUCAAUUAAGAAUAUUUGAUAUCGUAAAAAAGAAACAUAUUUUUAAUUUACCUGCUAGCGUCUGAGGAUCGUACUGGUAAAAAUCGACGAUGUUUAUUUCAGAAGGAGGGACAGGCUGUUCGUCGACCUUUGGCUUCAAGUAGAAAACGAUGAGUUCUUCAUCCUUAGUGUUAGAAUUAUUUCGUGCAAAUUAAUUAUAAAUUUGUGUCCGAUAAAUCCCAGAUUCAGUUUUAGCUACUGUUCUACUGUUUUACGAAGAGUUGCAACAGUUAAUGGAACAGUAAUAAAAAGACACAAAUUUUAAAGUGGUUCGGAUACAAUUGUACCUACAUCCACGGGGACCUGCAAAUGAAAUUCACUAAUUUUUAGUUUUACGAAUACAGUAAUAGGACUUAAUCGAAAAUGCAAAGACUCCCUCUUUGUCGACGCCGUUCUUGUAUCCUACGCUGAAUUGUGAAUCUUCACUUUGGAGCACGUCCCUUUCCGCACGGUUGAAAUUCCUUCAACGCUGAGUCCCUCAGUCGGCGGAUCGACCUCCUCCCGAGAUCUUCUGAGUUCUCCUCCCGAAGAACCGAUCUUCUUUUCGGUGAAAGAAGCAAACUCCUUUUUCUGUAUUUUCUUCUCGAUUUAAGAUCAGGAAUUCUGGAGCAGCAACGUAAGAGCAGAAAAUAGUUUUCUCUCAAAAUAAAAGGGACAACGUAUAAAAACGUUGAUGCUGCCCUUCUUAUACUUCCUUAGGUGAAUUAGUAGAGCCCUACAAAAUUAAAGCCCAUUAGGUUAGAUAUAAUCUUCACGUAAGGAAAAAAGAGUUAUGUAAACAAGGAAAGUCUUAGACAAAUAAAUUCCUUGUUAAUAAAACACUUAGGCAAUUAAAUAAAUUAAUGACAAAAUAAGAGUUUAAAGAACUAAGGAAACUUCCCUAGUUUUUAUACACGUUUUUCGCACACGUGUUGAAAAACCGAAAUAGAAUCCUCUCGGAUUCUAACAAUCUCCCCCUUUGUCAUCUAUUUAUUAUAAUCAAGUCCUCCCCCUUGAUCAAAUACCUGACAAAACAUUAGACAGCAUAAUAGAGUAACUGUUAGAACAGUUAAAGAAAACAGCAGUUAACAAAACAAGAAAAAAGUUAAGCCUAGCAGACUAUUAGAGGCCGUUGUUCAGAAAAUGAAUUCGACAACCACAAAAAAAACUAAUCCAGAAUAUAUUCAGCAUCAACGAACAACUCCUCGUCAUCAUUCGUAUCAACUUCAGCUGUUGUACCAUCAACUGUUGGAACAGUUGGAGCAACAACAGUUGGAUCAGUAGUAGUUCCAGCAGCUGCAUCAGCUCCCCCUGUAUGCGGUUCCUCCUGGGUUGAUGCUUCGUUGUCAACUCCCCCUCAAGAAUAAUCUCCCCCUUUCUGAGCAAGGGCAGUAAAAUAGUCGAGUUUCUUUUUCGUAAAAACGACUUCGACAAUCAGAGACCCCACUAGAUAGGUUGGCAUAAAAAUCAUGAACCACUUGACAGACGCCACCGGGUUUGAUGCGCUCGGAGAAAGAACCGAGAAUUAAAAGCAUCGACAGCAGAGAUAGGCACCACGGGAUCCGGUGCAGAGUGACCUGCGGUGGUGCGAGUAGCGGAAGGCGAGGCAGAGUGAGUAACGCGUCGACGAGAGCGGCGAGGUGGCGGGUUGCAGGUGAGGCCGGUUUGGGUGGUGCGAUGGCGGUGCACACGGUAGUGGUGACGAUUGGGCAGCCGGCGAGUGUGGCAGUGGAGGAGAUGGUGGAGAAUAGAUGAACGGUGACGGCGGUGAGACUGGCGGCGACAGCGGUGGAGAAAACCUAGGGACCAAAAUGAGUGGCAGAUUGCCAAAAUUCUCGACGAAGGCGGCCGUGAGGACCGUCGUUUGGACGACGAGGAUGAACCACCGAAUUUUUUUUUUUUUUUUUUUUUUUUUUCUUUUGCCCAUGACGAUGUUGUUGAUUCCCUUCGACUGUGUUGAAUUUUUGGGGUUUUGCUGCAAAAGAAGAAGAAGAAGCAAACAGAGCAGUAGGGAAGAAGAAAAAUUGGAGAGAAAAAAAUUGAAUACGGGAUUCUCCAAGGAUGACUGUUGCUCUGCUCAGGGGUAGUUUAGCAAUUAGGAAUAGUCAAGUGAGAGAAUUGCAAAUAUAAUAAUUAUGCUCACAAUAAAUUCAAUUAAUGAAAAUCAAAUUCAGAUACAGCAACUCUCAACUUUCGCAUAUGAAGCCCAACACAGUUCAAAUAAACUUCGAGAAGAAAAAAAUGCUCAGAACAGUGAGUUACUCCGAAGAAAUAUAUUACCGCCAAAAAUUACGAACCCACCCCGGAAUUUUUUUUUUUUUUUUUUUUUUUUUUUAAUAAAUAAAUAAAUAAAUGCCUAACAUGCAGAGGCAAAUAACUAAGACGAAAAAUAAACGUGAGAAAAAAAUGAGUGAAUAAACACAAGUGAAUAGGAUACUAUUAGGACUAUCAAACCAUGGGGUUUAUCUUCAAUUUUAACAAAAAGCAAGCUCCAAGAGAUAGACUAAGGAGACUAACAGCAAAUUUAGUAUCCUCAAAUCAAGCACAAAAACACUCUUAUUAGGCAGCAUACACACACUAUCAAAGGUAGCUUAUUCAUGAAGAGCAGAGCAAUUAAAAUAGCGAGAUAGUUAUGAUCGUGCAAUGUGUAGUCCCCUGGGCUUUCUAAUUGAGUCGUGUAGUGAGUGUUCGGUCAUGUGGUUUACCGGCUCGACUCAAAAAGGCUUCGAACUAUUCACUGACCGCAUAUAAAAUUUAUAAUGGUCGUGCAAUGUGUAGUCCCUUGGGCUUUCUAAUUGAGCCUUGUAGCGAGCUUUCGGCCACGUGAUUUACUGACUCAACUCAAAAAGGCUUCGAACUAUUCACAGACCAAUUGAUUGACAUUUUAUAUAUAGAAUUAACGAAAAUUCAAGAGUAGCUUUCACUCAUUUGGAGCGGCAGCUUUACCUUAUGAGUGUGUUCAACCAUGACAAGACUGUGAAGGGUAGUAAAUAAGCUAAAACCUCUGUAGCUAUCAUUUGGGGAAUGAUGAAGUUCUACCUCACAAGAUUCGAAAGUACAGAUAGUAUCCAAUACACAAGGGGUCUCAUCACAUGCAAUAUGUCUAAUGCAUAACCUAGAUGAACAAAAUGCAGUAUGCGUGAUGUGUCCAUAAAACUUUAAAAGUUGCAAGUCUGGACACAGACUGUUGCAACAGUUUAUGCAACUGCACAGGUCAGACAAUACAAAUUCCAAGCGAAUUUCGCAAGGAAUCAAACCUUUGUGCAUCUAGGGGUUUAGUAAAGAUGUCAGCAAGUUGUUUCUCCAUUGUGACAUACUCUAAUGAGACAGUUCCUUCCUCUACAAGAUUUCUAAUGAAAUGGUAGCGAAUUUCAAUAUGCUUAGUUCGAGAGUGCUGUACUGGAUUCUUGCAAAUAUUAAUCGCACUCAUAUUGUCACAAUAAAUAUGCAAUAAAUCUUGACUAAUACCAUAAUCACAUACCAUUUGUUUCAUCCAUAAGAGUUGGGCACAACAACUACCAGCGGCGAUAUAUUCCGAUUCAGCAGUGGAAAGCGAGAUACUAUUCUGUUUUUUGCUGUACCAGGACACGAGAUUGUUCCCAAGAUAGAAACAUCCUCCAGUUGUGCUUUUUCGAUCGUCUGCAUCACCUGCCCAAUCAGCAUCGCUAAAGCCUCGGGUUUGAAUUCCUUCUUCUACCGGGCCAAUGACUUGAUCCACUGGAUGAUUCUUUUUUACUCUUCUUGAGGGUUCCUUGUGAGUUUGAUCAUCCAAUUCGAGAGGCCUGACUUCUGCUUCGUCUCCUGUUUCAGAAUUGACGUCACUUUCUUCUGAAUUGGUAGAGGCUGCAUCAACUGUUGGAACUGUUGGUGCGACACUGGAGCUGUUUUCCGAUUCCUUUGUUGGUUCCUCUUCCAGUGGUCCUUUCCAAAUUUCGUACGGAGUUUUAGUGGUACCUGGUCGAAGAUAGACUCGAUUUAUAAUAUGACAUGCAGUGUUAACUGCUUCUGCCCAAAAACGAUGAGCGAUCUCCUUUGCGUUCAUCAUGACCCUGACCAUCUCUUGCAGAGUGCGAUUUUUGCGUUCAACCACUCCAUUUUGUUGAGGUGUUUUAGGUGCGGAGAAUUCAUGAGAUAUUCUUUUGUGCCAAAGCACUGUAGAGUCUGACAGACUGUUGAAACAGUUCAUACCAGCAGAGACAAGAAUAUAGCAGUUGUCAGAUGAUCGAGUUCCUUGAAUAACACAAUUCUCGUCUUUGUCUAAUACUCGACAUGCGAAUUUGUUGAAUCUGACUUCAAGAUCUUGAUCACAUAGCUGGCUGAUGCUUAUCAGAUUUGACGUGAGUCCUUCUACAAGUAGUACAUUCUUCAGCUUUGGCAGAUUCUCAUGAUUUAGCGAUCCUUUCCCUAGCACUUCACCCUUUUUUCCGUUUCCAAAGGUAACAGCUCCACCGGUGAUUUGUUGGUAGUUUUUCAGAAACUCUUUAACACCGGUCAUAUGUCGUGAACACCCACUGUCAAAAUACCAAUCAUUAGUAGUACUUGCUUUUAAAGAAGUAAUCGCAGAUAAGCAUUUAAACGUGGACUUUUCAACCCAAAUUUUUUGCUGAGGUCUAUUGGAAAUAUCAAUUUUAUUUUUGGGUUUUUGAGAGGGUGAAGGAAAAUAAUCAGCCCUAGCAGAGUAAAGAGAACGAGCCACAAGCUUUUUCACAAGUUUUAAAUAUUUGAAACAUCUAGGACGUAUGUGACCUGGAUUUUGACAGAAAAAACAAGUGGGAAUAAACCUUUUCUUUGAAUUGUGUUUCGUUGCUUCAACAGUUGCAACUGUUUGUGAGACAGAAGCUUGUUUAACAAAGUUGAUUUUUCUGUUUUGAUCUUCCUUUCGCUUUAGAUCAACUUUGGGUAGCUGACUCCCUCCUAUGGCUAGACGAUUAUAGUUUGGCUUGUUGUUGCUUAAGAUUUCAUCUAGAUUACCUCUACCCAAGUUUAAUUUUGCAAUUGCUUCUUGAGUUUGAGUAAGUUUAGCCUGCAAACUAUUUUUCUCUUGAUCACUAGAUAUGACCCUUUCCUCAAGAGUAGAGAUUCUUACCUUUAGUGUCUUGUUUUCCUCUACAAGCACAAACUUCUCCUUUUCCAGGAAGUUAUUUACCUUAACGACGUCGAGCCAUUUUUGGUACAUUUUUUCAUAUACCUCCUUUACUUCAUCCAAGGUUGGUUCUUCCUCAUCACUGCUGCUGUUCGGAUCCUCUGCAAAAGAAGAAUUUUCGUUUAGAUUUUUUUUAUAAUCAGAACACAUAUUUUCAUACCUGGAUUCUGUUUCACAGUCUGUUGCAACAGUUGAAGCAACAGUUGAUUCUGAGCUGUCCAGAGGAACUUUGCUGCUGAAUGCUACAAAGUUAGUGACUUGAUUGUUGUUUCCUUGGUCAUCAUCAGAUUCUUCUUCAUCGCUCCAACCAGUAGUAAGUGACAUUUUCUUCUUUUUCUUCAGGGUGUUUGCGCAUUCUGAUUGAAUGUGACCAAAGCCUUCGCAUUCUCGACAUUGUAUUCUUCUUGGUUUUGACUCCUCCGAGUUAUCUUGAUUUGAAUUUCUCCUAGAAUUUUGAAAAUUCACGGGUUUCCCUGUGCUUGAAAGAUUUCCCCUUUUUUCGAUCUUUUUGAGAAAUUUCCCAAAAUUUUUCGAUAGUAGUGCCAAGGAUUCUUCAACUGUUUGCUCAUCUUCUUGAGUUGACGAAUUUUGGGGCGUUGCAUAUGAUGUUUCUGCUUGAAAGGCUAUCUUCUUUUCUCUAGACUUUUCACGAUGAUUUUCACCAUGAUUGAGUUCUUGUGCUAGAAGUUUCCCCAUGAGUUCGUCUAGUUUGAGCGUGUCAACGUCUCUGACUUCUUCAAUGGCAGCAAUUCGGUAAGCGAAUCUUUCAGGUAAUGAGCGCAUAGCUUUUCUCACUAAUUUGCUUUCUGAGUAUGGUUCACCGAGUGCGUAUGAUUCAUUUGAGAUAUCACAUAAUUUAGCAUGGAAGUCAGUGAUCGUCUCAUUCUCCUCCAUCUUCAAAUUUUCGAAUUUGGUGGCCAACAUCUGUAACUUGGAUGUCCUUACAGUUGACGUUCCUUCGUAUGUGACUUGAAGAAUUUCCCAAGCUCUCUUUGCAGAUUCACAUGACGCUAUUAGUUUAAAUUGAUUAUCAUCAACACCACUAAAUAUUGCGUUUAGGGCCCUCGAGUUGUAGUUUGCGAGUAGUAUUUCUCCAUCACUCCAAUCUGCUUCUGGUUUGAAUACUUCCUCUUUGUCUUCUCCUUUGAUCAUGGGAGGUGUCCAACCAGUUAUGAUGGCGCGCCAUGCUCUCAAAUCUAUGGAUUUGAUAAACAUCUUCAUUUUUUAUUUCCAGUAUGAGUAGUUGGAGCCGAUUAGAAGAGGUGGACGAGUAGUUGAAGAUCCUUCUCGUUGAGUAUUCAUAUCUGCACAAAAUAAGAGUAAUCAGUUCCCAAAAUCUCACUAGAUAUAUUUAGUGACAGGCUCUUGAUGCCAAUUGUUAGAAUUAUUUCGUGCAAAUUAAUUAUAAAUUUGUGUCCGAUAAAUCCCAGAUUCAGUUUUAGCUACUGUUCUACUGUUUUACGAAGAGUUGCAACAGUUAAUGGAACAGUAAUAAAAAGACACAAAUUUUAAAGUGGUUCGGAUACAAUUGUACCCUACAUCCACGGGGACCUGCAAAUGAAAUUCACUAAUUUUUAGUUUUACGAAUACAGUAAUAGGACUUAAUCGAAAAUGCAAAGACUCCCUCUUUGUCGACGCCGUUCUUGUAUCCUACGCUGAAUUGUGAAUCUUCACUUUGGAGCACGUCCCUUUCCGCACGGUUGAAAUUCCUUCAACGCUGAGUCCCUCAGUCGGCGGAUCGACCUCCUCCCGAGAUCUUCUGAGUUCUCCUCCCGAAGAACCGAUCUUCUUUUCGGUGAAAGAAGCAAACUCCUUUUUCUGUAUUUUCUUCUCGAUUUAAGAUCAGGAAUUCUGGAGCAGCAACGUAAGAGCAGAAAAUAGUUUUCUCUCAAAAUAAAAGGGACAACGUAUAAAAACGUUGAUGCUGCCCUUCUUAUACUUCCUUAGGUGAAUUAGUAGAGCCCUACAAAAUUAGAGCCCAUUAGGUUAGAUAUAAUCUUCACGUAAGGAAAAAAGAGUUAUGUAAACAAGGAAAGUCUUAGACAAAUAAAUUCCUUGUUAAUAAAACACUUAGGCAAUUAAAUAAAUUAAUGACAAAAUAAGAGUUUAAAGAACUAAGGAAACUUCCCUAGUUUUUAUACACGUUUUUCGCACACGUGUUGAAAAACCGAAAUAGAAUCCUCUCGGAUUCUAACACUUAGGCUUGAAACGAAUACCUGGUGGAAACUCCAUCACUUUUCUUUGAAUUUCUGAUAUAUUUUUUUUUUGGAGGGAGUAACAUAUACAUACAUAUAUAUACAUAUACAAUGUCAUUACAAUAUAAUUCUUAUGAGAGUAAAAAACAUAGCGUACUUGUUCAGCGUUAAUAGAGUCCUAAGUUCUUGAAACACACCUGAAGUUUAUCUUGAAUUUUGAUUACAUAGUUUGGUUAAUGAUUUAUUAUUUGUGUGGAAAAUAAAUUAUACUUAUCCAAUUCUAAUUAUGAGUGAAUAUAGAUAUUUUAAAAUCACAAUAAUUAAAUUUUUAAUGGCUUUCAAAUUAAGAAAAUCAAUUCUCUAAAAUCAUGAAAUUGAUCGAAACAUCAAACACUAUGAAAUUGAUCAAACAGACAUGCAAAAUGAGUUCACCAAAAAAACAAUAAUAAUAACAAUAAUAUUAAUAAUAAAAGAAAAAAAUAAACAAUUAAUAAUGUGAAACUAAUAGAAUCUCAAUUCAUUAUCUGUAACAUAGACAAAACCAACUAUAAACAAAAACCAAAACUAUUGAUUACAUCGAUACUGUUGGUGACAAUUGCUCCGGAUUGAAAAUGUGCUCCGGAUCGAAAAUGUCGUCGCUUUUCAUGGAUUUCAAUUUUUUCGGAGUCGGCGUCGAAGAAUCCUCGUUGAAUUUCAUUUUUUUCGGUUUCUUCGUCGAAGGAUCCUGAGGAAGUUUCUUAUAAAUCCGACACAAAACACAAUCAUCCAACUACAAAUAAAUAAAUUAAAACACAUCAAUUAUUUGAUUAAUAUCUUUUCAAUUGAAAAAAAAUAGCUCAAUAGCAAAUAAGUAAAUUAGAACAAAUUGUUAUGAAUCCUAGAAGGUGUGUGAAAGAAUUUAUGGUCCCGAGUUCGUUUAAUACAGAGAUGUUGUCUUAAGUGUUAUGACACUUAAACAAACAUGCAGCGGAAAUAUAACUAUAUAAAGACAAUACUCAGAUAUUUAAAUGUUCACAAGUAAGAACUUGUGAACUUGCUCUUUACAGGACGGAAAAAUUAUAUUAAACAAACAGUAUUCCAAGAAUACAAAUGGAAGAUGUACGAAAACUUCUUCCUUAUGAAUGAAUCAUUCUCAUGAUCAUUCUUACAUUCAAAUCUAGAAACAAAAAGAGAAAUAUUAAAAAUUCUAGAUUUCAAAUAAUGUACUCAUAAGGAGUACGUACAAUAGAUCCUAGAAACACACUAAAACUCUCGUAAAUAAACUUCAGCACUCGGUUUCUUUUGUUUCUUCGAAUCUACAUUUCUUGAGUCUUGAGUUUGGUAUUUAUAGACUUUCCAAGCUUCCACUACUCAGCCCAUGAUCUGCAAGAAAACCAACCACAAGAGCACUCAAGAUAAUGGGUUAGUAGGUUAGUUAUUAAGUUAAAAAGAUAUCCAUAAUUAAACCCACUAAGCACUACUUAGCCCACUAAGUCAUAGCACUUAGUCCACUAAUUCAUAACUAAAAUUUAGUUUGAAAGUAAGAAAGUUCAAAACACUUAUGUGGAAAAAUCCACGUGUGUCAAACUCCCCCUUUUUGACUUUCUGAUCAAAACUAAAUUUUAGCUAAAACUCCCCCUGAGACAUUGCUUGAACUCCCCCCGAAUUUGAUAAUAAACAAAAUAUAGAAAGAAUCAAUUCAAAACAAAUUCAGCAAAAUAGUUCAACACAAUUUAAACAAAAAGAAAAACAACCAAAGUGCAAUCCUAAAAGUUCAGAGGGAAAAUAAAGUCAGAACAAAAUCAAACAAAAUCAACUAUUGUUCAUAACAAUAAUUAAAGUAGAAUAUCUAAAGUCUCCUCAGUAUCAGCUGCUGCUCCUCCAUCAUCAGCACUCGAUCCACUGCUUUCCUCUGCUCCUUGAGUUUCACCUUCAUUCUUUGCUCCUUGCUCUCUGCCUCUGGCAUCCAAAGGAUGAGAAGUCCCUGCUUCAGCUUCAUGAUUAGAUUUUUCUCCCCCUUUUUGAUCAGAAAGAGCUUUGCGAAGCAUUUCCACCAUGGACUGGUGAUAAGUGAUCUGAGCUAGAGAGUGAGUAAGCUGUUGUAACAAGAGAUCUCUAGGUACAAAAACAAGAAUGUCAGGGAUGUUGUCAACAUGAGGAGCAACACAUUCAGUACCAAGAGAAAAUUAUCUCCAUUCCAGGGAAGAUCUUGGACAUGAGGAGCUUUUAGAAAAUUUUGAGAAACAGUGAUCAUGCCAAGUGGAGUGUGAAGAUAUUCUGAUUCAUCUUGAUCCAAAUUUUGAGAAAGUAGAAUUGAGUAGAUGAGAGAAUGAUAAGGAAGAUGAGUGGAGGAUGAAAUUUUCUGGGCAAGCUGACCUAUAUUAUUAAAGAAAAGCUUUCCAAAAUCAACUGGUAAUCCCAUCCCCAAUUUGUACAGGAGUACUGCAUGAGGUUUAGUGACCACAGAGACAUUCUUGGAUGGAAUCCAAUUCAUCACUGUGAGUCUGAACAUGACAGAAUAAAAUGCAGUGAGUUGAGAAACUUUGAAUUUUCUGGGGUGAGCAGGCCAAGAUUUUAGACAAUUUCCAGAAAAAGUCUUACAGACCUCAGUAAAAUCACCAUAAUUAUCCUCAUCAAUCACAGUAGGAGUUUGUAAAUGAGAGUUGAUAAUUUUGGGAGAAAAUGAGAAAAUGGAAUUUCGUACAAAAACUUUGCCAAAGUUUGGAGAAUUUUUCUUUAAAAAUGAGGUUUGCAGAUUGGCAUAAAAUUCCUUAACAACAGAGGGAUCAUAAGGACAGGCAACCUCAACUAGACUAAGGAUUUUUCUUUGAUCAAGAAAAGCAGUGAUCCUAUGUCUAUCAAACUCAUCCUUGGAAAUCUUCUUUUCCUCAAUGAAUUGGCAAUUCAUGAUUCUCACAUUUGAAUCAGAUUCAAAAUAAAAAGUAGGACUGAAGGCAUUGUUUACCUCAAAAGGAGUUGACAGAUCCUUUCCAUCCAAGUCUGGCUCUUGUUCCUCAGAGGAUUCCUCUUCUUCAGUGUCUUCAAGUUCAUCUGGGAUGAAUGCUGGCUCAGGUGAUGCAACACAUGGGGCAGCAUCUUCCUGCAACUGAGAGGAGUCCUCAGAUGAGUCACUGUCUGACUCUGAGGAUGGCAAUUUUUUGCGAAAAGUGGCAAGGGGAACUUCCCAGUUGUCAUCACUUUUCUCUGGUUCAUCAACCUGAGAAGGUGCUGCAUCUGCUUGAACAGCUGCUUCUGCAAGAGUUUCCAGAGGAUCUGCAUGUGGUGCUGAGAGUGUUUCUUCAGUGGUAGUGAAAUCCUGAGCAUCAACAGAGGGAAUGUCAACAUGCUCGGCAGAGGACAUCCCUGAAAAAUCAGGCAUUUCUUCAUCCUGGUAGGGAGCAACAUCCUCAGCAGCACUCUGAGAAACAUUGGCUGAGUCAGUGGGUGCAGUUAGACCUGACCACCGGUUCGGUUAGAACCGGAACCGGAACCGGAACCGAACCGGGGUCAACGGUUUUAGAACCGAACCGGAACCGGUUUGACCGGAACCGGAACCUGAACCGAAAAAACCGGUUCGGUUCCGGUUCCUCAUUUUUGGAACCGGGAACCGACGGUUAGAACCGCGGUUCUAACCAUUUGAACCGGUUUUAAAAAAAAAAAAAAAAAGAAUAUUAAUUCUCUCUCUCUCUCUCUCUAUAUAUAUAUAUAUAUAUAUAUAUAUAUGUAUAUAUAUAUAUAUACACAUAGACAGACAGACAUAUAUAUAUAUAUAUAUAUAUAUAUAUAUAUAUAUAUAUAUAUAUAUAUAUAUAUAUAUAUAUAUAUAUAUAUAUAUAUAUAUAUAUAUAUAUAUAUAUAUAUAUAUAUAUAUAUAUAUAUAUAUAUAUAUAUAUAUAUAUAUAUAUAUAUAUAUAUAUAUAUAUAUAUAUAUAUACGAUAUAUAAAUAUAUAUAUAUACUUCUCUGUAUUUCUAUUUAGGGGGUAAGACAGGGAAGCAUUGGCUUAGGGCCCCACCCCACAAGGGGGCCCCAUAAUAUUUUUCAUAAACCACUAUAUGACCCUGAUAAUUAGUUAUAUAGCACAUUUUAGUCCUUAAAUAUUUUAUUAGAUGUUGUUUUAAACUAUAUGCUAAUGGAUAUUUUAGGGGGUGUUUCGUANNNNNNNNNNNNNNNNNNNNNNNNNNNNNNNNNNNNNNNNNNNNNNNNNNNNNNNNNNNNNNNNNNNNNNNNNNNNNNNNNNNNNNNNNNNNNNNNNNNNCUUCUUUGUUUAUCUAUAUAUAUAUAUAUAUAUAUAUAUAUAUAUAUAUAUAUAUAUAUACAUAUAUAAAUAUAUAUAUAUACUUCUCUCUAUGUGUAUUUAUAUCUAUAUCUGUAUGUAUAUAUAUAUAUAUCUAUCUAUCUGUAUAUAUAUAUGUAUCUCUCUCUCUCUCUCUCUCUCUAUAUAUAUAUAUAUAUAUAUAUAUAUAUAUAUAUAUAUAUAUAUAUAUAUAUAUAUACACACAUUUAAGUAUUAAGAAAAAAAUUGACGUAUUUAAAAAAAAAAUUAAUUUUUUUUAAAUAUUAACAUUUAAAUAAAUAUAUUUUUAAAAGUUUUUUUUUAAGUUUUUUAAAGUAUUUUUUAAGUUAUAUAUAUAUACAUAUAUAAAUAUAUAUAUUUAUAUAAAAUUAAAAAAAAAAAAUUAUUAAGAACCGAACGGUUCUACGGUUCUAACCGGGAACCGAACCGGAACCGGUUAGGAACCGAACCGCAAGGAACCGGAUUUUUUCGGUUCGGUUCCGGUUCCUCCAAAAUCGGAACCGGAACCGGCGGUUCGGAACCGGAAUCGGAACCGAACCGAACCGUGGUCAGGUCUAGGUGCAGUAGCAUCUUCUGGAACAUGUGCAGCAACAUCUUCCGGUUGAGAAGCUGCUGCUGCCAUAUUAGACUGAGAUGUCUCCUCCUGAGUUGACGCUGGUGGAGGUGAGUCGUUUGACGAUGACUCAGUGGAGCUUGAGGAGAGAGCUUGGGCUUCUGGUUCUGCAAAGGUAGGAUCUCCUUCUUCAUCAUCUGUGUCCUCAUCAACCAAAUGGAGACCUCUUGGUGGGUUUGGCCUAACUGGGGUACAGCCACCUCGAUUACCUCUUCUUCCUCCUCUGCCUCCUCUUCUGGGAGAGUUUCCACCCCUCCGGCGUUGUGACCCAACAGUAUUCAGAUCUGGGAAGGGAUUCAUGCGUUUGGAACGGCGAGUUGGAAACCUUCCUGCAGUGGAAGAGGGACCCACAAACUCGAAGUUGUCUGGGUCAAUCGAAUUCAGCUCGUCUCCGGGCUCAAUGUAACUGAUCAACAUAGCUUCAAGAUUGACAGGAUGAACGAUGAUGGCCAGAUUCGGGUCUGCUGGUUCACGUGCUGCAGCAUCGUUGUGGACAUCACCUUUGGCUGGAAGAGGAUUUCUAGGAGGAGAUGCCAUGAUACAAUAGAUAAAAAAAAAUUGCUUCUUGUGCUUUUGAUUUUUGAGUGUGAAUUUUCGAAAAGGAAGCACGAAAUUUAUAAGCCCUAAUUUUUGCAGAAGAAAAAUUGAAGUGGAGAAGGUGAAGAAGUGGUGUGCGUUUUUCUUGGAGAAAGUGUGAUUAAGGAGAAUAAAGGUUUAUUUGGCAGUUGAAGGCAAAACGUGACACAUGGCACAAUAAGGAGUGGACUUAGUGGAAAAUAAAAGACUAACCCAUGUACCCCAUGACCCAUAUAAAUAGUGAUAAUUCAAUAAUAAAUAAAAUAAUAAUAAAAAAUAGUAGCACUCACGAAAUUUUCACAAAAAUAAGAAACACAUUUAUUAAUGAUUAAUAGUGUGAGAAAAAUAAAUUGGCUAGCAGGCAUAGAUUUUAUUAUAUAUAAUUUUUUUUUUUUUUUUGUGUUAAAUAAAACUCUUAUUUUGAAGUCAAACAAUUCACAUGGAACAUGAUCAAGUGUUCAGUUUGAAGGUUCCUCAGUUACUAAGAUAUGACUAUCAAAAUAGAGGAGUUUGACUUAUGUGAUUAUAAUUGUUCUCUGAAUGUUUACAUGAAGCAUGAUCACGUUUCAAGGUGAAAGACUUCCAGUUACUGAUUUAGAGAAUAAUCCAUCACAGUGAAGUCAUUAUUUAAAGAAGCUAAGCUUCAGUAAAUUAUGUUGCAGCUUAAGAUAUUGAAUGAUGUGCUGCAACAUAUUUCAGGACAUGUUUAUUGAGUACACAUCCCGAGAGAUUUUAUAAGUUUAGAAAACCUCUCAUAAUCUAAUGCUUUGUAAAGAUGUCAGCCAGCUGAUCUUCUGUAGGAAUGUACUUUAAGCACACUAUAUUUUUCUCAACUAUAUCACGAAUAAAGUGAUGUUUAAUAUCUAUGUGUUUAGUUCGUGAGUGUUGAACAUGGUUUUUUGAAAUAUCAAUAGCACUUGAAUUAUCACAAUAUAUGGUCAGGGUGUCACUGGUUAACCCAUAAUCCCCCAACAUUUGUUUCAUCCAAAUUAGUUAAACACAACAUCCUCCAGCAGCUACAUAUUCUGAUUCAGCUGUUGAAAGUGAUACACAAUUUUGUUUUCUACUAAACCAAGAGACCAGAUUAUUCCCCAAAAAGAAACAUGCACCUGAUGUGCUUUUUCUUUCACUAAUAUCCCCAGCCCAAUCAAAAUCACUAAAACCUAUCAAAUUCGUAUUAGUGUCUUUGAAAAACUGAAUGCCUAAGUCUACUGUACCUGCAACAUACCUAAUAAUCCUCUUCACGGCUUUAAGAUGAGUGACUUUGGGAUUAGCCUGAUACCUGGCACACACACAAACACUAAACAUAAUGUCAGGCCUGCUUGCUGUUAGAUACAGAAGGCUUCCAAUCAUGCUUCUGUAAAGGGUACUGUCAACAUCUUCAGCAACAUCAUCCUUGGACAGUUUUUGACUUGAACCCAUUGGAGUUUUCAUGUGCUUGGCUGACUCCAACUCAAACCUUUUGACCAGAUUGAGAACAUACUUCUUUUGAUUUACAAAAAUUCCUUCACUUGUAUGUUUGAUUUGGAGUCCUAGGAAGUAAUUUAACUCUCCUACCAUGCUCAUUUCAAAAGUGUGGGACAUAGAAUCUACAAAAGACUGUAAAAGGUUAGCACAAGUAGAACCAAAAACAAUAUCAUCAACAUAUAUUUGUACAAUAAUGAUAUGGUUAUUUGUUCUUCUAACAAAUAGAGUUAUGUCUGCUUCUCCUCUAGUGAAUUGUAUUUCAAGUAAGAAGUCAGUAAGUUUUUGAUACCAAGCUCUAGGAGCUUGUUUAAGACCAUACAGAGCCUUCUUAAGCUUGAACACAUGAUCAGGUUUGGCAGAAUCUUCAAAACCCUUGGGCUGCUCUACAUAUGCUUCUUCAUUUAGAACCCCAUUUAGAAAUGCACUUUUGAUAUCCAUCUGAUACAAUUUGAUUUUAAGAAAGCAGGCUAUAACAAGAAGUAACCUAAUAGAUUCAAUUCUAGCUACUGGAGCAAAGGUUUCAUCAAAAUCUAUACCUUCAAUCUGAGUAUAACCUUGUGCUACUAACCUAGCCUUAUUUUUAACAACUGUACCUUUUUCAUCAGUUUUGUUUUUGAAGAUCCACUUGGUACCUAUUACAUUUACAUGACUUGGUCUGGGAACUAAGUACCAAACAUCAUUCCUGAUGAACUGAUUCAGCUCUUCAUGCAUUGCAUUAAUCCAAAACUCAUCCUUUAGUGCUUCUGCAAUGUUCCUUGGUUCGACUGAAGAUACAAAACAAGUAGUUCCAGUUAGUGCACAUUCAGAAGAUAAAUUAGCAAAUCUUACCAUAUCUCUGUAAUUUACUCUCUCUUUUCUUCUGGUCCUUAACCCAUCAAAGAUAUCUCCCACAACUUGAGUGGAAGGGUGAUUUUUCUGGAUUCUACUUGAUGGUUCCUUUCUGCAGACAUCAUAGGUUGGCUGCAAUUCAACUUCUGUGCUCUCUGUUGGAUGUAUUGAGUCAGAUGUGGCAACACUUGGCUCAACACCUUCUUCUCUUGAGACUGGACUGUUUAUAUCUGGAGCAUCUGUGGCAGUAGUGUCUCCUCCUGUUGUUUCUCCUUCAGCAAUCAAGUCAUCAACUUCAUCUUCAGCUGUUUUACUGCGGAGAUCAGCAAAGUCAUCAAAUACCACAUUUACAGAUUCAAUAAUGGUUCGAGUUCUUAAGUUGUAUACUCUAUAAGCAUGACUGUUAUUAGAGUAUCCCAUAAACAAACUCAAAUAACUUUUUGAAUCAAAUUUAGCAAGAUGAUCUCUAUCAUUUAGGACAUAGCAAACGCAUCCAAACACGUGCAUGUAUUCUAGAUUAGGUUUCUUACCAUAAAGAAUUUCAUAUGAAGUCAUCAUAGACCCUAAUCUUAGAUACACACGAUUUGAGAUGUGACAUGCUGUGUUGACAGCCUCAGCCCAAAACCUUUUAGACAAAUUUUUUGCACUCAUCAUUACCCUAGCCAUCUCCUGGAUAGUUCUGUUUUUUCUUUCAGCAAUACCAUUUUGCUGAGGAGUUUUUGGAGCAGAAAAUUCAUGCUUUAUACCCUUUUUAUUACAAAAAGCAAGAAAUAAAGCAUUCUCAAAUUCUUUUCCAUGAUCAGAUCUUAUUCUACGAAUAGAUACUUGAAAUUGAGUUCUAACAAACCUGUACAAAUUUCUGAAAACUUCAAAAGUAUCAGACUUUUCUCUUAAAAAAUACACCCUAGUAUAUCUUGAAAAAUCAUCAACACACACAAAUACAUAUUUUUUACCACCUAGACUUUCUACCUCUAUAGGACCCAUAAGAUCCAUAUGUACAAGUUCGAAACAAAUGGUGGUACCAACGUGUUGUAACACUUUGUGUGGUACUCUAGUUUGCUUUCCCUUCUGGCACAUUCCACAUAUAGGAAUGUCCUUGAUCUUGAGAUCAGGAAUUCCUCUUAUGGCAUUGUACUUGUUGAGCAGCUUCAGAUUUUUGAAGUUUGUGUGCCCAAGUUUCUGGUGCCACAGCUCUACUUCACUUACUCUUGAGCUCUUGCAUGAGAUGGUAUCACCUGUUUGGUAACAAUUAUCCAUUGACCUGGAACCUGUCAGUACACAAUGAUUUUGAUUAUCAAACACAGAGCAACAAUAUUUAUCAAAUUGAACACGUAGAUCAUCAUCACACAAUUGACUGAUACUGAUGAGAUUUGACCCCAAUCCUUCAACAUGUAGGACAUUUGAAAGUUUUGGAAGUCCCUCAAUACUGAGUGUUCCACGUCCAACCACUUUGCCUUUAGCUCCUCCUCCAUAGGUUACACGUCCUCCAUUGAGUGUAUGGUAGUUUGAUAGGAAUUCUUUUGUUCCACUCAUGUGCCUAGAGCAUCCACUAUCAAAGUACCAUGAACCUGAAAUGUUAGCAUUUAAGGAAGUGUAUACUGCUUUGCACAUAAGUUUACCUUUGGGAGUCCAUACUCUACACUCCUUUUUGGUAGAUUCUAGCUUUUUCUUGGAGAUGUUCCCUAGAGUGUUGUGACUCAUCCUGUACAACAUUUUGUCAGUACUUAGUUUCUCACAGAAUGGACGAAUAUGUCCUGGUGAGAAACAGUAAUGACAAAUGUAUCCCCUUAUUCUGGACUCUGGAGUGGUGACUGUGGAGUUUCUGCAUUCUUUUUCUUUUGAACCCUUCUCCUUUACAAAAGCAAUUUCCUUCUUCUUUGCUGACAUGUGUUUCUUCACUUGUUUUUUGAACCCUAGACCUUCAUUUUUGUUGUACUUUACCAGUGACACAAUCUCUUCGAGUUUAGUUGUGCCGGUAUUCAUCCUUUUGAUUGCUAGAGUUGCUUCUUUGAGUUCAUCUUUCACCUUUGCCAGUUCAAGAUCUUUCUUGGUGAUACCAACCUCCAAAUGUGUGAUUGUAUCUUUAAGGGAAGAAUUUUCCUUGUUGGCUGCAUCUAGAGCUUGAGUCUUCUUCUCCAAGUCACUGAACAACUUCUUGCACAUUUCUUCCUCAUUUCUAACUGCUUCUUUACUUGAUUCUGCUGCAUUCAAGGAAAUAGAGUUUAAACAUGUAUAAUAGUUAUCAUCUAACUCAUAAAUUUCAGUUACUGAAAGUGUUUCAGAAAGUGUUGCAGCAUAUAGAGAAACUCCUUGUGAUUCUGUUUCAGAAGAAUUUUCAGUGAUAUAUCUGACAGAAAGAGCAUGUUUAGUAGAUUGUUGCUCCUGUGUCUGUUCAGGUUGCUCUUCCUCCUCAUCACUGACAGCACAAAUCAGACUCAUUCCUCUUCUUCUCAAGGUUUUUGCACAUUCAUUAGCAUAAUGUCCAAAUCCUGAACAUGCCCUGCAUUUAAUAUGAUCCAAGUUAGGUGGUUCCGAAUUUGAACGAAUAAAUGAAGAAUUUUUUAAAGUAUUUUGAGAAGAUGUUUGAGGAAAUGUUCUCUGUGGAAUAGAUGUGUUCCGGGGCUGAGUUUGUCGAUUUUGUGGAGAGCCGUCUGGAAAUAACUGUCUGGGCUUGAUUCCACUUCGUUUGUACGCCCUAUUGAAUUUCUGAAUCUGAAAUGCCACAUUGUUGAGACAUUCCUCUGCAUCAUCAUCAUAUUCCGGAGCAACAUCUUCCUUCUCUAAUUCUGCCUGGAGUGCAUUUGAGAUAGCCUUUCCUUUCUCCUUUCUUUGAUCUUCAAAGUUCAUCUCUCUAGACUUUAGACUACCAAUUAAGUCGUCCAGCCGUAGAGAUGAUGUGUCUUUGGCCUCCUCAAUAGCACUAACCGCCAUGCUGAUCUUUCUGGAAGAGUUCUCAAUACCUUAUUUACCAGUGUCUCGUUGCUCAAAGGACCACCUAAGGAUUGAAAUUCAUUAGCAAAAUCAAUCAAUUUCUCAUUAUACUGAGAAAUUGUUUCAGUUUCUUCCAUCCUUAGUCUCUCAAAUUUGGAAGAAAGUAAUGUAACACCCCACAUUUUCGAAACCCUAAUCCCUAACCAAAAUUCCAUAACUCGGAAAUUCUCACGUAGGAAUUUUUAGUAAUUUAUUUACCUUAUUAAUUUAAUUUCUCUAAGUGCCUUAUUUGCUUAGACUAUUAAUCCUUAUAUGCCGAUUUGAUUAUAUGCCUUAUGUGCUAGGAAUUUAUUGAAUAAUUAUGUGCCAACUUUAUUUCGAAAAUUAUGUGCUUAAGUAGAUUAAUUAUGGAUAAUUGUGUGCUAGAUUAAUUUAUGUGACUUAUGUGUAUAAUUAAUUUAAUUAUGUGAUUUCAUGAUUUAAUCAUAAUUACAUGCAUAAUACAUGCAUAUAUACGUACAUGUAUGCAUACAUAUAUGCAUAUGCUAUAACCUACUCUAGACUAUAGGCAAUAUAGGUACAUGUAUAUGUAUAUGUGUGUGUUCGGUUUUAUGUGUAUGAGAGAGAUUAACUAUUUUAUUAAUUAUGAAAUAAAAUUAGAAAAGAUGCAUGCUUGUACACUUGGCAAAGAGUGAGGAUUUACACUAAUCCUACACUCAAGCAUGCUAAGUCAUCCCAAGAGACACCCAUCUAUCUUCAUCAUUUUACACCUACACUCCCACUUGUCUUCUCUUCACCAUCACCACCGAAGCACCACCUCCUCCAUCGGCCAACACCUCAAAAUUCUUCAAGAAAAAAAUAGAGAAAUCAAAAUGCAAAUCCCCUAUAUAAGCUUCACCCUUGAAUAUGCCAAGAACACCAUCAAAAACACUUGCCCUCUUACGGGAGAUUUAAACUCCUCCCAACUUGAUAUCAAAGCUCUUACCUUCUCCAUUCAAAUAGCUUGGUUCAAUCUUGGAGCCACUUCUUAAAGGAGGUAACAUUGUAUCUUCGUGUUCUUCAUCUUCUUCAUCCUCCUUUUCUUUCUUUCUCUAAAAACCCUCUUUUCUUUUGAAGGUUUUUCUUUCUUCGGCCAACACUCUAUAAUAGGUAAAAAAUCUCGAAUUUCUUGCUGCAAUCGAAGGGUAUCAUAGUAUGAAAAAGGAUUUUUGAAACUACCUAAAAGAUUUCCUCACUUUUCGAAAAAUUAGGGCUUUUUGUGUAAAAUCCGAAAUUUUGUGCUAAUCUUGAUAUUUGUGUUAUUGCAUGUCUAAUCCAUGUUAUAAUCUGUGAAUCUAAGCAUUUUGUGUUUAAAGAGUUAAUAUUUCGAAUUUUUGGAAAUUUGGAGAAAGAAAAUGAGUUUUCAAGAUUUUUGGGGUUGCAUGUGUAGAUCUAUGAAUCUUUAGGGCUAAUCUGCAAUUUCUUGAAAUUUCAACAUGAAAAAUGUUUUCACCUUUAAAAUCUCAGUAGGAGAAAGUGGAAUUUUGUUAUUUUCUAUUUGGUCAUAAUUUGGGAUUAACAUUUGUUGGAAAAAUCAUUUUUUAGCUUCAAACACUACUUGCCGAGUAUUUUAAUUUUUAUAAAUCCGAUUUUCAAGGAAACUGCAAAAUUCUUUUUGCAUCUGUUCAUUUAGUCAGUUAGGUAGCAUAUAAUUAAAUUUGAAAAUUUUUAGAUGCUAUUUGCUAUUAUUUCGAAAUAUUGCUUGUGCAUGUGUCUUGAGUAUAAUUGUGAGAAUGAGAAUUGAUGGUUAAAAAUCUGCAGCUGAACUAUGUUAAGGGGCUGUAAGAAUUUUAAUUCAUUUAAUGAAUAAAAUUGGGAGAAAUCCCAUUAAUGAAAAGAUAAGAAUGUUGGUGCUUUAAGGGCAUAAUUUGCUAAUUUAAUGCCAUUUAAAGUAUGUUUUGGGGGCUGCAUGUUUAUGUGUGUGUAUGUGUCGUGUGUGUGUUGUGUGUGUGUGUGAUUUAUGAUAUAUGGAUAUAUAAUAUAUUGUGAUAGUGGUUUUGUGAAUUAUGUGCUAUGCUUAAGUGUUUAUAUAUAUGUAUGUGUGUAUUAUGUGUGUGUGAUUGCCGUGGAUAUAUGUAUAUAUUAUGUGGAUAAUUGGAUUUUGUUGGCAUGCUCGUUGAUUGAUAUUUGUGAUGUCGUAAAUGGUCAUUUUCGUAUUAGAGUCUCAUUCGUCUCAUGGUCUUGCAUAAAAAGAGAUUUCAUUUUUACGAAAGGAAAGGUUAAUGGAAUGCUUGGGUUGGAUAAGUCGGGAUACGAGGGGCCGGUAUUCCAACCAUAGUUACUAUAGAAAAAGGGGUGGUUUGAUUCCACCAAAAGAACGGGCUCAGAAUAAUAUGCUUAUCAUCCAAGUAAAGAAGUUAAUUUUUCACGGAUCCGAACAACAGAAAAUGUUUUCAUUCAUGCAUUUGCACGAAAAGGGUAAUUCGGUAAUUUUCAGUAAUUGAGUCGAUUUAUGUGCUUAAAUGAGAUUAAGUGUUUGUGUGUGCGUUUGUUUGCCGACGAAUGGUAAGAUGUGAUACUUAUGUGUAUAUAUUAUAUAAAUACGUAAAACCAUAUUUUAAAACCUCGUUAUCCAUUCGGAUUUCUUACUGGGCCUAAUAGCUCAUAUAGAUACUUCUUUGAUUGCAGGUAAUAGUAGUGUAGUAAUCCCUCGCCGGAAUGGACCGAGUAGUGGAUCGGAGUAUUGGCCGGAGGUUUUUGGAGGAUCGUACGAGGGGUCUAUAAAUUAUGCUUAUUUUAUUUUGGUGAUGUAAACUAUAGAAAAUUUCCGUAUUUCUGUUUUCUUUAAACUCUAAUAUUUCCUUGUUAGGGGAAUUAAACUCUUACCCUAGUACGGGCCUUAUUUUGGUAUUAAUAUAGUUGGUCCGCUUAUUUUGAUAAUUGCAUUUCUUACCCGGAAAUCCCUAUUCACCAAAUAGCUUUAAACUCUGAUUUCUUUUCGAACCAAAAGUGAAACCGAUAGUUAGAUAAAUGUAGCACUCGAAUAAUAAUCUCCCUUUUUAAAGUUAUUUUUAAAACGAAAAAAUUUAAACGACCAAAAUAACCCUAAGAAGUUUUCGAAAUUCUUAAGGUUCCCAAAAAGUUUUCAUAUGUCCCAAAAAGAGAUUUUCAGAAAUUACAUUUUGGUCCUGUUCGAAAGUUUUAAAAUUACAAAGAGAUCCCUUUUUGCUUCCGCUAUCAAACCACCCAUUUUGAUAAGUCGGGAUACGAGGGGCCGGUAUUCCAACCAUAGUUACUAUAGAAAAAUGGGUGGUUUGAUUCCACCAAAAGAACGGGCUCAGAAUAAUAUGCUUAUCAUCCAAGUAAAGAAGUUAAUUUUUCACGGAUCCGAACAACAGAAAAUGUUUUCAUUCAUGCAUUUGCACGAAAAGGGUAAUUCGGUAAUUUUCAGUAAUUGAGUCGAUUUAUGUGCUUAAAUGAGAUUAAGUGUUUGUGUGUGCGUUUGUUUGCCGACGAAUGGUAAGAUGUGAUACUUAUGUGUAUAUAUUAUAUAAAUACGUAAAACCAUAUUUUAAAACCUCGUUAUCCAUUCGGAUUUCUUACUGGGCUUAAUAGCUCAUAUAGAUACUUCUUUGAUUGCAGGUAAUAGUAGUAAUCCCUCGCCGGAAUGGACCGAGUAGUGGAUCGGAGUCUUGGCCGGAGGUUUUUGGAGGAUCGUACGAGGGGUCUAUAAAUUAUGCUUAUUUUAUUUUGGUGAUGUAAACUAUAGAAAAUUUCCGUAUUUCCGUUUUCUUUAAACUCUAAUAUUUCCUUGUUAGGGGAAUUAAACUCUUACCCUAGUACGGGCCUUAUUUUGGUAUUAAUAUAGUUGGUCCGCUUAUUUUGAUAAUUGCAUUUCUUACCCGGAAAUCCCUAUUCACCAAAUAGCUUUAAACUCUGAUUUCUUUUCGAACCAAAAGUGAAACCGAUAGUUAGAUAAAUGUAGCACUCGAAUAAUAAUCUCCCUUUUUAAAGUUAUUUCUAAAACGAAAAAAUUUAAACGACCAAAAUAACCCUAAGAAGUUUUCGAAAUUCUUAAGGUUCCCAAAAAGUUUUCAUAUGUCCCAAAAAGAGAUUUUCAGAAAUUACAUUUUGGUCCUGUUCGAAAGUUUUAAAAUUACAAAGAGAUCCCUUUUUGCUUCCGCUAUCUAAAGUUUUCCGAUAAACCGGUUCCAUUUAUCGCCCGACCCGAGGGGGGUGCUACAAGUAAUCUGAGCUUAGUUCUCCUGACAUUGUCUGAUCCUUCACAAUGCAGCUGAAGAACCUCCCAUGCAUCCUUCGCAGAAGUGCACACUGAAAUCAAUUUAAACAUUGUUAAAUCUACUGAAUUAAAGAUUGCAUUUAGUGCCUUUGAGUUUUGAUUGGCAUUUGCUAUAUCAUCUGCUGUCCAUCGUAAUUCUGGUGUUGGAGAUACAUCUCCAUCCGCAUCUAUUGUAGUCGGUGGCUUCCAUCCAGUAAGAAUAGAUCUCCAGGCUCUCUCAUCAAUGGCUUUGAUGUACGCCCUCAUCUUGACUUUCCAGUAGGUGUAGUUUGUGCCAUCAAGUACAGGAGGUCGCAUAGAAGCAGUCAUCUGAGUAUCCAUCACGAAUUCGUUUCUGUAAAGAAAAUAGGAACAAACACUUAGGCUGUGUUUGAUAACACUAAGCGCUGAAUGCUGAAUGCUGAAUACAUAUCUGAAUGACUAAGAGUUAUGCCUGGAUACUGAAUGUUGAAUCAUUAAGCUCAUUUGAUAGCUAAAAUUCUGUCGUCUGAAUAAUAACAUUUUACCGUUAUAUCCUUGGUCAAAUACUGUAGUAUUUGUUAAUGAGCAACAUAUAUGAUAUAUGUAUAAAUAUAAUUCUUUUAGCAUGAUUAACUUAAUCAACAAAUUAUGAAAUUUGGGCAGACAUUAACAUCUCUAUGUGUUUUAAAUAUCAAGUAUUUAACAUUAUUAUAAUAUAAAUAUGAAAUAUAAAAGUCAAACAAAUUUAAAAAGUAAUCUCUAAGCAACUAAAGGUAGUAAUAGUAAAACUUAUUAACUUAAAAUAUGAAAAUAUACUAAAUUCACUAAAAUUGACACGAAUAAAAUAUAUUUUAAUUACCUUUUAUUUUAAUACAUAUAUAAUUAGACUUUAUUAAGAUAAAUGAAAGAAAAAAGGAUAGAACUUAUUUAUGGAGUAAAAAAAGUUGGAAGUUGCGCAGAAAAGUGAUAGUGUGUUGGGAUAUUACCUGAGAUUAAUGUGGAAUAUAUGAGUUUUCUAAAGGAUAAUUAUGUGUAAAUUUGAUUCAGAUGUAGCACUUGUUCGGUCAGCACCAACUUUUGGACUGAAUAGUUAAGAGCAUCAUGGAACCAUUCAGUCAUUAAUAUCAAACGCACUUAACAUUCCAAUUGCUUACCGAUUCAGCAAAUUAGUGAUUAAGAGGGUCAUUAAGAGCAAUCAAACAAGGCCUUAGUAUACGUCAAGUGUUGGCUCUUGAUGCCAAUUGAAAGAAUUUAUGGUCCCGAAUUCGUUUAAUACAGAGAUGUUGUCUUAAGUGUUAUGACACUUAAACAAACAUGCAGCGGAAAAAUAACUAUAUAAAGACAAUACUCAGAUAUUAAAAUGUUCACAAGUAAGAACUUGUGAACUUGCCCUUUACAGGACGGAAAAAUUAUAUUAAACAAACAGUAUUCCAAGAAUACAAAUGGAAGAUGUACGAAAACUUCUUCCUUAUGAAUGAAUCAUUCUCAUGAUCAUUCUUACAUUCAAAUCUAGAAACAAAAAGAGAAAUAUUAAAAAUUCUAGAUUUCAAAUAAUGUACUCAUAAGGAGUACGUUCAAUAGAUCCUAGAAACACACUAAAACUCUCGUAAAUAAACUUCAGCACUCGGUUUCUUUUGUUUCUUCGAAUCUACAUUUCUUGAGUCUUGAGUUUGGUAUUUAUAGACUUUCCAAGCUUCCACUACUCAGCCCAUGAUCUGCAAGAAAACCAACCACAAGAGCACUCAAGAUAAUGGGUUAGUGGGUUAGUUAUUAAGUUAGAAGAUAUCCAUAAUUAAACCCACUAAGCACUACUUAGCCCACUAAGUCAUAGCACUUAGUCCACUAAUUCAUAACUAAAAUUUAGUUUGAAAGUAAGAAAGUUCAAAACACUUAUGUGGAAAAAUCCACGUGUUUCAGUGUGGAUGACCACCAUUACUCACCAUCAUCAAAUAGAAUCUGGUGCAAUCGAACUUCGGUCGAGUGGUUGAAGUUCCUACUUCCACUAAUUUAACGGUGUGAUUGGAUCGGAUCAAAUUAAACAUUGAGUAAAAUAGUGAAAUUGCAUUGUAAAAUAAUUGAUACGUUUAACGAAAUCAAAAAUUUAAAUGGAAAUUUUGUUUUAUUGUAAUUUCGGACAGGUAUAGUAUUUUUUUUAAUUCAGAGGAGGUAUAGAAGAAGAAGAAAUAAAUGUAACAUCAAUUUGAUUAGUAAAAUGGAAAUGGCUAGUCCAAAUAAUUGGAGAAGAAUGUAGUAGAAGGUGACUCGUUGGAGGUUAUAUUGCCGCAGUUAGUAAAUCUUCAAGUUCCCAAGCUCCAUACAUGAAUAUCAUAGAGGAUAUCGAGCGGCCGAGAAAGUGGUUUGAGCAUUUUGGAUACAAAAUAAGUAGCUCAUGAAGUAACAACUUUGUCGAAGAUUGAUAAUUUCUCUAUUUAAGUGAUCUAUGUAGAAGAGAAGCUCAGAAAAAUAAUUUUAUAAUCCCUUCAAAACUGGUAACGACAAUGCUUCACCAGAUCAGCCUCAGAAUUAAUGGUGGCCAAUGGAAAGAUAUGACACUAACAGCAUCUCUUCGGUCUUUCUUAACCUUAUUUUCUGUGAAUUUGUCUACUUAUACUGCUCGUCGGUCUCCGUUAAUACGGGUACUGGAUGUGGUUGAUAGAUAUGUCUCUUGCACGAGUUUGAUCUUUAUGUCGCCGUUUAUAUUAUCCCGACUUUGGAGCCUACAGACCUUAGUUGAUGGUGGAGAGUUGACUCUACCUAUUGAGAUAUGGCAGAUCCUCCUUCACGUGGCGAAAAAAUCACAAUGCUUGAAAAUCUAAAAACACAUUCAAUAGUCAAAGAUUUCAAAUGUACUAAAGAGGUAACUAAAGGAAUCCCGAAUCUGAAGAAGUUGGGAAUUGUUUAUCCGGCAAUUGGAUCUUAUUAUUUAAGCAAUCUCGGCUUUCUCCAUAAACUUGAAUCACUUAGUCUAGCAUUUGUUGGUACGCUUGGUCUUUCCAAGUUCACUUAAAAAGUUGGCCUUAAGUGAAUGCAAGAGAAGAUAUGUCCAUUGUUGGUUCAUUACCAAAUCUUGAACUUCUCAAACAGCGGUCGAAUUCCGCUGUAGGGAAAAAGUGGAUUUCAAAUGAAGGGGAAUUCGCUCGACUAAAGUACUUGUUGAUUCAUAUGUGUGAGUUGGAGAUUUGGGAAUCAGAAAAUACACAUUUCCCAUGUCUUGAGCAAAUACAUCUCGGAAUCGUGAGCCUGAAUGAGUUCCCUUCAGAUUUUGCUGAAAUAUUACCGCUUCAAGUGAUCGACUUACACCGCUGUGAAAAUUCCCUCUUGACAUCGGCAAAGGAAGUAUCAGAGCAACGAGAGAACCUAGGAUACGAUGCUCUUCAAAUUCGAGCUUUAAUGCCUGGACUGCUCAGAAUAUCUGUGCAAAGAGGUAUCAAUCUUGCUGCUCGCAAUCACCCCAAGAGAAGUCCUUAUGCUGCUGUCAGAAUAUCCAAACAGGUUGUGUUUUUACUAAAAACAUUUGGUGUUCUUCUUCGUAUGGGUUUUAGAUCUUUUAUGCUUUCCUUUUUUUACAAAAACGAAUUGCAAUUCACUAUAUAUAAAUGAUUGCGCUGCAGAUUCUGAGGACUCAUGUUGUCAGAAAGACUGUUAAUCCCGAAUGGCAUGACGAUUUGACAAUUGCUGUUUUAGAUCCUAGCCAACCAAUUUCUGUUAACAAAUGUGAUAACAACUAUAAACUAUUUUUGUAAAGUAAUUACUUUUUGACGCAGAACGGAAGCACGGUAAAGAAUUAAUUUCUACGAAUUAAUUCUAUAGAACAAAAUAACAUUCGGAAUCCACCGAAAACUCUGGAAUCCACCAGAAAAAUAGAGAAAACUCUAAAUAUUUUAUGAAAAUUCGAAAAUUCUUCUCAAAAUAAAGUCCUAACGCAGCUAUUUAUACUAAAAAACUGAAAACCCUAAUUAAACUAAGAAACUACUAAAAAUUAUCAAAAACGGAACGAGUUAGAGUCUGAUUCUAGUAGAUCUCGUAAUUUUGGGAACAACCCAAUUUACGGAAUCCUAAUCCGAUUUUUCUAUGAUUUGAUAUUAAUUUUCUAGUACUUGCCUAAAAUAGCAAAAACGAACUUUUGGGAGUCUAAACGACGUUGGAUUGCUGAAAUUUGACGUGAUUCAUGAGCUUUGCUAAUGAGUUUUGUUGCUUGCGCCGUUUCACUUGAGAUAGAGUUCGUUUCGUACUCAAAUACAAUUUGAGUUCGUCGAAAACCCUUAUUUUUCCAUAAUUUCUUGCGAUAUUUCCACCAAUGCCCAUUAAUAACCCUUCUACGAAUUAAAUAGUUAUUUUGCAACUCAAUUCCAAUUUGACGUUCUUUAUCAAUCUCCUCUUCUUCAAAAGAGAAGACCUCGAGCUAUGAUCAAAAUAUUGCGAUGCAUAUUUCUUUGCAAACAACUUCAAGUACUCCACCAAUAUUCCCCACUCAAAAGUCUCGCUUACUAAAUCUUCCUCUAAACGAGGCAUUAGAAAUAUUGGCUUCUGAAUCGAAAAUUCCAAUGGCUCCACCAAUUUCUCCGAUACAACAACUUCACAGCAAACACUAUCUACAAUUAGAUCACAUACCUCAACGCAGUUCACUUGUCCAUUCUCUUCUCGUGCACCUUCCUCUUCUUGAACAAAUUUCACAACUUCCAAUUCUUCCUCAAAUUUGUUUUUAACACCCUCUUUAAACUCGUCGACUUCUUCUUCUAGCUUGCUAAUAUUCUCUUCUACUCCAUUGUCGCUCUCUUCAACUUUGUUGAUGCUCGCUUCAAGCUCGUUGACUGUUCCUUCAACUUCGUCGACGUUCACUUUGACUUCGUUAAUAUCAUCGUUAAUAAUAGCUACGCUAAUUUUAACUUUUGAAUCAACAAUUUCGUCUUCAACUUCGUUAAAUCCUACGCCAUGAUCCUCCACCAAACUAGGUGCUUGAAUAACGAACGAAGUAUCUUCUACCUCCUUAACUUUGACAACGGGUGGAACAUCUUUGGUUUUUCUAGAAGAACUAUUUCGCUUCUCAUAAUAUUCCUCCCUCCAUGCUAACUCUUGAGCCUCUUAAAGGGUGUAGAAUGUAUGCCACACCAUCCUGAGACGUAUUGAAAUAUUCAAUCCUGUCAAGUACCGUGAAAUUUCCGUACUUUCGGAUUCUUGCAGGUUAUUUAAGUUUGCUAGUCUCAUAAACUCAGUAGUAUACUUGUUAACAGAUCUACUCCCUUGUAUAUAGUUGAAAUAGACGUUGCUCAUAACCUAGGGGUAAAAAACGAUCCAUCAACAUUUUUCUCAUCCUUCUCCAUGAUUGGAUUGGAACUUUUUCUUGUCUAGCUCUCUUCCACUUUAUCCCAUCCCACCAUGCGGUUGCACUACCUUUUAACUCACACCUCACCAAUUUUACCAUCUUAUUCGGCAAAAUAUCCAUCAAUUCAAAAUACCUUUCCACUUCUGAGACCCAAUCGAUAAAGUCCUCAACUUCAAGAAAAUUUGCACUAAAAGAAGGAAUUUCAGCUCUUACCUGAUAUUUAUCACGAUCCUUUUGCCUCCCUCUAGGCGGGUUUUCUUCAAACUCAGAGUUGCCGCUUACCUUUGAAUAGUCGUCAUACCUUGAUUGAAGUUGAAUAGGUCCAUGAUAAUUGUGUCUAACAUAUUCACCUCGGGCUACACCGUCGGCAAUCAUCGUGUUAGAUUCAAUCCUUCUGUUGUUGUUGUCAAGCGCAAAUCCCUCGCGCACCAACCGCAGAUUUUGCAGUUUUUCAACCCCGCGGUCAUCGCCAACGUAGUUGUUGUCUGCAUGUUUCGCACCUUUCGCCAUCUAACCAGGAAAAACCUCGCUACUGAUGCCAACUGACGCAGAACGGAAGCACGGUAAAGAAUUAAUUUCUACGAAUUAAUUCUACAGAACAAAAUAACAUUCGGAAUCCACCGAAAACUCUGGAAUCCACCAGAAAAAUAGAGAAAACUCUAAAUAUUUUAUUAGAAUUCGAAAGUUCUUCUCAAAAUAAAGUCCUAAGGCAGCUAUUUAUACUAAAAAAAUGAAAACCCUAAUUAAACUAAGAAAAUACUAAAAAUUAUCAAAAACGGCAAAAACGAGUUAGAGACUGAUUCUAGUAGAUAUCGUAAUUUUGGGAACAACCCAAUUUACGGAAUCCUAAUCCGAUUUUUCUAUGAUUUGAUAUUAAUUUUCUAAAACAUGCCUAAAAUAGCGAAAACAAACUUUUGGGAGUCUAAACGACGUUGGAUUGCUGAAAUUUGACGUGAUUCAUGAGCUUUGCUCAUGAGUUUUGUUCCUUGCGCCGUUUCACUUGAGAUAGAGUUCGUUUCGUGUUCAAAUACAAUUUGAGUUCGUCGAAAACCCUUAUUUUUCCAUAAUUUCUAGCGAUAUUUCCACCAAUGCCCAUUAAUAACUCUUCUACGAAUUAAAUAGUUAUUUUGCAACUCAAUUCCAAUUUGACGUUCCUUAUCACUUUUUUACCUAGCAUUUUAACAAUCUUACUCGUUUUUUUCUUGAUCCAGUCAGCUUAUUAGAAACCGUAAUACCUAUAUGCUGAUUCUAUGUGUACGUAUGGUUGUAGACGGUGUACGACAUAAACAUGUUCAGUGUGGAUGAGAAGAUAGGAGACGCAGAGUUUGAUAUUAGACCAUUUGUACAAGCGUUUAAGAUGCAUCCAAAUGCCCUACCUAACGGUACAAUAACCACAAGAAUAUUGCCUUCAAGCUCGAAUUGCCUGUCUGAAGAGAGUUUCAUUUUCUGGAAGGAUGACAAUCUAAUGCAGGAUAUGUGCCUCGGAUUGAGAAAUUUCGAAUCUGGCCAAGUCAAACUUCAGCUGCGGUGGAUUGAUAUUCUUCAAGGCUUCGAAUAAUUUUAUUUUUCUUUAUUUCCUUCUUUCUUUUGUAUUUAUGUUGUCAUUACCAGUUUCAUAUUGUGAAAUGGCUAAUCCAGUUACAAAAUUUUGACUUCUGCAGUCCAUUUGGACUUCUGAAAAAUUUAAAAUAAAAAAUUCUGAAAGGGCUAAUCCCCAUCCGAUCGGUCCGGUUUACACCCUUAAAUUCUAUAUGUAUUAAUGGGAUAAAUUUCAGGCACCCUCACCGAACCAUUGCCAUAUUCACAAUUACACCCCAAACAUUUAAAUUUUUGACGUUCACUUCCCUGAACUAUCAACUUGACAAUAAAUUCGACAACUUAUGAUUCAUAUGUAACUCGACAACAUCAAUGUUCACUGAUAACAACAAAAAUGGGCAAUGAAAUAUAUAUACAUACACACAUACAUCUAUAUCUAUACUUCUUAUAAAAUGAUGAAUCUUAGUAUGAUUUCUUCCAUUUUUUUUGGACUAAAAUGCCCCUACGGCCUCUUUUGGUUGGGCCGAUCUGGGUGGAUUGAUCCUCUAAUCCACUCAGAUCUUUGAUUUGGUUCACAACUAGCGGGCUACAGAUUGAUCUUGGGCCCGGGUACCCAUCCGGCAAAUGGCGGAUCGCACAUCAGGCCAAGGGAGGUGAGUUUAGGUGAUCCGUCUAAAUGUCAGCCCAAACCACCAUGUUCUUUUACUAUUUUGUCCUCACUUAUUUCAUGUAUUUACAAAAGUACCCCAUAUAAAUAUCAAUUCUCAUCCCCAAACCGAAGACUGAUACCCUAGAACACAAAUCCCGUAUUUGCGAUUUCACCGGCGUUAAACCUAAUUCCACUCCGUUUCUCGAUUGUGUGGAGAUUGCAAUGGUUUGUAGGUAAUCGAUUGAUCGUUUAUGUUUUAUUAGGGCCCCCUAUUCUGGAAUAUACGCGCAGCAGCUUUUCCGAUCGUCGGUGGAUCGGUGAGCCCUGCCAGAGUUACACCUUCUGGAAAACGGACAAUUUCCGGCUUCCACUACACUAUCUUCGUUGUCAGGUUAGUGAACAAAUUUCCCGACCUUUUUUUGGCAAAAUUGAUUGAACAAUUCCUUGUCAUUACCAAUAUAAAUGAAUGAGGGAGGAGUUAUAUUUUCAAAUGGGAGGUAGGGCCUGGUUAUGACAAAGGUGAAAAGUGCAACUGAUUUUUGUCGAUUGAGUGAGAAGGUUGAAUUCUCACCACCAAGCACUUUGGAAGAAUUGGUGAAAUGUGAAAUAAUUUUGCCAACCAACAACAACUAAUUUCAAACAAGUAGAAAAUAAAUUUGUAGUAUUUGAAAUUGAAAAUUGACCCAUCUAAAACUGUGAUUUUAAAUGGUCAUAUUUAUAAUAUUUUCAAAUUGACCCGUAAGUGCAAAUCACUAAAUAGUUUGACCUUAUAUUUUUGCCGUUUACAAUUAGAACAAGGCGGAACAUGCAUUGCACAAUUUCUUCGUUGCUAACGGGUUUCCAUACUACGACACUUGUGAGUUGGUGUUUGUGGAGAAAGAAGCGGGGGCGAUUGAGUUAAGUGUCGACACAGACUCGCGAUUGACGAAGGAGUUGGAUCGGGCAUUGAGACAGAUAUAUGAAGAUGAUGGGCCGUUUGAGUUUGCCCCACUAGACGAGGCAUAUGCAAUGGUUCCGUAUGAGGGGGGCUCGGAACGAGAACUGCCCUAUUGUGCCGUAUGAGGGUCUGAAUGAAGUUGAACCGAGGGUUAUUAUAGCGACGAGACCGAGGGGUUCUUGGAUUUUACGGAUCGUUGAUAUCGAGCCAAGUAACUCGGUCAUUGUGUUUUCCAACAUUGCUAUGCAUUUAUUUUUCGUUUAAGCACAUUUGAACCCUUGUAUUUGUUUUAUCGUCUUUAUGUUUUUGUGAUUCUGUACUAGUUUGUUUUUCAAUUAUCGAACUUCUGUUAUUAUUCAACUUUAAUUUUCGUGUGAUUCCGUACGACUUUAAUUUCCAAUUAUCAAACAUCUCUAUCACUCCAACUUUGGUUUUUAUAUUUUCACUUUAACAUUUGUAUGUUUAAUAUUAAGUGUAUCUUCAAAAUGCAUAAGAAAAAUUUAAGCAUAUAUUUCCAAAAUUCUGGACAGUAGAAAAUUCAUUAAAAUUAAUGUUGCUAAGUUAAACAAACAAACAUAUGUUGUUAAGUUAUAUAUUCAAUAUAAGUUUAUAAACCUAAAUACGUGAAAAUAUUUAUAAGUAUUUAUAAACCAAAAUACAAUAGAACAUGUAAACUUAAAAAACAAUAUUUAUAAACAUUAUUGAGUGGCGGCGACGAAACAUGAAAAAUAAUAUUACAAACCGAAAUACAAAGGCGAGAAAAUUUAAUACUAACACAGAAAAACUAGUCGACUACAUGGAGGUGGAAAAAUACUACGGUAAAUACUAAUAUUAAUAGUAUGGAAAAAUAUUAGGAAAAACUAGCCGAAAACAUGGCGAUUGGAAAAUUUGGACUGCCGUUGUUCAAUCCUAAACGAUACACUCUUAGAAUGAUGCCUAGUAAUCGUUUGCCCCGUCGAUUGGCCCCUUGCCGUUAUCUCUCUUUGAGGGGCGGUUUGACCCGGACGAGCGAACAAAAUUGGAGGGGCGAUUUUAUAAAACAAGAAAAAUGGUUGUCGUAAGAAGUGGUGGGUUCAAACAGUGUUUUUCAUUAUUUUGGGGUAUAUAAUAUAAUAAUACAAAAAAGAGAGAAAGGGUGGCAUGGUAAAUAACCACAUUAUCUGUCCCAAUCAACCCAACCAUUUGUGAGAUUAGCACACCUAGUUUCAAUCCCAUGGACCCGAAUCCCACCAACCAAAACCGAGAUCCCAUCCAACUAACAUCAAUCCAUACAGUAGAAUUUCAAAAAGAACCCCAAAUCCCAUCCUAUCCCAUCAACCCAACCAAAAGAGGCCUACGAGUAUAUUAGAAUAAGUACAAUUGAAAGGUAACUAAGUCACAGUAAUUUAUAAUAAUUUAACUUAUUAAUAUUUGUGAAUAUUAAAUUACUGUUUCAUUAGUAAAUUGGCAUGUAUAUGAAUAUUUUAUUAAUCCCAUCAUAAUAAUGACGGCUGGUUUUCUCGAUGGUCCGGGAAGUUUCUUUUCUUUUUCCACCAUAUUGAUGCAGACAUUCAAAUGCUACUUAAUUUAGAAUUUUCGGGGUCUUAGUUACAAGUUAAAUUUAGAAUUCAUAAUUUAGAAUUCAUAAUUUAGAAUUUAAGUGCAGACAUUUAAAUGUUACAAGUUAGAGUAAGGUUGUGUUUUAUAGCUCUUAAUAACCUCUUAAGCCACAUUUAUUCAGCAUGUUUGAUGCAAGCCUCUGAAUUGAACAAUUUAGUGCUAACCGAUUCAGCUAAAAAAUUGGAGCUUAUUCAUUAAGUGGCAAUAUUUUGUACCAAUUUAUUCUCAUAAUUAAAGUUUGAUAUCUCCUACCACUUUUUUCUCUUCCCUCAAAUGUUAAAGGAUGCACACAGCUGCAGGCGAAUGGUCCGAAAAAUUUGUCCUUCAAUUAAAAAUUCAAUUUUCUUUUCUUUUAUCUAAAAGAUAUUUUUAGUUAAAUAUAAUGAAUUAUAUUCAAAAAUUACACUUUUAUAUAUUUUUCAUAAUUAGGACUAGAUUUAUUCAGACAUAUUUAUUUUUAUCAAAACAAGUUGAUCACAUUUUGAGGCCUAUAUAAAUAUGAUUUCUCACGGACUUGUCCUACUGUUGGUAUAGUGAAACUUAAUUUUCAUACUUUUUAACUAAUUUUAUCGAUUAUGUGUUUUUAGUGAAAUUUUAAAAUUAGAAGUUUACUUUAAUAUAUUUUUCAGAAAUACAUAUUUUAGAUUUACACUAUUUAAUUUUUUUCAAAGUAAAUUUAACAAAAUAAUAAUUACAAGGGUCAUAAUUAAAAUUUUAUUUAGGUAGUAUUGAUAAUUUUGUUAAAUAUAAAUAUAUGUUCAACAAUUAUGAGGACUAAUAUAGUCAAAUUACAUUAUUCAAAUACAAUAUUUUUCAGUUAUCAAACAAACUUAAACGUUCAACAUUCAACAUUUCGACACUGAUUUUAAUCAUCCAGACAUGUAUUCAGCAUUCGGUGUUCAGUGCUUAAUUUUGUCAAACACAACAUAAUAUUAAGUGGAAAUGUACAAGCCAUGGUCAAGAUACUCACAAUUGUUGGAAUAAAAAUCGUUUUUCUUUUGUGUAAAAACAAAAUCGCCUCUCUUUGUGUAAAAUAACCUAGAUUCCACCCAAUUUUUUUUACAUAUCUACCAGACCUACUCAGAAGAAAUGUCGUCCCAAGAACACGAAGGGCACGGUCAAAAUCUUGAAUGUUUUCAUCGCUUCUAAGAAGCCACCAAUACAUUAAAAAGUUUUGGAAUGUUUGCAAAGUUCAACAGUGUGUGUGAUAUCAAUGGUAAGGAUAAUUUGAAGUAUUGAAUAUCUCAUUCGAAGUUGUCAUAUUAUUAUCUUUUAUGUGACUUUGCAUACUAUGUGCAGGAUAGUGUGGAAGAUUAAUAGAAAAUAUUUUACGUCUAUAUAUUAUAGAAAUAUACAUAAUUGAAAAAAUAUACAAUGUUAAAUUUUCAAAGAAUAUCGGUUUUUGGAUGACUUUUAAUAUUUUCUACAAUGAUACAUGCAUAUUUGGUUGAUAUAUUUUGAUAUUUCUGAAUCCUUCGAGUAUAUCCAUGAUGCAGGUCAUAUGUUAGAGAGACAAGAUCAACAAAGACGCGAAAUGGGAAAUAAGAAGGAAGUGUAACUAUGGGGUGGUAAACGAUGAGCCGGCUCGAAAAAAACUCGAAUUCGGACUCGAGUCGAGCUCGAACUCGAGCUCGUGAGCUUUCUGACGAGUCGAACUCGAGCUAGGUUUUAGUUGUUCGUGAGCUCACGAGCCGGCUCGCGAGCAAUAUUUAUUAUUUUUCUUAAAUUAUUAGUUUUAUAUAUUUAUUUUUUAUUUAAAUAAUGUAUAAAAAUAUAAAAUAUUAUAAAAUAAAAUAAAAAUAUUAAAAAAUAUAUAUAAUUACAAUUUAUUGUUUAUUUUGUAAUUUUUUUAAAAUAAUUUUUAAUAAUAAUAAUAAUAAAAAAAAAAUGAGCUUGGGCUCGAGCUCGAGCCUGCCAAAAGAGGCGAGCUCAGCUCGUUCACACCCCUAAGUGUAACCUUCGUAAUCGGUUGCUCUUCAGAAGGAAGCCGUAUCAAAAUGUCAAAACGUGGUAAGAUUGAUGACUAAUUUCAUGAACUUCAAAGUUUAAGGACUAAAAUCAUUUUCGAUGCCAAUAGGGAUCAAAAGGGUAAUUAUCCGUAUUUAUAACCAUUAACUUAUGGAUUAAUCUCAAAAAAGCCCAUGAAAAAGACACUUAACUAAAAGAGGGACAUCCAACUUUUUUGUCUUUCAAAUAAAUCCAGCUCAUUCAAAUUUAUUUGCAAAUAAGGGAAAUCCUUUUAUAUAUACCAAAAUUACCAUCAAUUUAUUGAAACCCAAUUCAACUCCAAUUUCAUGAUUUACACCACAAUUUAGCCCAAUUUCACCAAUUAACAUAUUUUAACCAUAAUUUCAAUUUUGACCCUAAUUUUGACCUGCAACCAUUGGAGACCGCCGGUCUCCGACGUUGACCUUUUUUUUUUUGAUAAUUUUUUUUUUCAGAUUUUUUUUCCGGUAGGUCAACUGCCGUUGAGCGCCUGGUCUCCGGCGUUGACUUUCUUUUUUUAUUUUUAAUCCUAUAUUUUUUUUCCUUAAAAAAUAUAUUUUAAUUAAUAUUACUGUCUUGGCUGCUAAAUUACUGUCUCCAACAGUUAUUUAACUGUCGGAGACAGUAAUUUAAUUGUUAAUUGACUUUAUUCUUAAUUUUUUUUAAUUAAUAUUACUGUCUUGGUUGCUAAAUAAAUGUCUCCAGUAGUUAUUUAACUGUCGCAGACAGUAAUUUAACUGUUAAUUGACUUUUUUUUCUCUCAAAAAAUAUUUUAAUUAAUAUUACUGUCUUGGCAGCUAAAUUACUGUCUCCAGGAGUUAUUUAACUGUUAGGGACAUUUAACUGUUAGGGACAAUAACUUAACUGUUAAUUGACUUUGUUUUUCUUAAAAAAAUAUUUUAAUUAAUAUUACUGUCUUGGCUGCUAAAUUACUGUCUCCAGCAGUUAUUUAACUGUCGGAGACAGUAAUUUAACUGUUAAUUGACCUUUUUUUUCUUACAAAAAUAUUUUCAUUAAUAUUACUGUCUUGACUGAUAAAUUACUGUCUCCAGCAGUUAUUUAACUGUUGGAGACAGUAAUUUAACUGUUAAUUGAACUUUUUUUUCUUAAAAAAAUAUUUUAAUUGAUUUUUUUUUUCAAAUUUCUUUUUUUCUUAAAAUAAGUUAUUUUAAUUAAUAUUACUGUCUUGGCUGCUAAUUACUGUCUUAGACAGUAAUAUUAUUGUUUGGAACAAUAAUAUUAGUAAUAGUACUGUUCGGAAAUAUAAUAUUCAUAAUAUUAUUGUCCCAAACAGUAAUAUUACUGUUUGAGACAGUAAUUUAGCAGCCAAGACAGUAAUAUUAAUUAAAAUAAUUUUUUCGAAGAAAAAACAAAUUUAAAAAAAAAAAGUCAACGGUGGUUGACCGGCCGGAAAAGAAUUUUAGAAAAAAAAAGGGUUUUCUCAAAAAAAAAAUCAACGCCGGAAUCUGGCCGGAAAAAAAAAAUUCAGAAAAAAAAUUAUUUUUUGAAAAAAAAAAUUCAAAAAAUUAUUAUUUUGGGGGUUAAUGUGAUAUAUUUAUUUAAAUUCGGGAUCAAUGUGUAAUAUUAAGGAAGUUAGAGCAUAAUGGAUGGAAUUGAUAAGAAUCAUAUUAUGGAGGGUAUUUUAGACUAAAGACACGGGGAUGAAUUUAUUUGAAAGACUGUUUUAUUUGUGGACCAAUAUGCAUUUACGCCUCUUGUGAUGGACCUUUUUGCCUUUCGCCCUUAACUUAUUUUGUUAGAGCUAAUUGCACAGAACCCCUGUGCAAUCUUGAAUGACUAAAAAAUUCCCUAUGUUAAAACAAUUAACACAAAUCCCCUACGUUAUUUUAUAUGAAGCACACUGCCGCUUCGUUAAAAUUAGGUGUUGACUUUUAUACAAUGACUAAUUUGCCCUACAAAAGAAACAUGAAAUUGUAGAAGAAAAAAAAUGACACAAAAGAAAUUCGAACAAAACCCAAUGCCAUCUUCUCCAACACACAGAAAAAUCUUAUUAAAAGAAAACUCUUGAAAAAAAAUGGUGUGAAAAAAGGAGGAGCAAUUGCUCUUUUUCCCUUUUUUUUUAAUAAUUCUUCACUCAAAUCCUCCCCAAAACAUUCAUCUCCUUAGAUUAUUAUAAUUUUCAGUAAUCAUUCCUCACAAGUCGCCAGAAUCGAAGUGUUACUGUUCAAUUUGUCCGAAAAAUGAUUUCCCGCGUCGAAUCUACAUCGAACCAAACCCCACAUUUAGAAAUUGCCAACCAUCGAUUUCGCCGGAAAAUGUUUGCCCCAUAGAAUUACCUUUAAACAGGCCCCCACCCUUAUUUCUUGUCGGAAUAACUCCCCGUAGUCGGAGGGCGGUGGUGGGAGGCAGGGGCGGACCCAGGGGGGUUUUCUUGGGGCUGAAAUAUAGGAGUAAUUUAAGAGAAGUUUUUUUUUGGUUUUGGGGACUAAAGUGUAAAAAAAUUAAAAAUUUGGGGGGAGGGGGCGAAAGUGCAUUAAUUAAUCCAUAAAUACCAAAAAAAAAAAAAAAAAAAAAAAAAACAGCAUAGAAAAAAAACUUGGGGGGGGGGGGGGGGGGGGGGGGGGGGGGCCCCCCAGCCUUAGGCAUGGGUACGCCCCUGGUGGGAGGAAAGGGGCGGCUGUAGGAGGAGGAAAUUCGGGGAAAAAGACGAUUUUUUAAGAGUUGGAUCGUGAAGCAUGGUCAAAUAUACUUUUUUGUACGUACCCUCAAAUUUUUAGACCUCUUGUAAUUUUUUGGUUUAUCUUCCAUAUAUUAAAGUUAUCAUAUAUGAUGCAACAUUACAUAUAUGAGUUCAUAUAAAUGGGAUGCACAUUUCCUGUAUGCAGCAAAUGAAGAACAAGAAAAAGAGAAACAGAGGAUCAAGUGUGCACUGCAACAAUAUCGGAAACUACUUAAAGAAUAUUGCGGGGAAGUUGCUGCCGCUGUGGGGUAAUUUGCUAUCUGGCUUUGUUUCUUUUCAAAGUGUAAGUAAUUUCGUUACGAAAUGAGUAUCAAAUUUUUCAUGUUAAAAAUAUACUAUAUAUUAUUUUAUAUAAGUUAUUGUUGUAUAUGUUAUUAAUUAAUGUUUACAAUAUAAAGUAUUGGUAAUUGAUCUAAUUCUAGGUAGUGGUAUAUCGUCCAUGCUAUACAAGAAGGACAAGUGCAACAUGAUUAACUCAAUAAGUAUUUUAAAUUAGGGUUUAUUAGGGAUAACCCCUUGUUCACAUUUUCUAAUGAGGUAGAUCCAAUUUUUUUUCCCCUUUUUGAGAUAGACCCAAUUUUGACAACUUGGCAAAAUUUAUUAUGUAAUUUUCCUUUAACACCCCUGUUUUAUUUUUAAUCCGCAUUUAUUUCCUUUACUACGUGAUUUGAGAUUUGCUAAUACGUUGCCUAAAAUCACGGAAUAAAACAGCGUGAGAUCAUUGGCCGUUAUAUCAAAUCGUGUCUAUCAAAUCGUGUAGAAUUUUUUUUUGAAGAUUUAUCCAGCGUUUCAUCGUUUUAAUCGCUUUUUAAUGUCUACGGUGGUCAGAAGUUUUUAAGAGUUGUGUUGAUACUUGAUUAUAUAUACAUCGUUAUUUUCGCCGGAUGAUGUUUGUUUGGAAGAGGAUUGACAUAGUUAGAAGAGGAUGGUUCACGCAGAUCGGACCAGAGUUGUUUUAUAUGAGCUUCGUAGUUGGUUUAUGCAAUAAUCGGAAUAAUUGUCCGCUGUGGUCGAGUGAGUUUUUCAUCCCAAUCGAUAGUUGCUUUAUUUGUUUAUAGCAGCCGAUUUAAGUGUGCUGGGUAGUACAUUAAAAAAUCGUUCGUAGUCUUGUUUAAUUCAGUUUCCAUAUUUAUUAUUAUUUUUCCAAUAGUCAAUCAACUAAACCCAUAGUCGCAUUAGAUACAUGGGAUAGUCUAUUAAAAGAUAUGGGAUAGUCUAUUAAUUUUAAAAGACCCAUCCGCCGCCGUCACUUCUCAAAUCUAGGGUUUUGUUCAUUCUUAGGCCCAUAGUCGAUUAACGAGAUCCAUAGUAAAACUAUACUAGUGUGCUAGUAUAUUAAAUGAUAUGAGACAGUCUAUUAAGAAAAACCCUAGUCCCACAACAUAAAAACCCGAACCCCCUAAAACCCUCCUCUCUUCUCGCGACAACUCUGCCUCAAUCGGCGUUCACUCCAUCCCGAUGACAAUGUUAGCUAUUCGGAGAAUGUUUGGAAUCUCAUCUCCCUACAUCCGUCAUUACUCCGCCAAGAUCUCCCCCGAAGCUCCGAUCUCCUCCGGCAACCCUCCGCUCCAUCCUUCCGAGCCCGCCCCCAAGGUUCUCUUUUUCUGUAUUCAUCCCCACCGCAUUUCAUCAGCUCAGGUUUUGAUUUGUUUAUUCAUUUUUAUUUUGAAUAAAAAUUGAUUAAAAUUUUUAUGUUUUUAUUCUUGCUAUUGGGUCUCAAGUGGGAAGCCCCACCGAUGGGAAAACUCAAAAUAUCGACGGAUUAUUCAGCCAAGUUUGUGGAGAUUAAGGAUAAAUCAAAGUCUACAAGUCAGGGCCGUAUCGUAAAAAAAUCAAUUCUUACGGGUGAGGGCAGUGGUGCCGUAAUCAGAAACCACCUCGGGGAGGUGCUUCAUAAACAAGUUUGGAAAAACACAUCGGGCAAAACCAAUGUAGGAGAGCUACAGGCCUUUUUGAAUAGUUUGGUGUGGUGCUUAAAACUUUUUCCGAAGAAAGAAGACAGAGAGAAAUUAAUUUUUGAGACAGAUUCCAAAAACUUGGCUUAUGUAAUCAACAAUGGGAGUGGCUACAGGGAUGCGGAUGCUCAAGAGAUAUUAGACACUGUGCGAACUGAUAUGACAAAGUUCAAUAUUACUAGUAUUCUCCACGUCGUAAAGGCGAAAAAUCAAACAGCAGACGCUUUGGCCAAUCUAGGCCAACUUGGUGCAGAUAUCACAGAUAGCACGAACAUGGAGGUCGAUGAGACCUCUAAAUUUGAAUUUGAUGAGAUAGAUCACUAUAAAAAAAAAUAUACCAAACAUGUUGAAGAAGACAAAAAGGGCUUGUCGCUUCUCUUUUGAAAUUAUGAGAUUAUUAAUGUACUAUUUUAUUGGUUAUGUUGGAAUACUUUACGUUUGUGUUGUUCUCAAUGUUCUUGUCAUUUCAGUGCUAUAUUGUUUGUAACACAAUUUCAUGUCACUACUAUAACCGUAAUAUACUAUCAUAUAAGAUUAAUGUACUAUAUUGUAAUUAUUAAUAUACUAGGUGGAUGAAUAAUACGGGAUACAUAGUCGAUUAUCGAGAUCCAUAGUCGAAUUAGCUCAAUAACACAGUCUAUUACAUGAUAUAAGGAAAAUUACCCUAAUUGAUUAGUAUUUCAAACAAACAUAUUAUUCAGUUUCCAUAUAUAUUAUUAUUUUUCAUAUAUAUUAUUACUUACCCUAAUCGUUUUCAUAUAAUAAGGAAAAUUACCCUAAUUGAUUAGUAUUUCAAUCAAACAUAUUAUUCAGUUUCCAUAUAUAUUAUUAUUUUUCCAAUAGUCAAUUAACUAAAAACAUAGUCGAAUUAGAUACAUGGGAUAGUCUAUGAUAAGAUAUGAGAUAUUCUAUUAUAUUUAAAACACAAAUCCGACGCCGUCACCGCUCAAAUCUAGGGUUUUGAUGAUUCUUCGGCCCAUAGACGAUUAACGAUACCCAUAGCAAAAUUAUAUCUGUUGUAUAGUGUAUUAAGUGAUAUGGGAUAGUAUAUUAAUACAGAUGUAAUUCGACUAUGCAUCUCGUUAAUCAACUAUGGGCCGAAGAAUCAUCAAAACCCUAGAUUUCAGUAAUCCUACAUUUGAGAAACCCUAGAUUGGAGCAGUGACGGCGACGGCGACGGCGGCCAACGACGCUAUCACUUCGGUAUGCGAUUAUAACAUAUCUGCAAUUACACAAACGUGAUAGUCGAUUUAGCCAAAACAUAUCAACAAAUCGAUGGACGAUAGCGACCGGCGAAGACGUACCUACGGCGGCUUGCUCGGAGUCCACGAAAAUCAUCGUUUCACGGCAGUGCAAAUUUCGCCGGUCGGGAGGUUUUGCAGCUUUUUUGAUAGUGGGUUUGUGGUGAUAACGUUUUAACGGGAAAAUAGGGAGAUAUUUGAUAUUAUUUCAAAAGGUAAAGUAACGGGAUUUGUGGGAUUUGAUUGAGGGUAAUUAUGUAAUUUACAAACGUUUGGGUUUUUAUCAAAAUGGCAAGGUUAAGUUUGGGUCUACCCCUAUUAUUUGAAUGUUUAAGGGGGUUAUGUCUAAUAGACCCUUUAAAUUAAUAGAAUGUUUGAAAUUUUAUGUAAUGUUAUUGCCUUACUAAUACCAAAGUAUUAUACAAAUCCGUGUGUAUAGUAUAUUUAAUGUUUAUAUACUACUUAUUAAAUAAGAAUAUUUAAUGUUAAUGGUAUUAACUAGGGGUGCAAGUUGGAACGAAAUUUCCAAUUUCCGCCGGUUCCAAUCCGAAUAGUUCCGAUUUUGGAACAACUUUUUUCAUUCCGACUUCCGAAAAUCCGGUUUCCGGUUUUUUCCGAUUUUUUUGGAUUGGAAUUGGAAUUAUAUAAAAUAUAUAUGGAAUUUCCGAUUUCCGGUCCGAUUUAAUUCUGAAAUUAAUUCCGGAAAAUUCCGAUUUUUUUCCGAAAAAUACACUUAUAAAUAUAUAUAUAUAUAUAUAUAUAUAUAUAUAUAUAUAUAUAUAUAUAUAUAUAUAUAUAUAUAUAUAUAUAUAUAUAUAUAUAUAUAUAUAUAUAUAUAUAUAUAUAUAUAUAUAUAUAUAUAUAUAUAUAUAUAUAUAUAUACUUUUGAACUGAAAUUUAGUAGUUAUUAUUUUUACUUUUAUCGACAUGGAUGUUCUUAUUUUUUAAAAAUUAUGAACAUUUUAGAAAAUUUCGGCUAAGUUUUGAAAUUUUAAAGCUUAUGUGAUUUCCGAUUUUUUUCCGAAAUUCCGAAAUUUCCGGGGCUUUUGGAAUUGGAAUGAAUUUUUAGAUUACGAAAAUUUUGGAAUUGGAAUUGGAAUUGAUUUUGUACUUCCGAAUUUUUUUGGAAUUUUUCCGAAAAGGCUAAUUCCGAUCCGAUUCAUCCGACUUUCACCCCUAGUAUUAACUAAUAACUAUAUAAUUUAUAGAGCAAACUUCAUUUUGCACCCCCGUACUAUGCGAAAUAUAUCAUUUACCCCAUCCCCUUAUGUAUGGAAAACAUCAAACACCCCAUGUCGUUAGCAUGUUUCCUAAUUUCCGUUAGUCAAACCCUUUGACCGACUAUUACAAAGAAAUGUUGGCUUUUUUUUUUUUUUUUUACGAAAAUACCCCAAAAAAUUUCUAUAUAUCUUCUUAAUUUUGAUAAAUGUUCAUCUGAUUAAUUAUUUUUUAGCAUUUUUUUCACUUUAUUCAGUCAUUUUCUUUCUUUACUAUUUUCAGCCAUUUUUCUUUAAAUUUUUUUGAUAAGUCGAAUAAAUAAGAAUGAAGCUUUGUAGAUUAUGAAUGUAAAACCCACAAAAGAUAAAACUAAAAGUCCUGAAAUCUAAAAAAACCCCUAAAAUUAGAAUAAAACCAUAUGAAAGAAUUACAAAUUAAACUCAAAGCUUUUCAUAUUAUUAUAGGAAACUUCUUCGAGAAAGAAAACUGAAAAUCUCUAAAAUCAAACACUAAAAUUGACAAAAAUCUACAAUUUGAACUUACGCUAAAAAUCGUCAACAAUCCACAAAAAGUACGCCUAAAAAAGUUAGCAAUUAUAUAAGACAUAAAGCAGGGUAAAGAAGUCAUUGCAUAUACUCAGAUUUAAUACCGUUAAAGAUUUGACCAUUGACCGUUAAAAAUAGGGAGGUAUUUGAUGUUUUCUAUACAUCUUGGGGUAAAUGAUACCGUUGACAUAGUACAGGAGUGCAAAAUGAAUUUUACCUAGAUUUAUAUUCGGGAGGUGAUAAAUGUCGUUUCAGUUUUCAUAAUGUCGUUUUGACUUCAAACGUGAUUUUGACCAUUUUCGAGUUUGAAUUUGGCAAAAUUCAGAACAUGGAAUUUGUAAUUCUUUGAGUUAGCAUUCUAAUCUAAUUUUAAUCGCCAAGAUUGGAUGUCGGUUGAGAAAGUUAUGCAUGAAUUAAUGAACACUGCCCACAACUUUGAUGUUUUAAAUUAUGUAAAAUUUAAAACGUAACUCAUGCAUGCAUAACUUUGUCACCCGACAUCCAAUCCAGGUGAUUCAUGUUGUAUUGGAAAGUUAUCUCAAAGGACUACGGUUUCCGUCUUUCGAACUUUGCCAAAUUCAAAAUAGAAAAUAGUCAAAAUCACUUUCGAAGUCAGAACGACAUUAGUAAAAUUAAAACGACAUUUAUCAUUUCAGUUUAUAUUCAUAUAGUGAACACCAAUCAAAUAAUCGGAGAAAUACAUAAACUUAUAACAUUCAGUGAACUUUUUUUUUCUUAGACUAUCAAAAAACAAAUAUUAUAUGAAGGCCAGUAAGGGAAAUAUACAUUAAAAAUCUAUGCACGAAAAUGUGAUAGGGUUCCAAAAGAAAAAAAAAGGUGGUUGCAAGGGAAAAAAAAAACUAAAAAGAAAAGGAAAGAAAAUAAUAAGUAUAAGAAGAAGCAAAGUAAAUAACAUUUUUUAUUGAUAACUAUGAGCACAUCAAAUUUUGGGAAAAGAUAGAAAAAGAUACCCAAAUUAUAAAGAUAUAAUAAAACAAAAUAAAAUAAAAUAAAAAUUAUUAGACUUAUGAAUGAAAAUAUAAGUAGAAUGUAUGAGUCUAAACAUAUUGCAAUCUUAAAUUAAGAGGGUGUUUGGCUAGUCUUAUAAGUUAUUAAAAAUAACUUGUAAGACGUUUAAGAGUAUAAACUUUUCUAAAGUAUUUGGUAAUUUAAAAAAAAAUCUAAAAAAAUUCAAAAAAUAAGCGGCUAAAGAACAAAUAAGAUUUUAAUUUUUUUUUAGCUCUACCUCACCUUUUUAUUUAAGAUAUUACAUUGAGUAAAAAUAGUUAUAAGAAGAUAAUAUCAUUAUCCAAACACUUUAAAAAUUAAUUUAAGAAAUAAGGCGUAACAUCAUCAACGUUUAGAAGGUGUUUGACUAAGCUUUUAAGCUGUUAAAAAGAAGUUAUAUAUGUUUAAGAGCUGAUAAGCUCUUCCAAAGUGUUUGUUAAUUUAAAAAAAAAAAAGAUCUUAAGAAUUCAAAAAAUAAGCUAUUAAAGAGCAAAUAAAUGAACUCAAGACGUGCAACGCACGUCCACUUUCCUAGUAUUUUAAAAUAUCUCAAAGGGAAUAUUGGUAGGGUGUUUAUGAUGAAGACCUUAUUGUUAUCAAAUGUCAAAUGUUGACAGAGUCGCUAAUUAGACAACUUAAUUAUGACUUUGCUCUUCUUGUUAGUGUCUAAGAAAUCAACAAGUUUUUUUCUUAGCACUGCUACUUCAAUAGUUUGCUAAUCAAUCUCUGAAAUUGUUUGUAAAAACAAGAUGGCUGCAGCUUAUGCAGCUUUAGUUUCUCUCACUCAUACUAUUGAUCAGAUCCUCGAUACACCUCCCACCCUUCAUAUCAUUGUUGAUAGAAAACAGAUUGAAAUUCUACAAAAAAAGGCAGACUUGUUGUUAGAUUUUCUCGAAAAUUAUACAAGCACUAGAGGCGACCAAGAGAUUGAACAUUUGGAGAUGAUGAUCGGCGAUGCAGCAUAUGCAGCAGAAUAUAUUAUCGAAUUCAAUGUGAUGAACCAAAUUCUUGCAGCACGAUCUAGAUCAGAUAGAGAAGAAAGCUCCAAUCUCUUGUUUGAAGGUGUAGAAAUUUCAAUACAAGAGUUCCUUUUCAUUGAGAAAGAGUUGGUGAAAUUCAAGAAAGAUAUGCAACGACCUAAUAACUACUACUUAACAACAACAAAAGCUAGUUCUUCUUCUUCUUCAUCAAGGCCUCUUCUUCCGGCCGGUGGCAAAAACAAGAUGGUGGGAUUCAACGACCACAUGGAUGAAAUUAUGGGCGCUCUCUCCACCAACGAAUCUAAUCUUCGGAUCAUCUCUAUUGUUGGAAUGGGAGGCAUAGGUAAGACUACCCUUGCCAUUAAUGUUUCUAACAAUCCCUAUAUUGUGGAGCACUUUCAGCUACGUGCUUGGUUUACGGUAUCCCAGGAAUAUACUGACAAGAAGAUUCUCCUAGGCCUUUUGCAUCAGAUCAACAAUACAUAUAGAAAUGCACAUGAGAUCGAUGAUGAUGAUGAUGAUUAUGCAAUAGGAGACAUACUGCACAAAACUCUAUUUGGGAGGAAGUAUUUGAUAGUAAUGGAUGACAUGUGGGAUAUCAAAGCAUGUGAUAUGGUAAAAAGGUUCCUUCCUGAUAAUAAUAAUGGAAGUCGAAUCUUGGUAACUACUAGGCUGAUGAAGUUGGCUGUAGAUAUUGGAUCUCGUGGCCCUUAUCAACUGAAUCUUUUAGAAAAAUCACAGAGUUGGGAUUUACUCCGUGAAAAGAUAUUUGCAGAAGAACGUUGCCCCGAUGAAUUGGAGGGAACUGGAAAAAGUAUUGCAAAAAAAUGCAACGGACUUCCAUUAGCCCUUGUUGUGAUUGCUGGGGUUCUUGCAAAGUCCAAGACAAAAGAACAUUGGGUGUCAAUUGAAAAAGAUGUAACUUCAGCAGUAAACAAUCAAGAUGAUGAGUCAUGCAUGAAGAUACUAUUGUUGAGCUAUAAUAACUUGCCUAUACAUCUAAAGCCUUGUUUCCUUUACUUUGCCGUGUUUCCUGAAGAUCAUAUCAUCAAAGUGGAAAGGCUGGUCAGGUUGUGGGUUGCUGAAGGAUUUAUUAGGCAGUGUGGGCAUAAAAGCUUAGAAGAAAUUGGAGAGGAGUACUUGGAGGAUCUUAUUGAUCGAAAUCUCAUUUUGGUCGAUUGGCGGUCAGUUACGGGAGAAGUGACCGACUGCCACAUUCAUGAUGUUUUAAGUAACCUAUGCAGAAGAGAAGCUCAGAAAGACAAUUUUAUUUUCUCGUUCGCUAGAAAGCUUUAUAACCCCGAUAUAUUAACUUUCAUGAAGAUCACACCACGUCUCAGCAUUAAUGGUGGAAAAUGGAAAGGGACGAAACAUAAGCCAUAUACAUCACAGAUACCUACACGGUCUUUGUUAUGCUUCUCUAAAGGGGCUUCAACUGAUUACACGACUCGUCGGUUUCCAUUACUACGAGUAUUGGAUGUAGUUGAUAUAUAUCCCAAAGAUGAGAUUCUACAGCUAAUUUACUCAAGGUAUGUUUCUUGCAUGGGUCUGAUGAUGUUGCCGUCUUCAAUAUCCCGACUUUGGAGCCUACAAACAUUAUUUGUUGAUGGAGCGUUGAUUCUGCCAGGUGAGAUAUGGCAGAUGCCCCAACUUCGACAUGUUGAGGCCAACUCUAUUAUCUUGCCCGAUCCUCCGCCUCCAGAUAAUGUCCAGAAAAUCAUACUUCUUGAAAAUUUACAAACACUUUCAGGAGUCGUAGAUUUUGAAUGCAGUGAAGCGGUAAUUAAUAGAAUCCCUAAUGUGAAGAAGUUGGAAAUUGUUUGUGGGACAAUUGGGUCUAAUUGUUUAAGGAAUCUUGGACUUCUCCAUAAACUCGAACAACUUUAUCUGAAAUUAAAUACUGGUACUAGUUGCUGUGGAGAAAUUGUCUUCCCAAGUUCACUUAAAGAGUUGAUGUUAAGUGAAUGCAAGAUUCCUUGGGAAGAUAUGUCAGUUGUUGGUUCUUUGCCCAACCUUCAAGUUCUCGAGUUGCGUAAAAAUGCUGCUAUAGGGCAAAAGUGGAUUCCAAAAGAAGGGGAGUUCACUCGACUGAAGUUCCUAUGGAUUCACGAGUGUGAAUUGGAGAUAUGGGAAGCAGACAACACACAUUUCCCAUGUCUAGAGCAGCUACAUCUUGGAUGCUUAAACCUCAUCGAGAUCCCUUUAGAUUUUGCCGAAAUAUUACCACUUCGAGGGAUUAACUUACAUCACUAUAGCAGCAAUGACCUUUUGGCAUCUGCAAAUGAAAUAUCAGAGCGACGAGAGAACCUAGAUUACGAUGCUCUUUAUGUUAAUAAUAUUACAUUUGGAGUGCUCAAUAUUUGGGUGAAGAGAGGUAUUAAUCUUGCUGUUGGUGGUGGAAAUCCUUAUGUUGUUAUCACAAUGGCCAAUCAGGUUUCGUGUUCCUACUUUUUGAUGGUUUUUUUUUGUUCAUUAAUGUUAUUUUUACCUUCGUCAUAAUAUUCUUUUAGACAAAAAGGAUAACUCAUUCGCAUUAAAUAUGUUGUCUUUCGAAUUUUCAAAAACAAAUUUGCAAUUUAGUAUAAAUCUUGAUGAUGCAGAGUGUGGAGACUCGUGUUGUGGCAAAUGAUGUUCAUCCUAUAUGGGAUGAGGCACUCACAAUUUACGUUUUAGAUCCUAGCCGUCCAGUUUCUCUGGUGAGAUUCUCUAAUUUAAGAUAAAAAUAAAUUUCGCAACUAGUUUUGCAAUAUUUAUUCUCACCAUUUUUCUUCGUAGAUCCAAAAUCUGUAGUUUCAAAUAUGUUAUGUGUAUAUGCUGAUUCAUAGUUUGUGAUUCUUACCAUUUUUCUUCGUAGACAGUGCGAGACCAUAACAAGUUUAGCAACAUGGAUAACAAGAUGGGUAAUGCAGUGAUUGAUAUUAAACCAUUACUAGAAGCCGGUUGGGUGCAUCAAAAUGGCCUUCCAAACGGUACAAUAAUCACAAGAAUAUUGCCUUCAAGCUCCAAUUGCCUGUCUAAAGAAAGUUCCAUUGUCUGGGAAAAUGGGAGAGUAAUACAGGACAUGUGCUUGAGAUUGGAAAAUUCCGAAUGUGGCCAAGUCGAACUUCAACUCCGGUGGAUUGAUUAAAUAGUAUCUGGUGAAAUCGAACUUCGGUCGAAUGGUUGAAGUUCCUACUUCCACUAAUUUAAGGGUGUGAUUGGAUCAAAUUAACCAUCGAGUAAAAUAGUGAAAUUGCAAUGUAAAAUAAUUUAUAUGUUAAACGAAAUCAUAAAUUUAAAUGGAAAUUUUGUUUUAUUGUAAUUUCGGACAUGUAUAGUAAUUUUUUUAAUUCAUAGGAGGUAUAGAAGAAGAAGAAAUAAAUGUAACAUCAAUUUGAUUCAUAAAAUCGAAAUGGCUAGUCCAAAUAAUUGGAGAAGAAUGUAGUAGAAGGUGACUCGUUGGAGGUUAUAUUGCCGCAGUUAGUGAAUCUUCAAGUUCCGAAGCUCCAUACAUGAAUAACAUAGAGGAUAUCGAGCGGGCGAGUGAGUAGUUUGAGAAUUUUUUGAUACAACACGUUUCAGGGGAGGCCAAAUAAGUAGCUCAUGAAGUAAAACAACUUUGUCGGAAGACCGAUAAUUUCUCUAUUUAAGUGAUCUAUGUAGGAGAGAAGCUCAGAAACAUAAUUUUAUAAUCCCUUCCAAACUAGUAACCAGAUCCUCCUCAGAAUUAAUGGUGGCCAAUGUAAAGAUAUGACACUAACGACAUCUAUUCGGUCUUUCUUAACCUUUUAUUCUGCGAAUUUGUCUACUUAUACUGCUCCUCGGUCUCCGUUAAUACGGGUAUUGGAUGUGGUUGAUAGAUAUGUCUCUUGCACGGGUUUGAUCUUUAUGUCGCCGUUUAUAUUAUCCCGACUUUGGAGCCUACAAACCCUAGUUGUUGGUGGAGAGUUGACUCUCGCUAUUGAGAUAUUGCAGAUCCUCCUUCACGUGGCGAAAAAAUCACAAUGCUUGAAAAUCUAAAAACACAUUCAAUAGUCAAAGAUUUCAAAUGUACUAAAGAGGUAACUAAACAAAUCCCGAAUCUGAAGAAGUUGGGAAUUGUUUAUCCGGCAAUUGGAUCUUAUUGUUUAAGCAAUCUCGGCUUUCUCCAUAAACUUGAAUCACUUAGUCUCGCAUUUGUUGGUACGCUUGGUCUUUCCAAGUUCACUUAAAAAGUUGGCCUUAAGUGAAUGCAAGAGAAGAUAUGCCCAUUGUUGGUUCAUUACCAAAUCUUGAAUUUCUCAAAUUGUGGUCGAAUUCCGCCGUAGGGAAAAAGUUGAUUUUGAAAUGAAGGGGAAUUCGCUCGACUAAAGUACUUGUUGAUUCAUGAGUGUGAGUUGGAGAUUUGGGAAUCAGACAAUACACAUUUCCCAUGUCUUGAGCAAAUACAUCUCGGAAUCGUGAGACUGAAUGAGUUCCCUUCAGAUUUUGCUGAAAUAUUACCGCUUCAAGUGAUCGACUUACACCGCUGUGAAAAUUCCCUUUUGACAUCGGCAAAGGAAGUAUCAAAGCAACGAGAGAACCUAGGAUACGAUGCUCUUCAAAUUCGAGCUUUAAUGCCUGGACUGCUCAGAAUUUCUGUG
This 246899-nucleotide long non-coding RNA is filed under the name Erythranthe guttata (spotted monkey flower). RNAcentral's name for it is "long non-coding RNA (EGUT_LNC003057)". The stretch from base 4538 to 4612 matches the Rfam family "tRNA". Lineage: Eukaryota; Viridiplantae; Streptophyta; Magnoliopsida; Lamiales; Phrymaceae. The record is from RNAcentral.